GGAUGCCUGCGGGACCUCCAAUCUGACGCAUUUUGCGUCAAACAGUGAGUGACGCAUAGGACGACCGCGACUGGGCCGACCCAAUAGAGGCUGCCUGACUGUAGGUCUAAAAUACGCAAAAAGAAUGCACUCACUGUGGUUCGAUCUUUCGAUCUCAUGAACCUGUGUCAGCGUUGCUAGCCAACCAAGCUAAUUACGGACCUUCACAAUUUACUAGCGCGAGUUCUCUACAAUUGAAGACAACGGCAAAUCCGAAACUUCUUAAAUUUCGGACAUGGAUAUGUUUGAAAAAGGAAACUUUUUAGAAACAUGAACAUUUUCAAAUCUGUGAAGCAUAUUUAAAAAACUCAAUUUUUUUGGCAAAAUGGGAAUUUUAUUGAUUCUGUGAGCAAGGUUUGAAAUUUUGAAUAGGUUUUGAAAAAAAUAACGCUUUUUCAAACUCAUAAACAAAAUUUGAAGAUGGGAACAAUUUUUUGAAUUUUCGAACAAAUUUUGAAAAUAUGAACACCUUUUUGUAUUGAAAAAAAAGAUUGCAAACGAGAACAUUUUUCAAAAUUAUGAACAAUUUUGUAGAAAACACAAACCUUUUUUGAGAAACAGGAAAAAAUUUGAAAAAUAAGAACAAUUCUCGAAAUUAUGAAACAUUAUUUCAAAACUUACAUUUUUCUAAAUCCCACGAAUAUUUUUCGAAUUUGCAAACAAAAUUUGAAAACAUAAUCGUUUUUGAAUUCAUGAACAAAUUUGGAAAGCUAGAACAUUAUUUGAAAUUCCCAACAUUUUUAAAUUUGUGAACAAAUAAAAUUCCCAUACCUUUUUUUGGAUUUCGGUCAAAUUUUCAAACACAUGAAUAGUUUCUAAUUCAUGAACAAAAUUGAAAAUUGGAAACAUUUUCUGAAGUUUCCAAACAUUUUUUGGAUUUGAGGAAUAUUUUCAAAUGAAUUCAUCUCAUUUUACAUGAAUUAUUAUUUAUGUAUAAAUAAAACCAGAUUUCUAGUUUUCUGAAACUAUUCAUGAGUUUAGGCCUUGUACAAUGCAAGAUGCUUGAAGAAAUAAACCAGACUUUCAUUUAGAACCGGUGCUUAUGUGUACAAGACAUACGCUUAAUUAGGCAUCUCUCCUAUAGAAAGGAUUGUACAAGGCCUUGAUGUGCUGCUUGACCUUGGGGGUUAUGGGUGAGUGAUUUUCUUCGUGCGGGACGCGGACAGUCGUCCAUGGUUUUCUUCCGACUUUUUAAGCGCCCGUGCGGGACGCGAGAUGCUCGAUGUACCACCACUUACGGUUUAAUACUAGAUAGAGGCACUUGAAGAAUGAAUUACAGCAGAACAUUUCUAAAAAAAACUGACUUCCAAACAUCUACUAUUAGCAAGCAGUGCUCCAAGUCUUUUGUUAUAAGGGCCACACGACCCACUUCAUUCGUGUGCCACGGACGUGCUCCGCAGUCCACAUCCUAAGGAUGUACAACGCCCAUCCCGCUCCUGCUGUACGGGCAUCUGAUGUGGUAUGGUAGAUCCAUGAGUCGGGGCUCUCGGUAAAAGUAGUUGCUUACAGGAGCACUCUUGUGCUUGUGCGGCCACCGGAGAACCCAGAGAAGAGGGGGCAAACAAAUUCGCCCAAGACUAACAAAAAAAAACAGCCGACUCCCAUAGAAAACCCUCAAAUGCUGCUUCUAUCUAACGCCCUAGGAGAAAACAGAGGGAUGAACUCAUGCAUAGCUACAUGGGCUAGUUCGGUCUUAUCCAUAAGCAUGAUCAUCAAGCUGAACAAAAACAAGGUUCAGCAGGGCAUGCAUCUACAAAUCGUGGUGAAUUUCUACAGCCCUUGCCCGCAGAGCUGAAGUGUUGCCUGCAGAGCAUGCAUCUCGAGAUGGUUUCAAGCCUGUGAAAAUCAAACAGGCAAAAUAUUGUAAGUAGUCAUAGUAGAGGCAUUAUAUGGGAAAAGGAAUGGUAGAAGUUAGUUAAUUAAAGUUGCGACAUCGACUGAAAACCAAAGUUGCAUGGUGGGAGUUUCAGAACUGAAAAGACACAUUUGGCAAAACAAACGAAUGUACAUCCGAGAGCCAUAAUCACCACAUUUCCAAGACCCCCCCCCAAUCUGCUGGGCAGACUUUUGUGGAUUGGUGGCAGCAGACAGUCCAUGCCACCGCCAACCCCGCGAGAAGAGGAACCCAGUCACUGAUUAUGCUCAUAGCUCAAGACAUAAUCAUCAACAGAGCACAGCCCUAUAGCAUUAGCCUACUCGACACGAUCAGGGCUGAGGCGUUUAGGGUGCAUUUAUAUAUUACCUUCUAUCUCUUCCCAGUAUAGCAUUCCUUGUCACUCUUCAUCCUCAGAUUUGAACGGUUCAAGAUCUGCAAUAUCUUCAUCCUCGAUUUCAUCCCUGUACAAUUAUAUAUAUUGUUCAUGCUUGGAGCUUUAAAGUCACAAUCAUGAAUACUUCCACAAUAAUUAUUCUAAGGAUUUCAAUAUCACAUAUCACAGUACAUAUCUGAUUAUAUAUAUGUUAAAUACAAAUUAAAACCCAGAACUUUUGCACCAGAUGCUUAUUAUCUAUGUAGUACUCCCUCCGUCCGGAAAUACUUGUCAUUGAAAUGGGUGUAUCUAGAUGUAUUUUAGUUCUAGAUACAUCCAUUUUCAUCCAUUUUGAUGACAAGUAUUUCCGGCCGGAGGGAGUAUAACAUAGCAAGAUGAACAAAAUAUAUUAAAUCAUCUAAUCACAGUUCUUGUUUUCCAGACUGUUACCUUGUCUCUUCAACAUCAGUGUCACUUUCUUCAUCCUCAGAUUCAGAUACUUGAUCUUCUAAGAAAUCCUCCUCGAUUUUAUCACUUCACAUUUAUAUAUUUUUCGUACAUGAUACAAGAAAUAAAAAUUAAAAUGAUCCCAUCAUUACAUGUAGAGCAAAAAGCGUAAUUACAAUAUGCAAUAUAAUAUUUAGGAAACUCACUCUGAAGCUAAGAGCGCUUGCCAUGCACGUAAAAAUCUACAAUGACAUAUAAUACAUUAACUAAGAAGAACAAUAUGCUAUAAGAUAAAACAAGAAACACAAAUACUUACAGUCCAUCCAUGUUUGUUUGAUUAACAAUGUGUCGAAUUAGUGAUGCCAAAUUACGAUCAAGACGACAGGCUAGCAUUAAAUGUAUUAAGAUCAUAUCUUGGACGUCUUGGCCUUCAGUGUUCUUCACAAGAACAAAACAAAAUUCAGAACAUGCAGACAAUAUCACAAAUCAUUUCUAUACACCAAUUGAACAAAACUAGCUAAAACAGAAUAUAUGUUAAGGCCUUGAGAAAUACCUUUGUCAGACUUAGAAUAUGUGAAGAGAAAUGUCUAACAAACUUUAGCAUAUACCAGUACGUAUUACUAUACGCAUUGACAAUGACACCAUUCUUCGAAUAGAAGAAGACGUCAUUAAACAGAAAUACUCCUAUAGCCUUGGGUGUCCAAUUUUCAACACCCUUCGGCUUAACGUUCAACGGUCCAUAUUGUUGAUCGCUGUUUGGCCGCAGUCCAUCACAAAUGCUAAAUAGCAGACAAAGAAACUGAAAUAUACUAACUGGUGGCAUGAAUGCAAAGUGUGCAGACAUGUACUUCUGAAAUCUGUCAAAUGCCUUUGGGUCCUUGAACGGAUCUGGCAUCGCCAUGGUGUCAGUUUGAAGAAUUUCCCAAUAUGGUGGACUAUUGGAGGAUUGUUUUUCUUUUGACGACGAGGAGGAGGAUUGUUUUUUCUUUGACCCAGAGGAAGAGGAUUGUUUUUUCUUUGACCCAGAGGAGGAGGAUUGUUCAACUGUGACAUAGAAAGGAUUCAGAAGCUCAAUGUACUUCUUAUAAUCCCAAGCCAUACCCUCGACAUCCGCAACAUACAAUGCUUCUGUGUCAAUAACAAACAAUCCAUCUUCGAUGCGCAUGUCAGACAAUUUCCAUUCACCUCUCCAACAAAGUUUUUCCUUGUGCUUCUUAAUGAUGCAGUUCAUUAGCCCACGAGCAGCUCUUCUUCCAGCAUAUGUCAUCAAGUACAAUCUUCCUUUCCAUCUAAGUGAAAAAAGUCGACGAAACUUCUUCGGAAGUUUAAAAGGCCUUGUCAACUUGUUUAGCCUAGCAUAUUUCUUAAAGGACAUGUUACUGCAUUUGAGAAAAGAAAGACGAUUGUCAAUUUUUGUUGGUUACUUGGUUGUAAGAAAAUUUUAAUAUCAAACAAAUAAUGUUUUCUUAUUUGGGGCAUUAUUAAAAACUGACCUGGUUGGUGAGGGCAGAUCCACCAUUAUCACUUUUAUACCCUCACGUAUCUCUUCCUCAGGUUUUCCAAUGUUAUGUUCAACAAGGUAUUGAGGAGCAGCACGUGAUAUAUCAGCUUUAACCCUGAAAUAAGAUAUAAAUAAGGUUAGAAUAGAGACAAUCAGUAACUGAUGAGGUGCUCGUCCAAAGAUAGUAAAAUGAGGUAAUUUAAGGUAGGUGUGUAUUAAUCUACAAACAAUUGACAUUUACUAAGCAGUUUAGGCAGGUUUAGUGGAGAAAAUAACUUAUAAUUGAUGCAGAGACCAGGCCAAACAAACUUGAAACUACUAGAUAAGGAUGAUAGUAGAUUGUUCAGCAAGAUAUAACUAGUAUGAGAUACAAAUGUUAAAUAUGACAAGACAUGUAUCAACAACAAGUACACAAAACAUAUAACAUUAGGAUGGAUCUAUGUAACUUUCAAACAUACCCGUCACUGUCAUGAUGAUCAAUAAUAUAUGCAGCAAGUUCUGCAGAAUACUCUUUCAUGUGCGGAAAAUGAAUGUGUAUAUCCAAAUUGCCCAUAUACUUAAUCGUUUCAAUUUCGCCUCUGUAGAACUUUUUGGGGUCGUUGUUCCUAAAGCUGCGUAAACAUAUGAAACAUAAACACUUGUUCGAACAGCAGACGAGUCAGAAGGAAAAUGAAUAAGCAGUACCUCCUAAGGAAUUCAAGAAUCAAAUCAUACAGAUUGCCAAUGCUGUCGUCUUCAGUAUGUUUUAAGGAUUGGCUACUUUGAACCAUGGAAGUUUCCGCUCCAAAGUUAGAAAUUGACAUCAUAAUAACUUAAUAGCAAUAACAGACUCAAUGAUAUUAAUCGAUAAUACCUGUCAUCUUUUGUACCGUCUCCAGUGCCUUCUAAAGGUGGAUCAUCAUGUUGGCCAGUAGAAUUAGAACUAUGACCUUUGGUGCCUUCUAAAGGUGGGCUAUCAUGUUGGUCAGUAGAAUUAGAACUAUGAUCUUCGGUAGAAUGAGCAGAAAUAUCCAGCUCUCCCUGACUGUUUUGGUCGUUGACCUUCUUUCCCCUACUGGAUAUUUUACUUCUAAGUUACAUAAUGAUAAUAAACAGUAAUUUUUAUCUCAGUAAUGCAUUAAUGGUGUUAGUGAUACCUUUUCUCCGCGGCAAUAAGAUCUUCCCCAACUUUAUAUGCUAGUGCAGCCUUGUAUUGUAACCAUUUGUUCAUCUGUUAUUAUUUAUAUAAUGUAAGCUUGUGUAUGUCCAAUGUUGAAACCAUAUUGUGACAAUACAUCAUCUCUUGCAUAAUAUAGUACAAACUUACCAAUGCCUUCUCAAGCAAGUAGCUGUGACAUGCAAGCAAUGAGUUCAUGUCAGUUAUGAUGUCACUCGGACUGACGUCCCAUAUUCCUCCCUCUUUGCAAUUACGAAUAUCAGAGCGUAACAAAGUUUUCUCGCUGGCGCCAUCGAGAACAGCAAACAGAACUUCUGACGUUAUCUUUUCUCCUUCCAUGGAACGACGCCUAAUGUCCUAUAAGAACACAAAAAAGGAAUAAAAACUCUUUACUGAUUUCAUACUUACAGAACAUGGUAUAGAGGUUAUGCAAAAUAACAUACCAACAACAUCAUAGCAACUCCGUCCUUUUGAGAAGAUCGCUGUUCUAGUAUUCGCACAAUGAGUUUUCCCUCAAGAUUCUGAAAAUAUAUUUCAAUUUCAGAUAAUUUUCUUACAAAAUGGCGUGUAAGUAAUGAUCAUGUUGAGUAAAAUACCUUAAAUUGCAUAUCCUCUAGAGACAAUAUCUCGGCAGACUCUUUAGAUGAGAGCCGAACAGCAUAAAAAAGGAAUAAAAGAGUUAUUAUAUCUAAAACUAAUUUACAAUGUGUGAGCAAACUAUGAAAACAAGCAUAAACAAUUUGUUCAGAAUAACUUACACUAUCCCAACAAUUACUAUAUUCACUUCUGUGUUGCAAAAUGUCCUACAAAACAUUGGCAAAACGGGGGUUAAUUGUGCGCAGUUUGACACAUGAAUAAAUAUAUAAAAACAAUAACUAGAUGGGAAAGAAAAGGAAAAAAGACAGACCAAUUCUGUGCUGCCAGAACUUGUAUGAUUAACAUAAUUAUGCCGUUGAAGAUUAAAUGAUGACGUAAAUGCCAAUAAACAAUCUGAAUUGAUGCAUAUAAAUUCGCCUGAUUUUCCAGAGAUCUGCAGGAUUAAUCAAGAAAAUAGUGAAAAUCUUUACGAGCACUCAAACAAACAAAGAGUUAAUCCACUAAAUUUCUAGAUACAGGCCUGCUGGUUGGUAGCAUUUGUGUUCUAACACAAUAUAAUAGUGUGUAGCUGAGCCAACAAAAAAUCCAUUGACAAGUACUACUAGUAAUAGAACAUACUCAACUACUCACUACUAUUACUACACCUAAUCAAUAGUAGUAGUUUGUUCUUACACAAUAUAGUGAAAAUGUAUUGUGUAGAAAGUCAAUAUGAGCACUCGAACCUACUAAGAUUUGUAUUAGCUUCUUCCAGAUAAUUAUUAUCAGUUAGCAUUAUAUCUCAUUUAUGAUGCACUUACAGGGUCAGGAAGACUGGCCAAAGUUGCUCCAGCACCAUCCACCUAAAAAAUGAACGAGUGAGAAGUAUAAUCAGAUGCUCAAAGAAAAACAAUCAAGUGACAAGUAGUUCACUAGUCACAAAAAUUAUUACACCUAAUCAAUAUGAACAGUGGUAGUGAUAUAAGAGAUAUGACGAUGAAAUUACAGUGUCUAAACUUCUCCAUAUUUUCUGUUCAUCAAAUGACCUCAAACUUGGAUUCAAAACAAAGAUGCGGUUAUUGCACUGCACGAAAGAAGGAUAGAGGACAUAAAAUAUCAGGAAGGUUAUUAAGUAAAAUCUGAGACAAUAACCUAACAAAGUAUGAAACCUUGAUAGCUGUAUGAAACUGUUUGUUCCAGAAUAUAACACAGAUAUCUGUUUCCGACAAUUCCUCUUGUAAAUUUCACAAACUGACAGGUUGAAAAAAAAGAACAAAUUAAGUUUACUGUGGAGAGAAAAACAUGUGUAAACAUAGUGUAGAUAUGUUGUACCCAUAUGGUGUUAGUUCAGUAUCAUGAUCUUUUAGGAACUUAUCAAGUAACUUUCCUGCAAAUGAACAAUAAAAUGAAUUACCCUUGUCACAAUCUAAGGAAUCAACACAUAUACAAAGAAUUUUGAAUAAUGAAGAAACAAAGUUCUCACCAUGAUCGUCAGCCUUCAAAUGAGAAGUUGGGCUCUCAGUUGUACAAUCAUAAUACUUUUCUCCAAUUGCAUUGCAAAGAUUGAGAUCCUAAACAUUUAAACAAACAUAAAUAGUAAAUCAUAGGCUAAAAGUAUUUGUUAGUAACAAAUGUCUAAAGUGGUACUGAGUAUACAAAUCAUUGAUCUGGCUUCAGAAGUAGAGCAUGUUGAAAGUUCUUUCUUCCUCAUGUACACAAUUAUGUGGCUAGAAGGUUUAGUGUGCAAAGCUACAAUAGCUUGUAAUGUAUAGAGAUAUAUAGAAAGUGACGUGUCAAAAAAGGCGAAAUUGGCCGAACUCCUAAGCAAGGUUUACUCACAGAGUGCUUAAACAAAUACCCACCUAAGGACAUGUGUCAAAAAAGGCGAAAUGAGAAAUAUCAUACAGCAAUAGCGAUGUAAAAUCAUAGAAAGAAGGUUGAAUCUAAUUCCGAAGACUAGAAAAGGUCAAGGAACAGUAGCUAGAACAACGACUCAUUCCAUAUGUAUUAAGUGCAUACCUCCGGGUCAGCGAUGAAACCAUGACAUAAACGAAAGCCAAGGCCCUCAAAAAUCUGAAGGUCUUUCAUGAUUUUUAUGUUGUAGAUGCUGCAAUAUUACCACACAAGAGGUUAUCAGAAUAUGAACCGCGUGAAGUAAGAAACUACAGAUAAGCAAACUAACUUUUUGAAGUUGAUUUUAACAUCGACAUGUUGAUGAAGGCAUCCUACUGCUACAAGCCAUUGUUCUGGCGUCAUGGUAUAGGACACAGUCUGUAAAUUAAAACAGCUCAUUAACAAAUUAACAUCAUAUACUCAAGACAAUGUACAGAAGUAGAAAUGAUUCGAUUAAACCUUUUUGGCCCCGAAAACAACUUGAUGAAGUUGGGCAAGAUUUAGACUCAAGUUACAAUCAAGUAUUUUACUCAGGUCCACAUCACCUCUUAGAAGGAUGGCAUUGCCUGCAGAACACAAGAUUGACUAAAAGUAGCCCUUCAACAGGAGCUAAAUUUGCAUCACAAUUGAGACACACUUACAUAGUGCUACCAGUGCAGAUGAGCCAUUCAUAUUAGGAUAAAUAAUGAAUGUCCAGCAACCUCUAAAAUACACAGAUUUUGCAACAUAGUCAUUCCCUUGUGUCCAUGAGCUGUCCAAAACCUUUGUGAAAAAGUGAAUUCAGUAGUCAAUUUAAUUUGCCCAUGCAAGCAUCAAAUGACAUUGAUGACUUAAAAAUGAGGAAAUAUAUGAUUGUUAAACAGGUUUUCAGUAAGGGCAUUCAAACAGUAAGAACUGUAACUUGGGAAAGAAAACAAAGUCGAAAUAAAUAGCAUAACAUACAUCAUUGAUAUGCUGCCAUGCAAUAGGCUUUUCAACCUGGUCUGAAGUAUUUUGUAACAGAAGUAAAGUUCCAUGUAGCUGCAUAAGAAAGCAGGAAGUUAUAAAACAUACAAAUUUAUUAAAGUACAUAUCCAGAAAGUAACAUAAUAAAAAAGAAACCACCUGCAACAUCAUGUGAAAGUGAUUCUUCCAGAACAAAGCACAUAUGGUUUCAUUCUUAUCUAUCAUCUGUUGUUUUAUAGACUGAAUACUGUCAUCUCAAAACAACAGCCACAUAUUAAUCAGUAACAUGAAUAGAGACAUAUUAACAUAAACAAAGCAUCAAUCCAUACCCGUAUGCUGUUAACUGAGUGUGUUUCUUGCUAAGGAAGUCAUCAAUCAAUUCCCCUGCAAUGCAAUUGUUUAGAAACACUGCAGUGAACAUCAUUAGCUAAAACGAUUUACAAAUCCAUAAUACGAAUAACCAGACUAAAAAUGCUCACAAUCGACUGCCUCCAAAUGCGAUGAUGCACUCUCAUCCACCUGUGAAGAACCGGGAGAAUGACUCUGCACAUCUGUCUUAGCUUUAUGUGCAGCAAGACCAGCCAAAAGGGUGUCAAAUGUAUUUGUCCCUACGGCUCUAACCAGUUCUUCUUCCUAGACAUCAACGUAAAUUAAAUAAAUCACAAGGUUCUAGUAAAAACGUGAGCGAGAGAAGGUAAUCACAUAAUCAGUACAAUUAAUCAUCAUGCUCCAAUAUCAGCAAUCAACAAAUUAAAUGAAAUAAAGCAAUAAAAUUUUGUUAUGAAGCAAGCAUAGAAGUAGCAACAAAUACUCUUGGUCACAUAGCAAAAACAAAAUCAGUUCACACUUAAUAUUUACCUUGGGAUCAACAACAUUGGCAUGAUAAACUUUAAUACCCAAUUGCUCAAAUAAUUUGAGUUCUCCGCUGUUCUCCAUAUGCUCAACACUACAACAUCAACAUGAUAUUAGAACACAAAUGAACAAAUCCACAUAAAAGGAACAAAUUAACAACUGACCAACUGAAUACCUUGUGAGCAUCAUUUUACAUUGAAUGGGUUGUGCCAAGCGUUUGACGGACUUAUUUGUAGUUUUCCUAAUUUUCGACACCUGUGAAUUGCAUUACACAUUAACAGCCCAACCACGAAGCACAAAACUAUUCGACUGCAUGAGAUUGAAAACAAACCUUGUGAGUGGCCUUAGUCAUAUAAUAAUCAGAGACACGCUCAAUAAGUUUCUUCUCUGAUAUAGUACAGACACCUUGCCUUAAAUUUAAGUUGAGCUCGCCCAAUAGAAUUAAUGAAUUACCUGUGAAGACAAUCACAUUCUUAAUUCAAAGUAAUAUUAAUCAUUUAAAUGUAGAAGAAUGCCCAGGUGAUAAACUAGUACUAACAUAAAGCUAAAAGUGGGCAUGGGGUAUUGUCUGUCUGACAGACAAUAGUGUGAAACAGUCCAUGGAAAGCAAUGACCCUGGUUGUAUAAUCCAUGGCGGGCGGGCGGGGAACAGCUGUGUAGAAAUAACAAACACGAAUUUAUCCUCAGUUAAUUGGCUAAUACACGGCACAUACGCAACGUGAAUCAUGAUAACAACUUGGGAAGGAGGGAUUAGGACGAAUCGUUGGGUCUUACCAGUCAGAAAGUGCAGAUAGGAGAGGGGUCAACGAGCUGAAACCGAUCAGCGGGAGGCAGGUCGUAGAGGUCGAGGUCGAGGCAGAUCGCGGAGGAAGCGCCGGGGUCGCCGGCGUGCCAACUGCGCCAGAAGCGAGGUAGAUGGUAACGUAGGUCGUCAGCAGGGUGAACGGGAGUAGCAAGAGAGGUGAGGGAGAGAAACCUACAGGCGGCGGAGACGUGGAAGGCGAAGGUCGACUCACGGAUGCCGCGCAGCGGGAGGCGGGUCGUCGAGGUAGAGGUCGAGGUCGAGGCAAAUCGCGGAGGAAGCGCCCGGGUCACCGGCGUGCGGACUGCUCCAGAAGCGAGGUAGCAAAUUGGGUCUUCGACAGGGUGAAUGUGAGGAGCAACACAGGAUUCACUCGAUCUAUCUUACAGACGAAGGAAUUCGAGGCUCUCGUUCUCGAUUACAGAUGAACAGAGGAGUACACGAGUUGGGGAAUGAGAGAGAGGAGGUAGCCGCCGCCGUGUCCUUCCGUGAUCCACUGGAUGCCCUAUACUCUGGUGGAGCUGCUGGAUCGGCUCAAGCCCAUUCCGGCCCAGCUACGCGUGGGUUGGGCUUGCGCUGUCGCACGGGCCUUGGUGUUGACUCGGGGCCUUGCAGGUCACUGCCAGCUGGGGUCGCCAUGUUAGUUCCGGCAAAGUUCUUAAGCAGGGCAUCAUAAAAUGCAUUGGUGAUGGACUCACGACACACAUAUGGGAUCAGAACUGGAUCCUGAGACCAGCAAAUAUGCGACCUAUUGCUAGUCUGACUGCUAAUCCAUCUCAAUGGGUUAGUGAUCUUAUCCUGCCUAGCGUAGAAUGGGACCGAGCUACAGUUUCGCAGAUCUUCUUGCCCACUGAUGCACAAGCAAUUAUGUCGAUACCUUUGUGUACGAGGCAUAUAGAGGAUUUUUGGUCAUGGGUACAUGAGAAGAACGGCGCAUUCACAGUCCGUUCGGCUUACCGUAUGCUUGUUGAAACAAAGAUGAGGAGAGAAGCCUGGCUUGAGGGGAGAGGCCACUCGUCAGAUACUGCCAGAGAAACCAAGUCCUGGGAGAGACUGUGGAAAGUGGAUGUACCAUCAAAAGUUAAAAUCUUCCUAUGGCGGCUAGCACAACAGUCGGUCCCCACAGCUGAUGUCCUUCACCAUCGGAACAUGUCAACCACUACGAGAUGUGGUUUGUGCGGCUCUGAAGACUCAUGGCAACACUCUUUGCUCCAUUGCACAGUUGCUCGAUGUGUAUGGGCGUUGCAAGAUCAUGACUUGGUUGAAGCUAUAAACAGCACCCAUGAGCCGGAUGCAAGACGUUGGCUGUUCUCCCUUUUGGACACACUAUCUUCUAUUGAAUUCACCCAAGUAGCAGUUACCAUGUGGGCUCUCUAGUAUGCUCGUCGGCAGGCACUCCAUGAAAACAUCUUCCAAAGUCCUCUGAGCAUGCAUAACUUCAUCAUGAGAUACAUCAGAGAGUUGGAGGACUGCAAACCGAAGAAGAGUGCUCCGCAUUCAGCUCCGAAUGUUGUACAACCAAGGCAGAAGUGGAUCUCUCCACCGCCGGGGUUUGCUAAGAUAAGAGUUGAUGGAGCGGUCUCGAGAGACAACCUGCAUGGCUCGUUCAGCGCAAUCUGCAGAGACUCCUAUGGCCAGUUUUUGGGUGCAUCAGCAAUCAAAAUACAGGGGGUCACGGAGCCCGCAACUCUCGAAGCACUGGCUUGCCGGGAGACGCUAGCACUAGCUUCAGACUUGGCCCUGUCCGAUUUCAUUGUGGCUACUGACUGCCAGGGAGUAGCAGACGACAUCAAGAAUGGUACGGGAGGGACGUAUGCUAGCAUCGUCAAAGAGAUUAGUGAAACAUCAAGAGACUUUCAUCAAUGUACCUUCAUCUUCGAAGGUAGAUCCACCAAUAUUGAGGUGCAUAGUCUCGCUAAGCACGCUUUCGAUCUGGAUCUUGGGCGCCAUUUGUGGCUUAUAAACCCACCAGACAUUCAUUGUAUCCCUAUGAACUUAUUUGAAUAAUAAAGUGUGUUUAGACUCAAAAAAAGUUAAAACUUUUCCUAUGCCGCCUUGCCUUGCAUUCGCUACCGACAAAUCCCAUUGUUACAUCUUAGCCUAAAAUGAAGCCUUCUCAGGGCGUUUGCGUUCUUGGUCGUCCAAUUGCUUGUCCAAACGAAUCGGGGUUGUCGAAUCUUCAGACGAAACGAUCCGGACCGUUGGAUCGAGUCCGAUGUGACAAUCAAUGAAUAGUGCUUCUCAUUUCUUACUUCCGAAUUUAUGCCAUAUAUGGAUGACACAUGGGGUCUUUUGUCCGUGGGCUGCUAUUUGUCAUUGGCCUUGAGUGUGGGUGUGGCCGGUGCGGCUAUACACACGCGCAGGGGUCAUGCCACCGCGCUGUAAUUUUCGAUGGCCGCCGAGGGUAGUUUCGAUAUUUCACAUGAGGACGCUUGUGUGGCGUCCUAUGGAUGGCCGGGUCGUGCGUAAGGGAAAGAGAGAGCCCGAUUGGGUGAAACCCUAGCAGUUAUCCCCGUCGCGCCCCUCCCCUUCGCUCUCGCGCCGCUAGCCCCGCGCUCGCCCCGUCUCCCUCGCGCCGCCAACCCCGCGCUCGCCCCGCCACCCCCGCCUCCUCCCUUGGACUAGGCACUCAGCGGCUUCUUUGACGGAGGACGUACUUGCUGCACAUUUCUUUUGGCCAAAGAUGAGACGGGAUGUUGAACGUUUUGUUGCCCGUUGCACUACAUGUCAAAAACCUAAGUCACGACUCAAUCCUCAUGGUUUAUAUAUGUCUUUGCCUGUACCUAGUGUUCCUUGGUAGGGUAUAUCUAUGGAAUUUGUUUUAGGUUUACCUUGAACAAAGAAGGGGAGGGAUAUUAUAUUUGUUGUUGUGGAUAAAUUUUCGAAAAUGGCACAAUUUAUACCAUGUCAUAAAAACGAUGAUGUUGCUGAUUUGUUCUUUCGUGAAAUUAUUCGCUUGCAUGGUGUGCCAAAUACAAUUGUUUCAGAUCAUGAUACUAGGUUUCUUAGACACUUUUGGAGAUGUUUAUGGGCUAAGUUGGGGACUAAACUGCUUUUUAAUACUACAUGUCACCCUCAAACUGAUGGACAAACUAAAGUAGUCAAUAGAACAUUGUCUACUAUGCUUAGGGUUGUUCUGAAGAAUAAUAAGAAAAAUAUGGGAAGAAUGAUUGCCUCAUAUCGAAUUUGCUUAUAAUCGUUCGAUGCAUUCUACUACUAACACUGGUGCGCGUCGGUUCUAAACAAACGGUGUUUAAAGCCCCUUUCCGCGACGGCAUUUGGAACGUCGCCAAAUGAGUAUAGGCGAUAGGGGGUCCUUCCCACACGACCCAGAAAUCGUCAGGGAUAAGGCCCCUACAGUACUCCUCGUUUCUGCUCGCAUUGCCAUCGCAGUCGGUAUUCCGUGGUGCUACAUUUAUGAUGCGCGGCCCAUCACAAAUGGUUCACUAUUAUAGAACGUGUAUGAUGCGCGGCCCAUCACAAACGAUUCACUGUUAAGAAGAUUAGCUAAUCAUCGUACGAGUGUCAGACAGGAUUACGAAACGUCAGACCGUCGUAACAUCGUCGUACACAACUACUGUCGAACACGCUAUUCUAUAAUGCAACGUUUACGAUGCAUACUUCAUCAUAAACAGUUAAUGGUUGCGAAUCAUGUACGAUAAGGCAACUAACAUAAACAUUUAGUUUGCCCGCACCGUUUGUGAUAUUGUCUGAUAUCGACACGCUUUGCAAAUGGCAAUUGUGUGCAUGCUUGCACACGUUUCCUCUAUGUGAACCGUCUCGGAUUAUGGUGCAUAUCGCAAACGUUUGUGUUUUACCAACCGUGUGUGUCGUAACAACCUGGAGAGCGUAAUUUCACCAUAAUUUAAUUGCUGCUUUUCCAAAUUGUAUCGAUUUUGGAUUUUAAUUUGAAUAUAUGCUACAGCUUUAUUCAUAUCCAUCAGGUUCAAACCACCAAUGCAGCGAUUCAUAGAUACAUAUGUUCAAGAAUUACAUAAGAACCAAAUAAAGAAUGAUGAACCACAGUUGUAUACUGUAUACUUGUACUAUUAAAGACGGUAAAUAAAGGGGCGAAAUAUAUUCUGGUUGCUAAACAAGGUGAAGUGGAAUGCCCAUAUUGUGCCCUCCUCCAUGCAGAAGGCACGCACGACUCUAGUCCAGCCCCUUGUGAUGGUCGACCGCCCAUCCUUCACGGUCUUCAUGAAGACAUCUAGAUAAUCAUCGUGUUCUGGUAAAAAUACUUUAACCUUUGCAUGCCCACCAAUCAUGUAGUUUGAGAGGUAAUCUUAAGUAAACUGCUUUGGCAACCACUGCAAAGGAAUAAUAUUUCAGACAUUGUCAUCUAACACAGCUCAUUAUGGGCAGUAAAAAGAAGGCUGCAGAGUUCUUACUUACCAUUCUGCAGUUCGUUGUUGUUUUGGAUAAAGUGUAAACAAAUAGUUUAAUUGCCAUCUUUGGACCCAUUUUACUAACAAUCUUUAUCAACUUCCUCACUUGAUGCUGGUUCAUUGAUAUCUCAUUGCCCCAUACGCAGAAAGGGUCGAAACGCGGAUCUUUACCAAUGACAUAUGUACCUAAAAGCACAAAGUUAAUAUUAGAAGCUAAACAGCAAUGGCACAAUGAUGUAGUACAACACUAUUUUAUAAUAUGUCUACAUACAUCUGUAUGUGGUAGUCCAUUUGAAAUCUUAAAAAGACAAAUAUUUAGGAACGGAGGGAUUAUCUUAUAACAUCCAAUAUACUCACAUAUUAGAUGGAUUGACAUCUUAUAUUAUGGGCCGGAAGGAGUUUAGUUCGUUCUUAAAAAUUAUCUGCUGCUGUAUCCACGGGUUACAGUUAAUUUGAGCUAGUUCGGGCUCAAAUAACCUUAAAGUAUAUCUAAACAUGAGGGCUAGUUUGAGCUAGUUGCAUCUAUAAACCACCCAAAAAAAACUAGUAUCCAACCCAAGAGGUGCUAAUUGGAGCUAGUUCUCCUAGUGCAUUUAUUGUCAAUCUAACCCUGCCAUCCAAACAACUCUUUGUAUGAAGUUAGUUCAGGGUUAGUAAAUGAGCUAGAAAGUAACUCUAACCUCUAGCUAAGUUGAGUAUCCAAACAGGGUUGUGUUGUUGCUGUUGUUGUUGCUGCUCUUCUACGUAUAUCUAGACAUCAUUAGAACAUUAAUGUAACACUCAUCCUUGUUGCUAUGUAGCCUAGGAUUGCAUAUUUAGACAUUAAGUACGGUGCAUGUUGCUAUGUAGCCUCAGAUAUAUUACAUACGGCCCUAGGUAACCUAAGGAAAAUGGCUUGCAGAUAUAUUCAGUUAAAAGUCUGAUUCACCGAUUAGUCCCUUAUCAGCCGCCGGCCUAUAUGGUACCAGCUAGGGAUAUCCUAAACAAUGAGCAGAUAUAAGCCAUGGGAUCAAACUAACGUCAAUGGUAAACAACAGUUGUUCCGAAAAUGGUCCUAUGUAGGUACAUUAAGAGGCAUGUUAAGCACAACAGGUUAAACAUCAACCAAAAUUACACAUGGCAGACAAAAUAAUCUCCAAAAGAUAGCUUCAGUGUGCAGGUUUAAGCACGCUAUUAAAGCAAAACAAGUGGAAAUGUGUGCUAACUGCAACAAGCCUAACAUUUAACAACAAGCAAACAUGGUCAUUCAAACUGGUAUUGUGCCGGUCUAAGUACACUGGUUAUGGUUAAAUAAAAAUGGAAAGGCGUGUUAACUACAAGAUGCAGCAACCAACUAUAGUCAUUCAUAAUGGUAUUGUUGAAACUGGUACUGAUGAAAUUGAACUGCACAAUUCAUACUUGCACAUAUAGAACAUCACGUUGUGAAUAACUGGAAUAAACAAGGCAUACUACGAACAACCAAAGAUGGCAUUUCAAACUGAACAUAUGCUAACUACAAACAACCGAAUAAUCAAAAAACUUUAAAAGAGGCAUAUGCUAGCUAUAACAGGUUUAACAGCAAGCAAAUAUAUGCAUUCCUAUCGGUAUGUUUAAAAUUGGAUUGAUGAAAUGUAUUGCACAGUAAAUAAUUGCACAUAUAGAGCAUCACAUUGUGAACAACUGAAAUAAACAAAUCAUGGGUUUCCCCACUUGUCACAGAUGGGCUCGUUCCCGUGGGAAGAGCAUGGACCCUGGAUGUGCUCCAUGUUGUCGUAGAUGGGCUCCUUCCCCUUGGAAGAGCAGGGCUAUAGGGUGCCCUCCCUGAUGUCGCAGACGGGCGCUUUCCUCUUGGAAGAGCAGAUGGGCUCUUUCCCCUUGAAAGAGUCGAAGAGGGUGCCGUCCUCGUGGUCGCCGUCGAUGAGGUCUGACUUGGAAGCCGUAGAUCCCAAGCCAGCGUCGCAGAACGUGUCCUUCAGAAAUGACAAAAGGGGCUUGAUGGCGAUGUAGAAUGACACAUUGUUGACAGUGAGCCAGAGGAGAUCAGUGGCAGGGCCAUGGAUGAGAUCGACGGUGGCUGAACCCGAGGGGUUGGGGUGGGCCACUUAACCUGUGACACAGCCCGCCUCAGGAGGUCGCUGUCGAUGACCUCGAUGUCGUAGCCGGCAGACGAGACAUGCCCGCAUCUAGCCCGCUGCUUGAGUGCAUGCCGCCAGUAAUGGUCGUCAGCUUCCUCAGUGACGUCGGGCGAAGAAACCACUAUACACCUUUUUUGGGCCAGUCGCUCCUCGAGCUCCACGGGAAGCAUAGCUGGGCUUAGGCUGUGAUGCUCUGGAGUGGGGGAUGGGGAUGGGGAUGGGGAUCUAUGGGAAAGGGGGCGUUUGGCAGGCGUCAUCUAAGAAACUCAAGGCGGCCUGGGUAUGGAGAUCGGUGGGUAAGCUGCACGGGCAAACCGGCAGAUGUUGACAAUGGAGGCCUUGCGGCGUCGGUGGCGGCGGGGACUUUGCUAGGGUUUCGAGCGAGGGAGGGUGUGUGUGUGUGUGCGCGCGCAUGUUCGAGAAGGUUUUGGUGUGUGUAUGUGUGUGUGGAGGGGGCGCGAGGUGUUUGAGAAACUGACGUGGGUACUGAAAAUUUUACUACACGGGAGUCAAACGCGGGAGUGAAAUGCCGGGCUAUUGAAAAUUUUGAUGAUAGUGCAUCGCACAUGGUCCGGAGAUAACAACCAUGUGUUACAAAAAAGAAAAACCCUCAAGGUGGGCAGAUAUUUUCGAUGCAGGCGGGAUUGGGAACAAGAAACAUUGCACACGGUCCGGAGAUAACAACCGUGUGUUAUGAAACAGAAAAACCCUCGAAGUGGGCAGAUAUUUUUGAGAGGGGGAGCCUCAUUGAUCCCAAUGUACUGUGCGGAUGUGUGCAUGACAGGUGCACCGGCAUGGCACACAGUUUGUUUGGGUGAACCGUGUUUGUUGUGUCAUCCGACUUGUCUAAUGUUCAUAAAUUUGACAAAAAAUGACGCAGGAGAGGGUCAGAACACGAACACACUUGCAUGUGCACCAAAUUUAUGUAUCAAAAGGGUGGUUUGUUUUUCAAAUACCAAAUGCAACUUCGAUGUGGCACCUCUCUCGCAAAGCGCACGAUAUUGCUUGCUCCCACCCUCUCGUGUCGGCACGAAGGGAAUCCUAAGCUAUGAAUGCAUGCCCCCUCUCCCUCGACCGAGGUUCACAUAGCAAAGUGCGAAGUAGCUAGCCGCCCCCUCAUCCCUCGUGUCGGCAUGAAGGGAAUCCUAAGCUAUAUAUUAUGAAUGCAUGCCCCCUCCCCCUCAACCGAGGUUCACCUAGCAAAAUGCGAAGUAGCUAGCAGCCCCCCUCCUCCCUCGUGUCGGCCCGAAGGGAAUCCUAAGCUAUAUAUGAAUGCAUGCCCCCCCCNNNNNNNNNNNNNNNNNNNNNNNNNNNNNNNNNNNNNNNNNNNNNNNNNNNNNNNNNNNNNNNNNNNNNNNNNNNNNNNNNNNNNNNNNNNNNNNNNNNNNNNNNNNNNNNNNNNNNNNNNNNNNNNNNNNNNNNNNNNNNNNNNNNNNNNNNNNNNNNNNNNNNNNNNNNNNNNNNNNNNNNNNNNNNNNNNNNNNNNNNNNNNNNNNNNNNNNNNNNNNNNNNNNNNNNNNNNNNNNNNNNNNNNNNNNNNNNNNNNNNNNNNNNNNNNNNNNNNNNNNNNNNNNNNNNNNNNNNNNNNNNNNNNNNNNNNNNNNNNNNNNNNNNNNNNNNNNNNNNNNNNNNNNNNNNNNNNNNNNNNNNNNNNNNNNNNNNNNNNNNNNNNNNNNNNNNNNNNNNNNNNNNNNNNNNNNNNNNNNNNNNNNNNNNNNNNNNNNNNNNNNNNNNNNNNNNNNNNNNNNNNNNNNNNNNNNNNNNNNNNNNNNNNNNNNNNNNNNNNNNNNNNNNNNNNNNNNNNNNNNNNNNNNNNNNNNNNNNNNNCUGAUGGUCGACUCGCGGAUGCCGCGCAGCGGGAGGCAGGUCAUCGAGGUCGAGGUUGAGGUAGAUCGGGAGGAAGCGCCGGGGUCGCCGGCGUGCCGACUGCGCCAGAAGUGAGGUAGAUGGUAACGUAGAUCGUCAGCAGGGUGAACGGGAGUAGCAAGAGAGGUGAGGGAGAGAAACCUACAGGCGGCGGAGAUGUGGGAGGCGAAGGUCGACUCACGGAUGCCGCGCAGCGGGAGGCGGGUCAUCGAGGUAGAGGUCGAGGUCGAGGCAAAUCACGGAGGAAGCGCCUGGGUCGCCGGCGUGCGGACUGCUCCAGAAGCGAGGUAGCAAAUUGGGUCGUCGACAGGGUGAAUGUGAGGAGCAACACAUGAUUCACUCGAUCUAUCUUACAGAUGAGGGAAUUCGAGGCUCUCGUUCUCGAUUACAGAUGAACAGAGGAGUACACGAGUUGGGGAAUGAGAUAGAGGAGGUAGCCGUCGUCGGGUCCUUCCGUGAUCCACUGGAUGCCCUACACUCUGGUGGAGCUGUUGGAUCGGCUCAAGCCCAUUCCGACCCAGCUACGCGUGGGUUGGGCUUGCGCUGUCGCAUGGGCCUUGGUGUUGACUCGGGGCCUCGCAGGUCACUGCCAGCUGGGGUCGCCAUGUUAGUUCCAGCAAAGUUAAAACUUUUCCUAUGCCGCCUUGCCUUGCAUUCGCUACCGACAAAUGCCAUUGUUACAUCUUAGCCUAAAAUGAAGCCUUCUCAGGGCGUUUGCAUUCUUGGCCGUCCAAUUGCCUGUCCAAAUGAAACCGGGUCGUCAGAUCUUCACGCGAAACAAUCCGGACCAUUGGAUCGAGUCCGAUGUGACAAUCAAUGAAUAGUGCUUCUCAUUUCUUACUUCUGAAUUUAUGCCAUAUAUGGAUGACACAUGGGGUCUUUUGUCAGUGGGCUGCUAUUUGUCAUUGGCCUUGAGUGUGGGUGUGGCCGGUGCGGCCAUACACAGGCGCAGGGGUCAUGCCACAACACCGUAAUUUUCGGUGGCCGCCGAGGGCAGUUUCGAGAUUUCACAUGAGGGCGCUUGUGUGGCGUCCUGUGGAUGGCUGGGUCGCGCGUAAGGGAAAGAGAGAGCCCGAUUGGGUGAAACCCUCGUCGUUAUCCCCGUCGGGCCCCUCCCCUUCUCUCUCGCGCUGCUAGCCCCACGCUCGCCCCGUCUCCCUCGCGCCGCCAACCCCACGCUCGCCCCCCUCUCCCUCGCCCCGCCACCCCGCCUCCUCCCUUGGACUAGGCACUCAGCGGCUUCUUUGAGAAAGAUUAAUGGGACACUUUGGCGUGAAGAAGACGGAGGACGUACUUGCUGCAUAUUUCUUUUGGCCAAAGAUGAGACGGGAUGUUGAACGUUUUGUUACUCGUUGCACUACAUGUCAAAAACCUAAGUCACAACUCAAUCCUCAUGGUUUAUAUAUGCCUUUGCCUGUACCUAGUAUUCCUUGGUAGGGUAUAUCUAUGGAAUUUGUUUUAGGUUUACCUCGAACAAAGAAGGGGAGGAAUAUUAUAUUUGUUGUUGUGGAUAAAUUUUCGAAAAUGGCACAAUUUAUACCAUGUCAUAAAAACGAUGAUGCUGCUAAUGUUGCUGAUUUGUUCUUUCGUGAAAUUAAUCGCUUGCAUGGUGUGCCAAAUACAAUUGUUUCAGAUCAUGAUACUAGGUUUCUUAGACACUUUUGGAGAUGUUUAUGGGCUAAGUUGGGGACUAAACUAUUUUUUAGUACUACAUGUCACCCUCAAACUGAUGGACAAACUGAAGUAGUCAAUAGAACAUUGUCUACUAUGCUUAGGGUUGUUUUGAAGAAUAAUAAGAAAAUAUGGGAAGAAUGAUUGCCUCAUAUCGAAUAUGCUUAUAAUCGUUCGAUGCAUUCUACUACUAACACUGGUGCGCGUCGGUCCUAAACAAACGGUUUAAAACCCCUUUCCGCGACGCCAUUUGGAACGUCGCCAAAUGAGUGUGGGCGAUAGGAGGUCCUUCCCACACGACCCAGAAACCAUCGGGGAUAGGGCCCCUACAUUACUCCUACCCGUUUCUGCUCACAUUGCCAUUGCAGUUGGUAUUCUGUGGUGCUACGUUUACGAUGCGCGCCCAUCACAAAUGGUUCACUAUUAUAGAACGUGUAUGAUGCGCGGCCCAUCACAAACGGUUCAUCGUUAAGAAGAUUAGAUAAUCAUCGUACGAGUGUCGGACAUGAUUACGAAACAUCGGACCGUCGUAACAUCGUCGUACACAACAACUAUCGCACAUGCUAUUCUGUGAUGCAACGUUUACGAUGCAUACUUCAUCAUAAACAGUUAAUGGUUGCGAAUCGUGUACGAUAAGGCAACUAACACGGAUGUUUAGUUUGCCCGCACCAUUUGUGAUAUUGUCUGACAUCGACACGCUUUGCAAACGACAAUUGUGUGCAUGCUUGCACAUGUUUCCUCUCCGUGAACCGUCUCGGAUUAUGGUGCAUAUCGCGAACGUUUGUGUUUUACCAACCGAGUGGGCCGUAACAACUUGGAGAGCGUAAUUUUACCGUAAUUUAAUUACUGCUUUUCCAAAUUGCACCAAAUUUGGAUUUAAAUUUGAAUGUAUGCUACAGCUUUAUUCAUAUCCAUCAGGUUCAAACAACCAAUGCAGCGAUUCAUAGGUACAUAUGUUCAAGAAUUACAUAAGAACCAAAUAAAGAAUGAUGAACCACAGUUGUAUACUGUAUACUUGUACUAUUAAAGACAGUAAAGAAAGGGGCGAAAUAUAUUCUGGUUGCUGAACAAGGUGAAGCGGAAUGCCCAUAUUGUGCCCUCCUCCAUGCAGAAGGCACGCACGACUCUAGUCCAACCCCUUGUGAUGGCCGACCGCCCAUCCUUCACGGUCUUCAUGAAAACAUCUAGAUAAUCAUCGUGUUCUGGUAGAAAUAUUUUAACCUUUGCAUGCCCACCAAACAUGUAGUUUCAGAGGUAAUCUUGAGUAAACUGUUUUGGCAACCACUGUAAAGGAAUAAGAUUUCAGACAUUGUCAUCUAACACAGCUCAUUAUGGGCAGUAAAAAGAAGGCUACAGAGUUCUUACUUACCAUUCUGUAGUUCGUUGUUGUCUUGGAUAAAGUGUAAACAAAUAGUUCAAUUUCCAUCUUUGGACCCAUUUUACUAACAAUCUUUAUCAGCUUCCUCACUUGAUGCUGGUUCAUUGGUAUCUCAUUACCCCAUACGUAGAAAAGGUCGAAACACGGCUUUACCAAUGACAUAUGUACCUAAAAGCACAAAGUUAAUAUUAGAAGCCAAACAGCAAUGGCACAAUGAUGUAGUACAACACUAUUUUAUAAUAUGUCUACAUACAUCAGUAUGUGGUAGUCCAUUUGAAAUCUUUAAAAAGACAAAUAUUUAGGAACGGAGGGAGUAUCUUAUUGAAGGAAAUAUGCCCUAGAGGCAAUAAUAAAGUUAUUUUUUAUUUCCUUAUAUCAUGAUAAAUGUUUAUUAUUCAUGCUAGAAUUGUAUUAACCGGAAACAUAAUACAUGUGUGAAUACAUAGACAAAUAGAGUGUCACUAGUAUGCCUCUACUUGACUAGCUCGUUGAUCAAAGAUGGUUAUGUUUCCUAACCAUAGACAUGAGUUGUCAUUUGAUUAACGGGAUCAGAUCAUUAGGAGAAUGAUGUGAUUGACUUGACCCAUUCCUUUAGCUUAACACUUGAUCGUUUAGUUUGUUGCUAUUGCUUUCUUCAUAACUUAUACAUGUUCCUGUGACUAUGAGAUUAUGCAACUCCCGUUUACCGGAGGAACACUUUGUGUGCUACCAAACGUCACAAUGUAACUGGGUGAUUAUAAAGGUGCUCUACAGGUGUCUCCGAAGGUACUUGUUGGGUUGGCGUAUUUCGAGAUUAGGACUUGUCACUCCGAUUGUCGGAGAGGUAUCUCUGGGCCCUCUCGGUAAUACACAUCACUCAAGCCUUGCAAGCAUUGCAACUAAUAAGUUAGUUGCAGGAUGAUGUAUUACGGAACGAGUAAAGAGACUUGCCGGUAACGAGAUUGAACCAGGUAUUGAGAUACCGACGAUCGAAUCUCGGGCAAGUAACAUACCGAUGACAAAAGGAACAACAUAUGUUGUUAUGCGGUCUGACCGAUAAAGAUCUUCGUAUAAUAUGUAGGAACCAAUAUGAGCAUCCAAGUUCCGCUAUUGGUUAUUGACCGGAGACGUGUCUCGGUCAUGUCUACAUAGUUCUCGAACCCGUAGGGUCCGCACGCUUAAAGUUCGGUGACGAUCGUAAUUAGGAUUUGUUGUGUUUUGAUGUACCGAAGAUCGUUCGGAGUAUUGGAUGUGAUCACGGACAUGACGAGGAGUCUCGAAAUGGUCGAGACAUAAAGAUUGAUAUAUUGGAAGCCUAUAUUUGGAUAUCGGAAUCGUUCCGGGUGAAAUUGGGAUUUUACCGGAGUACCGGGGGUUACNNNNNNNNNNNNNNNNNNNNNNNNNNNNNNNNNNNNNNNNNNNNNNNNNNNNNNNNNNNNNNNNNNNNNNNNNNNNNNNNNNNNNNNNNNNNNNNNNNNNNNNNNNNNNNNNNNNNNNNNNNNNNNNNNNNNNNNNNNNNNNNNNNNNNNNNNNNNNNNNNNNNNNNNNNNNNNNNNNNNNNNNNNNNNNNNNNNNNNNNNNNNNNNNNNNNNNNNNNNNNNNNNNNNNNNNNNNNNNNNNNNNNNNNNNNNNNNNNNNNNNNNNNNNNNNNNNNNNNNNNNNNNNNNNNNNNNNNNNNNNNNNNNNNNNNNNNNNNNNNNNNNNNNNNNNNNNNNNNNNNCUAAGUGAGAAGAGGAGGGCCGGCCAGGGCAGGCCGUGCCCCCCUCCCCCCUAGUCCGAAUAGGACAAGGAAGGGGGGCGGCGCCCCCCUUUCCUCUUUCCCCCUUCCCCUUUCCUUCUCCAACAAGGCAAGAGGGACUCAGACUCCUUCAGGCGCACCCCUAGGGGCCGGCCGCACCUCCCCCCUCCCUCCUUUAUAUACGGGGGCAGGGGGCACCCCAUGACACACAAGUUGAUCUUCGUGAUCGUUCAUUAGCCGUGUGCGGUGCCCCCUUCCACCAUAUUCCACCUCGGUCAUAUCGUAGCGGUGCUUAGGCGAAGCCCUGCAUCGGUAGAACAUCAUCACUGUAAUCACGCCGUCGUGCUAACGAAACUCUCCCUCAACACUCGGCUGGAUCGGAGCUCGAGGGACGUCACCGAGUUGAACGUGUGCAGAACUCGGAGGUGCCGUACGUUCGGUACUUGGAUCGGUCGGAUCGGGAAGACGUAUGACUACUUCCUCUAUGUUGUAUUAACGCUUCCGUUGCCGGUCUACGAGGGUACGUAGACAACACUCUCCCCUCUCGUUGCUAUGCAUCACCAUGAUCUUGCGUGUGCGUAGGAAUUUUUUUGAAAUUACUACGUUCCCCAACAGUGGCAUCCGAGCCAGGUUUUAUGCGUUGAUGUUAUAUGCACAAGUAGAACACAAGUGAGUUGUGGGCGAUAUAAGUCAUACUGCUUACCAGCAUGUCAUACUUUGGUUCGGCGGUAUUGUUGGAUGAAGCGGCCCGGACCGACAUUACGCGUACGCUUACACGAGACUGGUUCUACCGACGUGCUUUGCACACAGGUGGCUGGUGGGUGUUAGUUUCUCCAGCUUUAGUUGAAUCGAGUGUGGCUACGCCCGGUCCUUGCGAAGGUUAAAACAACACCAACUUGACAAACUAUCAUUGUGGUUUUGAUGCGUAGGUAAGAACGGUUCUUGCUAAGCCCGUAGCAGCCACGUAAAACUUGCAACAACAAAGUAGAGGACGUCUAACUUGUUUUUGCAGGGCAUGUUGUGAUGUGAUAUAGUCAAGACAUGAUGCUAAAUUUUAUUGUAUGAGAUGAUCAUGUUUUGUAACCGAGUUAUCGGCAACUGGCGGGAGCCAUAUGGUUGUCGCUUUAUUUGUAUGCAAUGCAAUCGCGCUGUAAUGCUUUACUUUAUCACUAAGCGGUAGCGAUAGUCGUGGAAGCAUAAGAUUGGCGAGACGACAACGAUGCUACGAUGGAGAUCAAGGUGUCGUGCCGGUGACGAUGGUGGUCAUGACGGUACUUCGGAGAUGGAGAUCACAAGUACAAGCUGAUGAUGGCCAUAUCAUAUCACUUAUAUUGAUUGCAUGUGAUGUUUAUCUUUUAUGCAUCUUAUCUUACUUUGAUUUACGGUAUCAUUAUAAGAUGAUCUCUCACUAAAUUUCAAGAUAAAAGUGUUCUCCCUGAGUAUGCACCGUUGCCAAAGUUCGUCGUGCCCAGACACCACGUGAUGAUCGGGUGUGAUAAGCUCUACGUCCAUCUACAACGGGUGCAAGCCAGUUUUGCACACGCAGAAUACUCAGGUUAAACUUGACGAGCCUAGCAUAUGUAGAUAUUGCCUCGGAACACUGAGACCGAAAGGUCGAGCGUGAAUCAUAUAGUAGAUAUGAUCAACAUAUUGAUGUUCACCAUUGAAAGCUACUCCAUUUCACGUGAUGAUCGGUUAUGGUUUAGUUGAUUUGGAUCACGUGAUCACUUAGAAGAUUAGAGGGAUGUCUUUCUAAGUGGGAGUUCUUAAGUAAUAUGAUUAAUUGAACUUAAAUUUAUCAUGAACUUAGUACCUGAUAGUGUCUUGCUUGUCUAUGUUUGAUUGUAGAUAGAUGGCCCGUGCUGUUGUUCCGUUGAAUUUUAAUGCGUUCCUUGAGAAAGCAAAGUUGAAAGAUGAUGGUAGCAAUUACACGGACUGGGUCCGUAACUUGAGGAUUAUCCUCAUUGCUGCACAGAAGAAUUACGUCCUGGAAGCACCGCUGGGUGCCAGGCCUGCUGCUGGAGCAACACCAGAUGUUAUGAACGUCUGGCAGAGCAAUGCUGAUGACUACUCAAUAGUUCAGUGUGCCAUGCUUUACGGCUUAGAAUCGGGACUUCAGCGAUGUUUUGAACGUCAUGGAGCAUAUGAGAUGUUCCAGGAGUUGAAGUUAAUAUUUCAAGCAAAUGCCCCGAUUGAGAGAUAUGAAGUCUCCAAUAAGUUCUAUAGCUGCAAGAUGGAGGAGAAUAGUUCUGUCAGUGAACAUAUACUCAAAAUGUCUGGGUAUCAUAAUCACUUGACUCAACUGGGAGUAAAUCUUCCUGUUGAUAAUGUCAUUGACAGAGUUCUUUAAUCACUGCCACCAAGCUACAAGUGCUUCGUGAUGGACUAUAACAUGCAAGGGAUGGAUAAGACGAUUCCCGAUCUCUUCGCAAUGCUAAAGGCUGCGGAGGUAGAAAUCAAGAAGGAGCAUCAAGUGUUGGUGGUCAAAAAGACCGCCAGUUUCAAGAAAAAGGGCAAAGGGAAGAAGAAGGGGAACUUCAAGAAGAACAGCAAGCAAGUUGCUGCUCAGGAGAAGAAACCCAAAUCUGGACCUAAGCCUGAAACUGAGUGCUUCUACUGUAAGCAGACUCGACACUGGAAGCGGAACUACCCCAAGUAUUUUGCGGAUAAGAAGGAUGGCAAGGUGAACAAAGGUAUAUGUGAUAUACAUGUUAUUGAUGUGUACCUUACUAGAGCUCGCAGUAGCACCUGGGUCUUUGAUACUGGUUCUGUUGCUAAUAUUUGCAACUCGAAAUAGGGACUACAGAUUAAGCAAACACUGGCGAAGGACGAGGUGACGAUGCGCGUGGGAAAUGGUUCCAAAGUCGAUGUGAUCGCAGUCGGCACGCUACCUCUACAUCUACCUUCAGGAUUAGUAUUAGACCUAAAUAAUUGUUAUUUGGUGCCAGCGUUGAGCAUGAACAUUAUAUUUGAAUCUUGUUUGAUGCGAGACGAUUAUUCAUUUAAAUCAGAGAAUAAUGGUUGUUCUAUUUAUAUGAGUAAUAUCUUUUAUGGUCAUGCACCCUUGAAGAGUGGUCUAUUUUUGAUGAAUCUCAAUAGUAGUGAUACACAUAUUCAUAAUGUUGAAGCCAAAAGAUGCAGAGUUGAUAAUGAUAGUGCAACUUAUUUGUGGCACUGCCGUUUAGGUCAUAUCGGUGUAAAGCGCAUGAAGAAACUCCAUACUGAUGGACUUUUGGAAUCACUUGAUUAUGAAUCACUUGGUACUUGCGAACCGUGCCUCAUGGGCAAGAUGACUAAAACGCCGUUCUCCGGUACUAUGGAGAGAGCAACAGAUUUGUUGGAAAUCAAACAUAUAGAUGUAUGUGGUCCGAUGAAUGUUGAGGCUCGUGGCAGAUAUCGUUAUUUUCUCACCUUCACAGAUGAUUUAAGCAGAUAUGGGUAUAUCUACUUAAUGAAACAUAAGUCUGAAACAUUUGAAAAGUUCAAAGAAUUUCAGAGUGAAGUUGAAAAUCAUCGUAACAAGAAAAUAAAGUUUCUACGAUCUGAUCGUGGAGGAGAAUAUUUGAGUUACGAGUUUGGUCUACAUUUGAAACAAUGCGGAAUAGUUUCGCAACUCACGCCACCCGGAACACCACAGCGUAAUGGUGUGUCCGAAUGUCAUAAUCGUACUUUAUUAGAUAUGGUGCGAUCUAUGAUGUCUCUUACUGAUUUACCGCUAUCAUUUUGGGGUUAUGCUUUAGAAACAGCUGCAUUCACGUUAAAUAGGGCACCAACGAAAUCCAUUGAGACGACACCUUAUGAACUGUGGUUUGGCAAGAAACCAAAGUUGUCGUUUCUGAAAGUUUGGGGCUGCGAUGCUUAUGUGAAAAAGCUUCAACCUGAUAAGCUCAAACCCAAAUCGGAGAAAUGUGUCUUCAUAGGAUACCCAAAGGAGACUGUUGGGUACACCUUCUAUCACAGAUCCGAAGGCAACACAUUCAUUGCUAAGAAUGGAUCCUUUCUAGAGAAGGAGUUUCUCUCGAAAGAAGUGAGUGGGAGGAAAGUAGAACUUGAUGAGGUAACUAUACCUGCUCCCUUAUUGGAAAGUAGUACAUCACAGAAACCGGUUUGUGUGACACCUAUACCAAUUAGUGAGGAAGCUAAUGAUAAUGAUCAUGAAACUUCAGAUCAAGUUACUACCGAACCUCGUAGAUCAACCAGAGUAAGAUCCGCACCAGAGUGGUACGGUAAUCCUGUUCUGGAAGUCAUGCUACUAGAUCAUGAUGAACCUACGAACUAUGAAGAAGCGAUGGUGAGCCCAGAUUCCGCAAAAUGGCUAGAAGCCAUGAAAUCUGAGAUGGCAUCCAUGUAUGUGAACAAAGUGUGGACUUUGGUUGACUUGCCCGUUGAUCGACAAGCAAUUGAGAAUAAAUGGAUCUUCAAGAAGAAGACUGACGCUGACGGUAAUGUUGCUGUCUACAAAGCUCGACUUGUUGCGAGAGGUUUUCGACAAGUUCAAGGGAUUGACUACGAUGAGACCUUCUCACCCGUAGCGAUUCUUAAGUCUGUCCGAAUCAUGUUAGCAAUUGCCGCAUUUUAUGAUUAUGAAAUUUGGCACAUGGAUGUCAAAACUGCAUUCCUGAAUGGAUUUCCAGAAGAAGAGUUGUAUAUGAUGCAACCGAAAGGUUUUGUCGAUCCAAAGGGAGCUAACAAAGUGUGCAAGCUCCAGCGAUCCAUUUAUGGGCUGGUGCAAGCCUCUCGGAGUUGGAAUAAACGCUUUGAUAGUGUGAUCAAAGCAUUUGGUUUUGUACAGACUUUUGGAGAAGCCUGUAUUUAUAAGAAAGUGAGUGGGAGCUCUGUAGCAUUUCUGAUAUUAUAUGUGGAUGACAUAUUAUUGAUUGGAAAUGAUAUAGAAUUUCUGGAUAGCAUAAAGGGAUACUUGAAUAAGAGUUUUUCAAUGAAAGACCUCGAUGAAGCUGCUUACAUAUUGGGCAUUAAGAUCUAUAGAGAUAGAUCAAGACGCUUAAUUGGACUUUCAUAGAGCACAUACCUUGACAAAGUUUUGAAGAAGUUCAAAAUGGAUCAAGCAAAGAAAGGGUUCUUGCCUGUGUUACAAGGUGUGAAGUUGAGUAAGACUCAAUGUCCGACCACCGCAUAAGAUAGAGAGAAAAUGAAAGAUGUUACCUAUGCUUCAGCCAUAGGCUCUAUCAUGUAUGCAAUGCUGUGUACCAGACCUGAUGUGUGCCUUGCUAUAAGUCUAGCAGGGAGGUACCAAAGUAAUCCAGGAGUGGAUCACUGGACAGCGGUCAAGAACAUCCUGAAGUACCUGAAAAGGACUAAGGAUAUGUUUCUCGUAUAUGGAGGUGACAAAGAGCUCAUCGUAAAUGGUUAUGUAGAUGCAAGCUUUGACACUGAUCCGGACGAUUAUAAAUCGCAAACCGGAUACGUGUUUACAUUGAACGAUGGAGUUGUCAGUUGGUGCAGUUCUAAACAAAGCGUCGUGACGGGAUCUACAUGUGAAGCAGAGUACAUAGCUGCUUCGGAAGCAGCAAAUGAAGGAGUCUAGAUGAAGGAGUUCAUAUCCGAUCUAGGUGUCAUACCUAGUGCAUCGGGUCCAGUGAAAAUCUUUUGUGACAAUACUGGUGCAAUUGCCUUGGCGAAGGAAUCUAGAUUUCACAAGAGAACCAAGCACAUCAAGAGACACUUCAAUUCCAUUCGGGAUUUAGUCCAAGUGGGAGACAUAGAAAUUUGCAAGAUACAUACGGAUCUGAAUGUUGCAGACCCGCUGACUAAGCCUCUUCCACGACCAAAACAUGAUCAGCACCAAGGCUCCAUGGGUGUUAGAAUCAUUACUGUGUAAUCUAGAUUAUUGACUCUAGUGCAAAUGGGAGACUGAAGGAAAUAUGCCCUAGAGGCAAUAAUAAAGUUAUUAUUUAUUUCCUUAUAUCAUGAUAAAUGUUUAUUAUUCAUGCUAGAAUUGCAUUAACCGGAAACAUAAUACAUGUGUGAAUACAUAGACAAACAGAGUGUCAGUAGUAUGCCUCUACUUGACUAGCUCGUUGAUCAAAGAUGGUCAUGUUUCCUAACCAUAUACAUGAGUUUUCAUUUGAUUAACGGGAUCACAUCAUUAGGAGAAUGAUGUGAUUGACUUGACCCAUUCCGUUAGCUUAGCACUUGAUCAUUUAGUUUGUUGCUAUUGCUUUCUUCAUAACUUAUACAUGUUCCUAUGACUAUGAGAUUAUGCAACUCCCGUUUACCGGAGGAACACUUUGUGUGCUACCAAACGUCACAACAUAACUGGGUGAUUAUAAAGGUGCUCUACAGGUGUCUCCGAAGGUACUUGUUGGGUUGGCGUAUUUCAAGAUUAGGAUUUGUCACUCCGAUUGUCGGAGAGGUAUCUCUGGGCCCUCUCGGUAAUACACAUCACUCAAGCCUUGCAAGCAUUGCAACUAAUAAGUUAGUUGCGGGAUGAUGUAUUACAGAACGAGUAAAGAGACUUGCCGGUAAUGAGAUUGAACUAGGUAUUGAGAUACCGACGAUCGAAUCUCGGGCAAGUAACAUACAGAUGACAAAGGGAACAACGUAUGUUGUUAUGCGGUCUGACCGAUAAAGAUCUUCGUAGAAUAUGUAGGAACCAAUAUGAGCAUCCAGGUUCCGCUAUUGGUUAUUGACCGGAGACGUGUCUCGGUCAUGUCUACAUAGUUCUCGAACCCGUAGGGUCCGCACGCUUAAAGUUCGAUGACGAUCGUAAUUAGGGUUUUUUGUGUUUUGAUGUACCGAAGGUUGUUCGGAGUCCCGGAUGUGAUCACGGACAUGACGAGGAGUCUCGAAAUGGCCGAGACAUAAAGAUUGAUAUAUUGGAAGCCUAUAUUUGGAUAUCAGAAUUGUUCUGGGUGAAAUCGGGAUUUUACCGGAGUACCGGGGGUUACCGGAACACCCCCAGGGGUUAAUGGGCCUACAUGGGCCCUAAGGGAGAAGAGGAGGGCCGGCUAGGGCAGGCCGCGCGCCCCCUCCCCCCUAGUCCGAAUAGGACAAGGAAGGGGGGGCGCCCCCUUUCCUCUUUCCCCCUUCCCCUUUCCUUCUCCAACAAGGCAAGAGGGGGGAGUCGUACUCCCGGUGGGAGUAGGACUCCUCCAGGUGCACCCCUAGGGGCCGGCCGCACCUCCCCCUCCCUCCUUUAUAUACGGGGGCAGGGGCACCCCAUGACACACAAGUUGAUCUUCGUGAUCGUUCCUUAGCCGUGUGCGGUGCCCCCUUCCACCAUAUUCCACCUCGGUCAUAUCGUAGCGGUGCUUAGGCGAAGCCCUGCAUCGGUAGAACAUCAUCACCGUCAUCAUGCCAUCGUGCUGACAAAACUCUCCCUCAACAGUCGGCUAGAUCGGAGCUCGAGGGACGUCACCGAUUUGAACGUGUGCAGAACUUGGAGGUGCCGUACGUUCGGUACUUGGAUCGGACGGAUCGGGAAGACGUACGACUACUUCCUCUAUGUUGUAUUAACGCUUCCGUUGCCGGUCUACGAGGGUACAUAGACAACACUCUCCCCUCUCGUUGCUAUGCAUCACCAUGAUCUUGCGUGUGCGUAGGAAUUUUUUUGAAAUUACUACGUUCCCCAACACUUAUAACAUCCAAUAUACUCACAUAUUAGAUGGAUUGACAUCUUAUAUUAUGGGCCGGAAGAAGUUUAGUUCGUUCUUAAGAAUUAUCUGUUGUUGUAUCCACGGGUUAUAUUUAGUUUGAGCUAGUUCGGGCUCAAAUAGCCCUAAAGUAUAUCUAAACAUGAGGGCUAGUUUGAGCUAGUUGCAUCUAUAACCCACCCAAAAAAACUAGUAUCCAACCCAAGAGGUGCUAAUUGGAGCUAGUUCUCCUAGUGCAUUUAUUGUCAAUCUAACCCUGCCAUCCAAACAACUCUUUGGAUGAAGUUAGUGCAGGGUUAGUAAAGGAGCUAGAAACUAACUCUAACCUCUAGCUAAGUUGAGUAUCCAAACAGAGUUGUGUUGUUGCUGUUGCUGCUGCUGCUCUUCUAUGUAUAUCUAGACAUCAUUAGAACAUUAAUGUAACACUCAUCCUUGUUACUAUGUAGCCUAGGAUUGCAUAUUUAGACAUUAAGUACAGUGCAUGUUGCUAUGUAGCUUCAGAUAUAUUACAUACGGCCCUAGUUAACCUAAGGAAAAAUGGGUUGCAGAUAUAUUCAGUUAAAAGUCCGAUUCACCGAAUUAGUCCCUUAUCAGCCGCCGGCCUAUAUGGUACCAGCUACGGAUAUCCUGAACAGUGAGCAAAUAUAAGCCAUGGGAUGAAACAAACAUCAAUGGUAAACAAUAGUCGUUCCCAAAAUUGUCCUAUGUAGGUACAUCAAGAAGCAUGUUAAGCACAACAGGCUAAACAUCAACCAAAAUUACACAUGGCAUACAAAAUAAUCUCCAAAAGAUAGCUUCAGUGUGCAGGUUUAAGCAUGCUAUUAAAGCAAAAACAAGUGGAAAGGUGUGCUAACUGCAACAGGCCUAACAUUUAACAACAAGAAAACAUGGUUAUUCAAACUGGUAUUUGUGCCUGUCUAAGUACACUGGUUAUGGUUAAAUAAAAAUGGAAAGGCGUGUUAACUACAAGAUGCAGCAACUAAAUGUAGUCAUUCAUAGUGGUAUUGUUGAAACUGGUACUGAUGAAAUUGAACUGCACAGUUCAUACUUGCACAUAUAGAACAUCACGUUGUGAAUAACUGGAAUAAACAAGGCAUACUAUGAACAACCAAAGAUAGCAUUUGAAACUAAAGAUAUGCUAACUACAACAACCGAAUAAUCAAAAAAACUUUAAAAGAGGUAUAUGCUAGCUAUAAUAGGCUUAACAGCAAGCAAAUAUAUGCAUUCCUAUCGGUAUGUUUAAAAUUGGAUUGAUGAAAUGUAUUGCACAGUAAAUAAUUGCACAUAUAGAGCAUCACAUUGUGAACAACUGAAAUAAACAAAUCAUGGGUUUCCUCACUUGUCAUAGAUGGGCUCGUUCCCGUGGGAAGAGCAUGGACCCUGGAUGUGCUCCAUGUUGUCGCAGAUGGGCUCCUUCCCCUUGGAAGAGCAGGGCUGUAGGGUGCCCUCCCUGAUGUCACAGACGGGCGCUUUCCUCUUGGAAGAGCAGAUGGGCUCUUUCCCCUUGAAAGAGCCGGAGAGGGUGCCGUCCUCAUGGUCGUCGUCGAUGAGGUCUGACUUGGAAGCCAUAGAUCCCAAGCCAUCGUCGCAGAACGUGUCCUUCAGAAAUCUCGGUGAGACCGACAUGUCAAAAUGUGACUGAUUUAGUUCAAAAUGUGAAGGUUAGGAUUCUCGGUGGGACCGACAUGUCAACUCGGUGGGACUGAUAUCAUUAGGGUUAGGGCAUACCGUAAUCUCGGUGAGACCGACUACACAAACUCGGUGAGACCGAUUUUGGUAAUAGCCAAACAGAGAGUUGGUCUGGCAAACUCGGUGGGACCGAUUCGCUCUUUCGGUUGGACCGAAACGUUACGAAAAGGAAACAGAGAGUUUGCAUUGCAAUCUCGGUGGGACCGAUCGCUCAUCUCGGUUAGACCGAAACGUUACGAAGAGAAACAGAGAGUUUGCAACCCCAUCUCGGUGAGACCGAGAUCCCUAUCGGUGAGACCAAAUUGAUUAGGGUUUCUGGCAGUGGCUAUGUGAGCUAAACUCGGUGGCUCUGGAUAGAAAAAAUCAGUGGGGCCGAGUUGGAAUUUUUGGUUUAGGAUUUAUGUGGAAGUGAGAAAGUGGUUGAGGGCUUUGGAGCAUAUCAUUAAGCACUUUGAGCAAGAUUCUCAUUAAGCAACACCUCAUCCCUUCUUAAUAGUAUUGGCUUUCCUAUGGACUCAAUGUGAUCUUGGAUCACUAAAAUAGAAAAUGUAGAGUCCUGAGCUUUGAGCUCGAGCCAAUCCUUUGUCCUUAGCAUAUUGAAGGGGUUCCACAUCCUCUAGUCCAUGCCACUCCAUUGUUGAACUUGUCUGAAACAUACUAGGUAGAAACAUUAGUCCAACAAGAGAUAUGUUGACAUUAAUUACCAAAAUCACCCAGGGAGCACUUGUGCUUUCAAUCUCCACCUUUUUGGUAAUCGAUAACAACAUACAUUAAAGCUUUAGAUAAAGAUAUAGAGAACAACAAGUAAAGCUUUGGAAAGACAUGUAACAUGCAAAGGCUCCCCCUGUAUGUAUGCAAUCAUAUAAAUAUGAAACAUAGGAGCAUGUGAAUGCAUAAGCAUGAUAGAGUAAGCCAUGUGUUACAUGUAUCUUGGCUAUAUGCAUCAGAGUGAAAGAUGUAAGUAUAGGAAAUGUGCCUUCAUGCUCAUGAGUCCUUCUUGCAAACAAUAUGUACAUCAGCAAGAAAUCCUCAUGCACAUGACUGUGAUGCAUAUACUUAUCUUGUGGUCUUGAGUUGGCUUAGAAGGGAAUGGACCCGAGUAAACAAGGUUAGAUAACACAGAUAGAUCUACUAGCCAGAGCAAACAAAAGAACCACAAAGGUACCAAGACUGGGAUGACAUGUAGAGUGUGAGUACUGAGUUCUCUAUUGGAUAUAAACAUGUCCCCAAAGGUAAAGAUGUGCAAUAGAAUCAGAGAUUUCAUCCCCUUUAGAUGUCUUGCUCCGCCUGAAUCUUGAAUGGGAUAUUGGGAGAAGAUCGAGAACAGAAAAUCAGAGCAAAAGAAAAAAACAGAGCUAAUGCAAGCAAUCAAAUAUGAUGAACAUGUCUUUCCCCUCUUAAAGACAUGUAACUUCUCUCCUCUUGAACACCAAGAAUCCGGGGUUUUAUUACUUUCUUCCCCUUGAGUGUUCUCUCCCCCUAUAGAAAUGAUUAAGCAUAGAGCUUUGAUGUGAUCUCUCUCUCCCCCUUUGACAUCAAUUUCCAAGAAGGGCUCUUCUGGAUUUUUGUUUUAUUGCAGAAGGGUUUGGUCCUUGAGUCACAAAGCAAGUCGAAUGUGAUGCUGGUAGAGGACAAGAAUCAUUGAGUGGAGCUGGAGCAAAAAUGUAUGCAUGAAUAAGUGGCAAGUUGUCUUUCCUGUAAUGAAAUUGGUAGCACCGAGUUAUGUGCUUCGGUGGCACCGAGUGAACUCAGUUGGGCCGAAGGAAACAAACCGGUGUGACCGAGUUCACCGCAGUAAAAACAAUUGUCACCUCAGCUCACUAGGCACUUUAAGAUCUCACAAGGAUUUUCAGGGAAUUUGCUGAAAGAUUUGCAAUGAAUUGGAUGCAGAAAAUGCAGAAUAACAAGAAAGAAAACAAAUAAAGAGAUCUAGAUAAAGUUUUUUUGAAAGGGGAAAACACAUAUGCAAGAGACAAAUGCAAGAGGAAACACAAGAGAAUUUCAUCUAGAAUUGGGCGGUGACAAAGUCACCUAUGUUAGAGUAUAUUGACUUAGGAGUCAAGUGAGGUCACUUGAUCUUUGGUCAUACUCAUCGUUUAAGCUCAAAAUGGGGUUACCAUUUUUCGGUUAAGCAUCUUGAUGUAUUCACAUCUUGUUGAGUCGCUUUGACCCAUGUCUUGGAGUAAAGCUUCUCUAAGAUGGAACAACAUACCUUGGGUGGUGGUGUUGAUCUUGAUCAUGUAGUUGAACUUGUGUGGGUUGCUCAAGGUUGAUGUAGCUCAUAAAGAGUUGGGAGCAUCACCUUGGAUUUUGAGUUUAUCUUCCUACAUGAGUUAGCUUUGCAAGGAAGAGCACUUGUGUAUCCAAAAUGACAAUCAUAAAUCUUAAUGUAGAAUGUGUCAAAGGAUAUGUUUGAAGAGUUUUGUGCUUCCUUGUCUGCAACCACCAUUAUGUAGAGACUUGAUGAUGUAGAGAUUGCUCAAGAUGUGAGUGAGUUGCAAUCUCAUGGAUUUAGAUUCAUCCAAGUAUCUACAAGGGUUAGAUAGCAUGCAAGGGUGCAAAAAUAUCCAAGACAUAUAGACAACAUCAUGAAAGAGCUAUCAAGGAUUAGUCAAAGGCUCAUGCCUUGCAUGUAUCCAAAUGGAGUUCCUACUCCAAGUUUGAAGCAUCAAUGAUGUUCAAUUCACCUCUCAAACGGCAAAAGACUUUCUCAUCAAGCGGUUUGGUAAAUAUAUCCGCUAAUUGCUUAUAGGUGCGAACAUGCUUAAGAUCAGUGUCCCCUUUGGCAACAUGAUCUUGAAUGAAAUGAUGACGAACUUCAAUAUGCUUAGUUCGAGAAUGUUGCACGGGAUUGUGAGCAAUCUUAAUAGCACUUUCAUUGUCAUAGAGCAAUGGAACAUGUUUCACAUAUAUCCCAUAAUCUUUAAGAGUUUGGGUCAUCCAAAGUAAUUGAGCACAACAUGAUCCAGCAUCAAUGUAUUCCGCUUCGGCGGUGGAUAAGGAUACCGAGUUUUAUUUCUUGGAGGACCAAUACACAAGAAAUAUACCAAGAAAUUGACAAGUACCCGAAGUGGAGUUUCUAUCAACCUUGUCUCCGGCAUAGUCCGAAUCGUAGUAACCAACAAGAUCGAAAGAAGUCCUCUUAGGAUACCAAAUGCCAAAAUUUGGUGUGUAUAUUAAGUAUCUCACUAUCCUUUUCACAGACUUAAGAUGACACUCUUUAGGGGCCGCUUGAUAUCGUGCACACAUGCACACACUUAACAUAAUGUCAGGACAGGAGGCACAUAGAUAUAAUAAUGAACCAAUCAUAGAGCGGCAAACCUUUUGAUCAACCGGUUCACCAUCUUUGGUCAAAUCAAGAUGUCCACUAGUAGGCAUGGGUGUAGACAUACCUUUGCAUUCUUGCAUAUUGAACUUCUUGAAUAAGUCUUUGGUGUACUUUGUUUGAGAAAUAAAGGUACCUUCUUUAGUUUGCUUGAUUUGCAAACCGAAAAAGAAUUUGAGUUCACUCAUCAUAGACAUCUCAAACUUCUCCGACAUUAGCUUUCCAAACUUCUCACUAAAAAGUGGGUUAGUUGAACCAAAUAUAAUAUCAUCAGCAUAAAUUUGGCACACAAAUAGUUCUCCAUUGACCCUUUUAGUAAAAAGAGUAGAAUCAAUUUUACCAAUUUCAAAGCCUUUUUCAAUAAGGAACUUGGUCAAGCAUUUAUACCACGCUCUAGGGGCUUGUUUAAGACCAUAAAGGGCUUUGUGAAGUUUGUAAACGUGAUUAGGUUUCUUAGGAUUGACAAAGCCGGGAGGUUGCUUAACAUAAACUUCCUCCUCAAUUUCACCAUUUAGAAAAGCACUUUUAAUAUCCAUUUGGUACAAGGUGAUAUCAUGGUGAUUAGCAUAAGCAAGUAAGAUGCGAAUGGACUCAAGUCUAGCAAUAGGAGCAUAUGUCUCACCAUAGUCCAUACCUUCGACUUGAGUGUAGCCUUGGGCGACUAGACGUGCUUUGUUGUAGAAGACUUGACCAUCUUCAUCUUGCUUGUUGCGAAACACCCAUUUGGUACCAAUGAUGUUGUGGUUGUUGUCGGGCUUCUCGACCAAUGUCCAUACUUCGUUUCUCUCAAAGUUGUGUAGUUCUUCAUGCAUAGCGUUUAUCCAGUCCGGAUCUUCCAAUGCUUCUUCAACCUUCAUAGGUUCAAUGCUAGAGAUGAAUGAGUAAUGUUCACAAAAAUUUGCCAAUCGAGUUCUUGAGCGGGUGAUUCUCCCGGUUUGGAUAUCAUUGUAGAUUUGCUCGAUGGGAUGAUCUUUGGCGAUUCUUGCUCAAACUCAUGGGAGCUUUGGCUUGGCUCGGGGUGGAACAUCUUCUUCAUCUUGUUCUUCUUCUUGGCCUUCUUCAUUGUUGACGUUGUCAUUCUCUUGUUGUGGUGGAGAAGGAGGUUUUUUAUGUUCAUCUUGGUGUGCUUCCUCAUUUUCUUUGUCUUGGUGUGUCCCACUUGUGGAUGCUUCCAUAUCAAUUCUUGGUUCACCUUGUCGUGAGGUAGAAGCUUCCACUUGGACGGACGAGGUACUCUCCUUCACCUCCGUUGGACGAAUCUUGCCAGUAGACAAGUCUUGGAUAGCUUCCAAAGGGUCCUUGUCUCCUACAUCAAUUGGCAAUUGCUCUGCUUGCGAGCCGUUAGAUUCAUCAAACUUCACAUCUACCAUCUCUUCAACCUUUCCGGUGAAAUUGUUGUAGACACGAUAAGUGUGAGAGUUUGAGCCAUAACCAAGUAGGAAACCUUCAUGAGAUUUAGGAGCAAAUUUAGAAUGACGAUGUUUAUCAAGAAUGUAGCACUUUGAUCCAAAUACUCGAAAGUAUCCAACUUGGGGUUUGUUACCGGUGAGGAGCUCGUAUGCCGUCUUGCCGAGUAGCUUGUGAAGAUAUAAGCGAUUUGUUGCAUGACAAGCUAUCUCAACCGCUUCUGCCCAAAAGUGUUUUGGAGUCUUGUACUCAUCAAGAAUCGUUCUUGCCAUCUCAAUAAGAGUACGGUUCUUCCUCUCAAUAACUCCAUUUUGUUGGGGUGUAUACGUAGCCAAGAACACAUGUGAAAUCCCUUCUUCGUCAAGAAAGGUAUCCACAUUUACGUUCUUGAACUCCGUUCCGUUGUCACUCCGAACCUUCUUGAUCUUCACGUCAAAUUGAUUUUGGGCCUUCCUAGCGAAGUUUUUGAAGAUCUUUUGCACCUGUGAUUUGUCAUCAAGAAAGAACACCCACGUAAAUCUUGAAAAAUCAUCAACUAUGACUAGUCCAAAUGAGUUAUCAUUGAGACUCUUGUAGGCAUUUGGACCAAAGAGAUCCAUGUGAAGUAGCUCGAGUGGUCUUCUCAUGGUCAUGAUGUUCUUUGUGCGAUGACUCCCUCCAACUUGUUUCCCUGCUUGACAAGCACUACAAAGUCUAUCCUUUUCAAAUAUGACAUCUUUUACACCAAGGAUGUGAUCACUUCUAAUAAGCUUAUCAAGAUUUCACAUGCCCACAUGACCUAGCCUUCUAUGCCACAACCAGCCUUUAGAAGAUUUAGCAAUUAAGCAAGUUCUAGGUUGAGCCUUUUUUGUGAAAUCAACAAUGUAAAGAUCACAUCUAUGUAUACUGGUAAAGACCAUUUUACGAUUGUCUCUACGAAACACUUGGCAAUCUACCUCAGUAAAUAGGACAUUGAAACCGAAAUCAGCAAGCCUAGAUACUGAAAGUAAAUUGUACCCAAGAGAUUCAACGAGCAUGACAUUUUGUAUGGAGCUAUCAUGUGAGAUGGCCACCUUACCUAGGCCAACCACCUUACCCUUUGAGUUAUCACCAAAGGUGACAUACUUUCGAGGGCCGUCAUUUUCAGCAAGCUCACGGAACAUAUCUUUAUCUCCGGUCAUAUGAUCAAUACAUCCACUAUCAAGAACCCAUUCCUUUCCUCCAGCCAUGUAGCUGCGAAGAUUUGCCAUAAGACCAAAGUGUCUCAUUGCAUCAUUAAGAUCAUAGUCACUGUCAUCAUCAUCCUCAUCAUAGUAUCCAUGUUCAACAUCAUCUUAUGAUUGAUCAAUUCCUAGAGAGGGUAAUUCAUUAGAUAAAUUAUCAUUUCUAUAGUUAUCUUUAUGAAUUCUAAUAGCUUUGGAAAUGAUAUUGCUAAUGAUUCCAACAUCUCCUUUGGCACUCGUAAGAUUAGUAAGCUUAAAUAAGCAGUCACCAAAUUUGGGAUCAUUGGAACUCAUCUUAAUCAAGGCAAUGGACUUAUGAAGAAUCUCAUCUAAGUUCUUCAAGGAAUAGUUUGGAAAAUGUUUCUCAAGGAAUCUCCAUAUAGUGUAGGCACAAUCAAGAGUAGGCAAACAUUCAAUCAAGUUUCUAGGCAAGCCGCUAGUGAUAAGAUUAACAGUUCUAAGGUUGCGGAUCAUGUCAAUAGACUCAUCAAGGGUAGGAUGCAAAGGAUCAACAUGAGGUGCACAAGCGCCCUCCACCCUCGUCGAGCCCUCGUGUCCUUCCCGGACUGCUUCUUAUUUUUCUAUUUUUCUAAAUAUUCCAAAACAGAGAAAUAUUGCCUUAAAAACUAUUUUGGAGUCGGUUUACUUACCGUACCACAUACCUAUUCCUUUUCGUAGUCUAAAACGUUCCGGAAAGUGUCCCUUAUGUAUUCCUCUGUGGUUACGGUUUCAAUAACAUUGGUUUCAACAUUUAUGGGAUUACCUGAGAUAUAAUGUUUAAUUCUUUGACCGUUCACCACCUUCGGAUUUGUGCCUUCGAAGUUGUUGAUUUUUAUGGCACCGGAACGAUAGACCUCCUCGAUAACAUAAGGACCUUCCCAUUUAGAGAGAAGUUUUCCUGCAAAAAAUCUUAAAUGAGAGUUGUAUAGCAAUACAUAAUCACCUACAUUAAACUCACGCUUUUGUAUCCUUUUGUCAUGCCAUCUUUUAACUUUUUCUUUAAACAACUUGGCAUUUUCGUAGGCUUGGGUUCUCCAUUCAUCAAGUGAGCUAAUAUCAAAUAACCUCUUCUCACCAGCAAGUUUAAAAUCAUAAUUGAGUUCUUUAAUAGCCCAAUAAGCCUUGUGUUCUAGUUCGAGAGGUAAGUGACAUGCUUUUCCAUAGACCAUUUUAUACGGAGACGUACCCAUAGGGUUUUAUAUAUGCAGUUCUAUAGGCCCAUAAUGCAUCAUCAAGUUUCUUGGACCAAUUCUUUCUAGACCUAUUGACAGUCUUUUGCAAAAUUAAUUCGAGUUCUCUAUUACUCAAUUCUACUUGACCACUAGACUGAGGGUGAUAAGGGGAUGCAAUUCUAUGAUUAACGUCAUAUUUAGCAAGCAUUUUACGGAAAGCACCAUGAAUAAAAUGUGAACCACCAUCAGUCAUUAAAUAUCUAGGGACUCCAAACCUUGGAAAAAUAAUUUCUUUAAGCAUUUUAAUAGAAGUGUUAUGAUCAGCACUACUACUUGGAAUAAUUUCUACCCACUUAGUAACGUAAUCAACAACGACUAGAAUAUGUGUAUAACCAUUAGAGGAAGGAAAGGGUCCCAUAUGGUCAAAGCCCCAAACAUCAAAUGGUUCAAUAACAAGUGAAUAAUUCAUAGGCAUUUCUUGACGUCUACUAAUAUUACCAAUUCUUAGACAUUCAUCACAAGAUAAAACAAACUUACGGGCAUCCUUGAAGAGAGUAGGCCAAUAAAAACCAGAUUGCAAUACCUUAUGUGCAGUCCUAUCUCCAGCAUGGUGUCCUCCAUAAGCUUCGGAGUGACACUUGCGUAGGAUCUGUUCCUGUUCAUGCUCAGGUACACAACGUGUAAUAAUACCAUCUACUCCUUCUUUAUAAAGAUGUGGGUCAUCCCAAAAGUAAUGCCUCAAAUCAUAGAAGAACUUUUUCUUUUGCUGGUAUGUGAAACUAGGUGGUAUAAACUUAGCAACAAUGUAAUUAGCAUAAUCAACAUACCAUGGAGCAGUAUGAGAAGCAUUUAUAACAUUUAAUUUCUCAUCAGGAAAGCUAUCAUCAAUAGGAAGUGGGUCAUCAAGCAUAUUUUCUAACCUAAACAAGUUGUGUGCAACGGGGUUCUCAGCUCCCUUUCUAUCAACAAUAUGUAAGUCGAAUUCUUGUAGCAAGAGAAUGUUGGGGAACGUAGUAAUUUCAAAAAAAUUCCUACGCACACGCAAGAUCAUGGUGAUGCAUAUCAACGAGAGGGGAGAGUGUUAUCUACGUACCCUCGUAGAUCGCAACGGAAGCAUUGAUACAACGUAGAGGAAGUAGUCGUACGUCUUCUUCCCGAUCCGACCGAUCCAAGCACCGUUACUCCGGCACCUCCGAGUUCUUAGCACACGUUCAGCUCGAUGACGCUCCCCGGGCUCCGAUCCAGCAAAGCUUCGGGGAGGAGUUCCGUCAGCACGACGGUGUGGUGACGAUCUUGAUGUUCAACCGUCGCAAGGCUUCGCCUAAGCAAUGCAACAAUAUGAUCGAGGUGGAAUAUGGUGGCAGGGGGCACCGCACACGGCUAAGGAACGAUCAUGUGGAUCAACUUGUGUGUCUAGAGGUGCCCCCUGCCCCCGUAUAUAAAGGAUCCAAGGGGGGGGGGUGCGGCCGGCCAUAGGAGGCACGUAGGAGGAGUCCUACUCUUACCGGGAGUAGGACUCCCCCCCAAUCCUUGUCCUACUAGGAGAGGUGGAGGGAGAAUAGGAAAGGGGGGGGGGGGCGCCGCCCCUCCCUCCUUGUCCAAUUCGGACUAGGGGGAGAGGGGGCACGUGGCCUGCCCUGGCAGCCCCUUCCUCUUCUCCACAUUAGGCCCAUGAGGCCCAUUAACCCCCCGGGGGGUUCCGGUAACCCCCCCGGUGCUCCGGUUUUAUCCGAUACUCUUCCGGAACCCUUCCGGUGUCCGAAUAUAGUCAUCCAAUAUAUCAAUCUUUAUGUCUCGACCAUUUCGAGACUCCUCGUCAUGUCCGUGAUCACAUCCGGGACUUAGAACUAACUUCGGUACAUCAAAAUGCAUAAACUCAUAAUAACUGUCAUUGUAACGUUAAGCGUGCGGACCCUACGGUUCGAGAACAAUGUAGACAUGACCGAGACACGUCUCCGGUCAAUAACCAACAGCAGGACCUGGAUGCCCAUAUUGGCUCCUACAUAUUCUACGAAGAUCUUUAUCAGUCAGACCGCAUAACAACAUACGUUGUUCCCUUUGUCAUCGGUAUGUUACUUGCCUGAGAUUCGAUCGUCCGUAUCCAAUACCUAGUUCAAUCUCAUUACCGGCAAGUCUCUUUACUCGUUUCGUAAUACAUAAUCUCGCAACUAACUCAUUAGUUGCAAUGCUUGCAAGGCUUAUGUGAUGUGCAUUACCGAGAGGGCCCAGAGAUACCUCUCCGACAAUCGGAGUGACAAAUCCUAUUCUCGAAAUACGCCAACCCAACAUCUACCAUUAGAGACACCUGUAGAGCUCCUUUAUAAUCACCCAGUUACGUUGUGACGUUUGGUAGCACACAAAGUGUUCCUCCGGUAAACGGGAGUUGCAUAAUCUCAUAGUCAUAGGAACAUGUAUAAGUCAUGAAGAAAGCAAUAGCAACAUACUAAACGAUCGGGUGCUAAGCUAAUGGAAUGGGUCAUGUCAAUCAGAUCAUUCAACUAAUGAUGUGACCUCGUUAAUCAAAUAACAACUCUUUGUCCAUGGUUAGGAAACAUAACCAUCUUUGAUUAACGAGCUAGUCAAGUAGAGGCAUACUAGUGACACUCUGUUUGUCUAUGUAUUCACACAUGUAUUAUGUUUCCGGUUAAUACAAUUCUAGCAUGAAUAAUAAACAUUUACCAUGAUAUAAGGAAAUAAAUAAUAACUUUAUUAUUGCCUCUAGGGUAUAUUACCUUCAGAGAACCCAUCUAAUAAGUCUAGGUUUAGCAUCUUUUUUUUUCCAUAAGAUAUUUAAUAGUAGCAUGAUCAGUGUGAAUAGUUACUUUAGAAUCAACAAUGUAAGGUCUGAACUUAUCACAAGCAAAUACAACCGCUAAAAAUUCCUUUUCAGUAGUAGCAUAAUUUCUUUGAGCAUUGUCUAGGGUUUUACUAGCAUAUUGAAUAACAUUUAAUUUCUUAUCAACUCUUCGUCCUAGAACAACACCUACAGCGUAAUCACUAGCAUCACACAUAAUUUCAAAGGGUAAAUUCCAAUCAGGUGGCUGAACAAUGGGUGCAGAGAUCAAUGAUUUCUUAAGUAUUUCAAAUGCUUCUACACAAUCAUCAUCGAAAACAAAUGGAAUAUCUGUGUGUAAUAAAUUAGUCAGAGGCCGAUAAAUCUUUGAGAAGUCCUUAAUGAACCUCCUAUAAAAACUGGCAUGACCAAGGAAACUUCUUAUACCUUUGAUGUCCUUGGGACAUGGCAUCUUUUGAAUAGCGUCAACUUUGGCUUUAUCAACUUCAAUACCUCUUUCAGAAACUUUAUGCCCCAAGACAAUACCUUCAUUAACCAUAAAGUGGCACUUUUCCCAAUUCAAGACAAUAUUAGUUUCUUCACAUCUUUGCAAAACUCGAUCAAGGUUGCUCAAGCAAUCAUCAAAAGAAGAUCCAUAGAUGGAAAAGUUGUCCAUGAAAACCUCACAAAUCUUUUCACAAAAGUCAGAGAAUAUAGCCAUCAUGCAUCUUUGAAAGGUAGCAGGUGCAUUACAUAAACCAAAAGGCAUACAUCUAUAAGCAAAAGUACCAAAAGGACAUGUAAAAGUAGUCUUUGAUUGAUCUUUGGCUGACAUAGGUAUUUGAGAGAAACCAGAAUAACCAUCUAGAAAGAAAAAAUGUGUAUGUUUGGAUAAUCUUUCUAGCAUUUGAUCGAUAAAAAGGUAAGGGGUAAUGAUCCUUUUUAGUAGCCUUAUUUAAUUUGCGGAAAUUAAUUACCAUCCUAUAACCUGUAAUAAUUCUUUGAGGGAUCAAUUCAUCUCUAUCAUUAGGAACAACAGUAAUGCCUCCCUUCUUAGGGACACAAUGGACAGGACUUACCCACUGACUAUCAGCAACGGGAUAGAUUAUACCUGCCUCAAGGAGCUUUAGUAUUUCCUUUCUUACCACUUCUUUCAUUUUAGGAUUGAGCCGGCGUUGAUGAUCACGGACUGGUUUAGCAUCUUCUUCCAAAUUAAUUUUAUGUUGACAUAGAGUGGGACUAAUGCCCUUAAGAUCAUCAAGAGUAUACCCAAUAGCUGUUGGAAAUAUGCCCUAGAGGUAAUAAUAAAUUAGUUAUUAUUAUUAUAUUUCCUUGUUCAUGAUAAUCGUUUAUUAUCCAUGCUAAAAUUGUAUUGAUAGGAAACUCAGAUACAUGUGUGGAUACAUAGACAACACCAUGUCCCUAGUAAGCCUCUAGCUGACUAGCUCGUUGAUCAAUAGAUGGUUCCGGUUUCCUAACCAUGGACAUUGGAUGUCGUUGAUAACGGGAUCACAUCAUUAGGAGAAUGAUGUGAUGGACAAGACCCAAUCCUAAGCAUAGCACUAGAUCGUGUAGUUCGUAUGCUAAAGCUUUCCUAAUGUCAAGUAUCAUUUCCUUAGACCAUGAGAUUGUGCAACUCCCGGAUACCGUAGGAGUGCUUUGGGUGUGCCAAACGUCACAACGUAACUGGGUGACUAUAAAGGUGCACUACGGGUAUCUCCGAAAGUGUCUGUUGGGUUGGCACGAAUCGAGACUGGGAUUUGUCACUCCGUGUGACGGAGAGGUAUCUCUAGGCCCACUCGGUAGGACAUCAUCAUAAUGUGCACAAUGUGAUCAAGGAGUUCAUCACGGGAUGAUGUGUUACGGAACGAGUAAAGAGACUUGCCGGUAACGAGAUUGAACAAGGUAUCGGGAUACCGACGAUCGAAUCUCGGGCAAGUAUCGUACCGAUAGACAAAGGGAAUUGUAUACGGGAUUGAUCGAAUCCUUGACAUCGUGGUUCAUCCGAUGAGAUCAUCGUGGAACAUGUGGGAGCCAACAUGGGUAUCCAGAUUUCGCUAUUGGUUAUUGACCGGAGAACGUCUCGGUCAUGUCUGCAUGUCUCCCGAACCCAUAGGGUCUACACACUUAAGGUUCGAUGACACUAGGGUUAUAAAGGAAGUUUGUAUGUGGUUACCGAAUGUUGUUCGGAGUCCCGGAUGAGAUCUCGGACGUCACGAGGAGUUUCGGAAUGGUCCGGAGGUAAAGAUUUAUAUAUGGGAAGUCCUGUUUUGGUCACCGGAAAAGUUUUGGGGUUUAUCGGUAACGUACUGGGACCACCGGGAGGGUCCCGGGGGUCCACCAAGUGGGGCCACAAGCCCCGGAGGGCCACAUGGGCUGUAGGGGGUGCUCCUUGGCCUACAUGGGCCAAGGGCACCAGCCCCAAGAGGCCCAUGCGCCUAGGGUUUCAAGAAGGGAAGAGUCCCACAAGGGGAAGGCACCCCCUAGGUGCCUUGGGGGGGAGGGAAUCCUCCCUUGGCCGCCGCCCCCCUAGGAGAUUGGAUCUCCUAGGGCCGGCGCCCCCCCCUUGGCCCCCCUAUAUAUAGUGGGGGAGAUGGAGGACUUCUUACCUUUGCCUUUGGUGCAGCCCUUCCCCUCUCCCAAGUCCUUCUCCUCUCCCGUGGUGCUUGGCGAAGCCCUGCAGGAUUGCCACGCUCCUCCACCACCACCACACCGUUGUGCUGCUGCUGGAUGGAGUCUUCCUCAACCUCUGCCUCUCUCCUUGCUGGAUCAAGGCAUGGGAGACGUCAUCGGGCUGUAUGUGUGUUGAACGCGGAGGUGCCGUCCGUUCGGCACUAGGAUCUUCGGUGAUUUGGAUCACGACGAGUACGACCCCAUCAACCCCGUUCACUAGAACGCUUCCGCUUAGCGAUCUACAAGGGUAUGUAGAUGCACUCUCCUUCCCCUCGUUGCUGGUUUCUCCAUAGAUAGAUCUUGGUGACACGUAGGAAAAUUUUGAAUUUCUGCUACGUUCCCCAACAGUGGCAUCAUGAGCUAGGUCUAUUGCGUAGAUUCUAUGCAUGAGUAGAACACAAGUAGUUGUGGGCGUUGAUUUUGUUCAAUAUGCUUACCGUUACUAGUCCAAUCUUGAUUCAGCGGCAUCGUGGGAUGAAGCGGCCCGGACCGAACUUACACGUACUCUUACGUGAGACUGGUUCCACCGACUGACAUGCACUAGUUGCAUAAGGUGGCUAGCGGGUGCCUGUCUCUCCCACUUUAGUCGGAUCGGAUUCAAUGAAAAGGGUCCUUAUGAAGGGUAAAUAGAAAUUGGCAUAUCACGUUGUGGUCUUUGCGUAGGUAAGAAACGUUCUUGCUAGAAACCCAUAGCAGCCACGUAAAACAUGCAAACAACAAUUAGAGGACGUCUAACUUGUUUUUGCAGGGUAUGCUAUGUGAUGUGAUAUGGCCAAAGGAUGUGAUGAAUGAUAUAUGUGAUGUAUGAGAUGAUCAUGUUCUUGUAAUAGGAAUCACGACUUGCAUGUCGAUGAGUAUGACAACCGGCAGGAGCCAUAGGAGUUGUCUUUAUUUAUUUAUGACCUGCGUGUCAACAUUAACGUCAUGUAAUUACUUUACUUUUAUUGCUAACCGUUAGCUGUAGUAGUAGAAGUAAUAGAUGACGUGACAACUUCAUGAAGACACGACGAUGGAGAUCAUGAUGAUGGAGAUCAUGGUGUCAUGCCGGUGACAAGAUGAUCAUGGAGCCCCAAGAUGGAGAUCAAAGGAGCUAUAUGAUAUUGGCCAUAUCAUGUCACUAUUAUUUGAUUACAUGUGAUGUUUAUCAUGUUUUUGCAUCUUGUUUACUUAGAACGACGGUAGUAAAUAAUAUGAUCCCUCAUAAUAAUUUCAAGAAGGUGUUCCCCCUAACUGUGCACCGUUGCGACAGUUCGUUGUUUCAAAGCACCACGUGAUGAUCUAGUGUGAUAGAUUCUAACGUUCACAUACAACGGGUGUAAGACAGAUUUACACAUGCAAACACUUAGGUUGACUUGACGAGCCUAGCAUGUACAGACAUGGUCUCGGAACACAGAAGAUCGAAAGGUCGAGCAUGAGUCGUAUAGAAGAUACGAUCAACAUGAAGAUGUUCACCGAUGUUGACUAGUCCGUCUCACGUGAUGAUCGGACACGGCCUAGUUGACUCGGAUCAUGUAAUCACUUAGAUGACUAGAGAGAUGUCUAUCUGAGUGGGAGUUCAUAAGAUGAACUUGUUUAUCCUGAACAUAGUCAAAAGGUCUUCGCAAAUUAUGUCGUAGCUCGCGCUUCAGUUCUACUGUUUAGUUAUGUUCCUAGAGAAAAUUUAGUUGAAAGUUAAUAGUAGCAAUUAUGCGGACUAGGUCCGUAAACUGAGGAUUGUCCUCAUUGCUUCAUAGAAGGCUAAUGUCCUUAACGCACCGCUCAGUGUGCUGAACCUCGAACGUCGUCUGUGGAUGUUGCGAACAUCUGACAUACACAUUUUUGAUAACUACGUGAUAGUUCAGUUAAACGGUUUAGAGUUGAGGCACCAAAGACGUUUUGAAACAUCGCGAAACAUAUGAGAUGUUUCGAGGGCUGAAAUUGGGAUUUCAGGCUCGUGCCCACGUCAAGAGGUAUAAGACCUCCGACGAUUUUCUUAGCCUACAAACUAAGGGAGAAAAGCUCAAUUGUUGAGCUUGUGCUCAGAUUGUCCGAGUACAACAAUCAUUUGAAUCGAGUGGGAGUUGAUCUUCCAGAUGAGACAGUGAUGUUUCUCCGAAGUCAUUACCACCAAGCUGCUAGAGCUUCAUGAUGAACUAUAAUAUAUCAGGGGCAUAUAUGAUGAUCCUUGAGAUAUUCGUGAUGUUUGACAACACAAAAGUAGAAAUCAAGAAGGAGCAUCAAUUGUUGAUGGUUAGUGAAACCACUAGUUUCAAGAAGGGCAAGGGCAAAAGGGGAUGCUUCAUGAAACGGCAAAUCAGUUGCUGCUCUGGUGAAGAAACCCAAGGUUGAACCCAAACCCGAGACUAAGUGCUUCUGUAAUAAGGGGAACAACCACUGGAGCAGAAUUACCCUAGAUACUUGGUAGAUGAGAAGGCUGGCAAGGUCGAUAGAAGUAUAUUGGAUAUACAUUAUGUUAAUGUGUACUUUACUAGUACUCCUAGUAGCACCAGGGUAUUAGAUAUCGGUUCGGCUGCUAAGUGUUAGUAACUCGAAAUAAAAGCUACGGAAUAAACGGAGACUAGCUAAAGGUGAGCUGACGAUAUGUGUUGGAAGUGUUUCCAAUGUUGAUAUGAUCAAGCAUCGCACGCUCCCUCUACCAUCGAGAUUGGUGUUAAACCUAAAUAAUGGUUAUUUGGUGUUUGCGUUGAGCAUAGACAUGAUUGGAUUAUGACUAUCGCAAUACGGUUAUUCAUUUAAGGAGAAUAAUCGUUACUCUGUUUAUUUGAAUAAUACCUUCAAUGGUCUUACGCCUAAAAUGAAUGGUUCAUUGAAUCUCGAUCGUAGUUAUACACAUGUUCAUGCCAAAAGAUAGUAAUGAUAGUACCACCUACUUGUGGGACUGCAAAGUAAGUCAUAUCGGUAUAAAACGCAUGAAGAAGCUCCAUGUUGAUGGAUCUUUGGGCUCACUCGUUUUUGAAAAGUUUGAGACAUGCGAAUCAUGUCUAUUGGUGUUUAUGCAUGAAGAAACUCCAUGCAAAUGGACCGUUUGGACUCACUUGAUUUUUUGAAUCACUUGAGACAUGCAAAUCAUACCACAUGGGCAAGAUGACUGAAAGCCUCGGUUUCAGUAAAAUGGAACCAGAAAGCAACUUGCUGGAAGUAAUACAUUUUGAUGUGUGCAGUCCAAUGAGUGCUGAGGCGUGUAGUGGAUAUCGUUAUGUUCUUACUUCACAGAUGAUUUGAGUAGAUGUUGAGUAUAUUUACUUGAUGAAUCACGAGUCUGAAUUAUUGAAAGGUUCAAGUAAUUUCAGGGUGAAGUUGAAAGAUCGUCGUGACAAGAGGAUAAAAUAUCUAUGAUAUGAUCAUAGAGAUGAAUAUCUGAAUUACGAGUUUGGCACAGAAUUAAGACAUUGUGGAAAUUGUUUCACAACUAAUACAGCCUGGAACACCAUAGUGUGAUGGUGUGUCCGAACAUCAUAACUGCACCCUAUUGGAUAUGAUGCAUACCAUGAUGUCUCUUAUCGAAUUACCACUAUAGUUUAUGGGUUAGGCAUUAGAGACAACCACAUUCACUUUAAAUAGGGCACCACGUAAUUCCGAUGAGAUGACACCGUAUGAACUAUGGUUUAGAGAAACCUAAGCUGUCAUUCCUUAAAAGGUUUGGGGCUGCGACGCUUAUGUGAAAAAGUUUCAGGCUGAUAAGCUCGAACCCAAAGCGGAUAAAUGCAUCUUCAUAGGACACCCAAAACAGUUGGGUAUACCUCCUGUCUCAGAUCCGAAAGCAAUAAGGGAUUGUUUCUAGAAUCGGGUCCUUUCUCGAGGAAAAGUUUCUCUCGAAAGAAUUGAGUGGGAGGAUGGUGGAGACUUGAUGAGGUUAUUGAACCGUCUCUUCAACUAGUGUGUGACAGGGCACAGGGAGUUGUUCCUGUGGCACCUACACCAAUUGAAGUGGAAGCUUAUGAUAGUGAUCAUGAAACUUCAGAUCAAGUCACUACCAAACCUCGUGGGAUGACAAGGAUGCGUACUACUUCAGAGUGGUACGUAAUCCUGUCUUGGAAGUCAUGUUGCUAGACGACAAUGAACCUACAAACUAUGGAGAAGCGAUGGUGGGCCCGGAUUCCGAUAAAUGGCUCAAGGCCAUAACAUCCGAGAGAGGAUCCAUGUAUGAAAACAAAGUGUAGACUUUGGCAGAAUGGCUCGAUGGUCGUAAGGCUGUUGAGUACAGAUGGAUUUUAAAAGGAAGACGGAAAAUGAUGGUAAAUGUCACCAUUAAGAAAGCUCGACUUGUCAUUAAGAUGUUUUCCGACAAGUUCAAGGAGUUGACUACGAUGAGACUUUCUCACUCGUAGCGAUGCUAAGAGUCUGUUGGAAUUAUAUUAGCGAUUACUGCACUAUUUAUGAAAUCUUGCAGAUAGGAUGUCAAAACAUUGUUUCCUCGAUGAUUUUUGAGGAAAGGUUGUAUGUGAUACAACCGGAAGGUUUUGUCAAUCCUGAAAGAUGCUAAUAAGUAUGCAAAGCUCCAGCAAUCCUUCUAAGGACUGGAGUAAGCAUCUCGGAGUUGGAAUGUAUGCUUUGAUGAUGAUCAAAGAUUUUGGGUGUAUACAAAGUUUAUGAGAAACUUGUAUUUCCAAAGAAGUGAGUGGGAGCACUAUAGAAUUUCUGAUAAGUAUAUGUUGUUGACAUAUUGUUGAUCAGAAAUGAUGUAGAAUUUCUGGAAAGCAUAUAGGGUUAUUUGGAAAGUGUUUUUCAAUGGAAAGCCUGGAUUAAGCUACUUGAACAUUGAGCAUCAAGAUCUAUAAGGAUAGAUCAAAACGCUUAAUGGUACUUUCAAAUGAGCACAUACCUUGACGUGAUCUUGAAGGUGUUCAAGAUGGAUCAGUCAAAGAAGGAGUUCUUACCUGAGUUGUAAGGUAUGAAGUUAAGACUUAAAGCUCGACCACAGCAGAAUAGAGAGAAAGGACGAAGGUCGUCCCCUAUGCUUAAGACAUAGGCUCUACAGUAUGCUAUGUUGUGUACCGCACCUGAAGUGUGCCUUGCCAUGAGUCAGUCAAGGGGUACAAGAGUGAUCCAAGAAUGGAUCACAGGACAGUGGUCAAAGUUAUCCUUAGUAACUAGUGGACUAAGGAAUUUUCUCGAUUAUGGAGGUGGUAAAAGAGUUCGUCGUAAAGGGUUACGCCGAUGCAAACUUUGACACUAAUCCAGAUUAUUCUGAGUAGUAAACUGGAUUCGUAUAGUAGAACAGUUAUUUGGAAUAGCUCCAAAUAGAACGUAGUAGCUGCAUCUAGGAGAUGACAUAGAGAUUUGUAAAGCACACACGGAUCUAAAAGGUUCAGAUCCGUUGACUAAAACCUCUCUCACAAGCAAAACAUGAUCAAACCCAGAACUCAUUGAGUCUUAAUCACAUGAUGAUGUGAACUAGUUUAGUGACACUAGUAAACUCUUUGGAUGUUGGUCACAUGGCGAUGUGACCUGUGAGUGUUAAUCACAUGGCGAUGUGAACUAGAUUACUGACUCUAGUGCAAGUGGGAGACUGUUGGAAAUAUGCCCUAGAGGCAAUAAUAAAUUAGUUAUUAUUAUUAUAUUUCCUUGUUCAUGAUAAUCGUUUAUUAUCCAUGCUAGAAUUGUAUUGAUAGGAAACUCAGAUACAUGUGUGGAUACAUAGACAACACCAUGUCCCUAGUAAGCCUCUAGUUGACUAGCUCGUUGAUCAAUAGAUGGUUACGGUUUCCUAACCAUGGACAUUGGAUGUCGUUGAUAACGGGAUCACAUCAUUAGGAGAAUGAUGUGAUGGACAAGACCCAAUCCUAAGCAUAGCACUAGAUCGUGUAGUUCGUAUGCUAAAGCUUUCCUAAUGUCAAGUAUCAUUUCCUUAGACCUUGAGAUUGUGCAACUCCUGGAUACCGUAGGAGUGCUUUGGGUGUGCCAAACGUCACAACGUAACUGGGUGACUAUAAAGGUGCACUACGGGUAUCUCCGAAAGUGUCUGUUGGGUUGGCACGAAUCGAGACUGGGAUUUGUCACUCCGUGUGACGGAGAGGUAUCUCUGGGCCCACUCGGUAGGACAUCAUCAUAAUGUGCACAAUGUGAUCAAGGAGUUCAUCACGGGAUGAUGUGUUACGGAACGAGUAAAGAGACUUGCCGGUAACGAGAUUGAACAAGGUAUCAGGAUACCGACGAUCGAAUCUCGGGCAAGUAUCGUACCGAUAGACAAAGGGAAUUGUAUACGGGAUUAAUCGAAUCCUCGACAUCGUGGUUCAUCCGAUGAGAUCAUCGUGGAACAUGUGGGAGCCAACAUGGGUAUCCAGAUCCCGCUGUUGGUUAUUGACCGGAGAACGUCUCGGUCAUGUCUGCAUGUCUCCCGAACCCGUAGGGUCUACACACUUAAGGUUCGAUGACGCUAGGGUUAUAAAGGAAGUUUGUAUGUGGUUACCGAAUGUUGUUCGGAGUCCCGGAUGAGAUCCCGGACAUCACGAGGAGUUUCGGAAUGGUCCGGAGGUAAAGAUUUAUAUAUGGGAAGUCCUGUUUUGGUCACCGGAAAAGUUUCGGGGUUUAUCGGUAACGUACCGGGACCACCGGGAGGGUCCCGGGGGUCCACCAAGUGGGGCCACAAGCCCCGGAGGGCCACAUGGGCUGUAGGGGGUGCUCCUUGGCCUACAUGGGCCAAGGGCACCAGCCCCAAGAGGCCCAUGCACCUAGGGUUUCAAGAAGGGAAGAGUCCCACAAGGGGAAGGCACCCCCUAGGUGCCUUGGGGGGGAGGGAAUCCUCCCUUGGCCGCCGCCCCCCUAGGAGAUUGGAUCUCCUAGGGCCGGCGCCCUCCCCCCCCUUGGCCCCCCUAUAUAUAGUGGGGGAGAUGGAGGACUUCUUUGCUUUGCCUUUGGUGCAGCCCUUCCCCUCUCCCAAGUCCUUCUCCUCUCCCGUGGUGCUUGGCGAAGCCCUGCAGGAUUGCCACGCUCCUCCAUCACCACCACGCCGUUGUGCUGCUGCUGGAUGGAGUCUUCCUCAACCUCCCCCUCUCUCCUUGCUGGAUCAAGGCAUGGGAGUCGUCAUCGGGCUGUACGUGUGUUGAACGCGGAGGUGCCGUCCGUUCGGCACUAGGAUCUUCGGUGAUUUGGAUCACGAUGAGUACGACUCCAUCAACCCCGUUCACUUGAACACUUCCGCUUAGCGAUCUACAAGGGUAUGUAGAUGCACUCUCCUUCCCCUCGUUGCUGGUUUCUCCAUAGAUAGAUCUUGGUGACACGUAGGAAAAUUUUGAAUUUCUGCUACGUUCCCCAACAAUAGCAGCACGGUGCUUCUUCAGAGUUUUCAAUAAUCUCUCUUCCUCAUGCUCUGAAAGGUUAGCACUAAUAAUAACAGAAUAUAUCUUUUUCUCAUCAAGAUAAGCAUAUUUAAGAGUAUCAGGCAACGGUUUAAGCUCAAACACGGGAUCACCCUUGGGUGGAGGAGGAUCCCCUAAGAUUUGAACAGGCAAAUUGUGUUUCAGAAUAGGUUCCUGUUUAAAGAAUACUUCAUCUAAUUCCCUUCUUUCAUUCAUAAACAUGUCAUUUUCAUGGUCUAGCAAGUAUUGUUCUAAAGGAUCACUAGGAGGUAAGGCAAUAGAAGCAAGACCAAUAAUUUCAUCCUUACUAGGUAAUUCUUCUUCACGGUGUUGUCUACUAAAUUUAGAGAAAUUAAAUUCAUGAGUCAUAUCAUCUAAACCGAUAGUAACAACAUCCCUUUUGCAACCUAUGGUAGCAUUAACAUUAUUUAAGAAGGGUCUACCAAAUAUAAUGGGACAAAAGCUAUCUUGUGGGGAACCAAGAACAAGAAAAUCAGCAGGAUAUUUAGUUUUCCCACACAAGACUUCAACACCCCUAACAAUUCCCAUUGGUGAAAAGUAUCUCUAUUGGCAGGUUUAAUUAUGACAUCAAUAUCUUUCAUCUCAGCAGGUGCAAUAUCAUGCAUAACUUCUUUGUAUAAGGAAUAAGGUAUUGCACUAGCACUAGCACCCAUAUCACAUAAGCCAUGAUAACAAUGAUAUCCUAUUUAACAGAAAUAACGGGCAUGCCUACCACAGGUCUAGGUUUAUCUUUAUCACAGGGUUUAGCAAUUCUAGCAAUUUCAUCACAGAAAUAAAUAACAUGCCCAUCAAUAUUAUCAGACAAGAGAUCUUUAACAAUAGCAAUAUUAGGUUCAACUUUAACUUGCUCAGGAGGUGUAUAUGUUUUAAUAUUGCUUUUACGAACCACAGUUGAAGCUUUAGCAUGAUCCUUUAUCCUAACAAGAAAAGGUGGUUUCUCAACAUAAGAAGUAGGAACAAUAGGAUCAUUAUAAGUGACAAUCUUUUCUUCAACUUUAAUAGGUGCAAAUACUUUUACUUCUAUGGGAGGAUGAUAUUUAAACCACCUCUCCUUGGGGAGAUCAACAUAAGUAGCAAAGGAUUCACAGAAAGAAGCUACUAUCUCAGAGUCAAGUCCAUAUUUAGUGCUAAAUUUACGAAAAAUAUCGGUAUCCAUAAAAUAUUUGACACAAUCAAAACUAGGUGUCAUACCUAACUCCUUACCAUUGUCGAGGUCCCAAUCUUCAGAGUUGCGUUUAAUUAUUUCCAAUAAAUUCCAUUUGAAUUCAAUAGUCUUCAUCAUAAAAGAGCCAACACAAGAAGUAUCAAGCAUGGUGCGAUUGUUAUCAGAAAGCCGAGCAUAAAUUUUUUGAAUAAUCAUUUCUCUUGAGAGCUCAUGAUUGGGGCAUGAAUAUAACAUUGACUUAAGCCUCCCCCAAGCUUGAGCGAUGCUUUCUCCUUCGCGAGGCCAAAAAUUAUAUAUGUAAUUGCGAUCACGAUGAACAAGAUGCAUAGGAUAAAACUUCUGGUGAAAUUCCAAUUUCAAUCGUUUGUAAUUCCAAGACCCCAUAUCAUCACAUAGCCUAUACCAUGUCGAUGCAUCUCCCUUCAAAGAUAAAGGGAAGACCUUCUUCUUAACAACAUCUCCAGGUACACCUGCAAGCUUAAAUAAUCCACAAACUUCAUCCACAUAUAUUAGAUGCUCAUCAGGAUGUUUUGUUCCAUCUCCUAAAAAAGGAUUAGCUAGCAAUUUUUCUAUCAUACCCGAAGGAAUUUCAAAGUAGGCAUUUUCAUUUUCAUUUUCAUUUUCAGUAGGUUGAGUAGGUUGAGGAGCAACUCUUUGCUCUACUGGUCGGGGUGAAGAUACCCCGAACAAGCCCCUCAGAGGAUUACUUUCCAUAGUAACAAGUGACAGUAAAUUUCAGCACACUAUAUAAAUUUUUCCUUACCAAAUUCCACCUACCAAAGGUGCUUCACUCCCCAGCAACGGCGCCAGAAAAGUGUCUUGAUGACCCACAAGUAUAGGGGAUCUAUCGUAGUCCUUUCGAUAAGUAAGAGUGUUGAACCCAACGAGGAGCAGAAGGAAAUGAUAAGCGGUUUCCAGCAAGGUAUUCUCUACAAGUACUGAAAUAAGUGGUAAUAGAUAGUUUUGUGAUAGGAUAAUUUGUAACGAGCAACAAGUAACAAAAGUAAAUAAAGUGCAGCAAGGUGGCCCAAUCCUUUUUGUAGCAAAGGACAAGCCUAAACAAACUCUUAUAUGAUGUAAAGUGCUCCCAAGGACACAUGGGAAUAUUGUCAAGCUAGUUUUCAUCACGUUCAUAUGAUUCGCGUUCGGUACUUUGAUAAUUUGGUAUGUGGGUGGACCGGUGCUUGGGUGCUACCCUUACUUGGACAAGCAUCCCACUUAUGAUUAACCUCUAUUGCAAGCAUCCGCAACUACAACAAAAGUAUUAAGGUAAACCUAACCAUAGCAUGAAACAUAUGGAUCCAAAUUAGCCCCUUACGAAGCAACGCAUAAACUAGGGUUUAAGCUUCUAUCGCUCUAGCAACCCAUCAUCUACUUAUUACUUCCCAAUGCCUUCCUCUAGGCCCAAAUAAUGGUGAAGUGUCAUGUAGUCGACAUUCACAUAACACCACUAGAGGAGAGACAACAUACAUCUCAUCAAAAUAUCGAACGAAUACCAAAUUCACAUGACUACUAAUAGCAAGACUUCUCCCAUGUCCUCGGGAACAAAAGUAACUACUCACAAAGCAUAAACAUGUUCAUAAUCAGAGGGGUAUUAAUAUGCAUAUAGGAUCUGAACAUAUGAUCUUCCACCAAUUAAACCAACUAGCAUCAACUAUAAGGAGUAAUUAACACUACUAGCAACCUACUAGCACCAAUCCCGGACUUGGAGACAAGAAUUGGAUACAAGAGAUGAACUAGGGUUUUGAGAGGAGAUGGUGCGGAUGAAGAUGUUGAUGGAGAUUGCCCUCUCCCGAUGAGAGGAGCGUUGGUGAUGACGAUGGCGAUGAUUUCCCCCUCCGGGAGGGAAGUUUCCCCGGCAGAACAGCUCCGCCAGAGCCCUAGAUUGGUUCCGCCAAGGUUCCGCCUCGUGGCGGCGGAGUUUCAUCCGAGAAGAUGGCUUAUGAUUUUUUUCCAUCGAAAGACUCCAUAUAGCAGAAGAUGGCCACCAGAGGGCCACCAGGGGGCCCAUGAGGUAGGGGGCGCGCCCAGGGGGUAGGGCGCGCCCCCACCCUCAUGGGCAGGGUGUGGCCCCCCUGGUGAAGUUCUUGCUCUCAAUAUUUUUUAUAUAUUUGGAAAACAUCUUCCGUGAAGUUUCAGGACUUUUGGAGCUGUGCAGAAUAGGUCUCUAAUAUUUGCUCCUUUUCCAGCCCAGAAUCCCAGCUGCCGGCAUUCUCCCUCUUUAUGUAAACCUUGUAAAAUAAGAGAGGAUAGGCAUAAGUAUUGUGACAUAAUGUGUAAUAACAGCCCAUAAUGCAAUUAAUAUCGAUAUAAAAGCAUGAUGCAAAAUGGACGUAUCAGGAGGCGUGCGAGUAGCUGUGUGAAACUUUGGUAGACAUGCCAGCAGUCCGGUGCGCAGGCUCACCGGGAGGCGAGCCAUCGGUUUGACCGUCGCCCGCCUCUCCCCCACAACUCCCACUACUCCAUAUUAAUGGUGUGACCGAGCGGCCGCACCCCCCAUCAUCGCUACACACACACAAUCCUUUCUCUCUGCUUGCAACCUCGACGCUGCUCUCAGUGCUCAAAGCCAUCAGUGUAUGAGGAUGCCACCGAAGCGCCCCAUCAGAGGGAGUGGCGACGCCGGGGCUGCUAAAGCACCGGAGCACGGCGUGGAGAUGGAGACAGAGGUUGUCGUCACCGCCGGCGAGUUAUCGCUGCACCCUGACGUCGUCGAGCUUCCACAGCCGGAGGCGGAGUUCCACACCAACUCCGACGACGACUCCGACGACCACUCCGGCAAUGACUCCGACAACCACUCUGGCGACGACUCCAACGACGACAGAUAGCUGGUUAGUCAUCUAUACCCAUUUAUGUGUCAAAUAGAUCAUAGGGUUUCUCUGGUUACUCAUGCCUCCUCCUUUUUGGAAUAGAAAUCAUGUGGUUAUGUUCUCCCAAUCCAUGAAAUCUGAGUAAAUUUUGUUAGAUCCGUGUAGUGUAUUGAUUGUUUAAAUGUUACAGGUGAUAAGUGAUUAGUUGUUUCAUCUGUGCAAAUAAUUUCUGCUAGUAAUCCGACUAGGGUUAGUGUUCGUGCUAAUAAUUCCUAGCCAGGACUUGACAAUUGAUUUGGAAUGACCUACAUAUGUUUGUGCCAUUAUUUUCUUCAAGAUUGGUCUGUACAUAGAUGACUGUGCUUAAAAAUUGAAUCAUAAUCUCUGAAUAUGUAUAAAUAAAUAGCCAUAAAUUCCUAAUCCUACUUCACGACAUGUAAUCAGUGAUUUGAUGCUAAAUUUGUUUUACUAUAUGUAUAGGUGCUUUCUGACGAUGUGGACAGCGUGGAUGAAGAUGCCCAGAGGAGGUACAAGAGGCGAAUCCCGAGGGAGCUUUAUGCGGGAAUGCAUAGGAGGCGUAUUAGGACAUGGAACGACGACUAUGGAUGCCCAUUUUGCAACCACAAGGUUCAUGACGCGUAUCUAAGUGUUCUUUCGCAUGCAAGAGGAUGGGCCGUUGGCUCCUUCAAGCAGAAGUAUUCUCGCUGGGUGGCGCACGACGCGUACGCCGAGUACCUGGAGAAGCUUCAGGAUCGUGCCGGCCGCAUGUGAGAUGAGAUGUGGGAUGGACCGAACUAUGUACGCUUGAGUAUGCUUUAUGACGGUUGAACCAUGUACUUAUGAUUGAACUAUGCUUAUGUACGUGUACGCUUAUUAUCUAUGUCUGAGUAUGUUAAAUAUUUCUCCAAAUUUUGGUAAAAAUUACAACGGGUGACCAAUAAACUCGGACAGAGGUAGUACGUCAAUCACACACAGUUCCCAAAAUUGGAACCAUGUGCAAUGACUAUCAUUUUGCCUGCUGCGUCAAUCACACACGGUUCGCUCCAGCAAACCGUCGCCCCCAAAAUUCUUUGUGGGACAGAAAACCCUCACCACCCAAUUCAAAAAAUAAAAAAAGAAAAUCAUCACCAUCCCCACGUCACAAAAACCCUCACCCCGCCCGCCACCCACCUCGGCCCCUCCGGUACGUUCCCCAUUCACACCUACAGAAGCUCCUACACGUCUAUGCCAUGGCACCGCCUAUCGCGGUGGUAAACACUUAGCUCGACGCCUGCCGCCGUCGCCAGGCUGCUGGCAAAGCCCACUGUAUUUCGCCACUUCCGCUUGCCACCGCCUAUCGCCAUCGACUUUCUCGACACUGCUCGCGGUCGACCCAGCUCCGCUCGGUUGGGGAAUCUGUAGUACUGAGGGUUCUUUCUCAUGGACGACAAGGUAACUUGUUUAACGAGAUAUUAUCUCAUCUCUUGUCCCAGUUCAUCUGCCUCCUUUAAUCACCCGGUGGAAAUCGCUGUGAAUUCAUUUUUAUCCGAGUUGAUUUGAGGGUUUUCUUUCAUUCAUAUAAUGUACAGUGCACCAAUACUUCAGGACUUGGCGACCGCCGCCAGAGAUUCCAUCUCAUCGUACAAGAUAACUUGAGGAUGUGCGCCAUAUGUUCAAUCUCACCCUAAAUCAGUUGGCAUGGCCUACUUUCCUGAACAUAUUCUAAAUAUUGCUACAUUUGGAUAAAAGGUGCCACAUGCACCAUAUACGUCAAAGGGGAUUCCCCCCUCUUCUUUGUAUAUUAGGCAAAUUAAUGAUGUAUUGUUCAUUCGAUUAUUCUCAUAUUUCCAUGACAUCAUGUUUACCCUAUCUGUUUAAUUAUAGACUUUUUUCCUUCGAUUUCAACUGUUGUACAGUUCUUUCAAUUUGGGCCCAUAUUUGCAUGUUACCAUAUUUUAUUUAACAACCCCACCAUUUUCUGUAGGACAUCCCUCGCUAUGCAAUAGAUUAUGUAGUGCACAAUUUUUCCCUUUACAUACUUCAAGGCUCCACGAAUGUCAUACUGCGCACAAACCAUGGAUUUACAAUCGUUGCUACUGUAAGACUUGAUGAACGUGGUGACUCCUAUUUUGGCACUGGCUUUUGGAAUGAAAUUGCAAAGUUUUAUGUACUGAAAGCUGGCACUAAAAUUGUACUGCACAUAGAAGGGUCUGGUCCUGAGAUAUAUGCUAACUUCCCCGACAAAAUCAUCCGUCCAUACUUUGUUCGAAGUAAGUUUUCUUUUCAACUAUCUGCAUAUGUUGACUUACCCAGCAAUGUCAAAUGAAUUGUGUAGUAUUUAAGUAACUAAUUACUAUUCCCUUAUCUUACUAUAUUCCUACCUAAUAACUUCUAGUUGCCAAUACACUUUUCUAUUGCCCUGUUUUAACUAAAUAUUCCUUGUACUCCCAUUUCUAUUAGAAAACGCCGCUGACAAGGAGACUCCGGAGGUGGAGAACGGGGCUGCCAACAAGCGAAGGCGGGGCGAGCUAGAACCGCAAGAGACUCCAACAGGCCUAGACUUAAUCAGCACCCUCCCCGAUGAUAUGUUGAGAGUCAUCAUCUCCCUCCUCCCAAUCAAAUAUGGGGUGCGGACAACCCUUAAAAAGGGCUGGCCCGUUAAAAGGACGCUUACUUUGCGAACGAAGUUCAGAAUCAACAAGGGUUCUCCGAACGAAGGGAGUGUACAACUGGGGCGCAGCCCAACUUUUUUGUUGGAGAGAUAGAAUGGAGUUCUUCACGAAGUUUGAGACAAAGGAAAUAAUCAAAGUUUCUCUAUAGCCUCUUCGUUUUGAGACAUUAUGGCUUUGGGGUCGACCCCCCGAGGAUGCUUGGAGCGGGAGGGCGGGGGAUCGGCAUGGAGUAAGCAUGCACAACCCCCAUCCAGGGAUUAUACCCCGAGAGCCAUGGCGGAGGAGGGGCGGCCGCGGUUGCAGCGGGAGGACGCGGCGCCGAGUUGGUGUUGCGGCCGCAAGCCCCGCGGCCCUUCUGCUUGCGUCCACCGGUGGGCGCGGGCGCGGGUGGCGGGGUCGGAGGAGGCGCACGUGGUGCUGGCGGAGUUGGCGGAGCGUCGUGGCCAGCGGCGAGACCGACGUGGAGGGCGGCGUGGGUCGCCUGCCGAGCGGUGUGACGGAGACGCUUUUCCUCCAUGCGAAGAUAAGUGACCGCCUUCGCGUAUGUCGAUGUGACGAGGGAGAGGUUGGCGGCGGACUGGCCAAGGUCGGGGUGGAGGCCGCGGAGGAGGUUGGUGAGGAGGACGGAGUCGUCGAUGGUCAUGCCAACGUCGCGUAGUUCAUCGGCGAGGACCUUCAGCCGCGUGCAGUACUCAUCGAUCGAAAGAUCGUUUUGCUGCAUAGUGAAGAACUCCCCUUGAAGAAAGACGCGGCGCUGGAGUUGAUUGUCGAGGAAGAGAUCACAAAGGCGUGUCAACAUAGCAUGCGCGGACGGAUCACAGGCGUUCACCAUGUUGAAGAGGCCGCCGGAGAUGGUGAGGAAGAGCCACUUGACGAUGUAGGCGUCCACAGCAAGCCACUCGUCGUCGUCCUUCAUGUCGCGGAAGUCGACACUCCCAUCAACAUGCUCGAUGAGACGGUAAGAGCGGAACAACAACGCGAAGUAGGUGCGCCAUGCGUUGUAGGACGGCGAGUCGAGGUCGAGGAUGACCGGUACGUGGUCUUUGAUGUGAAGUUCGUUGAGGCGGUCGGAGGUGAACAUGGCACCGGAGAAGGAACCGGCGUCGGAUGCAUCAGCCUUGGCCAUGGUGGCGUCGGGUGGUUUGGGUUUGGGUGCGGCGGCGGCGGCUACAGAAGAUAGAUGGGAGCGGCGGCGACUGUUAGGGUUUGGGGAGGAGUGUGGCGGCGGUAGGGAGAAGAAGGGAAGCUGCGGCGGCGGCUACGGGAGAGGUGGCAGCGGUGGCAGCAGCGUGAGGGGUUUGGGGAGGAGUGGGCGGCGGCGGUGGCUACGGGAAAAGCAGUGACGGCGGCGGCGGUAGGGUUUGGAGUUGGCGCGGCAGCAGCGACUAAAGGAAGGCGCGGCGGCUGCAGGUUGUGGAAGCGAGAAAAGAUCGCGGUAAAACUGAUACCAUGUAGAGAGAAUAUUUGGUGCAACUCAAUUGUAUUCCAGGGAGUCGGUCACAAUAUAUACACAUGAUGUCUUGCGUGACAAGGAAACUAAUCCUACCAUAUCUCUAGGAAUCAACUAUACAAGGCUAGAGAAGAUAGGAUAAGCUAUACAAAUAUGUCACGUUCAAUAGGAUGUAAAGCACUAGAAAACUUGAAAGAUGUGAUAUUGGUUUGGUAUGAUUAUCUACUAAUCACAUAAGUACUAUAGGGGUCAGCCUCUUUCCCACCAUCAGAACUCUACUUACUACACCUGUUAUGGAUAUUAUGUUUUCUGACUAGGUGACAGACACCUUAUUCCUUUUGUGUGCUUCAACAACCUAUAAUGCAGUGCUCUCCAAUUAAUCAAUCAAACUUCAAAGAUAAGCUCUUUAUCUUGCUUCUUGCUAUAAUUUAUGCAAUUAUGUGUCAGUUAUGCUGAUAAGGGGAAACGGUCCCUGCAAGGCGGUAGCCAUGGGGUGCAGGAUACACUUUGCUACUGCCAUUGUGUAACUGGAAGCUGACACGCCGGUGUGAGGGCUUCUACUUCGCGGUGCUCCGCGGGGCGGCAGUUUGGUUGGGUGUUUAUACUUUAAAUUUGUAAUCAGCACCUUCCAUUACAAUGGUGAGUUGCGCAUACGCAAGCAGUCUACUGUGAGAUGCAUAUUAAUUUGUUUUUGCAGGUUGAUAUGAAAAAUAUAUCUUCAUUUGUGGAUGUGCCUUCUCUGACAUGGGGAAGAUUUGUCUCGGAAAGUCUAUAUGAUUGGCAAUAAUAAAAUCUCUACUUUUUGGAACGACCCUUCUUUUAUUUAAUAUGCUUCCAUAGCGUGUCUGAAAGUAUGUGCCCUGUGCAAGACAUAGCCACUGUCUUUUUCGUUUUGGAAGAAUAAUAUUUCAUGAAUUGUGUGAUUAUGCUUUGAUGAAUGCUCUCGAGGAAUCAAGCUUGCUUGAAGAUGUAAGUUUAUUUGAUGGUCUUGUGACACUUAUGAAUUUUUAUAUAUACGCUCAUAUACUAAACGUAACUUUGGAUAACUUCCUACUGAUACUGCGAAUGAUGAUCUGCCUUACACUAGAAUUUAUUGGGAGGUUGCCAAUGCCAUUGGUUUCACUCAUCUCACUGAAGCUCAAUUGGUUCAGGUCACAAACUUGUUUGCAUGUUUUGGUUUCUUUACUGGCUAUCUUAUUCAAGAUCAUCUUUAUUUUAAUCGAUGCUUCCAGGAGGUCAGCUUUGUUGUUCAGUCUACUGGAGUAGAUCCUACACUGCAGUUUUUCCUUCCCAUUUUGUCAACUUCAAAACCUAGCUAAUAUAUCUUGUCAGGUUCUCUGGGAGCCCAUGAACAAAUAGGCAAGCAAUAAAAAGUUGUUCAAAAUGAACAAUGUUAGCCUGUGAUUUGUUUGCAUCAGAAGUUUUGUUUAAAGAAUUCCUUCUUUGAUGAUUUAUAACAGGAAACAUGGCAUAAAAAUGGAAAACGGUGCGGCGAAGCGCACAUUUUCUUCUAGUAUUAUUGAAAUGCUACAGAUCGUGAAAAAACCGAUAUUUUGAUUAUAUUUACAAUUGCAAGUACAAAACUUGAUAUUAGUCAAAUAAAACAAUCUUCGGUAAAAAUUAGCAGCAACAACCUAGUAUGAUAAGUUAAAAUGAAUAAACAACGAGGAAUAUACCUCAAGUGUAACAACAUGAUCCAUUAUGCGUGGCCUUGCUGCAGUGUAGUCCAUAGGUGAAUCAACCUUCUCUGGAAUCAGUUUCUCAUCCCAAGUGAUAAAAUAGAGGUCACCAUCCAAAUCGCCCCCGGAGCAUUCAUUUGGAUGAGGCCUGAUUAACAUCAAAGAUUAAAGUCUAUAUGAACGAGGACUAUUAAACAUCAAAGAUUAAUUGAAGGAGAAAGCAAGCAUUGUCAACGUCCAUCAAUAGGUAGAGAUGUAAGUACGUAACAUGAGGGGAUAUCAAUCUGACAUGGAAACGAACAUGCUGACAAACACUUCAAUAGAGAUUUGAGCUCCUCUGAAAGCAUUGCCAGAGCAAUAUAAACUCUAGAUGACCGUCUUUCAGUUUCAGUAUAACAUACGACAUUACCUUUCUCCUCUUUGGGGGAAGACAACACAAUCAACCAGGUUCUUAGCGUACAAACCAUGGUCAUAGAUAGCUUCAAGUACUCUGAUGUCACUAGGAUGGAGACAAGGAUUUCUCGAUACUGCAACUUUUCCAACAACAACUGCUGUUUUCUCUUUUCCAUUAUCUUCAGCAAAAUAUGGCUGACAAUUAUCCUUCUGCUCUUUGCUGUUCUUUGUAAUUCUGAUGUACACUUGACCGUAUUCUAAUUCACCUGUUUCAUCCAAACAACCAUUAAGAACACGGCCUUUCGGAACAUGAAUCUUACAUCUAGUUCUUAUGUCAGUCAGCCUAUUAUCCUGAUGGGCCUUAAGAAUCAUCAACAGGUAAGGCUCUAAACUUGGUUCAUAGCCUUGCAGUAAAAUUUUCGAUGCUGUCUUUGUUUCUGCACUACCAAUUUUCCCCAGAACAGAGAGAGCAACUUCUCUGUUGGUCAGCAUUUCAUCUAACUCACGCAUAUCAUUCUGUUGCAUAGACUCAAAUAUCUCAUCUCUUAUCCCCAAAGUUGAAAGGAGAGAGAUAACUUCACGAUUCAUAUAGCAUGGUUGGGAUUUGCGGGUACUUGUAAUGUUAAACAUCCUGCUCUUUGAUUCAAAUUUCUUCAUACUAGGUCGCAGAGAAAGAUUACGAAAGGAAUCAGGGUUGACAGCAACAACUCCUUUGUAGCCAUCAUACCUUAUUUGAAAAGCUGAAGGAGGGUUAGUAUAGUCUAAUCCAAUUCGGCAAGCCAUUUCUUUAGCAAGUCUCUCAGAGAUCUUCCCGAUACCAUCAGAAAAUAUGUAUUUACUGCCAUCAGUUGUGACUUCAAUAUCUGGAAUCUCUUCUACAUCCCGUGGUAGGAUUUCAAGUGUUUGUCUGGAGGAGCUGAACAACUGGCCCAUUCUAGCCGCACACUUAGAUACUGAACGAAUAUCUUCAAAGUUGUCCAUCCACCUUCUUAUAUCCUCGGCCUUCAGGGAGUCAUUAGAAGCAAACAUCCAAAUAGAACUUCCACGAAGCUGACUUGCUGAGAAGGCCAGGAAUUCAUACUUCUUUGGACCAAUGGAAAAUCCUUCUUUAAGGAUGGAUAAAAUACGAUGAUAUAGGCCAGUUUUCAAGGGUUGAGAAAAGAACCCUCGUCCAGUUCUAGCUGAGAUAGCAUCUGGAAAAAGCUUACUCCAGUCUUCGUCUACAAAAGUAACUCUAGCAAAGUCAGAAGCAUACUGUUUGUGAUGCUUAACCACAUAACUUGAUACUUCUUCCUCAGGUCCCAAGCAGUAUAUUUUGGAUGGAGUGAUGUGAAUUCUGUAACACAUCAUUAACUUUCCUUCACCUUCAGUCUUACUGGAAAGCAAACCAUCAUGGCUCCUCUUCCUGCUAUGAGCCUCCUACUGGAUGAAUUGCAAAGGUUCAUAGCAUGUAAAGUCUAACUUGCUCAUUUUCUCAAAAAUCCUCCUUGAAAUAUGAACUGGUAUUUCUUCAAGAGCUUUAAACAGAUCAGCAUUAACAUCCUUGGCAACUAUCUUCCCCAUGUGAACAAGAGAAUUGAGACGAAAAAGAACUUCAUAUGACACUGAACAACCACUUGGGCAGUCAACAAGGGGAACGACUUUGGACGACGGGCCAAAAAAUUCCAUUGAAGAAAUGACCAAUUCCCCUAAUUCUCCUGACAAAGGCAAGCUGUUGAGAAUAAAUGACACCGGUGCACCUUCAUCAAGUACGAGGGCAAGAGUUGAACACUUCCCAAAAGAGUGGUUGGGUGUAAAAUCUAGUGCUCUGACCCAGGUAAAUUUUGCAUCCUCCUUGCAUGCAUGAAAGCGGUCAUCUGAGAACCUUGAAUAAACUGCAGGCCCAGAAACUGUUGUGCAUAUCCUUGGUGCAUACAUGAGCUGAAACAAAUAGUAAAUUAACAUUAGUCAAGAUAAUAUAUAUUUUACUAACUUCAGAAUUAUAGAAAGAAUUAAAAGAGUGUUGCGCCUCACCAACUUAUAGUCUAAGAAGUAUGACAAUCAGUAAAUUCAGAAAAGUAACGGUGAUGUGUAUUCAUCAGAUAAGCUUCAUAUUCAUUUCAUUCCAAUUAGUAACCACCAACUGAGAUAUUUAUAGGAGUGGAAAUAAAAGUCGCACCACUAUCCGUCUUACAUUAUGAGCUCUAACGCAUAAUUGCAAACCAGACCACUGUGAUGGUUCUCUAGUUUACUGACUCGAGAACUUGUCAAUUUUUCAGCUCGCGCAAGUAUUGAGGGAGGAAGUACAUCUAGAGCUUCCUUCUUCAAAUUUCUACCUCGCCCUAUAACCGCAACUUCUGACUAAUAUAUAAUGUACAAAGGAAAAACAGAAGUAUCACAGCAACAUGGUGACCAACUGUAACGCCCCGAGACCGAUGUGCCAGGUGUCGCGCAGUUAUUCGUUGUUGUUGUUGCGUUGUCAUUGCUUGAGUGUCAUGCAUUUCAUAUCAUGUCAUCAUGCGCAUUUCAUUUGCAUACGUGUUCCUCUCUUGCAUCCGAGCAUUUUACCCGUUGUCCGUUUUGCAUUCCGGUGAUCCGUUCUCCUCCGGUGGUCAUUUCUACCUUCCUCUUGUGUGUGGGGGUUAAACAUUUCCGUAUUGGACCGAGACUUGUCAUGCGGCCUUGGUUUACUACCGGUAGACCGCCUGUCAAGUUUCGUAUCAUUUGGACUUCGUUUGAUGCUCCAACGGUUAACCGAGGGACCGAAAAGGCCUCGUGUGUGUUGCAGCCCAACACCCCUCCAAUUUGGCCCAAAACCCACCAAACUUUGCUCCAUCGUCUCGGUCGUUCGAUCAAGAUCGCGUGGCCGAAAACCGCACCUCAUUUGGACUCUCCUAGCUCCACUUAUGCCUAUUUAUACCCCCCUCCAUUUCGGAUCUCGUCUUCCUCCUCCAAACCCUAAAAAAAAGAAACAGAUCCAUCUUCCCCCGCGCCGGGCCGGACGUGUCCGCCCGCGCCGGACGUUGUCCGCCCCGCCGCCGCACCCACUCACGCGCCGCCACGUGGGCCGCGCCCNNNNNNNNNNNNNNNNNNNNNNNNNNNNNNNNNNNNNNNNNNNNNNNNNNNNNNNNNNNNNNNNNNNNNNNNNNNNNNNNNNNNNNNNNNNNNNNNNNNNNNNNNNNNNNNNNNNNNNNNNNNNNNNNNNNNNNNNNNNNNNNNNNNNNNNNNNNNNNNNNNNNNNNNNNNNNNNNNNNNNNNNNNNNNNNNNNNNNNNNNNNNNNNNNNNNNNNNNNNNNNNNNNNNNNNNNNNNNNNNNNNNNNNNNNNNNNNNNNNNNNNNNNNNNNNNNNNNNNNNNNNNNNNNNNNNNNNNNNNNNNNNNNNNNNNNNNNNNNNNNNNNNNNNNNNNNNNNNNNNNNNNNNNNNNNNNNNNNNNNNNNNNNNNNNNNNNNNNNNNNNNNNNNNNNNNNNNNNNNNNNNNNNNNNNNNNNNNNNNNNNNNNNNNNNNNNNNNNNNNNNNNNNNNNNNNNNNNNNNNNNNNNNNNNNNNNNNNNNNNNNNNNNNNNNNNNNNNNNNNNNNNNNNNNNNNNNNNNNNNNNNNNNNNNNNNNNNNNNNNNNNNNNNNNNNNNNNNNNNNNNNNNNNNNNNNNNNNNNNNNNNNNNNNNNNNNNNNNNNNNNNNNNNNNNNNNNNNNNNNNNNNNNNNNNNNNNNNNNNNNNNNNNNNNNNNNNNNNNNNNNNNNNNNNNNNNNNNNNNNNNNNNNNNNNNNNNNNNNNNNNNNNNNNNNNNNNNNNNNNNNNNNNNNNNNNNNNNNNNNNNNNNNNNNNNNNNNNNNNNNNNNNCCCCGGCCGCGCCGCCCCUCGCCGUCUCGUCGCCGGCCACCGCCUCCUCCACGCCCGGCCCCCUCUCCGGCGACCUCCCCGGAGCCCGGCGUCCCUUUCCUCUCUGGCAAACAGUGAACUCCGGCGCCACCUCGGGAUCCGUGCCGCCAGAUCCAGAUCCAGUUUUGGAUUCGGUUGACUUCUCUCCCCCUAACUCUAAUUUUCGUGCCUACUUUGACUGCUCAUAACUUUGCUGUGGCUCCGUUUUGGACAUAUAAUAUAUCAAAAUCUUCGUCUCGACGAGUACAUCAUUUCAUUCCAUUGCAUCAUUUGCAUUUGAGUUCAUCUUGAUGCCCAAAAUGCUGUUAGAAGGAGGCAUCGUGAGUUAAAUUGCAGAUCCGUUAGCUCAUCAUUGACUUUUGUCAUUUUUGCCAUGAUUGUUGUGUGCAUGAUAUGCGUGUACCCCUUUGGGAUGAAUUGUUAAGCAUGUUGUCUUCUUUCCAGAGGUGCCACCCAUGCAUUUUUAAGAUGUGUGUGGUGUCUUUUGCAAGCUUGCAAAGAGGGGUACCUGAGAUUGCUGAUUUCAGGGACUUAGUGAUUUUCACUAAGUCUGGGAUAUUUUAGUUCAUGAUGCCAUGUGUCCAGCUUGUUUCCUAGUGAUCCGUGCCUCUUUUGAGGAUGAUCAGUAAGGGAGUUUUGAUAUUUAUGUUGUGCUCUAUCCAUCUGUGUCUGUACUUGUUAUGUUGGAGCACCCUAGGUUGAUUCUAUCGAGCUCUACUUUUGCAUCGUUGUUAAUUUGGGCAGAUCGUGAACUCUUUUGCGAUUUUGCCAGUGCUAUUGUUAGUGAUCCAUGCAUGCUAUGCCAUUGUUCUUGCCAUGUCUAGCUAGCUUUUUGUGCCUUCUCUAUGGAUAUAUGCUUGACUUGCCAUGACUUGCACCGUAGUGAGUGCAUCGAGCUCAUUUACAUGCCUUCGUGAGUUAAAUUUCAGCAUGUCUCAGUUUCCACUAAGUCUGAAACCUGAUUGUGUUUCAUCUAUGUUCGUGUGCUCGUUAGAGUAUUUUGUGAACCCUUUUGGCCCCAGGUCACUUUGGAUGUUUUGUUAAGCUUGUUGAGUAGCUCCAUGCCAUGUUCUUACUUGUCAUGUUCAGGUUAUGUUUCAUCUUGUUUUGCUGCUCCGAAGAGAGCAUCAUGGUCUGAAAUUUCAGACUAGUGUUAAUUUCACUAAGUCUGAAAUCUGUUUUGCUUAUUCAGUUUUGCCAUGCUUGUUUGAACCCCUUAAUGGAUGAAUUUGGCUAUGACUCGGUGCUAGUGAUUUGUUAAGCAUCUUGUGUACAUCCCUGCCAUUUCUUUUGUUGUCAUGUUUGGUGGCUGUAGAAUGUUCAUUUUGUUGCAUUUAGGUGCCUACUUGAUGUAAAUCGCAGAUCGGUUCGUUUUGUAAAACGCUUGCCAUUUCCAAACCGUAGCUCCGAUUCCUAUGAUCUUUAUAUCGUUUUCAAGUGAUUUCAUCCCCUCUAUCUAGUGGCACACUUGGUUUUCCAAGUUGAGGCUAGGUUCAUGCAUUUCCUGUCAUAUCUUGCAUUUUGCAUCCCGCAUCGCAUCCUGCAUCUCGCAUAUCAUACCAUGUUCAUGUGUUGGUUGUUUACUAUGUUGUGUGCUUCUUUUCCGAUGUUUGCUUCUUCGGGUUGGAUCUGGUAACGUCGAGUUUGUGAGGAUCCGUUCGACUACGUCCGUUGUCUUCUUCAUGGACUCGUUCUUCUUCCUUGCGGGAUUUCAGGCAAGAUGAUCAUACCCUCGAAAUCACUACUAUCUUUGCUAUGCUAGUUUGCUCGCUCUUUUGCUAUGCCAAUGCUACGAUGCCUACCACUUGCUUGUCAGCCUCCCAAAUUGCCAUGUUCAACCUCUAACCCACCAUGUCCUAGCAAACCGUUGAUUGGCUAUGUUACCGCUUUGCUCAGCCCCUCUUAUAGCGUUGUUAGUUGCAGGUGAAGAUUGAAGUUUGUUCCUUGUUGGAACAUGGAGAUCGUUCCUUAUUGGAACAUUGUUUACUUGUUGGGAUAUCACUAUAUAUCGUAUUUAAUUAAUGCAUCUAUAUACUUGGUAAAGGGUGGAAGGCUCGGCCUUAUGCCUGGUGUUUUGUUCCACUCUUGCCGCCCUAGUUUCCGUCAUAUCGGUGUUAUGUUCCCGGAUUUUGCGUCCCUUACGCGGUUGGGCUAUAAUGGGAACCCCUUGAUAGUUCGCCUUAAGUAAAGCUUCUCCAGCAAUGCCCAACAUUGGUUUUACCAUUUGCCUCCUAGCCUUUUCUUUCCCUUGGGUUCUGCAGACUCAAGGGUCAUCUUUAUUUUAGCCCCCCCCCCCCGGGCCAGUGCUCCUCUGAGUGUUGGUCCGAACUAGAGUCCUGUGCAGCGCCCCCUCGGGGAAACUCGAGGUUUGGUUUUAGUUGUAUGGAGAGCUCAUCUGAGUGUGCCCUGAGAAAGAGAUAUGUGUAGCUCCUAUCGGGAUUUGUCGGCACAUUCGGGCGGUGUUGCUGGUUUAGUUUUACCCUAUCGAAAUGUCUUGUUGUACUGGGAUACCGAGUCUGAUCGGAACGUCUCAGGUGGAGGUCUAUUCCUUCGUUGACCGUGAGAGCUUGUGAUGGGCUAAGUUGGGACACCCCUGCAGGGAUUUGAACUUUCGAAAGCCGUGCCCGCGGUUAUGGGCAGAUGGGGAUUUGUUAACGUCCGGUUGUAGAAAACCUGAAGUUAACCUUAAUUAAAAUGAAUCAACCGCGUGUGUAACCGUGAUGGUCUCUUUCCGGCGGAGUCCGGGAAGUGAACACGGUUGUUGGAGUUAUGCUUGACGUAGGUAGUCUAGGAUCACUUCUUGAUCAUACUUUUAUCGACCGUGCUUUGCCUUCUCUUCUCGCUCUCAUUUGCGUAUGUUAGCCACCAUAUAUGCUAGUCGCUUGCUGCAGCUCCACCUCAUACCUUUACCUUACCCAUAAGCUUAAAUAGUCUUGAUCGCGAGGGUGCGAGAUUGCUGAGUCCCUGUGGCUCACAGAUACUUCCAAAACCAGAUUGCAGGUGCCGAUGAGUCCGUGCAGAUGACGCAACCAAGCUCAGGAGGAGCUCGAUGAAGAUCUUGUCCUUUGUGUUGUUUCGUUCUAGUUGAUCAGUAGUGGAGCCCAGUUGGGGUCGAUCGGGGACCUUUGUUGCAUUUGGGGUUCUUCUUUUAUUUUGGUUUCGUAGCCAGACCAUGAGUGUAUUUGGUUGAUGUAAUGCUUUAUUCAUGUAAUUGUGUGAAGUGGCGAUUGUAAGCCAACUAUGUAUCCUUUUCCGUAUUAUAUUACAUGGGUUGUGUGAAGAUUACCUCACUUGCGACAUAUGCCUUCAAUGCGAUUAUGCCUCUAAGUCAUGCCUCGACACGUGGGAGAUAUAGUCGCAUCGAGGGUGUUACAAGUUGGUAUCAGAGCCUUCCCCGACCUUAGGAGCCCCCAUUGCUUGAUCGUUUUUAGGAGCCGAGUUGUGUCUAGAAAAAUGUUUUGAGUCCUUAGGAAUUAUAUAUCGGAGAGCUUAGGAAUUCUUUUUACUUCCCAGUCUCCUCAUCGCUCUGGUAAGGCAUCCUGACGUAGAGUUUUGACUCUUCUCUUCUCAAAUUUCACAAAAAAAAAAUUAGGAUCACGCGAGUAUCUUGGAUUUGUUCCGAUGGCUUAUGAUGAGAAUACUGUCUUGGUGCCUCCUGUCAGGGGUUUAGUGGAAGUGUCCCGGGGAGUUGAGCUCUGAGGUGUUGUCAUCAUAAUUUUAUCGUUGCAAUUCUGGAAUACUUGAGAUAUGUGCGCGACAUCGAAAAUCUCCUUUAUGCAGUUCGUUGGUGAGAUAACCUCGACGCCACCCAGUACUGGGGCGGGAGUUCGGGAGUAUCGCCAUAACUUGUAUAACGGAUGCUUUUCGAAGGUUGAGAUAGAUGGUUUCCGAAGGUUUCUUGGUUAUGUGUUGAAGGAUGGAUACAGCUGGAUGUAGGAUUUGCUAGUUUGGGUGAGAUAUUAUGCUUCCCCUGUAUCCUAAACACCUGAUUGCAUAACCGGGAAGUUUCGGGAGUUUCAUAGGUGGGAAUUCAAGUAGCUCUUAGGAUAUAUUUUCCGACAGAUGUAUGAUAUGAAAUUGGGGUUCGACGUCUAGUGGUUCGCCUAUUCACGGUCGAUUUUACAGUGGUUUUGUUGCGUCUUAAAGAGUCCUUGGCUAUGCUGACUCGGGGACGCUUUGUAUGUCAUGUGCACAGCCUUGUACAUGAUGGUGCUGUACGAUUGAGCCCGUGUAGGUUCCACCACGAAAACUUCGGACGAAAUCUCUAUCAUAUGUUUGUUCCGGCUUAUUCUGCAAGCCAAUCCUUUGUUUUUGUUUUGAGUUGUGGUAUUCGAGUUGCUUCGAAGUCAAAUGUUGAUUCCAUACCAUCCUCAAGUGGUGUUCUCAUAUUCCUAUGCGAAUACUAAUCCUUCAUGAUAAUCGAGAUUGUCAUGUUAAUCCUUUUUCAACCGGCGUGUUUUCUCUUCUAGUGAUUCCGAUCAUUUCAACUCCCGCAAGAUCAAUUAUCACUUCUUCUCAACGGUGUUUGUUUCAUUCUUCCCAAGCUGCCUUUGUUUUUCCCUCCCUCCCACCCUUGUUUCUUCGAGGAACCGGAUUUCUUAUUCAAGUAUCCAUUUUAUUGAUGGGAAGCCUCUCCAUUCUUUUCCGUCUAUAUUCUUACCCGGUGGUUCUCAAGAAGAUGUUCUACUAGUUCGUCAUUCCUCAUUCCUUUUCUUCUCCGGUGGAACCAAUUCAAGCUUUUGGUGUUGAUCAUAUCUUUUCCUCAUUUCAGAAGUUUUUUAACAUACCGGUGCACCUCAUAAUCAUCCACUCUUCGCUAUUCAUUUGUUCCGGAGUGCUCAUGAUAUCUCGAAGAUUCGUGUAUCCACUCUUCUUUCAUUCAAGCUAUUUCGAGGAUGUUAUCUCUUUCAAGCCAUUUAAUUUCAACCGGUGCAAUCUCUCUUUCUAAUCGUUCUACGGUGUAUCUUUUCAGUGGGCCCUAACCCACAGGUCUUUUCCCAGGAUCUUACCUGACUCUUCUUAUUUUCCUGGAGAUAUUCUCAAAUUCUUUUCGAAGUUUAACGUAAGAACGAUUUUCUUCAGUCAAGUGCCUUUCUCCAAGAUCGGUUAAAUUCUUUUCAUCAUUGGCUCAACCUUUUUCAUUCUUCGUUCCGGAGUGUCUAAAUAAUUCUUGGUGGUGUUUCUCAUUGUCAUUUGAAGAUCGAAGAAGAGUUUCUCUUUAAUCUUGUUCCAUUCUCUUCAAGAUUCGUGAUUCUGUCUUGUUGCCAUCCUCUCAUAAUAAUUUGCGAUUGUGAGAUAUUCUUUUCACUUAUCCGGAGAAAUUCAAGAGUCUUCUCAAUUUCUUAUCCGGAAUCCAUCUUUUCAAAUAUUAUUUAUUCUCAGCUUUCAGUUAUCAUUCUCCAAAUUUUCCCGGUAAAUCAAGUGAUCUCUAAUCAGCUCGUGAUCUCUUCGCUCUCAUGUAUCUAAAUUCUCUCAAGCGCCUUCGUUCAUUUGCUUAAUUCUUCCCGGUGUUUCUUCAUAUUUUAAUCGUUCUUUUUCAAUUCUUAUGGUGGUUCGCUCAAGAUUCUUCUUCCUUCAUUUAUCAUAUCAAUUUAUUCAUUGCUUCCUAAUCCUACCGGUGGUUCGUUGAAGACCUUCUCAAGUUAUCGAUAUCUCUCUUUAAUCCUUUCCACGAGAAUAAGUAAUAUGCCAAAUCCAUUGCUUGUCAUCAAUUUUAAUUGGUGAAGGAUACGCAUAAUGUAAAUCUUAUUCUUGUUUCAUCGAGUUUAUUCUAUUCCCGUUUUUUCCGGAGUGGCUCAUCAUACUCAUUCUUGUUUUCACUUGUUUCAUCUUUUCUUUUCCGGAGUUCCAAGUUCUCUCAAUUAUAUCAUCACGGAGAUCCAUCUAAAUCAUUGCAAGGAUUCACCUUGUGUCUUCAAUAUCUCUCUCUUUUAUUCUUUGGUUACUGGAGUUUCUUCUUGGAGGUUAUACAUGAUGGUUCAUCAAGGAUUUAAUUCCUUCUCGAAGUGUUCAUCGAGAUUCUUUUUCUAAGGAGCUCAAGUAUUCUUCAUCUUGCAAUCCGGAGUGCAAAUUCUUUCUACCAUAUUACCGGAGGUGGUAUUGUGUCAUUCUUGAUAAUUUGAGUUCUUGUUUUACAUGUUAUUAAGAAUGAGGUAUUUUAAAUCCAUCAAUCUUGUCAUUGGAGUUAUCUUGGGUUAUAUUUCACCUUAAGCCUUCCCUAAGGAUGGUUGUUGUUAUUGUGCUUAUACAUGACCCAAGUUCUUCUUUUAUCCUCCCGGUGAUAUAGCCUUCUCGUCUCCUUGUUCCUAUCAAUACAAUUCUUUUCCCGUGAGUGGCAGGUUGUCACCUCAUAAUUUGAGAUGUAUUCCAUAAGACCAUAUCAACCUUAUUCUUUUCGUUGGUGGUUUUUCCAACAACUCCGUUCAACCCCUCUCCUAAAGAUGCCUUUCCAAACUCUUUUGUGGUAGAAAUUGGCAUUUUAUUCUCAAUUCUCUUAUUUCAAUUAUCUAUCUUCUAUUCUUUUGUUCCGGAGGCAUUGUGAUGUUCAUCUUUUCAACCCAUCAUCUCGUUUUGUCAAAGAUCAUGUUCUUUUCAUGCCUAUCCAUUUUAGCCGGAGUGUUGUGUUCCUCUUUUCUAACGAAGUGCUUUCAACUUCGUUUAUCUCCAUUGUUUUCUUUUCUCGAGGUGGCUUAUCCUCUUAUAGGUUAUUUGGUUUCACUCGUUUGUCAAGAAGCAACUUAAUUUUACCUCUUCUCUUUCUCUUUCGUUGUCCCUCCGGUGCCAUUCUAGAUCUCGGGACGAGAUCCUCUCGUAGUGGUGGAGUGUUGUAACGCCCCGAGACCGAUGUGCCAGGUGUCGUGCAGUUAUUCGUUGUUGUUGUUGCGUUGUCAUUGCUUGCGUGUCAUGCAUUUCAUAUCAUGUCAUCAUGCACAUUGCAUUUGCAUACGUGUUCGUCUCUUGCAUCCGAGCAUUUUACCCGUUGUCCGUUUUGCAUUCCGGCGAUCCGUUCUCCUCCGGUGGUCAUUUCUACCUUCCUCUUGUGUGUGGGGGUUAAACAUUUCCGGAUUGGACCGAGACUUGUCAUGCGGCCUUGGUUUACUACCGGUAGACCGCCUGUCAAGUUUUGUAUCAUUUGGACUUCGUUUGAUGCUCCAACGGUUAACCGAGGGACCGAAAAGGCCUCGUGUGUGUUGCAGCCCAACACCCAUCCAAUUUGGCCCAAAAGCCACCAAACUCUGCUCCAUCGUCUCGGUCGUUCGAUCACGAUCGCGUGACCGAAAACCGCACCUCAUUUGGACUCUCCUAGCUCCACUUAUGCCUAUUUAUACCCACCUCCAUUUCGGAUCUCGUCUUCCUCCUCCAAACCCUAAAAAAAAGAAACAGAUCCAUCUUCCCCCGCGCCGGGCCGGACAUGUCCGCCCACGCCGGACGUUGUCCGCCCCGCCGCCGCACCCACUCACGCGUCGCCACGUGGGCCGCGCCCACAUCGCCGCCGCUGGGCCCGCCAGGCCCACGGGGAGCCCCCGCGAGCCCAUCUCGCAUCGCCGCCGCCGCCUGUCUUCCUCCCUCUCCAGCACCGUCCGCGGCCACCUUCGCCNNNNNNNNNNNNNNNNNNNNNNNNNNNNNNNNNNNNNNNNNNNNNNNNNNNNNNNNNNNNNNNNNNNNNNNNNNNNNNNNNNNNNNNNNNNNNNNNNNNNNNNNNNNNNNNNNNNNNNNNNNNNNNNNNNNNNNNNNNNNNNNNNNNNNNNNNNNNNNNNNNNNNNNNNNNNNNNNNNNNNNNNNNNNNNNNNNNNNNNNNNNNNNNNNNNNNNNNNNNNNNNNNNNNNNNNNNNNNNNNNNNNNNNNNNNNNNNNNNNNNNNNNNNNNNNNNNNNNNNNNNNNNNNNNNNNNNNNNNNNNNNNNNNNNNNNNNNNNNNNNNNNNNNNNNNNNNNNNNNNNNNNNNNNNNNNNNNNNNNNNNNNNNNNNNNNNNNNNNNNNNNNNNNNNNNNNNNNNNNNNNNNNNNNNNNNNNNNNNNNNNNNNNNNNNNNNNNNNNNNNNNNNNNNNCCUUCGCGUCGGGCGCCCACGGCCACGGCGACCCCGGCCGCGCCGCCCCUCGCCGUCUCGUCGCCGGCCACCGCCUCCUCCACGCCCGGCCCCCUCUCCGGCGACCUCCCCGGAGCCCGGCGUCCCUUUCCUCUCCGGCGAACAGUGAACUCCGGCGCCACCUCGGGAUCCGUGCCGCCAGAUCCAGAUCCAGUUUUGGAUUCGGUUGACUUCUCUCCCCCUAACCCUAAUUUUCGUGCCUACUUUGACUGCUCAUAACUUUGCAUCUGUGGCUCCGUUUUGGACAUAUAAUAUAUCAAAAUCUUCGUCUCGACGAGUAAAUCAUUUCAUUCCAUUGCAUCAUUUGCAUUUGAGUUCAUCUUGAUGCCAAAAAUGCUGUUAGAAGGAGGCAUCGUGAGUUAAAUUGCAGAUCCGUUAGCUCAUCAUUGACUUUUGUCAUUUUUGCCAUGAUUGUUGUGUGCAUGAUAUGCCUGUACCCCUUUGGGAUGAAUUGUUAAGCAUGUUGUCUUAUUUCCAGAGGUGCCACCCAUGCAUUUUUAGGAUGUGUGUGGUGUCUUGUGCAAGCUUGCAAAGAGGGGUACCUGAGAUUGCUGAUUUCAGGGACAGUGAUUUUCACUAAGUCUGGGAUAUUUUAGUUCAUGAUGCCAUGUGUCCAGCUUGUUUCCUAGUGAUUCGUGCCUCUUUUGAGGAUGAUCAAUAAGGGAGUUUUGAUAUUUAUGUUGUGCUCUAUCCAUCCGUCUCUUUACUUGUUAUGUUGGAGCACCCUAGGUUGAUUCAAUCAAGCUCUACUUUUGCAUCGUUGUUAAUUUGGGCAGAUCGUGAACUCUUUUGCGAUUUUGCCGGUGCUAUUGUUAGUGAUCCAUGCAUGCUAUGCCAUUGUUCUUGCCAUGUCUAGCUAGAUUUUUGUGCCUUCUCUAUGGAUAUAUGCUUGCCUUGCCAUGACUUGCACCAUAGUGAGUGCAUCGAUCUCGUUUACAUGCCUUCGUGAGUUAAAUUUCAGCAUGUCUCAGUUUCCACUAAGUCUGAAACCUGAUUGUGUUUCAUCUAUGUUCGUGUGCUCGUUAGAGUAUUUUGUGAACCCUUUUGGCCCCAGGUCACUUUGGGUGUUUUGUUAAGCUUGUUGAGUAGCUCCAUGCAAUGUUCUUACUUGUCAUGUUUAGGUUAUGUUUCAUGUUGUUUUGCUGCUCCAAAGAGAGCAUUGUGGUCUGAAAUUUCAGACUAGUGUUAAUUUCAGUAAGUCUGAAAUCAGUUUUGCUGAUUCAGUUUUGCCAUGCUUGUUUGAACCCCUUAAUGGAUGAAUUUGGCUAUGACUCAGUGCUAGUGAUUUGUUAAGCAUCUUGUGUACAUCCCUGCCAUUUCUUUUGUUGUCAUGUUUGGUGGCUGUAGAAUGUUCAUUUCGUUGCAUUUAGGUGCCUACUUGCUGUAAAUCGCAGAUCGGUUCGUUUCGUAAAACGCUUGCCAUUUCCAAACCGUAGCUCCGAUUCCUAUGAUCUUUAUAUCGUUUUCAAGUGAUUUCAUCCCCUCUAUCCAGUGGCACACUUGGUUUUCCAUGUUGAGGCUAGGUUCAUGCAUUUCCUGUCAUAUCUUGCAUUUUGCAUCCCGCAUCGCAUCCCGCAUCUCGCAUAUCAUACCAUGUUCAUGUGUUGGUUGUUUACUAUGUUGUGUGCUUCUUUUCCGGUGUUUGCUUCUUCGGGUUGGAUCCGGUAACGUCGAGUUUGUGAGGAUCCGUUCGACUACGUCCGUUGUCUUCUUCAUGGACUCGUUCUUCUUCCUUGCGGGAUUUCACGCAAGAUGAUCAUACCCUCGAAAUCACUACUAUCUUUGCUAUGCUAGUUUGCUCGCUCUUUUGCUAUGCCAAUGCUACAAUGCCUACCACUUGCUUGCCAGCCUCCCAAAUUGCCAUGUUCAACCUCUAACCCACCAUGUACUAGCAAACCGUUGAUUGGCUAUGUUACCGCUUUGCUCAGCCCCUCUUAUAGCGUUGUUAGUUGCAUGUGAAGAUUGAAGUUUGUUCCUUGUUGGAACAUGGAGAUCGUUCCUUAUUGGAACAUUGUUUACUUGUUGGAAUAUCACUAUAUAUCGUAUUUAAUUAAUGCAUCUAUAUACUUGGUAAAGGGUGGAAGGCUCGGCCUUAUGCCUGGUGUUUUGUUCCACUCUUGCCGCCCUAGUUUCCGUCAUAUCGGUGUUAUGUUCCCGGAUUUUGCGUCCCUUACGCGGUUGGGCUAUAAUGGGAACCCCUUGACAGUUCGCCUUAAGUAAAGCUUCUCCAGCAAUGCCCAACAUUGGUUUUACCAUUUGCCUCCUAGCCUUUUCUUUCCCUUGGGUUCUNNNNNNNNNNNNNNNNNNNNNNNNNNNNNNNNNNNNNNNNNNNNNNNNNNNNNNNNNNNNNNNNNNNNNNNNNNNNNNNNNNNNNNNNNNNNNNNNNNNNNNNNNNNNNNNNNNNNNNNNNNNNNNNNNNNNNNNNNNNNNNNNNNNNNNNNNNNNNNNNNNNNNNNNNNNNNNNNNNNNNNNNNNNNNNNNNNNNNNNNNNNNNNNNNNNNNNNNNNNNNNNNNNNNNNNNNNNNNNNNNNNNNNNNNNNNNNNNNNNNNNNNNNNNNNNNNNNNNNNNNNNNNNNNNNNNNNNNNNNNNNNNNNNNNNNNNNNNNCGAGGUUUGGUUUUAGCUGUAUGGAGAGCUCAUCUGAGUGUGCCCUGAGAAAGAGAUAUGUGCAGCUCCUAUCGGGAUUUGUCGGCACAUUCAGGCGGUGUUGCUGGUUUAGUUUUACCCUGUCGAAAUGUCUUGUUGUACUGGGAUACCGAAUCUGACCGGAACGUCCCAGGUGGAGGUCUAUUCCUUCGUUGACCGUGAGAUCUUGUGAUGGGCUAAGUUGGGACACCCCUGCAGGGAUUUGAACUUUCGAAAGCCGUGCCCGCGGUUAUGGGCAGAUGGGGAUUUGUUAACGUCCGGUUGUAGAAAACCUGAAGUUAACCUUAAUUAAAAUGAAUCAACCGCGUGUGUAACCGUGAUGGUCUCUUUCCGGCGGAGUCCGGGAAGUGAACACGGUUGUUGGAGUUAUGCUUGACGUAGGUAGUCUAGGAUCACUUCUUGAUCAUACUUUUAUCGACCGUGCUUUGCCUUCUCUUCUCGCUCUCAUUUGCGUAUGUUAGCCACCAUAUAUGCUAGUCGCUUGCUGCAGCUCCACCUCAUACCUUUACCUUACCCAUAAGCUUAAAUAGUCUUGAUCGCGAGGGUGCGAGAUUGCUGAGUCCCUGUGGCUCACAGAUACUUCCAAAACCAGAUUGCAGGUGCCGAUGAGUCCGUGCAGAUGACGCAACCAAGCUCAGGAGGAGCUCGAUGAAGAUCUUGUCCUUUGUGUUGUUUCGUUCUAGUUGAUCAGUAGUGGAGCCCAGUUGGGAUCGAUCGGGGACCUUUGUCGCAUUUGGGGUUCUUCUUUUAUUUUGGUUCCAUAGCCGGACCAUGAUUGUAUUUGGUUGAUGUAAUGCUUUAUUCAUGUAAUUGUGUGAAGUGGCGAUUGUAAGCCAACUAUGUAUCCUUUUCCUUAUUAUAUUACAUGGGUUGUGUGAAGAUUACCUCACUUGCGACAUAUGCCUUCAAUGCGAUUAUGCCUCUAAGUCGUGCCUCGACACGUGAGAGAUAUAGUCGCAUCGAGGGUGUUACACCAACUCAACUGGUUCUUCACGUCUAACAAUUGGACUUCAGUAUAUCCUAAUACCAAGUUUACUGCCAUGGCCAAACCAAUCCCCGACCACAUGCCUUGUUUGGUCAGUAUAGGAUCAUCGAUCCCCGCGACCAAAAAAUUUAGGUUAGAAUCUUACUGGAUGUAGCACAGAGGCUUCUUUGAGGUGGUGAAUACUUCUUGGUCCAAACCAAGUUAUUUGCAUAAUAGUGCAGCCAGGAUUUGCCAGAAAAUGAGAAGACUAACGUACGCCCUUAAGAAGUGAGUAAAGGCCUCUCACAUCUCAAAGUGCUGAUCCAAAACACUGAAUGGGCCGUUAUUGAGCUAGAUGAAAUUGAAAACCUGAGAACACUCACAACCCCAGAAUCGAACUUCGGGCGAAUUCUAAAAACUCACCUACUGCAGCCUCUGAACAUUCAGAACCAACACUGGAGAAAAAGGAUGCACUGUCAGGGUUAUUCGUUUUGGAGAGGAAACUACGAAAAAUUCCACCGGAUGGCCAUAGAGCGAUACCGAAAUAACUUCAUCACCAUGCUGAAAUUACCCGAUGGCACUGAAGUUGAGAACCACACAGGCAAAGAAGGGAUACUGCUCAAUGUGUUUAAAGAAAGAUUGGGGGAAUCUUCGCCUCCAAAUCAGAAAUUCGACCCAGGCUCUAUCAUUACCAAGAUUGAUGGACUGGAAGAACUUUAUGUCCCAUUCACUGAGGCGGAAAUUGAUGAGGUGGUUGGUGUCAGGAAAUAUGCAACUUGUAUUACUAGGAGGCCAAAGCCACCAUAUAUAUAAUGUGCAUGAGGAUGCCAAAAGGCAAGAAUACAAAAGGCCAAAGGCCAUCAUCAAUACAACUCUAACACCCCCCCUCAAACUCAUGGUGGCUCGACAACACUGAGUUUGGAGAGGUGAAAUCUAUGUUGUGCUCUAGUCUGUGCCUUCGUGAAGAAGUCUGCUAGCUGUAACUCGGAAGGCACAUACUGAAGAGCAACAACAAGAUCCUGCACAGCAGCGCGCACAUAAUAAGCAUCAACACCAAUAUGCUUGGUAAGUUCAUGCUUCACAGGGUCCCGCGCAAUACUGAUAGCACCUGUACUGUCAGACAAGAGGGUGGUAGGUCUAGUAACAGAAACACCAAAAUCCUCCAGUAGCCAUCGUAACCAAGUUACCUCUGCCGUCAGAAGAGCCAUAGCUCUAAACUCGGCCUCUGCACUCGGACGAGAAACUACAGUCUAUUUCUUCGUCUUCCAGGCAAUGAGAAAACCACCAAGAAAGACACAGUAAGCAGAAAGUGAACGGCGAUCCGAAGGAUCACUGGCCCACGUAGCAUCUGAAUAGGCCUGGAGUUGUAAAGAGCUGGAACGAGGAAAAAAGAGACGAUGAGAGAUCGUGCCACGAAGAUAUCGUAGAACACGAAGAAGGUGACUAUAGUGAACUGAAGUGGGAGCGAAAACAAACUGGCUCAGAAUAUGGACAGGAUAGGAGAUAUCCGGACGAGUGACAACAAGAUAGACAAGACUCCCAACAAGAUGACGAUAACGCGUCGGAUCAGACAAGAGCUCACCAUCAGAAGCACGAAGGUUAACAUUGAGCUCCAUAGGAGUCUCAGCAGUGCGCUCGUCACUAAGAGAUGCACGAGCAAGAAGAUCCUAGAUAUAAUUUUUUUGGGAAAUAGAAAAGCCAUCAGAGGAGGAGGAAACCUCAAUCCCAAGAAAGUAACGAAGGGGACCAAGAUCAGACAUAAGAAACUACUCACUAAGAUGGGCCUUGACAAAGGAAAUGUACUCAGAAUCAUCGCUAGUGAUGAUCAUGUCAUCAACAUAUAGAAGAAGAAGAGUGCGACCACGAGCAGAAACAUGGACAAACAACGCUGGAUCAUGAGCACUGGGCGAAAAACCAGCUGAAGUGACCAUAGAGGCAAAACGCUCAAACCAAGCGCGGGGUGCUUGCUUAAGGCCAUAUAGAGAGCGACGAAGACGGCAAACCAUGCCAUCGGGAACUGAAUACCCAGGUGGUGGCUGCAUAUAAACUUCCUCACGCAACUCACCAUUAAGAAAGGCAUUCUUAACAUCAAGCUGAGACACAGACCAGUGGCGAACAGAGGCCACGGCGAGAAGUGUGCGGACAAUGGUCAUAUGGGCCACAGGAGCAAAAGUCUCAUCAUAAUCAGGACCAUGCUCCUGCUGAAAGCCACGAGCCACAAGACGAGCUUUAUAACGCUCAAGAGAACCAUCAGAGCGAGUCUUAAUCUUAUAGACCCACUUACAAGUGAUGGGACGAACACGGGGGGGGGGGNNNNNNNNNNNNNNNNNNNNNNNNNNNNNNNNNNNNNNNNNNNNNNNNNNNNNNNNNNNNNNNNNNNNNNNNNNNNNNNNNNNNNNNNNNNNNNNNNNNNNNNNNNNNNNNNNNNNNNNNNNNNNNNNNNNNNNNNNNNNNNNNNNNNNNNNNNNNNNNNNNNNNNNNNNNNNNNNNNNNNNNNNNNNNNNNNNNNNNNNNNNNNNNNNNNNNNNNNNNNNNNNNNNNNNNNNNNAGCAAUCUCCUCUGCCAUCGCGAACUGCCAUUCAGGAUGAACAAUAGCAUCUCGAUAAGAAGUCGGCUCAAGAACGGCCGAAAGACCAUAACGAGAAGGGGAAUAUCGGUCAGGGGGCGGACAAGGCCGAGAACGAAGACCAUAAGUCUGAUGAGAGGAGGGAGACGACACACCAGAAGUAGAGGGCACAUUGGUAGACUCAUUCACAACACGUGAACGACGAGUAUAAUGGAAAGGAAAGGACGGAAGAGGUGGAAUCACUGGAGGUGGAGACGAGGAAUUUAUUGGUGAUGAAGGUGGAGAAGGGGAAGCUAUCGGCGAUGAAGGUGGAGAAGGGGAAGCUAUCGGCGAUGAAGAUGGAGAAUCAUGCGACGAGUGAGUAGAAGAAACCGUAGGAGAGGACGGCGUCAGAUCUGCAACAACAAGAUGAGGAGUAGGAAUACUGGGCACAGAGAGAGGUGUAUCUGGAAAAGUAAGAAAAGAGAUGUCCUCCAUAGAAAAAGACGAGCAGGAUGGACGCGGGUAGAAGGGACGAGAUUCAUCAAAGGUCACAUCUCGGGAAAUACGCAUCCGGCGACCGACAGGAUCCCAACACCGAUAGCCCUUAUGCUCAUCACUAUAUCCAAGAAAGACACACUCAACAGACUGAGCGGUCAGUUUGGUGCGUUCACGAGGGGGCAAGCAAAACAUAGCAGACACAACCGAACAAACGGAGCGCCGAAUAAUCAGGAGAACGACCAGAAAGACGCUUGAGAGGAAUACCACUUUGUAGAGUAGCAGAUGGCUGAAUGUUGAUGAGAUGGGUGGAAGUAGUAACAGCCUCAGCCCAAAAGUCAGGAGGAAGAGAGGCGGCGAUCAUCAUCGCACGCGCCGUCUCAAGAAGGUGACGAUGCUUGCGCUCAGCCACGCCAUUCUGAGCAUGAGCACCAGGACAAGAGAACUGAGCAAGAGUACCCUGCUCAGCAAGAAAUCCUCGCAGCGCAUGGGAGAUAUACUCACCAGCUGAAUCUGCACGAAAAACACGAAAAGGAGUGGAAAACUGGGUAUGAACCAUGGCAGCAAAUUUUUUGUAUAUAGAUAAGACCUCAGUACGAGAAGACAUGAAAUAGAUCCAAGUGUACCGAGAAAAGUCAUCUAUAAAGAUAAUAUAGUAGAGAUGACCCCCUUUCGAAGAUGGCCCCUUUCGAAGCGAAGGGAGUCGGACCCCAAACAUCAGAGUGAACGAGAUCAAAAGGACGCUCGGACACUGACUCACUGUGAGGAUAGGGUAGCUGAAUCUGCUUACCAAGCCGACAACUCAUACAAUCCAACGAAGCGUUACCAGAGACAGACCCCAGAACACCAUGAUGAACCAGAGACGAGAGACGAGAACCACAUAAAUGGCCAAGACGAUGAUGCCACUGCUGAAAAGAGCUGGUAGAUGCAACAACAGGGGUUGCGAGACUGGUAGAGGUGGCAGCGGAGGUAAGACGAAGCUAGUCAAGCUCCCAGAGACCAUCAGAACAUCGAGGGCCAGCACCAAGUAGAGCGCCCGUGCGACGAUCCUGAACAGAACAUGAAUCAAAGUCUAGAAUGACCCUACAACUAGAGUCAACAAUCUGACCACCAGAUAUGAGCUGCAUGGUAAGUCGAGGAACAUGAGAAACAAAGGGAACAUGAAAUGAAGAAGUGCUAAGAGUGCCUCGACUAGCUACAGGGAGGGGAGUGCCAUCAGCCGUAAGAACACGAACAGGAGACUCGACAGGUCGAACGGAGGUCAAAGUUGAAGAAUCAUAAGUCAUAUGAAAAUACGCUCCAAUAUCAAGAAUCCAUGGGGAUGUACCCGAAUGAGUAGGAAGUGGUUUCUCAAUGACGGAAGAGUCAGCCACGGAACUUGCAGAAACUGUUGGCGAAGAAUCCCAAGCAUCAAGCAGGCAUCGCAGCUAUGCAAUCUCACAUGCAGACAGGGACAGGACAGAAGAGGUCGAGGUAGAAGCAUCUGCCGAUGAUGAACAGUCGCCACCACCAGUGGAAGCCGAAGGUAGAGUCGACAUAGAGCCACAUGGGGAGUCGACAUAGAGCGGUCACCGUCGUGCGCACAAGCCGCAAUAGGAGUCGAUGUAGAGCGACUAGCAGCACCGAUGGAUGUCGCAAUAGGUGUCGAAGUAGAGCGACAGCCAUCACCUCCAAGUGGGCGAGCACCAAGCACCGAGGAACGGCUCAUGUGCGAGACAGGAUCAAUAUAUGGAACACCGCCAAAAAACAUCGAGCGGUGAGGGAGAGGUGUACCAGAUGAAAACAUUGCACUCUUUCUUUCUUUUUUUUCUUUCUUUUUUUGUCUCUCUCUCUUUUUUUAGAAGUCAGCAGGAGAGCCAAGAGCCGAAAGAAUUGGCAAACCACUCACAGCGGCCCACCAGGAGCCCAAGCAACCAGCGCCUGCGAAAUCACAUGAAUUGAUCUGAUCUGAACGGGAACUGAAAGUGCGGCAGUUUCACACACGCACACGACCACGCGAGCGCACGCGGAGGCCAACUGUGCGGAGAGACCAGGGCCAAACGGGCGGCCGGCGGCGACGGGUGGGAGGGGCCGGCGGCGACGGGCAGACUGGGCCGGAGCCGGACGGUGACGGGCAGACGGGGUCGGAGGAGCAGUCGGGCGGCGACGGGAAGAUGAGGCCGGAGGAGCAAUGCCCGAUGGGCUGCGGGCGGCAGCCGGAGGAGCGUCGGGCGACAGCCUGAAGUUCACCGGCGGCGGUGGAGAACCUCCUCCGUGGCGGCCAGGCCGGCGUGAACCAGUUGGAGGAGCCGAAAGGUGCAAGAUGCACGGGAGCGGCGUUCAGCCACGCUCUAGAGUGGAGACAACAACAAUCUGAUGGAAAGAAAUGGCAGCAGCGGAGAUGAGGGAGCGGCCACAUCGGGCAAGAGGACGACGGCGACGCGAUAGAAGGAUCAAGCACGAGUUGCACAUGCGAAAAAAUUUGACCUAAGCUCUAAUACCAUGUCAGAAAAUAUGCAACUUGUAUUACUAGGAGGCCAAAGCCACCAUAUAUAUAAUGUACAUGAGGAUGCCAAAAGGCAAGAAUACAAAAGGCCAAAGGCCAUCAUCAAUAUAACUCUAACAGUUGGAACCAUGCCGGCCGACAGAGCUCCAGGGCCGGAUGGGUUUAGGGUCACUUUACCAAAUCAUGCUAGCAUAUAAUCAAACCUGAAUUUUAUCAGCUUUGUCAUGAUCUCCGCGCAGAAGAACUCAAUCUUGAAAGCAUAAACACCGGGUUCAUCAUUCUCAUUCUGAAGAUCCACUCGCCCCAGAGAGCAAAAGAUUUUCGCCCCAUCACACUGCUAAACUGUUGUCUUUAGCUAAUAACCAAACUGCUUGCGGAUCGGUUACAGAAAUGGAUUCUAAAAAUCAUUCACAGGAACCAAUACGGAUUUUUGAAAGGGAGAAUGAUAUAGGACCUGCUUGGCUUGGGUGUUCGAGUAUAUAUACCAAUGUCAAGCCUCUGGAUCUCAGGCGUUUAUUCUAAAACUGGACUUUUCCCAGGCCUUCGAUACUAUAGAACACCCGGCUAUGAUUGAGGUCAUGAGACACAUGGACUUUUCCCACAGCUCAAUGGGGUACCGGGCCGUCAGUUUCAAUGCCGCCACCGGGGGCGGGGCGACAAGGUGACCCGCUAUCGCCCUUGAUCUUCGUCCUCGCGGCCAACCUGCUGCAAGCUGCUGUCAACGGCGCACUUCGCCGAGGGGUCCUCAGACACCCAACCCCCCCAUGCACACACAAAGACUUCCCCGCAAUACAAUACGUGUAUGACACGAUAAUUGUGAUGCAGACAUAUGAAGAACAAGCAAGAGGCAUGAAGAAAAUUCUGCUUGAUUACGCUGACUUGGUUGGACUUUGGAUAAACUUCGAGAAGACUACUCUGGUGCCGAUCAACCUAGACGCAGCGUCAGCGGCAGGCUUUGCUGCGAUCUUUGGAUGUACAGUAGGCUCGAUGCCGUUCACGUACCUGGGGCUGCCCAUGGAGAUCACGAAACCCACAGUCGUCGAUCUGAUGCCCCUGGUUGACACUGUAGAGAGAAGACUGUCUGCAACAAUCUACAUGGCCUCUUAUGGAUCCAAACCGACCUUGGUAAACUCCGUGCUCACUUGCAAUCGCGGUGUAUGCGGUGUGCUCCAUCCGCCUGCCGCCUAAAAUUCUUGCUCACUUGGACAAGAUCAGAAGACUGUGCCUUUGGAGAUGGAAGAAUGAGAAUGGGGAGAUAGCAAACUCACUGGCCUCAUGGAUGAUGGUGUGUAAGCCGAAAGACAAGGGGGGGCUCAGUGUGCUGGAUACAAAAACAUUAAACACAGCCCUUUUACUCAAGUUCCUAGACAAAUUCUAUAAAAGACACGAUCUGCCAUGGGUGACCUUGAUCUGGUACACGUACUAUGUGGAUAGAAUCCCGCACGCCACUGGACCAUGCGGGUCGUUCUGGUGGAGAGAAGUAAUGUCGCUGUCUCCUAUCAUCAGAGGAAUCUCCACGGUUAAAAUAGGGGAUGGCUCCAACACACUAUUUUGGAAAGAUAAAUGGUGCAAGGUAACCUUCCAAGAAGGAUUCCCAAGAGCGCACUCCUAUGCUAUAUCUGAAGAUAUGACUGUCCAUGAAAUCCUGAGCGCGAAAAGUGCAGAAGCGGUCUUUUUUCUGCCAAUGUCUCAACAGGCAACACAAGAAGCGAGGGAUUUGCAGCUGGCGACCGCUGAGUGUCAGAUAGACCUAGAGCAGAGAGAUGUUUGGGCAUGCACAUGGGGGGCCCAAAUAUUCAUCGUCCAGAUAUACAAUGUCACAGUUGAUCAGGCUUUUCGGUGGAUUUGGAAGUCGAGGUGUACAAUGAAACUAAGGGUUUUUGUGUGGCUCCUCUUGUCCGAUAGAUUAAAACACCAAGAACAUGCUCAAACGUAGACAUUAAGUAAUGGGCUCAUCGACAGACAGGACGGACUACUGUGUGCUCUACCAAACCCAACAAGAAGAAACUCUGGAACAUCUGUUCUAUACCUGCAGUUUCUCGUAUACGUGCUGGACUUCAGUUGGGUUGACCUGGGCAAUAGAAGGAGAUAGGUUUGACUGGAUGGCAGCGGCUAAACAAACCCAUGAUCAUGGAAGUGUUCACCACAGCAGCGUGGUAGAUCUGGACAGAGAGGAAUAACCUGAUCUUCAGAGGAGUGACGCCUUCCGACAGGUCCUGGUUGUCAAGAUUCAGAGAAGAUUUCUUGAUGUUGCAACACAGGACAAAACCUGAGCUGCUAGGGUUCAUUACUGAAUUUGCCAGAGAGAUUGCCUAUGGUUAGCCAAACUACUUUAAUCCCUUGUAAUUACUUAUACCUCUGAACCCUAGUACACUGUGAUUGGGGCAAAAGCCCCACCACACCCUUGUACACUAUGUAAAGUACUUUCUUGAUUAAUAUACUAGCACAUAUGCCCGUGCGUUGCAACGGGAAAAAUUGAUGUUUUAAUGUCCCAUAGCACCGGAUUCACUAUGAAGAACAUGCUGCAACGCAGCAUCCUUAUACAAAAUGAACAUAAAAAUACGUUGCAAUUUAGCCAUGUUCAUAUUUUCUUUGCCGGGCAUAAUUUCCCAUUGAUUUUAUUUAAGUAUAAUAUUUUUAAUGGCAUUUAUUGUUAGGGAACGUAGCAGAAAUUCAAAAUUUUCCUACGUGUCACCAAGAUCUAUCUAUGGAGAGACUAGCAACGAGGGGGAGGAGAGUGCAUCUACAUACCCUUGUAGAUUGCUAAGUGGAAGCGUUCAAGAGAACGGGCUUGAUGGAGUCGUACUCGUCGUGAUCCAAAUCACCGGAGAUCCUAGUGCCGAACGGACGGCACCUCCGCGUUCAACACACGUACAGCCCGACGAUGUCUCCCACGCCUUGAUCCAGCAAGGAGAGAGGGAGAGGUUGAGGAAGACUCCAUCCAGCAGCAGCACAACGGCGUGGUGGUGAUGGAGGAGCGUGGCAAUCCUGCAGGGCUUCGCCAAGCACCACGGGAGAGGAGGAAGAGAGAGGGAGGGCUGCACCAAGAGGCAGAGAUUAGAUCGCGUGUUAUGGGCAGCCCCAUGCCUCACUAUAUAUAGGGGAGAGGGAGGAGGGUGCGCCCCCUCUAGGGUUCUCACCCCUAGGGGGCGGCAGCCCUAGAUGGGAAACAAGGGGCGGCCAAGGGGGAAAGAGAGGGAGGCGCCCCUAGGGUGGGCCUUAGGCCCAUCUAAGCCUAGGGUUUCCUCCUUUUUUUCCUAGCUGCCCCUUGGGCCUUGUGGGAGGCGCACCAGCCCACUCAGGGGCUGGUACCUCACCACUCUUAGACCACGCAAGCCUCCGGGGUUGGUGGCCCCACUUGCUGGACCCCCGGGACCCUCCCGGUGGUCCCGGUACGUUACCGAUAAACCCCGAAACUCUUCCGGUGACCAAAAUAGGACUUCCCAUAUAUAAAUCUUUACCUUCGGGCCAUUCCGGAACUCCUCGUGACGUCCGGGAUCUCAUCCGGGACUCCGAACAACAUUCGGUAACCACAUACAAACUUCCUUUAUAACCCUAGCGUCAUCGAACCUUAAGUGUGUAGACCCUACGGGUUCGGGAGACAUGCAGACAUGACCGAGACGUUCUCCGGUUAAUAACCAACAGCGGGAUCUGGAUACCCAUGUUGGCUCCCACAUGCUUCACGAUGAUCUCAUCGGAUGAACCACGAUGUCAAGGACUUAAUCAAUCCCGUAUACAAUUCCCUUUGUCUAGCGGUACGAUACUUGCCCAAGAUUCGAUCGUCGGUAUCCUGAUACCUUGUUCAAUCUCAUUACCGGCAAGUCUCUUUACUUGUUCCGUAACACAUCAUCCCGUGAUCAACUCCUUGAUCACAUUGUGCACAUUAUGAUGAUGUCCUACUGAGUGGGCCCAGAGAUACCUCUCCGCUUACACGGAGUGACAAAUCCCAGUCUCGAUUCGUGCCAACCCAACAGACACUUUCGGAGAUACCUGUAGUGUACCUUUAUAGUCACCCAGUUACGUUGUGACGUUUGGCACACCCAAAGCACUCCUACGGUAUCCGGGAGUUGCACAAUCUCAUGGUCUAAGGAAAUGAUACUUGACAUUAGAAAAGCUUUAGCAUACGAACUACACGAUCUAGUGCUAUGCUUAGGAUUGGGUCUUGUCCAUCACAUCAUUCUCCUAAUGAUGUGAUCCCGUUAUCAACGACAUCCAAUGUCCAUGGUCAGGAAACCGUAACCAUCUAUUGAUCAACGAGCUAGUCAACUAGAGGCUUACUAGGGACAUGGUGUUGUCUAUGUAUCCCCACAUGUAUCUGAGUUUCCUAUCAAUACAAUUCUAGCAUGGAUAAUAAACGAUUAUCAUGAACAAGGAAAUAUAAUAACAAUCAAUUUAUUAUUGCCUCUAGGGCAUAUUUCCAACAGUCUCCCACUUGCACUAGAGUCAAUAAUCUAGUUCACAUCGCCAUGUGAUUAACACUCACAGGUCGCAUCGCCAUGUGACCAACAUCCAAGAGUUUACUAGAGUCAAUAAUCUAGUUCACAUCACUAUGUGAUUAGCACUAAAUGAAUUCUGGGUUUGAUCAUGUUGCUUAUGAGAGAGGCUUUAGUCAACGGGUCUGAACCUUUCAGAUCCAUGUGUGCUUUACAAAUCUCUAUGUCAUCUCCUAGAUGUUGCUACCACGUUCGAUUUGGAGCUAUUCCAAAUAACUGUUCUACUUGGAGCUAUUCUAAAUUGUUGCUCCAUUAUACGUAUCCGGUAUCUCUACUCAGAGCUAUCCGGAUAGGUGUUAAGCUUGCAUCGACGUAACCCUUUACGACGAACUCUUUUACCACCUCCAUAAUCGAGAAAAUUCCUUAGUCCACUAGAUACUAAGGAUAACUUUGACCGCUGUCCUGUGAUCCAUUCUUGGAUCACUCUUGUACCCCUUGACUGACUCAUGGCAAGGCACACUUCAGGUGCGGUACACAGCAUAGCAUACUGUAGAGCCUACAUCUUAAGCAUAGGGGACGACCUUCGUCCUUUCUCUCUAUUCUGCCAUGGUCGAGCUUUAAGUCUUAACUUCAUACCUUACGACUCAGGCAAGAACUCCUUCUUUGACUGAUCCAUCUUGAACACCUUCAAGAUCAUGUCGAGGAAUGUGCUCAUUUGAAAGUACUAUUAAGCGUUUUGAUCUAUCCUUAUAGAUCUUGAUGCUCAAUGUUCAAGUAGCUUAAUCUAGGCUUUCCAUUAAAAAACACUUUCCAAAUAACCCUAUAUGCUUUCCAAAAAUUCGACGUCAUUUCUGAUCAACAACAUAUAUUCAUCAGAAAUUCUAUAGUGCUCCCACUCACUUCUUUGGAAAUACAAGUUUCUCAUAAACUUUAUAUAAACCCAAAAUCUUUGAUCAUCUCACCAAAGCGUACAUUCCAACUCCGAGAUGCUUACUCCAGUCCUCAGAAGAAUUGUUGGAGCUUUGCAUACUUAUUAGCAUCUUUCAGGAUUGACAAAACCUUCCGGUUGUAUCACAUACAACCUUUCCUCAAGAAAAUCGUCGUGGAAACAAUGUUUUGACAUCCUAUCUGCAAGAUUUCAUAAAUAAUGUAGUAAUCUCUAAUAUAAUUCCAACAGCCUCUUAGCAUUGCUACGAGUGAGAAAGUCUCACUGUAGUCAACUCCUUGAACUUGUCGGGAAACACCUUAAUGACAAGUCAAGCUUUCUCAAUGGUGACACAUACCAUCAUUGUCUGUCUUCCUUUUAAAAUCCAUCUGUACUCAACAGCCUUACGACCAUCAAGUAGUUCUUCCAAAGUCUACACUUUGUUUUCAUACAUGGAUCCUCUCUCGGAUUUUAUGGCCUCGAGCCAUUUAUCGGAAUCCGGGCCCACCAUCGCUUCUCCAUAGCUCAUAGGUUCAUUGUUGUCUAGCAACAUGACUUCCAAGAUAGGAUUACGUACCACUCUGAAGUAGCACGCAUCCUUGUCAUCCCACGAGGUUUGGUAGUGACUUGAUUUGAAGUUUCAUGAUCACUAUCAUAAGCUUCCACUUCAAUUGGUGUAGGUGCCACAGGAACAACUUCCUGUGCCCUGCCACACACUAGUUGAAGAGACGGUUCAAUAACCUCAUCAAGUCUCCACCAUCCUCCCACUCAAUUCUUUCGAGAGAAACUUUUCCUCGAGAAAGGACCCGAUUCUAGAAACAAUCCCUUAUUGCUUUCGAAUCUGAGACAGGAGGUAUACCCAACUAUUUUGGGUGUCCUAUGAAGAUGCAUUUAUCCGCUUUGGGUUCGAGCUUAUCAGCCUGAAACUUUUUCACAUAAGCGUCACAGCCCCAAACUUUUAAGAAAUGAUAGCUUAGGUUUCUCUAAACCAUAGUUCAUACGGUAUCAUCUCAUCGGAAUUACGUGGUGCCCUAUUUAAAGUGAAUGUGGUUGUCUCUAAUGCCUAACCCAUAAACUAUUGUGGAAAUUCGAUAAGAGACAUCAUGGUAUGCAUCAUAUCCAAUAGGGUGCAGUUAUGAUGUUCGGACACACCAUCACACUGUGGUGUUCCAGGCUGUAUUAGUUGUGAAACGAUUUCCACAAUGUCUUAAUUCUGUGCCAAACUCGUAAUUCAGAUAUUCAUCUCUAUGAUCAUAUCAUAGAUAUUUUAUCCUCUUGUCACGAUGAUCUUUCAACUUCACCCUAAAAUUACUUGAACCUUUCAAUAAUUCAGACUCGUGAUUCAUCAAGUAAAUAUACUCAACAUCUACUCAAAUCAUCUGUGAAGUAAGAACAUAACGAUAUCCACUACAUGCCUCAGCACCCAUUGGACUGCACACAUCAAAAUGUAUUACUUCCAACAAGUUGCUUUCUAGUUCCAUUUUACUGAAAACGAGGCUUUCAGUCAUCUUGCCCAUGUGGUAUGAUUUGCAUGUCUCAAGUGAUUCAAAAUCAAGUGAGUCCAGACGGUCCAUUUGCAUGGAGUUUCUUCAUGCAUAUACACCAAUAGACAUGGUUCGCAUGUCUCAAACUUUUCAAAAAUGAGUGAGCCCAAAGAUCCAUCAACAUGGAGCUUCUUCAUGCGUUUUAUACUGAUAUGACUUACGUGGUAGUGCCACAAGUAGGUGGUACUAUCAUUACCAUCUUUUGGCAUGAACAUGUGUAUCACUACGAUCGAGAUUCAAUAAACCAUUCAUUUUAGGUGUAAGACCAUUGAAGGUAUUAUUCAAAUAAACAGAGUAACCAUUAUUCUCCUUAAAUGAAUAAUCGUAUUGCGAUAGACAUAAUCCAAUCAUGUCUAUGCUCAACGCAAACACCAAUCUUGAUGGUAGAGGGAUCUUGCGAUGCUUGAUCAUAUCAACAUUGGAAACACUUCCAACACAUAUCAUCAGCUCACCUUUAGCUAGUCUCCGUUUUAUUCCGUAGCUUUUAUUUCGAGUUACUAACACUAAGCAACCGAACCGGUAUCUAAUACCCUAGUGCUACUAGGAGUACUAGUAAAGUACACAUCAACACAAUGUAUAUCCAAUAUACUUCUAUCGACCUUGCCAGCCUUCUUAUCUACCAAGUAUCUAGGGUAAUUCUGCUCCAGUGGCUGUUCCCCUUAUUACAGAAGCACUUAGUCUCGGGUUUGGGUUCAACUUUGGGUUUCUUUACUAGAGCAGCAGCUGAAUUGCCGUUUCAUGAAGUAUCCCUUCUUGCCCUUGCCCUUCUUGAAACUAGUGGUUUCACCAACCAUCAACAAUUGAUGCUCCUUCUUGAUUUCUACUUUCGUGGUGUCAAACAUCGCGAACAUCUCAAGGAUCAUCAUAUAUGUCCCUGAUAUAUUAUAGUUCAUCAUGAAGCUCUAGCAGCUUGGUGGUACUGACUUCGGAGAACUAUCACUAUCUUAUCUGGAAGAUCAACUCCCACUUGAUUCAAAUGAUUAUUGUACUCAGACAAUCUGAGCACAAGCUCAACAAUUGAGCUUUUCUCCCUUAGUUUGCAGGCUAAGAAAAUCGUCGGAGGUCUUAUACCUCUUGACGUGGACACGAGCCUGAAAUUCCAAUUUCAGCCCUCAAAACAUCUCAUAUGUUUCGCGAUGUUUCAAAACCGUCUUUGGUGCCUCAACUCUAAACCGUUUAACUGAACUAUCACGUAGUUAUCAAAACGUGUAUGUCAGAUGUUCGCAACAUCCACAGACAACGUUCGAGGUUCAGCACACUGAGCGGUGCAUUAAGGAUAUAAGCCUUCUAAGAAGCAAUGAGGACAAUCCUCAGUUUACGGACCUAGUCCGCAUAAUUGCUACUAUCAACUUUCAACUAAUUUUUCUCUAGGAACAUAUCUAAACAGUAGAACUAUAACGUGAGCUACGACAUAAUUUGCAAAAUCCUUUUUGACCAUGUUCAGGAUAAACAAGUUCAUCUUAUGAACUCCCACUCAGAUAGACAUCCCUCUAGUCAUCUAAGUGAUUACAUGAUCCGAGUCAACUAGGCCGUGUCCGAUCAUCACGUGAGACGGACUAGUCAACAUCGGUGAACAUCUUCAUGUUGAUCGUAUCUUCUAUACGACUCAUGUUCGACCUUUCGGUCUUCUGUGUUCCGACGCCAUGUCUGUACAUGCUAGGCUCGUCAAGUCAACCUAAGUGUUUCGCGUGUGUAAAUCUGGCUUACACUCGUUGUAUAUGAACGCCUGAAUCAAACACCCGAUCAUCACGUGGUGCUUUGAAACAACGAACUGUCGCAACGGUGCACAGUUAGGGGAAACACUUUCUUGAAAUUUUAAUGAGGGAUCAUCUUAUUUACUACCGUCGAUCUAAGCAAAUAAGAUGUAUAAACAUGAUAAACAUCACAUGCAAUCAAAUAGUGACAUGAUAUGGCCAAUAUCAUAUUGCUCCUUUUGAUCUCCAUCUUCGGGGCUCCGUGAUCAUCAUCGUCACCGGCAUGACACCAUGAUCUCCAUCAUCGUGUCUUCUUGAAGUUGUCACAUCAUCUGUUACUUCUACUACUACAGCUAACAGUUAGCAAUAAAGUAAAGUAAUUACAUGACGUUUAUGUUGACACGCAGGUCAUAAAUAAAUUAAGACAACUCCUAUGGCUCCUGCCGGUUGUCAUACUCAUCGACAUGCAAGUCGUGAUUCCUAUUACAAGAACAUGAUCAAUCUCAUACAUCACAUAUAUCAUUCAUCACAUCCUUUGGCCAUAUCACAUCACAUAGCAUACCCUGCAAAAACAAGUUAGACGUCCUCUAAUUGUUGUUUGCAUGUUUUACGUGACUGCUAUGGGUUUCUAGCAAGAACGUUUCUUACCUACGCAAAAACCACAACGUGAUAUGCCAAUUGCUAUUUACCCUUCAUAAGGACCCUUUUCAUCGAAUCCAUUCCGACUAAAGUGGGAGAGACAGACACCCGCUAGCCACCUUAUGCAACUAGUGCAUGUCAAUCGGUGGAACCAGUCUCACGUAAGAGUACGUGUAAGGUCGGUCCGGGCCGCUUCAUCCCACGAUGCCGUCGAAACAAGAUUGGACUAGUAACGGUACGCAUAUUGAACAAAAUCAACGCCCACAACUACUUUGUGUUCUACUCGUGCAUAGAAUCUACGCAAUAGACCUAGCUCUGAUACCACUGUUGGGGAACGUAGCAGAAAUUCAAAAUUUUCCUACGUGUCACCAAGAUCUAUCUAUGGAGAGACUAGCAACGAGGGGAAGGAGAGUGCAUCUACAUACCCUUGUAGAUUGCUAAGCGGAAGCGUUCAAGAGAAUGGGGUUGAUGGAGUCGUACUCGUCGUGAUCCAAAUCACCGGAGAUCCUAGUGUCGAACGGACGGCACCUCCGCGUUCAACACACGUACAGCCCGACGAUGUCUCCCACGCCUUGAUCCAGCAAGGAGAGAGGGAGAGGUUGAGGAAGACUCCAUCCAGCAGCAGCACAAUGGCGUGGUGGUGAUGGAGGAGCAUGGCAAUCCUGCAGGGCUUCGCCAAGCACCACGGGAGAGGAGGAAGAGAGAGGGAGGGCUGCACCAAGAGGCAGAGAUCAGAUCGCGUGUUAUGGGCAGCCCCAUGCCUCACUAUAUAUAGGGGAGAGGGAGGAGGGUGCGCCCCCUCUAGGGUUCCCACCCCUAGGGGGCGGCAGCCCUAGAUGGGAAACAAGGGGCGGCCAAGGGGGAAAGAGAGGGAGGCGCCCCCUAGGGUGGGCCUUAGGCCCAUCUAAGCCUAGGGUUUCCUCCUUUUUUUCCUAGCUGCCCCUUGGGCCUUGUGGGAGGCGCACCAGCCCACUCAGGGGCUGGUCCCUCACCACUCUUAGCCCACGCAAGCCUCCGGGGUUGGUGGCCCCACUUGCUGGACCUCCGGGACCCUCCCGGUGGUCCCGGUACGUUACCGAUAAACCCCGAAACUCUUCCGGUGACCAAAAUAGGACUUCCCAUAUAUAAAUCUUUACCUCCGGACCAUUCCGGAACUCCUCGUGACGUCCGGGAUCUCAUCCGGGACUCCAAACAACAUUCGGUAACCACAUACAAACUUCAUUUAUAACCCUAGCAUCAUCGAACCUUAAGUGUGUAGACCCUACGGGUUCGGGAGACAUGCAGACAUGACCGAGACGUUCUCCGGUCAAUAACCAACAGCGGGAUCUGGAUACCCAUGUUGGCUCCCACAUGCUCCACGAUGAUCUCAUUGGAUGAACUACGAUGUCAAGGACUUAAUCAAUCCCGUAUACAAUUCCCUUUGUCUAGCGGUACGAUACUUGCCCGAGAUUCGAUCGUCGGUAUCCCGAUACCUUGUUCAAUCUCAUUAUCGGCAAGUCUCUUUACUCGUUCCAUAACACAUCAUCCCGUGAUCAACUCCUUGAUCACAUUGUGCACAUUAUGAUGAUGUCCUACCGAGUGGGCCCAGAGAUACCUCUCCGCUUACACGGAGUGACAAAUCCCAGUCUCGAUUCGUGCCAACCCAACAGACACUUUCGGAGAUACCUGUAGUGUACCUUUAUAGUCACCCAGUUACGUUGUGACGUUUGGCACACCCAAAGCACUCCUACGGUAUCCGGGAGUUGCACAAUCUCAUGGUCUAAGGAAAUGAUACUUGACAUUAGAAAAGCUUUAGCAUACGAACUACACGAUCUAGUGCUAUGCUUAGGAUUGGGUCUUGUCCAUCACAUCAUUCUCCUAAUGAUGUGAUCCCAUUAUCAACGACAUCCAAUGUCCAUGGUCAGGAAACCGUAACCAUCUAUUGAUCAACGAGCUAGUCAACUAGAGGCUUACUAGGGACAUGGUGUUGUCUAUGUAUCCACACAUGUAUCUGAGUUUCCUAUCAAUACAAUUCUAGCAUGGAUAAUAAACGAUUAUCAUGAACAAGGAAAUAUAAUAAUAAUCAAUUUAUUAUUGCCUCUACAGCAUAUUUCCAACAUUUAUGUAUAAUCCUUUUAUUAAUUAUCAUGACGUCAUCACUCGUUUUUGUCGGUAAUCAAUCCUUCCUUUUCUAAUUUCGUAGCCCCAACACAUUGAAUCCUAUAGAUCCUUCCUUUUAAUUAUCCUACCUUUUUAUCUUAAAUCCUUCGAGUAGAGUUUAUCAAGACGACAAUCUUUCUUUUAGUUAUUCCACUGGUUUACGCAUAAUCCUUUAUUUAAUUAGCCAGAUCCGUUUAAAUAUUCUAUUUAAGCCCACAAUUCUUCCUUUAUUAGCUCAUUCGCUUAAUUAGCUCGCCCUAAACAUGAUGACUGCCACUCGUAUAUUUAGAGCGAGUUGGGAUUAGUAAAUGUGAAAGGCGCAUAGGUUGUUGUUUGUUACAUCGAAGAGCUAGACAUGAGGUCCUGUGUUCAAUUCCCACAAUGUUGAUUUAUUUUGACGCAAUUAUUUUUCACACAGGUCUCUAUGAAAGUCCAUAAAAGGCCCAUCAACAUACAAGUAUCUGGCCCAAAUCACUUAACGUGUGUAAACCAAACAAAAAGGACCAAACCAAACUAAGAAUACCUAUUCCCUUUAAUAGUAGGUAUAUAGAUAUAGAUGUGACUGCCUACAGUCUUCAACGUUCAAAAAUAAAUAAACACCGUGAGCAGCUCACCUGAAGCAAUAUGACGCCGGUCCCAUCGAAGCUGCACUGGAGACAAUCCCUGAUGUCCUCGAAGAACACCUCAAGCAUGUACCUCUGGGAAUCAUGAUUCAGGUACAGGUCUAUGCGCCGCUUCCCCGGGAUGACCUCCACGCAGACGUUGUCCCAAGUGUCGGCCGCCUCGAAUUCGUGCUCGGCCAUGCGGUUGCCGACAAGGAGGCGGGCGUCGGCCAUGCGAAGAGAAAGGUCGGGCACGCGGGGGAGAAGGUCCGCGGGGGCAGGGGAGACGGAGAGGAGGGAGCCGAGGAAGCGCGAUAGGCGACCGGAGGAGGCGAGUUCGGCGGUGAGGGUUGCGGUGGCGGUGGAAUCAAACUAAACGCUCCCAUCGCCUCGACUUAACCAGCCGCGUCGGGCGGCAGCGAUCUCGCAGGCGUAGGCUUCGCCGGCAGUGGCGACGGCGGAAUCGAGGAAUGCUAAGAGCUCCUUAGUGACGGCGGAGGGCGGGAUAUUGGAGACCCGCACCGUCGCCGUGAAGACGGGCGCCGACACCGCCGUCGCCAUUGGAAUGUAGUGGGGACAGAAGGGUUUGGUGUUCCAGCGUGCUCUUGGGGGUUUGUGUACUCCGAGCAGGUUUAUGUGUAUAAGUGUCUCCCAUGGUCUCAGAAUAUAUAUAUAUCUCUACUUCUAAUAAAGCAGUUGGUAAAAUUAGUUUAGGUUUUUUUCGUCUCCUCACUUUUGUCUGAACAUUUUCAUCCCCUCCUUCCACCCCACUGGUUUAUUUUCAUGUCACCCUCUCACGCAACGAAAAAAUCAAAACAAAUCAAAACUUUCCAUGUUGCCGCAAGUUAUUUAAUAAUGUCUUUAUGUGAAAGAAUCGAUCGCGAUCAAUCUCUAAAGACCAAAUCUAAAUUAAUUAGCCUUACCUUAAAUCAUCCAAUUACAUUAAUUAGGAAACAAAUACACAUUAAUUAGGAAACAAAUCGUCCAGGGUUUUUUUGUCCCACCACUUUCAUUCGGGUUUGUUUUGACUGGUUCUUUUGUCCCCACCCCUCCCCCCACCGGUUUAGUUUUGCAACACUCUCUCACACAACGAAAAAAAACUGAAUAGAUCAGAAUUUUCCAUGUUGUCGCAAGUUAUUUAAUAAUGUAUUUAUGUGAUGGAAUCAAUCGUGAUCAAUCUCUAAAGACCAAAUCUAAAUUAAUUAACCUUACCNNNNNNNNNNNNNNNNNNNNNNNNNNNNNNNNNNNNNNNNNNNNNNNNNNNNNNNNNNNNNNNNNNNNNNNNNNNNNNNNNNNNNNNNNNNNNNNNNNNNNNNNNNNNNNNNNNNNNNNNNNNNNNNNNNNNNNNNNNNNNNNNNNNNNNNNNNNNNNNNNNNNNNNNNNNNNNNNNNNNNNNNNNNNNNNNNNNNNNNNNNNNNNNNNNNNNNNNNNNNNNNNNNNNNNNNNNNNNNNNNNNNNNNNNNNNNNNNNNNNNNNNNNNNNNNNNNNNNNNNNNNNNNNNNNNNNNNNNNNNNNNNNNNNNNNNNNNNNCUUACCUUAAAUCGCCCAAUCACAUUAAUUAGAAAACAAAUAAGGAAAUUUAAGAAAAUCUCUACUUCUAAUGGAGCAGUUGGUAGGAUUGCGUCCAAGGUUUUUUCGUCCCACCACUUUUGUUUGUUUUUUUUGACUGGUUUUUUUUCGUCCCCUCCCUCACCCCACCGGUUUAGUUUCGCAUCACCCUCUCACACAAGGAAAAAAAUCUGAACGGAUCAAAACUUUCCAUGUUGCCGCAAGUUAUUUAGUAAUGUCUCUAUGUGAAAGAAUCAAUCACGAUCAAUCUCUAAACACCAAAUCUAAAUUAAUUAGCCUUACCUUUAAUCGCCCAAUCACAUUAAUUAGAAAACAAAUAACCAAUUUUAAGAAAAUUAAUGUGUAAAUCAUAUAACAAAGAAAUAUCUACUAUUCGUACCAAUGACCGCGUCCUGCCCUCCCUUCGGCGACCCACCCCGCACGAUCGGUUCCUUCCCCCGUCGCUCCCGCGUCGAUAGCCCCUCGUGAAAAAAAGCCCUCCAAGAAAAAUAGGAUCCCUCCCGAUCCAACUUCUCUCACUGACCAAGCCCUAUCCCCAUCCCAAUAUGGUCACCGCCACAAUUGUCAACGUCGCCUACCCUCCUCCAUCUUCUCACAAGCGUCGGGACAUGGCUGUCCUCUAGCAAUGUGCCGCCCACCCACCGACGCCACACACCUACGACGACGAUGUACCGCAUGCGACCCAGCGACUCGAUGCGAAGCCCCGGGCUACUUCUCCAAUGGCGCCCGCCGUUCGUCGGCUUCGUCCUGGUCUUGAAGAAACUUUGGAUGCUAUGGAGACACUUUAGGUGCUGUAAGAAAGCAACUCCUUUUUAUUCCCUAGUAUGACUACCUGUCAGCGACGAGUCUUUAUAAAUUUCUUAUCAUGACUACGAAUUGACUAAAUUCACCUCUAAGUAGUACUAUAGGGAAGCAAACUCUUUUUUGUCCUAGUAGGACUGCCUAUAGGUUCGUUUGUGUCAAGCCGAGAAACUAACACGAAAACAUGAGGCAACUUUAGUGCUACAUGCAAGCAACUUCACUGCACUAUGUGUACAUGUGAAUUUUUGUAACAUUAUCCCAACUUGCCUAUCGUGGCUACUCAAUUGCCUAGGUUGAUGCUCAGUUGCCUAUAAAUACAAUAAAAUUUCCCAUGAUUGAAGCAGAGUUGCCUGCUAAUAGUAAUUAGUUGCCUAUCGUGGCUACUCAAUUGCUUAUAAAUACUACUAGAUCAUGGAUGGCACGCGUUGCUGCGCCCGUCUAUUUGUAAUACUGAAUGUUAGUGUUUGAUACAAAUAUGUGGAGGCAUUAUAUACCUAAACAUUAAGCAAUAGUAAUAGCUACAAGACACCAAUGCUAGUGUUUUGAAACAUAGCACACUUUGUAUGGUAGAAGUAUCAAUGCUGCAUUGAGUUUGUUUGCAAAUAGGUUUCAGAGUGAAGACAAUAAACACAAAGGUUAUUAUGAAAAAUAGGAAAGAAAUAGUUCUAAUGGGAUAUGAAAGGCUCCUUCCUGAUUUAAUGGCAUAUUAUUUUUCGACUGCCGAAAUAACAGUUUACAGGAAACUAUUGCUGGAUAGCCUUAUAAUAUACUACAAAAUUAUUUCUAAGAGCAGUCACAACACUUCACAUGCCAACUUGAAGGCAAAGAUUUACCUACGAUGAAAGAUUGUACCCUUUUUUGUUAAUCAAUGGCAGUUCGGAGGAAGAAAAGGCGAGUUCAAAUGUUAACAGUAGCAAGAUCAUAGAGGAAUGUAGUUUACCUGCUUCCAUUUGUAGCAAUGGAACCACAAAGAUUUACAUGACCUCUGUUUCUUUACUUCGUCUUGCAGGUUUGACAAAUGCACACUUUUUUAUCAACCCAAUCACUUGAUGCUACAUAAAAGUUAGAUUAAAUACUUCAAAGGUCAGAUAGUAGCCACUAAAAGAUUAGAGAUAAUAAUAUAAAUGUAAGAUCACAUAUCACAUCAACAAAGAUAAAAUCUGUGACACCAAGAUGGUUAAUUACUCAUAUACUACGUGUUGAUGCAUCUAACUUUUUUGACAUCACUAUAGGAGGGCAACACUAUUACAAAGGAUGACUGACUGAUGAAAGGUGCACAGAAACCAUCAUAUUUACUCAGUAUUACAUGGUGCAAUUAACUUUGCAGCCAUUAGUAAAUUUCUCAUGUACACAAUGGUGCAUUUAACUUUGCAGUGCCACAUUAUUAGCAAAGGCACUUGAGAGGGAAACUACUAUUUGCUUGGAAGACAUGAGCACAGACAACUAAGUCAGAUUGGUUUUUUAGCAAGUGUAUGCACGACAGACAACACCGGCACUUUAGAAGGUCAGGUCUUCAAUUAAAACAGAUGUGCAGACAGUAAGUACUUACUACAGAAAAUAUGUCCUUGUUAAGCUGAGAUCUCAAUCAAUACAGGCAAGAACUCCACCGACCCGAGUGUUGUUCUUGACAGUGAGCAUGAGCAUGAACCAGGGGGGGCAUGCUGAACUCCUCCUCCUUCCCCUGCUGCCACAAAAGAGAGAAAGAACCAACCAUGACAGUUAGGUGCGGCAAGAAGGUCUGGCUCUUAGUUAGUUAUGGGCGUUGUCGGAUGCUCAAGUCGAUGGGUGGUCCCUCCGCCAUUGACUUGACGGCUGGCUCGUGGGGCAAAGUGCGGUGAUCUGCACGCAGAACAAACCAAAUCAGUUGUGGCAACAUGUACCUUGUAUUGUUGCAGCGCAGUACAUACUUCAAAAAUCAUAUAUGGCAGUCAUUCUAUUCCAAUUUCCAACAAAAUGUGUUACACUAUUAAGGAAACAAACUUUUAAUUCCAAUUUGUAAUUUGUUGUCGAUAAUUCUGACAAUUUAUGUCAAAAUAUUGAAGAGUCGGCUCCACAAAAUACCCUUGUGCAUAACCCUUCUAUUCUCCUGAUAUGUUGCAGCUUUGUUAGACAAAUGAGAACAAAUAGGCAUCAUCUUCUUGCAGUGAAAGAGCAACCAUGUAUCAACAUGAACCUUUGGAUGCAAACUUAGUGCAGGAAUCAAUUUAUCUAGUCUCUUCUUUCCAACGGAUAUAUAUAUAUAUAUAGAAAAAUGGGUUAAUACUCCUAGGAGUACAUACUCCCAUGCCCGUGUCUCUCCUUUAUUACGUGGGAAAAAUUCAGCCGAAACGACCAAACUCAUUGCUCCGAUUUUCUAGGUGUUUUUAUAUGCAUCGUUGGACCAUCCUAUAAAUUUGAGUCCUUAUCCAUCUAUCCCGUCAUCUCAUUUGUGGCCUGCGGCGGCAGCGGCGACGGCUGGCACGGCUGCAGCGACAGCGGCGACGGCUGGCAUGACAGCGACUGCGGCGGACUACACCACCCUCCUAGAGAAGGAGCUCGCUCGGCAGCAGCCUCCAUUGGCAGUUGUUCAUCCUCUCAUUGAUUGGAUCCAGUCUUCUGAGAAUUAGUAUUCAAUCUGCUGCAGAUCUUUUGAGAAACACAAAAGAGGAUCCGAUGUAAUACAAAAGGAGCAUGAUCCAUUUUAUUCCAGAGGUACGUUCAUGUGUUAUCAGUUGGGGCCCAGCUUUCAUUCUGACGACAACUUCUCUAUCUCCCCAACAACAAACAGUAUUUCUUGUGGAUAAGUGGCGGAGGGCGGAGGCCACGGUACACAUGAUGUUCUUGGUCACCGACCAUCCUCUAGGUGUUGACCUGAAGUAAUUGUUUUUUGUAUCUAUCCUACAUGAUUUCUGCAAGCGGUUUCCUUUUGCCAUUUUUUGUGACCUGUGGAAGUGAUGAAUGUUAUAUCUACCGAGCAGUAGCAUCGAUGGCCAAGGGUGCAGCGCAAAGAUGACAGCGGCCGAUGGUGGUCUGACCUCCUGUAAUCAAGCACAUGUCGUGACGCAAACUUGAACGUGUUCACAUAGCCACCACUGAUGCAUAUACAUGAAUGCUUUAUCAUGUACUGUAUGAAUGGAACAACUAUAGCAGGUUUCUUUGCACUUUUGCAAACAAGCCAUUUUUGUUACCAGUGAUCAAACAUGUGCAUACUUCUUAUUACGUGUAUACGUAUACUCUUUUUUGGUGAAUAAAUUCUUAUGCGAGCUUACCAUACUAAUUUUUCUUUUUCUUAAUAACACAGUAUAUACUCUUUGAUAAAAAAAAGUAUAUAAUUGAUAAAUAAUGUGGUAUAUACUCUCGGAUACAAAAAUAACAUAUAUACUCAAUCACAAUUUUGCAAUAUAUAUACUCUCUUGUAUAACGAAGACAUAUAUUUCCUCACAAAUGAUGUAAGUAUAUACUUCUUUAGAAAAAAAGUAUAUACUCCCUCAGAAAAGAUGUGUUGCAUACUCUCCCAUAAGAUAUUAAGUAUAUACUUCCUCACAAAUGAAGUUGCACGCACUUACUCACAACAUGUAGUAUAUACUUCCUCAAAAAAGAUCAGGUAUAUGCACUUUCAUAAAACAGAAGCAUAUACUUCUUAAAAAAAUGUAGUAUAAACUAUCUUGUAGAAAAAUAGAGUAUAUACUAUCUCACGGCAGAAGCAUAUACUCCCAUAUCUACAGAAAUAAAAAGUAUAAUACUCAAUACAAUAGGAUCAGGGUAGUGUAGACCCGUCAAACAACUAACAACCAGAUUAGAUAAAUAGAUUAGCAUGCACCGUUCCUUCUUUUUAGGGAGUAGCUAUGCAUACAAACUUAAUUUGUUAGUCUUUUUUACUAAUUAGCACGUCCACACCUUUAAACCUUAUCCAUUGUGAGUGAGAGUACAUACUCUUGGGAGUACAAAAGAGAAGUCCCCGAUUCUCCCAAAAACAGGGGAUGAAGAUGAGAGGUGGGGGCUCUAGAAGGGGCUCCGGCAACCACGGCCAGGUCCUCACGCACUGCGGCUGACUGGAUCGAUCGGCCCCCGAUUCAGCCACAUCCCACGCCGGAUCCCUUCGCAAGCCUCACCUCAACUUGAUCCCCACCCGUGCCUUGGCUGGAUUGACCCAGAUCGCCCGCGUCGCCGCAUCGAGCGCCUCCGAGUGCAUACAGCGCGUGAUCUAGUGAUGAGACGUGGCCCCCUGGAGCAAUGAUGAGCGGUGGGUGGAUCGGAGAGGCAAUGAACGGUGGACGACGAGGAAGCCUCAUUCUCCGAGGCCAUCUCAGGCGGCGCCGUCGGAACAGAACAGGUCGCGAACCUGUUUAGGGUUUGUCUGUGGCGUUUCACCCUGUGCGCUGUGUUGGAUAGGACGGUAGAAAAGGCCAUGAUGGUAGAAAAGGCCCAAAAGGCCAGUAGGCCCAAUUAAACGUGAGACAACCAAAAAAGCCAUCGGAGCAGCAGCCCACAAAGCCCAGCACAGCCUGACGCACGAGUUAGCGCUUGCCUACGAGAAUUAGGUGGGACUAACAGUGAAUCCGACGGCCAAAAACGAUUAAAAGUGUCGAUCUAACGGCUAGAAAUGCUAAUGCCUGAGAGGGUUGGAAGGGUGCUCAGUUUUAAUAUAUCCAAAUGAAUUGUCUACCAUUGAUGCCAUAUGAGAAUAAUGGUGGUUCUAUUUAUAUGAGAGACAUGUUUUAUGGUCAUGCCCCGUUGGUCAAUGGUUUAUUCUUAUUCAAUCUCGAACGUGAUGUUACACAUAUUCAUAGUGUGAAUGCCAAAAGAUGUAAGGUUGAUAAUGAUAGUCCCACAUACUUGUGGCACUGCCGCCUUGGUCACAUUGGUGUCAAACGCAUGAAGAAACUCCAUGCAGAUGGACUUUUGGAGUCUCUUGAUUAUGAAUCAUUUGACACGUGCGAACCAUGCCUCAUGGGCAAAAUGGCAAAGACUCCGUUCUCCGGAACAAUGGAGCGAGCAACCAACUUAUUGGAAAUCAUACAUACUGAUGUGUGCGGUCCAAUGAGCGUUGAGGCUCGCGGUGGUUAUCAUUAUGUUCUCACCCUCACUGAUGACUUAAGUAGAUAUGGGUAUGUCUACUUAAUGAAACACAAGUCUGAGACCUUUGAAAAGUUUAAGGAAUUUUAGAGUGAGGUUGAGAAUCAACGUGACAGGAAAAUCAAGUUCUUACGAUCAUAUCAUGGGGGGAAUAUUUGAGUCACGAAUUUGGCACACACUUAAGGAAAUGUGGAAUUGUUUCACAACUCACGCCGCCUGGAACACCUUAGCGUAAUGGUGUGUUCGAACGUUGUAAUCACACUCUAUUAGAUAUGGUGCGAUCUAUGAUGUCUCUUACCGAUUUACCGCUACCAUUUUGGGGUUAUGUUAUAGAGAAUGCCGCAUUCUCUUUAAAUAUGACUCCGUCGAAAUCCGUUGAGAUGACACCGUAUGAAUUGUGGUUUGGGAAGAAACCUAAGUUGUCGUUUCUGAAAGUUUGGGGAUGCGAUGCUUAUGUCAAGAAAUUUCAACCUGAAAAGCUCGAACCCAAAUCGGAAAAAUGCGUCUUCAUAGGAUACCCUAAGGAAACUAUUGGGUAUACCUUCUACCUCAGAUCUGAAGGCAAGAUGUUUGUUGCCAAGAAUGGAUCCUUUCUAGAGAAAGAGUUUCUCUCAAAAGAAGUGGGUGGGAGGAAAGUAGAACAUGAUGAAGUAUUGCCUCUUGAAUCGGAGAGUAGCGCAGCUCAAGAAAAUAUUUCUGUGGUGCCUGCACUGAUUAGAGAGGAAGUUAAUGAUGAUGAUCAUGAAACUUCAGAGCAAGUUGCUACUGAACUUCAUAGGUUCACAAGGACACGUUCCGCACCAGAGUGGUACGGCAACCAUGUCCUGGAAAUCAUGUUGUUAGACAAUGGUGAACCUUUGAACUAUGAAGAAGCAAUGGCGGGCCGGGAUUCCGACAAAUGGCUUGAAGCCAUGAAAUCCGAGAUAGGAUCCAUGUAUGAAAACGAAGUAUGGACUUUGACAGACUUGCCCGAUGAUCAGCGAGCCAUAGAAAAUAAAUGGAUCUUUAAGAAGAAGACAAACGCGGAUGGUAAUGUAACCAUCUAUAAGGCUCGGCUUGUCGCUAAGGGUUAUCGACAAGUUCAAGGGGUUGACUACGAUGAGACCUUCUCACCCAUAGUGAAGCUGAAGUUUGUCCGAAUCAUGUUAGCAAUUGCCGCAUUCUAUGAUUAUGAGAUAUGGCAAAUGGACGUCAAAACGGCAUUCCUUAAUGGUUUCCUUAAGGAAGAAUUGUAUAUGAUGUAGCCGGAAGGUUUUGUCGAUCCUAAGAAUGCUGACAAGGUAUGCAAACUCCAACGCUCGAUCUAUGAGUUGGUGCAAGCAUCUCGGAGUUGGAACAUUCUUUUUGAUGAGAUGAUCAAAGCGUUUGGGUUUACGCAGAUUUAUGGAGAAGUCUGUGUUUACAAGAAAGUGAGUGGGAGCUCUGUAGCAUUUCUCAUAUUAUAUGUGGAUGACAUACUACUGAUGGGAAAUGAUAUAGAACUCUUGGAAAGCAUAAAGGCCUACUUGAAUAAGUGUUUUUCAAUGAAGGACCUUGGAGAAGCUGCUUACAUAUUAGGCAUCAAGAUCUAUAGAGAUAGAUCGAGACGCCUCAUUGGUCUUUCAAAAAGCACGUACCUUGACAAGAUAUUGAAGAAGUUCAAUAUGGGUCAGUCCAAGAAGGGGUUCUUGCCUGUAUUGCAAGGUGUGAGAUUGAGCACGACUCAAUGCCCGACCACGGAAGAAGAUAGGGAAAAGAUGAGUGUCAUCCCCUAUGCCUCGGCCAUAGGGUCUAUUAUGUAUGCCAUGAUGUGUACCAGACCUGAUGUAAACCUUGUCGUAAGUUUGGUGGGAAGGUACCAAAGUAAUCCCGGCAUGGAACACUGGACAGCGGUCAAGAAUAUCCUGAAGUACCUGAAAAGGACUAAGGAUAUGUUUCUCAUUUAUGGAGGCGACGAAGAGCUCGUCGUAAAGGGUUACGUUGAUGCUAGCUUCGACACAGAUCUGGAUGACUCCAAGUCACAAACCGGAUACAUGUAUAUUUUGAAUGGUGGGGCAGUCAGCUGGUGCAGUUGCAAGCAAAGCGUCGUGGCGGGAUCUACAUGUGAAGCGGAGUACAUGGCAGCCUCGGAGGCAGCACAUGAAGCAAUCUGGAUGAAGGAGUUCAUUACCGACCUAGGAGUUAUUCCCAAUGCGUCGGGCCUGAUAACUCUCUUAUGUGACAACACUGGAGCUAUUGGCCUUGCCAAGGAGCCCAGGUUUCACAAGAAGACCAGGCAUAUCAAGCAUCGCUUGAACUCCAUUCAUGAAAAUGUUCAAGAUGGAGACAUAGAGAUUUGUAAAGUGCAUACGGACCUGAAUGUCGCAGAUCCGUUGACUAAACCUCUUCCACGUGCAAAGCAUGAUCAACACCAGAACUCUAUGGGUGUUCGAUUCAUCACAAUGUAACUAGGUUAUUGACUCUAGUGCAAGUGGGAGACUGUUGGAAAUAUGCCCUAGAGGCAAUAAUAAAAAGGUUAUUAUUAUAUUUCCUUGUUCAUGAUAAUUGUCUAUUGUUCAUGCUAUAAUUGUAUUAUCCAGAAAUCGUAAUACAUGUGUGAAUACAUAGACCACAAUGUGUCCCUAGUGAGCCUCUAGUUGACUAGCUCGUUGAUCAAUAGAUGGUUACGGUUUCCUAACCAUGGACAUAGGAUGUCACUGAUAACGGGAUCACAUCAUUAUGUGAUGGACAAGACCCAAUCCUAAGCAUAGCACAAGAUCGUGUAGUUCAUCUGCUAAAGCUUUUCUAAUGUCAAGUAUCCUUUCCUUAGACCAUGAGAUUGUGCAACUCCCGGAUACCGUAAGGGUACUUUGGGUGUGCCAAACAUCACAACGUAACUGGGUGGCUAUAAAGGUACACUACGGGUAUCCCCGAAAGUAUCUGUUGGGUUGGCAUGAAUCGAGACUGUGAUUUGUCACUCCGUAUGACGGAGAGGUAUCUCUGGGCCCACACGGUAGGACAUCAUCAUAAUGAGCUCAAUGUGAUCAAUGAGUUGUUUAUGGGAUGAUGUGUUACGGGAACGAGUAAAGAGACUUACCAUGACGAGAUUGAACAAGGUAUCGGUAUACCGACGAUCGAAUCUCGGGCAAGUAUCGUACCGAUAAACAAAGAGAAUUGUAUACGGGAUUGAUUAAAUCCUCGACAUCGUGGUUCAUCCGAUGAGAUUAUCAUGGAGCAUGUGGGAUCCAACAUGGGUAUCCAGAUCCCGCUGUUGGUUAUUGACCGGAGAGUUGUCUCGGUCAUGUCUACGUGUCUCCGAACCCGUAGGGUCUACACACUUAAGGUUCGGUGACGCUAGAGUUGUACAGAUAUUAGUAUGCGGUUAACCAAAAGUUGUUCGGAGUCCCGGAUGAGAUCCCGGACAUCAAGAGGAGUUUCGGAAUGGUCCGGAGGUAAAGAUUUAUAUAUAUGAAGUCCAGUUUCGGCCACCGGGAGAGUUUCGGGGGUCACUGGUAUUGUACCAGGACCACCAGAAGGGUCCCGGGGGUCCACCGGGUGGGGCCACCUAUCUCGGAGGGCCCCAUGGGCUGAAGUGGCAAGGGAACCAGCCCCUGGUGGGCUGGUGCGCCCCACCCAAGGGCCCAAGGCACCUAGGGUUGGAAACCCUAGUGGGCCGUUGCCCCCCGAGGGGGCAUGCGCCCCCUGGUUGGAAACCCUAAGGGGGACGUUGCCCCGAGGGGCCGCCGCCCCCCCUCUAGAUGGGAUCUCCAAGGGGGCAUGCGCCCCCCUAGCCCCUAUAUAUAGUGGAGGGGAGGGAGGGCAGCCGCAACCUAAGCCCUGGCGCCUCCCUCUCCCUCCCGUGGCACCUCUUCCUCCUCUAGUAGUGCUUGGCGAAGCCCUACUGGAAUCCCGUUGCUUCCACCACCACGUCGUCGUGCUGUUGGAUCUCCAUCAACUUCUCCUCCCCCCUUGCUAGAUCAAGAAGGAGGAGACAUCUCCGCUCUGUACGUGUGUUGAACGCGGAGGUGCCGUCCGUUCGGCGCUAGGAUCAUCGGUGAUUUGGGUCACGACGAGUACGACUCCAUCAACCCCGUUCUCUUGAACUCUUCCGAUCGCGAUCUAUAAGGGUAUGUAGAUGCACUCCUCUCUCUCUAGUUGCUAGAUGACUCCAUAGAUUGAUCUUGGUGAUGCGUAGAAAAUUUUAAAUUUCUGCUACAAUCCCCAACAAUGUUCUCAUUGGGCAUGACACCACACUUGUUGGUGGCGAUGACUUAAGGAAGUUCAUCAAGGACUUAAACCUUGGCCAUGGGGAGCUUGUUGUUUUUCUCAUGAUUGGACGUAUCGCCAAAGCGUUUGUGUGCUGUUUCGAUGGAGUUUUUUGUUGGAGAUCAAGCUGAAGCAGCAGAGGGUGUUGUAUCUAAUCAUGAUGAGGAAGGAAGAGCAAUGUGUUUUUUUGCCUGUGUUUUCUUUUUUGGAUUUUUGCAGUUGGGUAACUAUAAAUGAAUAAUAAUGCAUGGGAAAUGAUAAUCACAUAAACUGAAAACAUUACAAGAGUUUUAUUUACUAGUGGUCUAACAACAUUUUUUUGACAGCGUAAGCAUCAGUACGAAGCGCCCCUCUGUUACUAGGCUGAUGCAGUUUUUAUAGGUUAUUAUCAGGAUGUUUUUUUAGCAUCCUGAAAUGCUAGUAUGACAUCUUUUAAUCUAUGUGUUUGUUUUUCUGUUUGAAAAAUAUUUUUUGAAGGUCCUAUCUAAUUUUUUUGUUCUUUUUGCUAUGAACUAGGAUGGUGUGCGCAGUUUGCUUUGCUCAUUGCAAUGCGGGCAACAACGAGAGCUUCAACAUAUUUUUUUGCGUGGAUGAAACCUUGGUGGUAAGCUUUUCAUGCCUCCCAGUUGCAAUAGCCCAGCUGCAAGUCCACCAUUGACUUGCAAUUGUGGCCCCAUAGUUUUUGUUUCAUUUUUCCACUUGCAAGUGAAGCCUCGACUUUGCAACUAGGUUUUUUGUUUGAUGCCACUUGCACGUCGACCCUCGACUUGAAACUGGAUCUUUUGUUUUAUGCCACUUUCAAGUUGACCCUUGACUAGCAAUUGGGUCUUCUAUUUUUAUGCCACUUGCAAAUAAACCCUCGAUUUGCAACCGGGUUCUUUUGUUUGAUGCCAUUUGCCAACCGAGCAUUGACUCGGAACUGUGUUUAUUCUCUAGUUGUAAUAGCCCCAGUUGCAAGUCCACCAUCAACUCACAAUUGUGGGCCCGUAGUUUUUGUUUCAUUUCCACUUGCAAGUGAAGCCUCGACUUGCAACUAUGCUUUUUGUUUGAUGCCACUUGCAAGUUGACCCUUGACUUGCCAUUGGGUCUUUUUGUUUGAUGCCACUUGCAAGUUGACCCUCGACUUGUAACCGGGUUCUUUGUUUGAUGCCUCUUGCAAGUUGACCCUUGACUCGCAACCGUUCUGCUUGUCUAGUUGUAAUAGCCCCAGUUGCAAGCCACUGCAAGCCACCCCUCGACUUGCAACUAGGUUUUUGGUUUGAUGCCACUUGCAAGUCGACCCUCAGCUUGGAACUAGGUUUUUUGUUUGAUGCCACUCACAAGUCGACCCUCGACUUGGAACUAGGUCUUUUGUUUUAUGCCACUUGCAAGUCGACCCUCGACUCGCAACUGAGUUCUUUGUUUGAUGCCACUUGCAAGUCCAGGUGGGAGACAUAGAAAUUUGCAAGAUACAUACAGAUUUGAAUGUUGAAGACCCGUUGACUAAGCCUCUUCCACGAGCAAAACAUGAUCAGCACCAAGGCUCCAUGGGUGUUAGAAUCAUUACUGUGUAAUCUAGAUUAUUGACUCUAGUGCAAGUGGGAAACUAAAGGAAAUAUGCCCUAAAGGCAAUAAUAAAGUUAUUAUUUAUUUCCUUAUUUCAUGAUAAAUGUUUAUUAUUCAUGCUAGAAUUGUAUUAACCGGAAACAUGAUACAUGUGUGAAUACAUAGACAAACAGAGUGUCACUAGUAUGCCUCUACUUGACUAGCUCGUUGAUCAAAGAUGGUUAUGUUUCCUAGCCAUAGACAAAGAGUUGUCAUUUGAUUAACGGGAUCACAUCAUUAGGAGAAUGAUGUGAUUGACUUGACCGAUUUCGUUAGCUUAGCACAUGAUCGUUUAGUUUGUUGCUAUUGCUUUCUUCAUGACUUAUACAUGUUCCUAUGACUAUGAGAUUAUGCAACUCCUGUUUACCCGAGGAAAACUUUGUGUGCCACCAAACGUCACAACGUAACUGGGUGAUUAUAAAGGUGCUCUACAGGUGUCUCCAAAGGUACUUGUUGGGUUGGCGUAUUUCGAGAUUAGGAUUUGUCACUCCAAUUGUCGGAGAGGUAUCUCUGGGCCCACUCGGUAAUGCACAUCACUAUAAGCCUUGCAAGCAUUGCAACUAAUGAGUUAGUUGCGGGAUGAUGUAUUACGAAACGAUUAACGAGACUUGCCCGUAACGAUAUUGAACUAGGUAUUGAGAUACCGACGAUCGAAUCUCGAGCAAGUAACAUACCGAUGACAAAGGGAACAACAUAUCUUGUUAUGCGGUCUGACCGAUAAGAUCUUCGUAGAAUAUGUAGGAGCCAAUAUGGGCAUCCAGGUCCCGCUAUUGGUUAUUGACCAGAGAGGUGUCUCGGUCAUGUCUACAUAGUUCUUGAACCCAUAGGGUCUGCACGCUUAACAUUCGUUGACGAUAUAGUACUAUAUGAGUUAUGUAUGUUGGUGACCGAAUGUUGUUCGGAGUCCGGGAUGAGAUCACGGACAUGACGAGGAACUUUGGAAUGGUCCAAAGAUAAAGUUUGAUAUAUGGGAUAAUAGUGUUUGGUCACCGGAAGGGUUCCGGAAUUCACCGGAAGGGGUUCCAGAUGUUUCCCGAAAUGUUUGGGUACGAGAACACUUUAUUUGGGCCAAAGGGGAAAGCCCACAAGGUUUUUGGAAAGCUCAAAAGAAAAUUUUGCGGAGUUCAGGGGCCAGGCGCCAGGGUCCCUGGUGUCUGGGUCCAGACGCCGAGAACCCUGGCGUCUGGCCCUGGAGUCCGAGAAGGACUCUUGCCAUUCGGGUGAAACCGACUUUGUGGAGGCUUUUACUCCAAGUUUUCGACCCCAACGCUCAACAUACAAAUAGAGGGGUAGGGCUAGCACCCAAGAAACAUCAAGAAACACCAAGCCGUGUGCCGGGAACCCCGUCCCCUCUAGUUUAUCCUCCGUCAUAGUUUUCGUAGUGCUUAGGCAAAGCCUUGUGGAGAUUGUUCUUCAUCAACACCGUCACCACGCCGUUGUGCUGCCGAAACUCAUCUACUACUUCGCCCCUCUUGCUGGAUCGAGAAGGCGAGGACGUCAUCGAGCCGAACGUGUGCAGAACUCGGAGGUGUCGUGCUUUCGGUACUUGGAUCGGUCAGACGUGAAGACGUAUGACUACAUCAACUGCGUUGAUAUAACGCUUCCACGAAUGGUCUACGAGGAUACAUAGACAACACUCUCCCCUCUUGUUGCUAUGCAUCACCAUGAUAUUGCGUGUGCGUAGGAAUUUUUUUGAAAUUACUACGUUCCCCAACAGUCGUAUCAUAGCCAGGUUUUAUGCGUUGAUGUUAUAUGCACGAGUAGAACACAAAUGAGUUGUGGGCGAUAUAAGUCAUACUGCUUACCAGCAUGUCAUACUUUGGUUUGGCGGUAUUGUUGGAUGAAGCGGCCCGGACCGACAUUACGCGUACGCUUACACGAGACUGGUUCUAUCGACGUGCUUUGCACACAGGUGGCUGGCGGGUGUCAGUUUCUCCAACUUUAGUUGAAUCGAGUGUGGCUAUGACCGGUCCUUGCGAAGGUUAAAACAACACCAACUUGACAAACUAUCAUUGUGGUUUUGAUGCGUAGGUAAGAACGGUUCUUGCUAAGCCCAUAGCAGCCACGUAAAACUUGCAACAACAAAAUAGAGGGCGUCUAACUUGUUUUUGCAGGGCAUGUUGUGAUGUGAUAUGGUCAAGACAUGAUGCUAAAUUUUAUUGUAUGAGCUGAUCAUGUUUUGUAACCGAGUUAUCGGCAACUGGCAGGAGCCAUAUGGUUGUCGCUUUAUUGUAUACAAUGCAAUCACGCUGUAAUGCUUUACUUUAUCACUAAGCGGUAGCGAUAGUCGUGGAAGCAUAAGAUUGGCGAGACAACAAUGAUGCUACGAUGGAGAUCAAGGUGUCGCGCCGGUGAUGAUGGUGAUCAUGACGGUACUUCGGAGAUGGAGACCACAAGUACAAGAUGAUGAUGGCCAUAUCAUAUCACUUAUAUUGAUUGCAUGUGAUGUUUAUCUUUUAUGCAUCUUAUCUUGCUUUGAUUGACGGUAGCAUUAUAAGAUGAUCUCUCACUAAAUUUCAAGAUAAAAGUGUUCUUCCUGAGUAUGCACCGUUGCCAAAGUUCAUCGUGCCCAGAUACCACGUGAUGAUCGGGUGUGAUAAGCUCUACGUCCAUCUACAACGGGUGCAAGCCAGUUUUUGCACAUGCAGAAUACUCAGGUUAAACUUGACGAGCCUAGCAUAUGCAGAUAUGGCCUCGGAACACUGAGACCGAAAGGUCGAGCGUGAAUCAUAUAGUAUAUAUGAUCAACAUAUUGAUGUUCACCAUUGAAAGCUACUCCAUUUCACGUGAUGAUCGGUUAUGGUUUAGUUGAUUUGGAUCACGUGAUCACUUAGAAGAUUAGAGGGAUGUCUUUCUAAGUGGGAGUUCUUAAGUAAUAUGAUUAAUUUAACUUAAAUUUAUCAUGAACUUAGUACCUAAUAGUAUUUUGCUUGUCUAUGUUGAUUGUAGAUAGAUGGCACGUGAUGUUGUUCCGUUGAAUUUUAAUGCGUUCCUUGAGAAAGCAAAGUUGAAAGAUGAUGGUAGCAAUUACAUGGACUGGGUCCGUAACUUGAUGAUUAUCCUCAUUGCUGCACAGAAGAAUUACGUCCUAGAAGCACCGCUAAGUGCCAAGCCUACUGCAGGAGCAACACCAGAUGUUAUGAAUGUCUGGCAGAGCAAAGCUGAUGACUACUCAAUAGUUCAGUGUGCCAUGCUUUACGGCUUAGAACCAGGUCUUCAACGACGUUUUGAAUGUCAUGGAGCAUAUGAGAUGUUCCAGGAGUUGAAGUUAAUAUUUUAAGCAAAUGCCCGGAUUGAGAGAUAUGAAGUCUCCAAUAAGUUCUAUAGCUGCAAGAUGGAGGAGAAUAGUUCUGUCAGUGAACAUAUACUCAAAAUGUCUAGGUAUCAUAAUCACUUGACUCAACUGGGAGUUAAUCUUCCUGUUGAUAGUGUCAUUGAUAGAGUUCUUCAAUCACUGCCACCAAGCUACAAGAGCUUCGUGAUGAACUAUAACAUGCAAGGGAUGGAUAAGACGAUUCCUGAGCUCUUCGCAAUGCUAAAGGCUGCGGAGGUAGAAAUCAAGAAGGAGCAUCAAGUGUUGAUGGUUAAUAAGACCGCCAGUUUCAAGAAAAAGGGCAAAGGGAAGAAGAAGGGGAACUUCAAGAAGAACAGCAAACAAGUUGUUGCUCAGGAGAAGAAACCCAAAUCUGGACCUAAGCCUGAAACUGAGUGCUUCUACUGCAAGCAUACUGGACACUGGAAGCGGAACUGCCCCAAGUAUUUGGCGAAUAAGAAGGAUGGCAAGGUGAACAAAGGUAUAUGUGAUAUACAUGUUAUUGAUGUGUACCUUACUAGAGCUCACAGUAGCACCUGGGUAUUUGAUACUGGUUCUGUUGCUAAUAUUUGCAACUCGAAACAGGGACUACGGAUUAAGCGAACACUGGCAAAGGACGAGGUGACGAUGCGCGUGGGAAAUGGUUCCAAAGUCGAUGUGAUCGCAGUCGGCAUGCUACCUCUACAUCUACCUUCGGGAUUAGUAUUAGACCUAAAUAAUUGUUAUUUGGUGCGAGCGUUGAGCAUGAACAUUAUAUUUGGAUCUUGUUUGAUGCGAGACGGUUAUUCAUUUAAAUCAGAGAAUAAUGGUUGUUCUAUUUAUAUGAGUAAUAUCUUUUAUGGUCAUGCACCCUUGAAGAGUGGUCUAUUUUUGAUGAAUCUCGAUAGUAGUGAUACACAUAUUCAUAAUGUUGAAGCCAAAAGAUGCAGAGUUGAUAAUGAUAGUGUAACUUAUUUGUGGCACUACCGUUUAGGUCAUAUCGGUGUAAAGCGCAUGAAGAAACUCCAUACUGAUGGACUUUUGGAAUCACUUGAUUAUGAAUCACUUGGUACUUGCGAACCGUGCCUCAUGGGCAAGAUGACUAAAACGCCGUUCUCCGGUACUAUGGAGAGAGCAACAGAUUUGUUGUAAACCAUACAUACAGAUGUAUAUGGUCCGAUGAAUGUUGAGGCUCAUGGCGGAUAUCGUUAUUUUCUCACCUUCACAGAUGAUUUAAGCAGAUAUGGGUAUAUCUACUUAAUGAAACAUAAAUCUGAAACAUUUUGAAAAGUUCAAAGAAUUUCAGAGUGAAGUUGAAAAUCAUCAUAAUAAGAAAAUAAAAUUUCUACGAUCUGAUCGUGGAGGAGAAUAUUUGAGUUACGAGUUUGGUCUACAUUUGAAACAAAGCGGAAUAGUUUCGCAACUCAUGCCACCCGGAACACCACAGCGUAAUGGUGUGUCCGAACGUCGUAAUCGUACCUUACUAGAUAUGGUGCGACCUAUGAUGUCUCUUACUGAUUUACCGCUAUCGUUUUGGGGUUAUGCUUUAGAGACGGCCGCAUUCACGUUAAAUAGGGCACCAUCGAAAUCCGUUGAGACGACGCCUUAUGAACUAUGGUUUGGCAAGAAACCAAAGUUGUCGUUUCUUAAAGUUUGGGGCUGCGAUGCUUAUGUGAAAAAGCUUCAACCUGAUAAGCUCGAACCCAAAUCGGAUAAAUGUGUCUUCAUAGGAUACCCAAAGGAGACUGUUGGGUACACCUUCUAUCACAGAUUCGAAGGCAAGACAUUCGUUGCUAAGAAUGGAUCCUUUCUAGAGAAGGAGUUUCUCUCGAAAGAAGUGAGUUGGAGGAAAGUAGAACUUGAUGAGGUAACUGUACCUGCUCCCUUAUUGAAAAGUAGUUCAUCACAGAAAUCGGUUUCUGUGACACCUACACCAAUUAGUGAGGAAGUUAAUGAUGAUGAUCAUGGAACUUCAGAUCAAGUUAUUACUGAACCUCGUAGAUCAACCAGAGUAAGAUCCGCACCAGAGUGGUAUGGUAAUCCUAUUCUGGAAGUCAUGCUACUAGAUCAUGAUGAACCUACGAACUAUGAAGAAGCGAUGGUGAGCCCAGAUUCUGCAAAAUGGCUAGAAGCCAUGAAAUCUGAGAUGGGAUCCAUGUAUGAGAACAAAGUGUGGACUUUGGUUGACUUGCCCAUUGAUCGGCAAGCAAUUGAGAAUAAAUGGAUCUUCAAGAAGAAGACUGACGCUGACGGUAAUGUUACUGUCUACAAAGCUCGACUUGUUGCGAAAGGUUUUUGACAAGUUCAAGGGAUUGACUACGAUGAGACCUUCUCACCCGUAGCGAUGCUUAAGCCUGUCCGAAUCAUGUUAGCAAUUGCCGCAUUUUAUGAUUAUGAAAUUUGGCAGAUGGAUGUCAAAACUGCAUUCCUGAAUGGAUUUCUAGAAGAAGAGUUGUAUAUGAUGCAACCGGAAGGUUUUGUCGAUCCAAAGGGAGCUAACAAAGUGUGCAAGCUCCAGCGAUCCAUUUAUGGACUGGUGCAACCCUCUCGGAGUUGGAAUAAACGCUUUGAUAGAGUGAUCAAAGCAUUUGGUUUUGUACAGACUUUUGGAGAAGCCUGUAUUUACAAGAAAGUGAGUGGGAGCUCUGUAGCAUUUCUGAUAUUAUAUGUGGAUGACAUAUUACUAAUUGGAAAUGAUAUCGAAUUUCUGGAUAGCAUAAAGGGAUACUUGAAUAAAAGUUUUUUAUGAAAGACCUCGGUGAAGCUGCUUACAUAUUGGGCAUCAAGAUCUAUAGAGAUAGAUCAAGACGCUUAAUUGGACUUUCACAAAGCACAUACCUUGACAAAGUUUUGAAAAAGUUCAAAAUGGAUCAAGCAAAGAAAGGGUUCUUGCCCGUGUUACAAGGUGUGAAGUUGAGUAAGACUCAAUGCCCGACCACUACUUCAGCCAUAGGCUCUAUCAUGUAUGCUAUGCUGUGUACCAGACCUGAUGUGUGCCUUGCUAUAAGUCUAGCAGGGAGGUACCAAAGUAAUCCAGGAGUGGAUCACUGGACAGCGGUCAAGAAUGUCCUGAAAUACCUGAAAAGGACUAAGGAUAUGUUUCUCGUUUAUGGAGGUGACAAAGAGCUCAUCGUAAAUGGUUACGUUGAUGCAAGCUUUGACACUGACCCGGAUGAUUCUAAAUCACAAACCGGAUACGUCUUUAUAUUAAACGGUGGAGCUGUCAGUUGGUGCAGUUCUAAACAAAGCAUCGUGGCGGGAUCUACGUGUGAAGCGGAGUACAUAGCUGCUUCGGAAGCAGCAAAUGAAGGAAUAUGGAUGAAGGAGUUCAUAUCCGAUCUAGGUGUCAUACCUAGUGCAUCGGGUCCAAUGAAAAUCUUUUGUGACAAUACUGGUGCAAUUGCCUUGGCAAAGGAAUACAGAUUUCACAAGAGAACCAAGCACAUCAAGAGACGCUUCAAUUCCAUCCGGGAUUUAGUCCAGGUGGGAGACAUAGAAAUUUGCAAGAUACAUAUGGAUUUGAAUGUUGCACACCCGUUGACUAAGCCUCUUCCACGAGCAAAACAUGAUCAGCACCAAGGCUCCAUGGGUGUUAGAAUCAUUACUGUGUAAUCUAGAUUAUUGACUCUAGUGCAAGUGGGAGACUGAAGGAAAUAUGCCCUAGAGGCAAUAAUAAAGUUAUUAUUUAUUUCCUUAUUUCAUGAUAAAUGUUUAUUAUUCAUGCUAGAAUUGUAUUAACCGGAAACAUGAUACAUGUGUGAAUACAUAGACAAACAGAGUGUCACUAGUAUGCCUCUACUUGACUAGCUCGUUGAUCAAAGAUGGUUAUGUUUCCUAGCCAUAGACAAAUAGUUGUCAUUUGAUUAACGGGAUCACAUCAUUAGGAGAAUGAUGUGAUUGACUUGACCCAAUCUGCUAGCUUAGCACAUGAUCAUUUAGUUUGUUGCUAUUGCUUUCUUCAUGACUUAUACAUGUUCUUAUGACUAUGAGAUUAUGCAACUCCCGUUUACCGGAGGAACACUUUGUGUGCCACCAAACAUCACAACGUAACUGGGUGAUUAUAAAGGUGCUCUACAGGUGUCUCCAAAGGUACUUGUUGGGUUGGCGUAUUUCGAGAUUAGGAUUUGUCACUCCGAUUGUCGGAGAGGUAUCUCUGGGCCCACUCGGUAAUGCACAUCACUAUAAGCCUUGCAAGCAUUGCAACUAAUGAGUUAGUUGCGAGAUGAUGUAUUACGGAACGAGUAAAGAUACUUGCCGGUAACGAGAUUGAACUAGGUAUUGAGAUACCGACGAUCGAAUCUCGAGCAAGUAACAUAUCGAUGACAAAGGGAACAACAUAUGUUGUUAUGCGGUCUGACGAUAAAGAUCUUCGUAGAAUAUGUAGGAGCCAAUAUGGGCAUCCAGGUCCCGCUAUUGGUUAUUGACCAGAGAGGUGUCUCGGUCAUGUCUACAUAGUUCUCGAACCCGUAGGGUCCGCACGCUUAACGUUCGUUGACAAUAUAGUACUAUAUGAGUUAUGUAUGUUGGUGACUGAAUGUUGUUCGGAGUCCGGGAUGAGAUCACGGACAUGACGAGGAACUCCGGAAUGGUCCGGAGAUAAAGUUUUAUAUAUGGGAUAAUAGUGUUUGGUCACCGGAAGGGUUCCGGAAUUCACUGGAAGGGGUUCCGGAUGUUUCCCGAAAUGUUUGGGUACGAGAAAACUUUAUUUGGGCCAAAGGGGAAAGCCCACAAGGUUUUUGGAAAGCGCAAAAGGAAGUUUUGCGGAGUCCAGGGGCCAGACGCUAGGGUCCCUGGCGUCUGGGUCCAGACGCCGGGAACCCUGGCGUUUGGCCCUGGAGUCCGAGAAGGACUCUUGCCUUUCGGGUGAAACCGACUUUGUGGAGGCUUUUACUCCAAGUUUCGACCCCAAGGCACAACAUAUAAAUAGAGGGGUAGGGCUAGCACCCAAGACACACCAAGCUGUGUGCUGGCAACCCCGUCCCCUCUAGUUUAUCCUCCGUCAUAGUUUUCGUAGUGCUUAGGCGAAGCCCUGCAGAGAUUAUUCUUCAUCAACAACGUCACCACGCCGUCAUGCUGCCGGAACUCAUCUACUACUUCGCCCCUCUUGCUGGAUCGAGAAGGCGAGGACGUCACCGAGCCGAACAUGUGCAGAACUUGGAGGUGCCAUGCUUUCGGUACUUGGAUCGGUCGGACGUGAAGACGUACGACUACAUCAACCGCGUUGAUAUAACGCUUCCGCGAACGGUCUACGAGGGUAUGUAGACAACACUCUCCCCUCUCGUUGCUAUGCAUCACCAUGAUCUUGCUUGUGCGUAUGAAUUUUUUUGAAAUUACUACGUUCCCCAACAUUUAUGCCACUUGCAAGUCGACCCUCGACUUGCCACUAGGAUUUUUUGUUUUGAUGCCACUUACAAGUUGACCCAUGACCUGCAACUGGGUUUUUUGUUUUCAUGCCACUUGCAAGUCGACCCUGGAAUUGCAACUGGGUCUAAUGUUUUAUGCCACUUGCAAGUCGACCCUUGACCUGCAACUAGGUUCUUUUCUUUGAUGCCACUUGCAAGACAACAAUCAGACUCGCAACUAUGGUGUUUCUAUAGUUUUAAUAGCCCAGUUGCAAGUCCACCAUCGUCUCAGAAUUGUGGGCCCAUAGUUUUUGUUUUAAUUUCCACUUGCAAGUGAAGCCACGACUUGCUACAAGGGUUUUUGUUUGAUGUCACUAGCAAGUCGACCCUUGACUUGCAACUAGGUAUUUUUCUUUAAUGCCACUUGCAAGUCGACCCUCGACUUGCAAUCAGGUUCUUUGUUUGAUGCCACUUGCAGGUCGUCACUUGACUUGCAACUGUGGUGUUUGUCUAGUUUGUAAUAACCCAAGUUGCAAGCCGACCCUCGACUCGCAUCUGUGGUGUUUGUCUAGUUAUAAUAGCCCGAGGGGCCGAGAUGCAAGUCCACCAUUGACUCGCAAUUGUGGGCCUGUAGUUUUUUUUCAUUUUCCAACUUGCAAGUGAAGCCUCGACUUACAAAUAGGUUUUUUGUUUGAUCCCACUUGCAGGUCGACCCUCGACUCGCAACUGGGUCUUCUAUUUUUUAUGCCACUUGCAAGUGGACCCUCGACUUACAACCAGGUUCUUUGUUUGUUGCCACUUGCAAGCCGACCAUCGACUCGCAAUUGUGGUGUUUCUCUAGUUGUAAUAGACCCUGAUGCAAGUCCACCAUCUGCUCGCAAUUGUGGGAGCGUAGUUUUUGUUUCAUUCCCACUUGCAAGUGAAGCCUUGACUUGCAACUAGGUUUUUUGUUUGAUGCCACUUGCAAGUCGACCCUUGACUUGCCACUGUGGUGUUUCUCUAGUCGUAAUAGCCCAGUUGCAAGCCGCUGCAAGCCGUCCCUCGACUUGCAACUAGGUUUGUUGUUUGAUGCCACUUGCAAGUCGACCCACGAUUUGGAAAUAGGUUUUUUGUUUGAUGCCACUCGCAAGUCGACCCUCGACUUGCAAUUGGGUCUUUUGUCUUAUGUCACUUGCAAGUCAACCCUCUGACUCACAACUGGGUUCUUUGUUUGAUGCCACUUGCAAGCCGACAAUCGACUCGCAACUGUGGUGUUUCUCUAGUUUGAUUAGCCCCAGUUGGAAGUCCACCCUCGAAUCGCAAUUGUGGGCCCAUAUUUUUUGUUUAAUUUCUACUUGCAAGUGAAGCCACGACUUGCAACUAUGUUUUUUAUGCCACUUGGAAGUCAACCCUUGACUUGCAACUGGGUCUUCUUCUUUGAUGCCACUUGCAAGUUGACCCCCGACUUGCAACCGAGUUCUUUGUUUGAUGUCACUUGUAGGUCAACACUUGACUCACAACUUUGGCCUUUGUCUAGUUGUAAUAGCCCCGGUAGCAACUCCACCAUUGACUCACAAUUGUCGGCCUAUAGUUUUUUUUCAUUUUCCAACUUACAAGUGAAGCCUUGACUUGCGACUAGGUUUUUUGUUUGAUGCCACUUGCAAGUCGAGCCUUGACUCACAACUAGGUCUUUAGUUCUAUGCCACUUGGAAGUCGACCAUCGACUCGCAACUGGGUCUUCUAUUUUUUAUGCCACUUGCAAGUCGAUCCUCGACUUGCCACUAGGUUUUUUGUUUUGAUGUCACUUGCAAGUUGACACCUGACUUGCAAUUGGGUUUGUUGUUUUCAUGCCACUUGAAAGUAGACCCUCGAAUUGCAAUUGGGUCUAUCGUUUUAUGCCACUUGCAAGAAAACCCUCGACCCACAACUUGGUUCUUUUGUUUGAUGCCACUUGCAAGACGACAAUCAGACUCGCAACUAUGGUGUUUCUCUAGUUUUAAUAGCCCAGUUGCAAGUCCACCAUCCUCUCGCAAUUGUGGGCCCAUAGUUUUUGUUUUACACUUGCAAGUGAAGCCAUAACUUGCAACAAGGUUUUUUGUUUGAUGCCACUUGCAAGUCGACCCUUGACUUGCAACUGGAUAUUUUUGUUUAAUGCCACUUGCAAGUCGACCCUCGUCUUGCAAUCAGAUUCUUUGUUUGAUGCCACCUGCAGGUCAACACUUGACUCACAACGGUGGUGUUUGUCUAGUUUGUAUUAGUCCAAGUUGCAAGCCGACCCUCGACUCGCAUAUGUGGUAUUUGUCUAGUUGUAAUAGCCCCAGUUGCAAGUCCACCAUUGACUUGCAAUUGUGGGCCUGUAGUUUUUUUUUCAUUUUCCAACUUGCAAGUGAACCCUGACUUGCAACUAGGCUUUUUGGUUGAUGCCACUUUCAAGUCGACCCUUGACUUGCAACUGGGUCUUUAGUUUGCCACUUGCAAGUCGACCCUCGAAUCGCAACUGGGUCUUCUAUUUUUUAUGCGACUUGCAAAUGGACCCUCGACUUGCAAUCGGGUUCUUUGUUUGAUGCCACUUGCAAGCCGACAAUAGACUUGCAACUGGGUCUUUUGUUUUAUGCCACUUACAAGUCGACCUUCGACUCACAACUGGGUUCUUUUGUUUGAUGCCACUUGCAAGCCGACAAUCGACUUGCAACUAUGGUGUUUCUCUAGUUGUAAUAGCCCCAGUUCAAGUCCACUAUCGACUCGCAAUUGUGGGCUCGUAGUUUUUGUUUCAUUUCGACUUGCAAGUGAAGCCUCGACUUGCAACUAGGGUUUUUGUUUGAUGCCACUUGCAAGUCCACCCUUGAUUUGCAACCAGGUCUUUCUGUUUGAUGCCACUUGCAAGUCGACCCUCGACUUGUAACCGGGUUCUUUGUUUGAUGCCACUUGUAGGUCGACACUCGAUUCGCAAUUGUGGUGUUUGUCUAGUUUAAUAGCCUCAGUUGCUAGCCGACCCUCGACUCGCAACUGUGGUGUUUGUCUAGUUGUAAUAGCCCAGUUGCAAGUCGACCCUCAACUUGCAAUUGUGGUGUUUCUUGAUACGUCUCCAACGUAUCUGUAAUUUUUGAUUGCUCCAUGCUAUAUUAUCUACUGUUUUGGGCAAUAUUGGGCUUUAUUAUCCACUUUUAUAUUACUUUUGGGACUAACAUAUUAACCGGAGGCCCAGCCCAGAUUUGUUGUUUUAUGCCUAUUUCAGUGUUUCGAAGAAAAGGAAUAUCAAACGGAGUCGAAACGGAACGAAAUCAACUGGAGAAGUUAUUUUUGGAAGGAAACCUACCGGAUAGACUUGGACCCUAUGUCAGAAGAUGAAGGAGGAGCUCAUGAGGGUAGGGGAGCGCCCACCCCCCUGCCUCGUGACCACCCCUUCGUCCACCGACGUACUCCUUUCACCCAUAUAUACCCACGUAUCCUAAAACUUCCAGAGAACACAAUAGAUCGGGAGUUCCGCUGCCAGAAGCCUCCGUAGCCACCGAAAGCUAAUCUAGACCCGUUUCGGCACCCUGCCGGAGGGGGCAAUCCCUCUCUGGUGGCCAUCUUCAUCAUCCCGGUGCUCUCCAUGACGAGGAGGGAGUAGUUCUCCCUCGGGGCUAAGGGUAUGUAUCAGUAGCUAUGUGUUUGAUCUCUCUCUCUCUCUCUCUCUCUCUCUCGUGUUCUUGAUUUGGCACGAUCUUGAUGUAUCACGAGCUUUGCUAUUCUAGUUGGAUCUUAUGUUUCUCCUCCCCCUCUUCUCUCUUGUAAUGAAUUGAGUUUCCCCUUUGAAGUAAUCUUGUCGGAUUGAGUCUUUAAAGAUUUGAGAACACUUGAUGUAUGUCUUGCCGUGCGUAUCUGUGGUGACAAUGGGAUAUCACGUGAUUCACUUGAUGUAUGUUUUGGUGAUCAACUUGCGGGUUCCGCCCGUGAACCUAUGCAUAAGGGUUGGCACACGUUUUCGUCGUGAUUCUCCGGUAGAACUUCGGGGCACUCUUUGAGGUCCUUUGUGUUGGUUGAAUAAAUGAAUCUGAGAUUGUGUGAUGCAUAUCGUAUAAUCAUACCCACGGAUACUUGAGGUGACAUUGGAGUAUCUAGGUGACAUUAGGGUUUUGAUUGAUUUGUGUCUUAAGGUGUUAUUCUAGUACGAACUCUAGGGCUGUUUGUGACACUUAUAGGAAUAGCCCAACGGAUUGAUUGGAAAGAAUAACUUUGAGAUGGUUUCGUACCCUACCAUAAUCUCUUCGUUUGUUCUCUGCUAUUAGUGACUUUGGAGUGACUCUUUGUUGCAUGUUGAGGGAUAGUUAUGUGAUCCAAUUAUGUUAGUAUUGUUGAGGGAACUUACACUAGCGAAAGUAUGAACCCUAGGCCUUAUUUCCUACCAUUGCAAUACCGUUUAUGCUCACUUUUAUCACUUGCUACCUUGCUGUUUUUAUAUUUUCAGGUUACAAAAACUAUUAUCUACUAUCCAUAUACCACUUGUAUCACCAUCUCUUCGCCGAACUAGUGCACCUAUACAAGUUACCAUUGUAUUGGGUGUGUUGGGGACACAAGAGACUCUUUGUUAUUUGGUUGCAGGGUUGCUUGAGAGAGACCAUCUUCAUCCUACGCCUCCUAUGGAUUGAUAAACCUUAGGUCAUCCACUUGAGGGAAAUUUGCUACUGUCCUACAAACCUCUACACUUGGAGGCCCAACAACGUCUACAAGAAGAAGGUUGUGUAGUAAACAUCAAGCUCUUUUCUGGCGCCGUUGCCGGGGAGGUUAGCACUUGAAGGUAUAUCUUUAGAUCUUGCAAUCGAGUCUUUUAGUUUCUUGUUUUAUCACUAGUUUAGCUUAUAAAAGAAAAUUACAAAAAAAAUGGAAUUGAGUUUGUCUCAUACGCUUCACCUUUUUAAUAUCUUUCGUGAGUAUGAUGGAAAGGAUAAUUGUGCUCAUGUGCUAUAAGAAGAAAUCUAUAAAAUGUUUGGCACUAAAUAUUUGAAUGAUGAGCAUGAUUGCAAUGUUGUUAGUAUGAAUUCCUUGAAUAUCCAUGAUGCUAAUGAUAUGCAAAGCCACAAGCUUGGGGAAGCUAUGUUUGAUGAAGAUGAUAUUUUUUGUCCCCCAAGUUUUGAUGAGAAAAUUUAUUAUGAUGAAAGCAUGCCUCCUAUUUAUGAUGAUUAUAUUGAUGAAAGUAGAUUUGGAGAGGUCAUGACUUUAUUUUGUGAUGAAUCCACUAUUCCGGAAGAGGUUCCAAUUGAUUAUGAGAACAAAGUUGCUAUCUAUGAUGAUUAUUGUGAUGACUUGUAUGCUAUAAAUAAUAAUGAUAUCCACGAAACUUGUCAUCAUGAUUUUAGUUUUCAAUUGGAUUAUUCCUCACAUGAUAAUUAUUUUGUUGAGCUUGCUCCCACUACUAUUCAUGCGAAGAAAUUUGCUUGUGUGGAGAGUAGUAAAUUUUCUAUGCUUGUAGAUCAUGAAAAGAAUGCUUUAGGUGCUGGUUAUAUUGUUGAAUUCAUUCAUGAUGCUACUAAAAAAUAUUAUGAGGGAGGAAUAUAUGCUUGUAGGAAUUGCAAUAAUAUCAAGUUUCCUCUCUAUGUGCUUAAAAUUUUGAAGUUAUGCUUGUUUUGCCCUCCUAUGCUAAUUGAUUAUUGUUUCCAUAAGUUGUUUGCUCACAAAAUCCCUGUGCAUAGGAAGUGGGUUAGACUUAAAUGUGCUAGUCAUAUUCUUCAUGAUGCUCUCUUUAUAUUUCAAUUCUUAUCUUCUAUGUGAGCAUCAUUGAAAUCAUCAUGCCUAGCUAGGGGCGUUAAACGAUAGCGCUUGUUGGGAGGCAACCCAAUUUUAUUUUAGUUCUUUGAUUUUUGUUCCUGUUUAGUAAUAAAUAAUUCAUCUAUCCUCUGUAUAGAUGUGGUUUUAUGUGUUUAAUUAGUGUUUGUGCCAAGUAGAACCUUUGGGAAGACUUUGGGAAAGUCUUGUUGAUUAUGCUGUAAAAACAGAAACUUUAGCGCUCACGAGAAUUGCUGCCAGUUUUCAUUGGAGAGUGCUAUUUAGUUAAUUAUUUUUUCAGAUGAUUAAUAGAUAAAUUCCUCAGAUCCAAAAAUUUAUUUGAGAAUUUUAUGAGUUUUAGAAGUAUAUGUUUGAUUCAGAUUACUACAGACUGUUCUGUUUUUGACAAAUUCUGUUUUCAUUGUGUUGUUUGCUUAUUUGGAUGAAUCUAUGAGUAGUAUUGGAGGGUAUGAACCAUAGAGAAGUUGGAAUACAGUAUAUAUUACAGCAAUAUAAAUAUUGAAUGAGUUCAUUACAGUACCUUGAAGUGGUGAUUUAUUUUCUUAUACUAACGGAGCUUACGAGUUUUCUAUUAAGUUUUGUGUUGUGAAGUUUUCAAGUUUUGGGUAAGGAUUCGAUGGACUAUGGAAUAAGGAGUGGCAAGAGCCUAAGCUUGGGUAUUCCCAAGGCACCCCAAGGUAAUAUUCAAGGAAAACCAAGAGCCUAAUCUUGGGGAUGCCCCGGAAGGCAUCCCCUCCUUCGUCUUCGUUCAUCGGUAACUUUACUUGGAGCUAUAUUUUUAUUCGCCACAUGAUAUGUGUUUUGCUUGGAGCGUCAAUUUAUUUUGCUAUAAUUUGCUUGCUGUUAUUUAGAACAAUGUUUUGCAUAUUUUAUUUCAAUAAAAGUGGCAUUGAUAGCCUUUACUAUGCCUAUGUUACAAGUAUACAUGUUGCUGUUUGAAAACAGAAAGUUUACCGCUGUUGCAAUAAUUGCCUAGAAAAGUCAGAAUGUGAUAAAAUGUUGAAACAUUUUGCAUAUUAAUCUCUGAUAAAUUUACAACAGUGGGAAUUUUCUUUCAUAAUUUUUGGAGCUAGGGAAGUAUGGAUGUUGCUGCAUUCUUUAUAGACUAUCCUGUUUAGGCAGAUUGCUGUUAUGUUUGCAUUGUUUGCAUAUGUUUGCUUCUUUAAUGAUUCUAUUUGAGGAUAGGACUAUUAAAUAUGCAUAUACAUUUAGUAUGCAAUGUUGAAUAAUAAUUUUAGUGAUUUGCUACAGUAGAGUAUGAUAAGGUUUUGGCAAUGGUUUAUACUAAGUUAUCUCACGAGUCCUUGUUGAGUUUUGUGUGGAUGAAGCUUUUGAGAUUUAUGGAGACCGUGAUAUGAGAGGAAUUAAGGAUACACAAAAGCUCAAGCUUGGGGAUUCCCAAGGCACCCCAAGAUAAUAUUUCAAGAAGUCUCAAGAAUCUAAGCUUGGGGAUGCCCCGGUUGGCAUCCCAUCUUUCUUCUUCAACAACUAUCGGUUAGUAUCGGUUGAUCCUAAGUUUUUGUUUCUUCACAUGAUGUUUGCCAUUCUUAGAAUGUCAUUUUAUUUUGCUUUGCUUGCUGUUUGAAUAAAAUACCAAGAUUUGAAAUUAUUAAAUGUUAGAGAGUCUUCACAUGGUUGCAUAAUUAUUCAACUACUCAUUGAUCUUCACUUAUAUCUUUCGGAGUAGUUUGUAAUUUGCUCUAGUGCUUCACUUAUAUCCUUUUAGAGCACGGGGGUGGUUUUAUUUUAUAGAAAUAGAUGAACUCUCAUGCUUCACUUAGAUUAUUUUGAGAGUCUUAAAUAGCAUGGUAAUUUGCUUAAAAUCCUAAUAUGCUAGGUAUUCAAGAAUAAUAAAAUUCUCUUAUGAGUGUGUUGAGUACUAUGAGAAGUUUGAUACUUGAUAAUUAUUUUGAGAUAUGGAGAUGGUGAUAUUAGAGUCAGGCUAGUUGAGUAGUUGUGAAUUUAAAGAAUACUUGUGUUAAAGUUUGUGAUUCCUGUAGCAUGCACGUAUGGUGAACCGUUAUGUGAUGAAGUCGGAGCAUGAUUUAUUUAUUGAUUGUCUUCCUUAUGAGUGGCGGUCGGGGACAAGUGAUGGUCUUUUCCUACCAAUCUAUCCCCCUAGGAGCAUGCGCGUAAUACUUUGCUUUGAUAACUUCUAGAUUUUUGCAAUAAGUAUAUGAGUUCUUUAUGACUAAUGUUGAGUCCAUGGAUUAUACGCACUCUCACUCUUCCAUCUUUGCUAGCCUCUCCAGUACCGCGCACCUUUCGCCGGUAUCAUACACCCACCAUAUACCUUCCUCAAAACAGCCACCAUACCUACCUAUUAUGGCAUUUCCAUAGCCAUUCCGAGAUAUAUUGCCAUGCAACUUUCCACGGUUCCGUUUAUCAUGACACAUUCAUCAUUGUCAUAUUGCUAGCAUGAUCAUGUAGAUGACAUCGUAUUUGUCGCAAAGCCACCGUUCAUAAUUCUUUUAUACAUGUCACUCUUGAUUCAUUGCAUAUCCCGGUACACCGCCGGAGGCAUUCAUAUAGAGUCAUAUUUUGUUCUAAGUAUCGAUUUGUAAUUGUUGAGUUGUAAGAAAAAUAAAAGUGUGAUGAUCAUCAUUUUUAGAGCAUUGUCCCAAGUGAGGAAAGAAUGAUGGAGACUAUGAUUUCCCCAUAAGUCGGGAUGAGACUCUGGACGAAAAAUAAAUAAAAGAGGCCAAAGAAGCCCAAAUAAAAAGAGAAAGAAAAGAGGCCAUGAAAAAAAAGGCCCAAAUAAAAAAAUGAGAGAAAAAGAGAGAAGGGACAAUGUUACUAUCCUUUUACCACACUUGUGCUUCAAAGUAGCACCAUGAUCUUCAUAAUAGAGAGUCUCUCACGUUAUCACUUUCAUAUACUAGUGGGAAUCUUUCAUUAUAGAACUUGGCUUGUAUAUUCCAAUGAUGGGCUUCCUCAAAUUGCCCUAGGUCUUCAUGAGCAAGCAUGUUGGAUGCACACCCACUUAGUUUCUUUUUGAGCUUUCAUAUACUUAUAGUUCUAGUGCAUCCGUUGCAUGGCAAUCCCUACUCACUCACAUUGAUAUGUAUUGAUGGGCAUCUCCAUAGCCCGUUGAUACGCCUAGUUGAUGUGAGACUAUCUUCUCCUUUUUGUCUUCUCCACAACCACCAUUCUAUUCCACCUAUAGUGCUAUAUCCAUGGCUCACGCUCAUGUAUUGUGUGAAGAUUGAAAAGUUUGAGAACAUCAAAAGUAUGAAACAAUUGCUUGGCUUGUCAUCGGGGUUGUGCAAGAUUUAAAUAUUUUGUGUGGUGAAGAUAGAGCAUAGCCAGACUAUAUGAUUUUGUAGGGAUAACUUUCUUUGGCCAUGUUAUUUUGAGAAGACAUGAUUGCUUAGUUAGUAUGGUUGAAGUAUUAUUAUUUUUAUGUCAAUAUGAACUUUUGUCUUGAAUCUUUCAGAUCUGAAUAUUCAUACCACAAUUAAGAAGAAUUGCAUUGAAAUUAUGCCAACUAGCAUUCCACAUCAAAAAUUAUCUUUUUUAUCAUUUACCUACUCGAGGACGAGCAGGAAUUAAGCUUGGGGAUGCUUGAUACGUCUCCAACGUAUCUAUAAUUUUUGAUUGCUCCAUGCUAUAUUAUCUACUGUUUUGGGCAAUAUUGGGCUUUAUUAUCCACUUUUAUAUUACUUUUGGGACUAACCUACUAACCGGAGGCCCAACCCAGAUUUGUUGUUUUAUGCCUAUUUCAGUGUUUCGAAGAAAAGGAAUAUCAAACGGACUCGAAACGGAACGAAAUCAACUGGAGAAGUUAUUUUUGGAAGGAAACCUACCGGAUAGACUUGGACCCUACGUAAGAAGAUGAAGGAGGAGCUCACAAGGGUAGGGGGCGCGCCCACCCCCCUGGGGCACGCCCCCAGCCUCGUGGCCACCCCUUCGGUCCACCGACGUACUCCUUUCACCCAUAUAUACCCACGUAUCCUAAAACUUCCAGAGAACACAAUAGAUCAGGAGUUCCGGCACCAGAAGCCUCCGUAGCCACCGAAAGCUAAUCUAGACCCGUUCCGGCACCCUGCCGGAGGGGGCAAUCCCUCUCCGAUGGCCAUCUUCAUCAUCCCGGUGCUCUCCAUGACGAGGAGGGAGUAGUUCUCCCUCGGGGCUGAGGGUAUGUACUAGUAGCUAUGUGUUUGAUCUCUCUCUCUCUCUCUCUCUUGUGUUCUUGAUUUGGCAUGAUCUUGAUGUAUCAUGAGCUUUGCUAUUAUAGUUGGAUCUUAUGUUUCUCCCCCCCCCUCUUAUCUCUUGUAAAGAAUUGAGUUUCCCCUUUGAAGUAAUCUUAUCGGAUUGAGUCUUUAAAGAUUUGAGAACACUUGAUGUAUGUCUUGCCGUGCGUAUCUGUGGUGACAAUGGGAUAUCACGUGAUUCACUUGAUGUAUGUUUUGGUGAUCAACUUGCGGGUUCCGCCCAUGAACCUAUGCAUAGGGGUUGGCACACAUUUUCGUCGUGAUUCUCCGGUAGAACUUUGGGGCACUCUUUGAGGUCCUUUGUGUUGGUUGAAUAGAUGAAUCUGAGAUUGUGUGAUGCAUAUCGUAUAAUCAUACCCAUGGAUACUUGAGGUGACAUUGGAGUAUCUAGGUGACAUUAGGGUUUUGAUUGAUUUGUGUCUUAAGGUGUUAUUCUAGUACGAACUCUAGGGCUGUUUGUGACACUUAUAGGAAUAGCCCAACAGAUUGAUUGGAAAGAAUAACUUUGAGGUGGUUUCGUACCCUACCAUAAUCUCUUCGUUUGUUCUCCGCUAUUAGUGACUUUGGAGUGACUCUUUGUUGCAUGUUGAGGGAUAGUUAUGUGAUCCAAUUAUGUUAGUAUUGUUGAGGGAACUUACACUAGCGAAAGUAUGAACCCUAGGCCUUAUUUCCUACCAUUGCAAUACCGUUUAUGCUCACUUUUAUCACUUGCUACCUUGUUGUUUUUAUAUUUUCAGAUUACAAAAACUAUUAUCUACUAUCCAUAUACCACUUGUAUCACCAUCUCUUCGCCGAACUAGUGCACCUAUACAAUUUAACAUUGUAUUGGGUGUGUUGGGGACACAAGAGACUCUUUGUUAUUUGGUUGCAGGGUUGCUUGAGAGAGACCAUCUUCAUCCUACGCCUCCUACGGAUUGAUAAACCUUAGGUCAUCCACUUGAGGGAAAUUUGCUACUGUCCUACAAACCUCUGCGCUUGGAGGCCCAACAACGUCUACAAGAAGAAGGUUGUGUAGUAGACAUCAUUUCUCUACUUGUAAUAGCCCAAGUUGUAAAUCCACCAUUGACUCGCAAUUGUGGGCCCGUAGUUUUUGUUUCUUCUUCCAAAUUGCAAGUGAAGCCUCGACUUGCAAAUAGGUUUUUUUAUCCCACUUGCAAGUCACCCUCGACUCGCAACUGGGUCUUCUAUUUUUUAUCCCACUUGCAAGUGGACCCUUGACCUGCAACCGGGUUCUUUGUUUGAUGCCACUUGCAAGCCGACUAUCGACUCACAAUUGUGGUUUUUCUCUAGUUGUAAUAGCCCCUGUUAUAAGUCCACCAUUGGCUCGCAAUUGUGGGAGCGUAAUUUUUUAUUUCCACUUGCAAGUGAAGACUCGACUUGCGACUAGGUUUUUUGUUUGAUGCCACUUGCAAGUCGACCCUUGACUCGCCACGGUGCUGUUUCUCUAGUUAUAAUAGCCCCGCUUGCAAGUCCACCAUUGAUUCANNNNNNNNNNNNNNNNNNNNNNNNNNNNNNNNNNNNNNNNNNNNNNNNNNNNCGUUUGAUGCCACUUGCAAGUCAACCGGGUCCUUUGUUUGAUUCCACUUGUAAGUCGACCUAGGACUUGCAACCGGUUUUCUUUUUGUGUAGUUGUAAUUGCACACUUGCAAGGACAAGAUUGACUUGCAACUGGGAGCCUGUAGUUUUUCUUACAUGCCAUUUUUGCAAGUUGACCCUCGAAUUGCAACUAGGUUAUAUAUUUGAUGCCACUUGCAAGUCAACCCUCGAAUUGCAAAAUGCCACUUUUGCAAGUCAACCCUUUGACUUGCAACUCUAGUGUUUGUCUAGUUGUAUUCAUGCCUCUUGCAAGUUGACCCUCGACUUGCAACUGGGACUUUUUGUUUGAUGCCACUUGCAAGUCGACCCUCGACUUUGCAACCAGGUUUUUUUAUUUCAUUCCACUUGCAAGUCAACCCUUGACACACAUCUGUGGUUUUUGUCUAGUUGUAAUAGCCCCAGUUGCAAGUCCACCAUCCACUCGCAAUUGUGGGCCCAUAGUUUUUGUUUCAUUUCCACUAUGAAAGUGAAGCCUCGACUUGCGACUAGGUUUUUUUGUUUGAUGCCAUUUGCAAGUCGACCCUCGACUUUCAACUAGGUUUUUUUGUUUGAUGCCGCUUGCAAGUCGACCCUCGACUUGCAAUUGGGUCCUUUUGGUUUGAUGCCACUUACAAGUUGACACUCGACUUUGCAACUAGGUUCUUUGUUUGAUGCUACUUGCAAGCCGACCCUCGACUCGCAACUGUGUUGUUUGUCUAGUUGUAAUAGCUACAGUUGCAAGCCGACCCUCGACUCGCAACUGUUGUGUUUGUCUAGUUUUAAUAGCCCCAGUUGCAAGUCCACCAUUGACUCGCAAUUGUGGGCCCUUAGUUUUUGUUUCAUUUUUGCUCACUUAGCCUUGUAGUCCGUCCAGUCAACAUGAAUGUUUCAUUCUGCAGUUUUGUUGGACAAAAACAACAAUAAGAAUUUUCUUAUUCAAUGUAAAUGUUUUUUUGCUACUAUUAUUGGUCUAUCAACAUAAGUUUUUUUAGUGAAGUGUUGUAUUUUUUAACACUUUUUUGUCCUAAUGUUUACAGAAGUUUCCUUUUUUCUAAUCAUACGUCAGCACCAACGGGACAACGAUCUAUGUGUGGUGAACCAAAAAAAUGCAGCCUGCACAACACAAAACAAAGUUAAGCCCACUCUUUUUUAUCAUCUGCUUUUGUUAUAUGAACCACUUAAGUAGGAUAGAAUUUGUGAAGUGCUACACCCUAGAUGUGUAUUUGUUCAAACCACAGAGUUAGCAGCUAGUAGCAUUUCUGUGUAUGAACGGUUCCUGCCGAAGUCUUCAUUCAACGCCAAUGCCUGCAAUUUUUGAUUAUUUUAUGGGGAUUAAAAUUUUGAAAUAGAUACGGUUCAUAUCAACUAGACAGAGAGAACAUAAAUUUCAUGAUUUUUUCUUCAAAAGCACUUUUACUAUUUUUAUUUGAUCCAAAACAAUAAACCAACUUACAUCUUCUGUUGACCAGCAAGUGGGUUUGAUCUGUUACUCACAAGAUUCAGAGCAACAUUCGAUGGUGUUGCAAACUCAUAAAUAGGAGUGGUGAACGAGUAAGGUGGAAUCAUGUGCUGGUAUUGCUGUCCACUGUCUUCCAUUUGAAAAAGCCUUGGUUUGAACAUCACUGCUGGGUAUUGGGACUGCACAUGCUGCAAUCAAAAUUUAUCAGUAAGUUUCAUCUAUUUUUUUCUGUCAAUUUGUAAUGGUCCCAUGCGUUCUUUGUGAAUAGAGAUUCAUACCUGAGUUCCAAUGUAGUCUCCUGUAUAGUUAUCUUCAUUUACUGCAAACAUCAUUUUUUGUCAAAAAUUUAACAUUUAUGUUCCUAUACAACAUUUUAAUAUUAUACUCUAUUCACACCAAAGUUUGUAUGAAAAUGUAGGAGCACAUCCAUAAGCUAUUUUCCUUUGGGGUAUCAGGCUAGCGUUUUCUGUCCUACACUGUUAUGUUUCUCAUGGGUUGUUCUACUUUACUAGUACAAGGACUUGUUUUUCCUUUUCAAAGUAGUUUCUCUCUGGAUAAAUGGAAACAAACGCACUCUGAAUAAACUGGAACAAGGAGUUGUUUAAUUACUACCAUUAUUCAGUUAGCACACGUAUUAAGCUCAACAUAUAAAAACAAACAACCUAUCUGACCAUGCAAAAGACAGUAAAAUGCAGUUUUUUUAUGUUCAGUUUCUUAGGGCCAGGAUAGUUAUUUUUCUGAAACUAAAUAACACUUUGUGCUAACUAUGUGUUUUCUGAAACUAAAUCAUAGUGUGCUUGGGUCAAAGAUAAUGAUGUCUGUGUGUUCUUUGUACCUAUGGUCUGCUUAGCAAAUUACUUGAUCUGAUUGUUUCUGAACUUCAGCAUGCGUUAGUUGAACUUUGGUGUGUGUUUUUCCCACAAAUGAGGACAAUCAUAGGUUUCAUAGAAAAAGAGAAGGGUAUUGCAGCGCACAUGAUCUUGGUAACCAAACCAAUUUCCCAAGGAUUUACAAUCAGAAAAGGAUCUACAAGGAGAAAGGAUCUAAAAGGAGAGGACAAUUUCUUGUACUACAAACUCACCCUAGUAAGAAUGCCAAGUGCCCGACAUGAUCCUCCAACUUUGUCUUCUUCCUCUAGUCAACUUCCCAAUUUUUACUCUUUUGUCCUCAACCUUGUAGUUCAUCCAUGGCGGCUGCGUGGGGGAAGAGGAGGGUGGGUUGGGUGGAUUGGUACUGAUUUGGGAAGAAAGAAACAUCGGGGGAUGGGGAGGGUGGGGUGGGGUGGCCACAGGACUGUUGUUGGAAAUAUGCCCUAGAGGCAAUAAUAAAUUGGUUAUUAUUAUAUUUCCUUGUUCAUGAUAAUCGUUUAUUAUCCAUGCUAGAAUUGUAUUGAUAGGAAACUCAGAUACAUGUGUGGAUACAUAGACAACACCAUGUCCCUAGUAAGCCUCUAGUUGACUAGCUCGUUGAUCAAUAGAUGGUUACGGUUUCCUGACCAUAGACAUUUGAUGUCGUUGAUAACGGGAUCACAUCAUUAGGAGAAUGAUGUGAUGGACAAGACCCAAUCCUAAGCCUAGCACAAAGAUCGUGUAGUUCGUUCGCUAAAGCUUUUCUAAUGUCAAGUAUCAUUUCCUUAGACCAUGAGAUUGUGCAACUCCCGGAUACCGUAGGAAUACUUUGGGUGUGACGUAACUGGGUGGCUAUAAAGGUGCACUAGGGGUAUCUCCGAAAGUGUCUGUUGGGUUGGCAUGAAUUGAGACUGGGAUUUGUCACUCCGUGUGACGGAGAGGUAUCUCUGGGCCCACUCGAUAGGACAUCAUCAUAAUGUGCACAAUGUGAUCAAAGAGUUGAUCACGGGAUCAUGCAUUACGGUACGAGUAAAGUGACUUGCCGGUAACGAGAUUGAACAAGGUAUCGGGAUACCGACGAUCGAAUCUCGGGCAAGUAUCGUACCGAUGGACAAAGGGAAUUGUAUACGGGAUUGAUUAAGUCCUUGACAUCGUGGUUCAUCCGAUGAGAUCAUCGUGGAGCAUGUGGGAGCCAACAUGGGUAUCCAGAUCCCGCUGUUGGUUAUUGACCGGAAAACGUCUCGGUCAUGUCUACAUGUCUCCCGAACCCGUAGGGUCUACACACUUAAGGUUCGAUGACGCUAGGGUUAUAAAGGAAGUUUGUAUGUGGUUACCGAAUGUUGUUCGGAGUCCCGGAUGAGAUCCCGGACGUCACGAGGAGUUCCGGAAUAGUCCGGAGGUAAAGAUUUAUAUAUGGGAAGUCCUGUUUUGGUCACCGGAAAAGUUUCGUGGUUUAUCGGUAACGUACCGGGACCACCGGGAGGGUCCCGGGGGUCCACCAAGUGGGGCCACCAGUCUCGGAGGCUUGCAUGGGCCAAGAGUGGUGAGGGACCAGCCCCUGAGUGGGCUGGUUCGCCUCCCACAAGGCCCAAGGCGCAACAAAGGAGGAGAAGGGGAAACCCUAGGCUUAGAUGGGCCCUAAGGCCCACCCUAGGGGGCGCCCCCCCUCUCCCCUCUUGGCCGCCCCCCUUUUCCCAUAUAGGGCUGCCGCCCCCCCUAGGGAUGGGAACCCUAGAGGGGGCGCACCCUCCUCCCCUUCCCCUAUAUAUAUGAGGCCUAGGGGCUGCCCAAUACACAUGAGUUCCUCUCCCCGUUGGUGCAGCCCUCCCUCUCUUCCUCCUCUCCCGCGGUGCUUGGCGAAGCCCUGCAGGAUAGCCACCCUCCUCCAUCACCACCACGCCAUUGUGCUGCUGCUGGAUGGAGUCUUCCUCAACCUCUUCCUCUCGCCUUGCUGGAUCAAGGCAUGGGAGACGUCACCGGGCUGUACGUGUGUUGAACGCGGUGGUGCCGUCCGUUCGGCACUAGGAUCAUCGGUGAUUUGGAUCACGACGAGUACGACUCCAUCAACCCCGUUAUCUUGAACGCUUCCGCUUAGCGAUCUACAAGGGUAUGUAGAUGCACUCUCCUUCCCCUCGUUGCUAGAUUACUCCAUAGAUUGAUCUUGGUGAUGCGUAGAAAAUUUUGAAUUUCUGCUACGUUCCCCAACAGUGGCAUCAUGAGCUAGGUCUAUUGCGUAGAUUCUAUGCACGAGUAGAAUACAAAGUAGUUGUGGGUGUUGAUUUUGUUCAAUAUGCUUACCGUUACUAGUCCAAUCUUGAUUCGGCGGCAUUGUGGGAUGAAGCGGCCCGGACCGACCUUACACGUACUCUUACGUGAGACUGGUUCCACCGACUGACAUGCACUAGUUGCAUAAGGUGGCUAGCGGGUGUUUGUCUCUCCCACUUUAGUCGGAUCGGAUUCGAUGAAAAGGGUCCUUAUGAAGGGUAAAUAGCAAUUGGCAUAUCACGUUGUGGUUUUUGCGUAGGUAAGAAACGUUCUUGCUAGAAACCCAUAGCAGCCACGUAAAACAUGCAAACAACAAUUAGAGGACCUCUAACUUGUUUCUGCAGGGUAUGCUAUGUGAUGUGAUAUGGCCAAGAAGAAUGUGAUGAAUGAUAUGUGAUGUAUGAGAUUGAUCAUGUUCUUGUAAUAGGAAUCACGACUUGCAUGUCGAUGAGUAUGACAACCGGCAGGAGCCAUAGGGGUUGUCUUUAUUUAUUUAUGACAUGUGUGUCAACAUUAACGUCAUGUAAUUACUUUACUUCUAUUGCUAACCGUUAGCUGUAGUAGUAGAAGUAAUAGAUGACGUGACAACUUCAUGAAGACACGAUGAUGGAGAUCAUGAUGAUGGAGAUCAUGGUGUCAUGCCGGUGACAAGAUGAUCAUGGAGCCCCAAGAUGGAGAUCAAAGGAGCUAUAUGAUAUUGGCCAUAUCAUGUCACUAUUAUUUGAUUACAUGUGAUGUUUAUCAUGUUUUUGCAUCUUGUUUACUUAGAAUGAUGGUAGUAAAUAAGAUGAUCCCUCAUUAAAAUUUCAAGAAAGUGUUCCCCCUAACUGUGCACCGUUGCUAAAAGUUCGUAGUUUCGAAGCACCACGUGAUGAUCGGGUGUGAUAGAUUCUUACGUUCAAAUACAACGGGUGUUGACGAGCCUAGCAUGUACAGACAUGGCCUCGGAACACAUGCAAAACACUUAGGUUGACUUGACAAGCCUAGCAUGUACAGACAUGGCCUCGGAACACAGAAGACCGAAAGGUCGAGCAUGAGUCGUAUGGUAGAUACGAUCAACAUGAAGAUGUUCACCGAUGUUGACUAGUCCGUCUCACGUGAUGAUCGGACACGGCCUAGUUGACUCGGAUCAUGUAAUCACUUAGAUGACUAGAGGGAUGUCUAUCUGAGUAGGAGUUCAUAAGAUGAACUUAAUUAUCCUGAACAUAGUCAAAAGGUCUUCGCAAAUUAUGUCGUAGCUCGCGCUUCAGUUCUACUGUUUAGAUAUGUUCCUAGAGAAAAUUUAGUUGAAAGUUGAUAGUAGCAAUUAUGCGGACUAGGUCCGUAAACUGAGGAUUGUCCUCAUUGCUUCAUAGAAGGCUUAUGUCCUUAAUGCACCGCGCAGUGUGCUGAACCUCGAACGUCGUCUGUGGAUGUUGCGAACAUCUGACAUACACAUUUUGAUAACUACGUGAUAGUUCAGUUAAACGGUUUAGAGUUGAGGCACCGAAGACAUUUUGAAACGUCGCGAAACAUAUGAGAUGUUUUGAGGGCUGAAAUUGGGAUUUCAGGCUCGUGCCCACGUCAAGAGGUAUAAGACCUCCGACGAUUUUCUUAGCCUGCAAACUAAGGAGAAAAGCUCAAUUGUUGAGCUUGUGCUCAGAUUGUUUGAGUACAACAAUCAUUUGAAUCGAGUGGGAGUUGAUCCUCCAGAUGAGAUAGUGAUGUUUCUCCAAAGUCAUUACCACCAAGAUGCUAGAGCUUCGUGAUGAACUAUAAUGUAUCGGGGACAUAUAUGAUGAUCCUUGAGAUAUUCGUGAUGUUUGACACCACGAAAGUAGAAAUCAAGAAGGAGCGUCAAUUGUUGAUGGUUAGUAAAACCACUAGUUUCAAGAAGGGCAAGGGCAAGAAGGGAUACUUCAUGAAAUGGCAAUUCAGCUGCCGCUCUAGUGAAGAAACCCAAGGUUGAACCCAAACCCGAGACUAAGUGCUUCUAUAAUAAGGGGAACAACCACUGGAGCAGAAUUACCCUAGAUAGUUGGUAGAUGAGAAGGCUGGCAAGGUCGAUAGAAGUAUAUUGGAUAUACAUCAUGUUGAUGUGAACUUUACUCCUAGUAGCACCAGGGUAUUAGAUACCGGUUCGGUUUCUAAGUGUUAGUAACUCGAAAUAAAAGCUAUGGAAUAAAUGGAGACUAGCUAAAGGUGAGCUGACGAUAUGUGUUGGAAGUGUUUCCAAGGUUGAUAUGAUCAAGCAUCGCAUGCUCCCUCUACCAUCGAGAUUGGUGUUAAACAUAAAUAAUUGUUAUUUGGUGUUUGCGUGAGCAUAGACAUGAUUGGAUUAUGUCUAUCGCAAUACGGUUGUUCAUUUAAAGAAUAAUAGUUACUCUGUUUAUUUGAAUAAUACCUUCAAUGGUCUUACACCUAAAAUGAAUAGUUUAUUGAAUCUCGAUCGUAGUGAUACACAUGUUCAUGCCAAAAGAUAGUAAUGAUAGUACCACCUACUUACGGCACUGCCACGUAAGUCAUAUCGGUAUAAAACGCAUGAAGAAGCUCCAUGUUGAUGGAUCUUUGGACUCACUCGUUUUUGAAAAGUUUGAGACAUGCGAACCAUGUCUAUUGGUGUAUAUGCAUGAAGAAACUCCAUGCAAAUGGACCGUCUGGACUCACUUGAUUUUGAAUCACUUGAGACAUGCAAAUCAUACCACAUCGGCAAGAUGACUAAAAGCCUCGUUUUCAGUAAAAUGGAACUAGAAAGCAACUUGUUGGAAGUAAUACAUUUUGAUGUGUGCAGUCCAAUGGGUGCUGAGGCAUGUAGUGGAUAUCGUUAUGUUCUUACUUCACAGAUGAUUUGAGUAGAUGUUGAGUAUAUUUACUUGAUGAAUCACGAGUCCGAAUUAUUGAAAGGUUCAAGUAAUUUUAGGGUGAAGUUGAAAGAUCAUCGUGACAAGAGGAUAAAAUAUCUAUGAUAUGAUCAUAGAGAUGAAUAUCUGAAUUACGAGUUUGGCACAGAAUUAAGACAUUGUGGAAAUCGUUUCACAACUAAUACAGCCUGGAACACCAUAGUGUGAUGGUGUGUCCGUACAUCAAAACUGCACCCUAUUGGAUAUGAUGCAUACCAUGAUGUCUCUUAUCAAAUUACCACGAUAGUUUAUGGGUUAGGCAUUAGAGACAACCACAUUCACUUUAAAAGGGGCACCACAUAAUUCCGAUGAGAUGACACCAUAUGAACUAUGGUUUAGAGAAACCUAAGCUGUCAUUUCUUAAAAGUUUGGGGCUGCGACACUUAUGUGAAAAAGUUUCAGGCCAAUAAGCUCGAACCCAAAGCCGAUGAAUACAUCUUCAUAGGACACCCAAAAUAGUUGGGUAUACCUGCUGUCUCAGAUCCGAAAGCAAUAAGGGAUUGUUUCUAGAAUCGGGUCCUUUCUCGAGGAAAAGUUUCUCUCGAAAGAAUUGAGUGGGAGGGUGGUGGAGACUUGAUGAGGUUAUUGAACCGUCACUUCAACUAGUGUAUAGCAGGGCACAAAGAGUUGUUCCUGUGGCACCUACACCAAUUGAAGUGGAAGCUUAUGAUAUUGAUCAUGAGAUUUCGGAUCAAGUCACUCCCAAACCUCGUAGGACGACAAGGAUGUGUACUACUUCAGAGUGGUACAUAAUCCUGUCUUGGAAGUCAUGUUGCUAGACAACAAUGAACCUACGAGCUAUGGAGAAGCGAUGGUGGGCCCGGAUUCCGAUAAAUGGCUCGAGGCCAUAAAAUCCGAGGGAGGAUCCAUGUAUGAAAACAAAGUGUAGACUUUGGAAGAACUACUUGAUGGUUGUAAGGCUGUUAGGUACAUAUGGAUUUUAAAAGGAACACGGACAAUGAUGGUAAGUAUCACCAUUAAGAAAGCUCGACUUGUCGUUAAGAUGUUUUCCGACAAGUUCAAGGAGUUGACUAUGAUGAGACUUUCUCACACGUUGCGAUGCUAAGAGUCUGUUGGAAUUAUAUUAGCGAUUACUGCAUUAUUUAUGAAAUCUUGCAGAUAGGAUGUCAAAACAUUGUUUCCUCGACGAUUUUCUUGAGGAAAGGAAGUAUGUGAUACAACCGGAAGGUUUUGUCAGUCCUGAAAGAUGAUAAUAUGUGUGCAAAGCUCCAGCAAUCCUUCUAAGGACUGGAGUAAGCAUCUCGGAGUUGGAAUGUAUGCUUUGAUGAGAUGAUCAAAGAUUUUGGGUUUAUACAAAGUUUAUGAGAAACUUGUAUUUCCAAAGAAGUGAGUGGGAGCACUAUAGAAUUUCUGAUGAGUAUAUAUUGUUGACAUAUUGUUGAUCAGAAAUGACGUAGAAUUUCUGGAAAGCAUAUAGGGUUGUUUGGAAAGUGUUUUCAAUGGAAAGCCUGGAUUAAGCUACUUGAACAUUGAGCAUCAAGAUCUAUAAGGAUAGAUCAAAACGCUUAAUGGUACUUUCAAAUGAGCACAUACCUUGACAAGAUUUUGAAGGAGUUCACAAUGGAUCGGCAAAGAAGGAGUUCUUGGCUGUGUUAUAAGGUGUGAACAUUGAGUAAGACUCGAAACCUGACCACGGCAGAAGAGAGAGAAAGGACGAAGGUCGUCCCCUAUGCUGAAGACAUAGGCUCUACAGUAUGCUAUGCUGUGUACCGCACCUAAAGUGUGCCUUGCCAUGAGUCAGUCAAGGGGUACAAGAGUGAUCCAAGAAUGGAUCACAUGACAGCGGUCAAAGUUAUCCUUAGUAACUAGUGGACUAAGGAAUUUUCUCGAUUAUGGAGGUGGUAAAAGAGUUCAUCGUAAAGGGUUACGCCGAUGCAAACUUUGACACUAAUCUAGAUUAUUCUGAGUAGUAAACUGGAUUCGUAUAGUAGAACAGUUAUUUGGAAUAGCUCCAAAUAGAGCGUGGUAGCUGCAUCUAGGAGAUGACAUAGAGAUUUGUAAAGCACACACGGAUCUGAAAGAUUCAGACCCAUUGACUAUAACCUCUCUCACAAGCAUAACAUGAUCAAACCUAGAACUCAUCGAGUGUUAAUCACAUGGUAAAUGUGAACUAGAUUAUUGACUCUAGUAAACUCUUUGGGUGUUAGUUACAUGGGGAUGUGACCUUGAGUGUUAAUCACAUAUCGAUGUGAACUGGAUUAUUGACUCUAGUGCAAGUGGGAGACUGUUGGAAAUAUGCCCUAGAGGCAAUAAUAAAUUGGUUAUUAUUAUAUUUCCUUGUUCAUGAUAAUCGUUUAUUAUCCAUGCUAGAAUUGUAUUGAUAGGAAACUUAGAUACAUGUGUGGAUACAUAGACAACACCAUGUCCCUAGUAAGCCUCUAGUUGACUAGCUCGUUGAUCAAUAGAUGGUUACGGUUUCCUGACCAUAGACAUUGGAUGUCGUUGAUAACGGGAUCACAUAAUUAGGAGAAUGAUGUGAUGGACAAGACCCAAUCCUAAGCCUAGCACAAAGAUCGUGUAGUUCGUUCGCUAAAGCUUUUCUAAUGUCAAGUAUCAUUUCCUUAGACCAUGAGAUUGUGCAACUCCCGGAUACCGUAGGAAUACUUUGGGUGUGCCAAACGUCACAACAUAACUGGGUGGCUAUAAAGGUGCACUACGGGUAUCUCCGAAAGUGUCUGUUGGGUUGGCAUGAAUCGAGACUGGGAUUUGUCACUCCGUGUGACGGAGAGGUAUCUCUGGGCCCACACGGUAGGACAUCAUCAUAAUGUGCACAAUGUGAUCAAAGAGUUGAUCACGGGAUGAUGUGUUACAGAACGGGUAAAGAGACUUGCCGGUAACGAGAUUGAACAAGGUAUCGGGAUACCGACGAUCGAAUCUCGGGCAAGUAUCAUACUGAUGGACAAAGGGAAUUGUAUACGGGAUUGAUUAAGUCCUUGACAUCAUGGUUCAUCCGAUGAGAUCAUCGUGGAGCAUGUGGGAGCCAACAUGGGUAUCCAGAUCCCGUUGUUGGUUAUUGACCGGAGAACGUCUCGGUCAUGUCAGCAUGUCUCCCAAACCCGUAGGGUCUACACACUUAAGGUUCGAUGACGCUAGGGUUAUAAAGGAAGUUUGUAUGUGGUUACCGAAUGUUGUUCGGAGUCCCGGAUGAGAUCCCGGACAUCACGAGGAGUUCCGGAAUGGUCCGGAGGUAAAGAUUUAUAUAUGGGAAGUCCUGUUUUGGUCACCGGAAAAGUUUCGGGGUUUAUCGGUAACGUACCGGGACCACCGGGAGGGUCCCGGGGGUCCACCAAGUGGGGCCACCAGUCCCGGAGGCUUGCGUGGGCCAAGAGUGGUGAGGGACCAGCCCCUGAGUGGGCUGGUGCGCCUCCCACAAGGCCCAAGGCGCAGCAAAGGAGGAGAAGGGGAAACCCUAGGCUUAGAUGGGCCCUAAGGCCCACCCUAGGGGGCGCCCCCCCUCUCCCCUCUUGGCCGCCCCCCUUUUCCCAUCUAGGGCUGCCGCCCCCCCUAGGGGUGGGAACCCUAGAGGGGGUGCACCCUCCUCCCCUUCCCCUAUAUAUAUGAGGCCUAGGGGCUGCCCAAUACACAUGAGUUCCUCUCCCCGUUGGUGCAGCCCUCCCUCUCUCUUCCUCCUCUCCCGCGGUGCUUGGCGAAGCCCUGCAGGAUAGCCACCCUCCUCCAUCACCACCACGCCAUUGUGCUGUUGCUGGAUGGAGUCUUCCUCAACCUCUUCCUCUCGCCUUGCUGGAUCAAGGCAUGGGAGACGUCACCGGGCUGUACGUGUGUUGAACGCGGAGGUGCCGUCCGUUCGGCACUAGGAUCAUCGGUGAUUUGGAUCACGACGAGUACGACUCCAUCAACCCCGUUCUCUUGAACGCUUCCGCUUAGCGAUCUACAAGGGUAUGUAGAUGCACUCUCCUUCCCCUCGUUGCUACAUUACUCCAUAGAUUGAUCUUGGUGAUGCGUAAAUUUUUUUGAAUUUCUGCUAUGUUCCCCAACAACUGUUGGUGCGCAGGUAUAAAGUGCAACAGAAAAGUUGCAUAAACCCUGUGUGUGUUUUUGCACUUUUCCUGAGCCACCUAAGCUUCGAUUUUGCUACUAUUUUUUCCUACUACCAAGGCCCAGGCAUGUGGACACUUGUUGUUUUUCUUUCAUGUCAGACAGACAAACAAACAAGCCCGACACAAAAAGGUUCAGGGUGCGGGGGUAGUUGGACUGGAAGAGGUGGGCGGCCCACAUACAAACAAACAGGCCGCCACAAACAAACAAGCGUUGACUGUGCCGGGAUGAUCGGAAGCAACCACGUUGGUUGUUUAGUAACAAGUGGGGACAUAUUACAGGAUGAUGUCAGUUUAGAUGUGAGAUAAUAUCUCACAUCUAGAUGUGACAUAGACAGAUAGAUUGAAAGUAAAGAUUGCAACAUAAAAUAGAUUGGAAACUUAUAUGAUAGAAAAUAGACCCGGGGGCCAUAGGUUUCACUAGUGGCUUCUCUCAAGAUAGCAUAAGUAUUACGGUGAGUGAACGAAUUACUGUCGAGCAAUUGAUAGAAAAGUGAAUAAUUAUGAGAAUAUCUAGGCAUGGUCACGUAUAUAGACAUCACGUCCGUGACAAGCAGACCGACUCCUGCCUGCAUCUACUACUAUUACUCCACACAUUGACCGCUAUCCAACAUGCAUCUAGAGUAUUAAGUUCAUAAGAACAGAGUAACACCUUAGGUAAGAUGACAUGAUGUAGAAGGAUAAACUCAAGCAAUAUGAUAUAAACCGCAUCUUUUUAUCCUCGAUGGCAACAAUACAAUACAAUACAAUACAAUACAUGUAGUUUCCCUUUCUGUCACUGGGAUCGAACACCGCAAGAUUGAAUCCAAAGCUAAGCACUUCUCCCAUUGCAAGAAAGAUCAAUCUAGUAGGCCAAACCAAACUGAUAAUUCGAAGAGACUUGCAAAGAUAACCAAUCAUGCAUAAAAGAUUUUAGAGAAAAAUCAAAUAUUGUUCAUAGAUAGACUUGAUCAUAAACCCACAAUUCAUCGGAUCUCGACAAACACACCGCAAAAAGAGUUACAUCGAAUAGAUCUCCAAGAAGAUCGAGGAGAACUUUGUAUUGAGAUCCAAAGAGAGAGAAGAAGCCAUCUAACUAAUAACUAUGGACCCGAAGGUCUGAAGUAAACUACUCACACAUCAUCGGAGGGGCCAUGGAGUUGAUGUAGAGGCCCUCCGUGAUCAAUGCCCCCUCUGGCGGAGCUCCGAAAAAGGCCCUAAGAUGGGAUCUCUUGGGUACAGAAGGUUGCGGCGGUGGAAAUAGGGUUUCGUGGUGCUCCUAGAUGUUUUCGGGGUAUGUGAACAUAUAUAGGAGGAAGAAGUAGGUCGGUUGAGCCAUGAGGGGGGAGGGCGCGCCCAGGGGGUAGGCGCGCCUCCCUGCCUCGUGGACACCUCGUCCGUUUCUUGACGUCCACUCCAAGUCCUCUGGAUCACGUUUGUUCCAAAAAUCACGCUCCUAAAGGUUUCAUUCCGCUUGGACUCCGUUUGAUAUUUUUUUUCUGCGAAACACUGAAAUAGGCAAAAAAAACAGCAAUUUGCACUGGGCCUUGGGUUAAUAGGUUAGUCCCAAAAAUAAAAUAAAAGUGUAAAAUAAAGCCCAUUAACAUCCAAAACAGAUAAUAUAAUAGCAUGGAACAAUAAAAAAUUAUAGAUACGUUAGAGACGUAUCAGGACGACCCGCAGACACCAUGGUGGACGAAGUGGUAAUUCAUGCCUAAAUUAUCUACGACUAUAUUAUUGGCGUUGUUGUGGUAUAGAUGCUCCUGUGAUAUUGCCACUGCUUAGAAGGAGAUAUUACUGGAAAAAGCGAAACUGCCAUGCAUGUUGGUGUGUUGGGAGGAUGCGUUCUCCAGAGUUAUAACCAAUGUGGUAUAUGUGACAGCAACGAUCUAAUUGAUGUUGGGUUCGUGUUGGGUGGGCACUUGUGGAACGGCCACCAUGCGCUGGUAGAGUGUCCACCCUGGAGAAAACAAUCAGGGGAUAUGCAGAGAAGAAGACUGGAACUGUUGUCUGAAGUCUACAGGAGCUUCGGUUCAUUAGGUGAAGUGUAUGACUACUACAACAUGUACUCCUGGGAAAUUGGAUUUGGAAUCAAGUAGUAAUGUGACUUAUGAUUUAGGGAUCAGCUGCUGAAGAUAAUUAUAUCAUACUUUUUCAGGUGUUUUAUCAUAAUUGCCACAUGAAUGUCAAGUCAUAUACUCGUGACUGCCGUUUUGUGUGUGCAGGGGAGAACAUCACUAUCGAGUCUAUCAGUGUGAGGUCUACUUCAACUCAGCUGCAAAAGGCACCCAUCGGUGAGUGCCCUUCUUGUUUGGGAACGUAGUAAUUUCAAAAAAUUUCCUACGCACACGCAAGAUCAUGGUGAUGCAUAGCAACGAGAGGGGAGAGUGUGAUCUACGUACCCUUGUAGAUCGACAACGGAAGCGUUUGGUUGAUGUAGUCGUACGUCUCCACGGCCCGACCGAUCAAGCACCAAAACUACGGCACCUCCGAGUUCUAGCACACGUUCAGCUCGAUGAUGAUCCCCGGACUCCGAUCCAGCAAAGUGUCGGGGAAGAGUUCCGUCAGCACGACGGCGUGGUGACGAUCUUGAUGUAUUACUGUCGCAGGGCUUCGCCUAAGCACCGCUACAAUAUUAUCGAGGACUAUGGUGGCAGGGGGCGCCGCACACGGCUAAGAAUAUGAUCACGGAUCAACUUGUGUUCCUCUGGGGUGCCCCUGCCUCCGUAUAUAAAGGCUCAAGGGGGGGUGCGGCCGGCCUAGAGGUGGCGCGCUAGGAGGAGUCCUACUUCCUCCGGGAGUAGGAUUCCCCCCCCCCCAAUCCUAGUUGGAAUAGGAUUCGCGGAGGGGGGAAAAGAGAAAGGGGGCCGGCCCCCUCUCCUUGUCCUAUUCGGACCAAGGGAGGGGAGGGGCGCGCGGCCCAUCUAGGCUGCCUCUUCUCUUUUCCACUAAGGCCCACUAAGGCCCAUAUAGCUCCCGGAGGGUUCCGGUAACCUCCCGGUACUCCGGUAAAAUCCCGAUUUCACCCGGAACACUUCCGAUAUCCAAACAUAGACUUCCAAUAUAUCAAUCUUUAUGUCUCGACCAUUUUGAGACUCCUCGUCAUGUCCGUGAUCACAUCCGGGACUCCGAACAACCUUCGGUACAUCAAAACGUAUAAACUCAUAAUAUAACUGUCAUCGAAACCUUAAGCGUGCGGACCAUAUGUGUUCGAGAACAAUGUAGACAUGACCGAGACAUGUCUCCUGUCAAUAACCAAUAGCGGGACCUGGAUGCCCAUAUUAGCUCCUACAUAUUCUAUGAAGAUCUUGUUGGAAAUAUGCCCUAGAGGCAAUAAUAAAAGCAUUAUUAUUAUAUUUCCUUGUUCAUGAUAAUUGUCUUUAUUCAUGCUAUAAUUGUGUUAUCAGGAAAUCGUAAUGCAUGUGUGAAUAAUAGACACCAACAUGUCCCUAGUAAGCCUCUAGUUGACUAGCUCGUUGAUCAACAGAUAGUCAUGGUUUCCUGACUAUGGACAUUGGAUGCCAUUGAUAACGAGAUCACAUCAUUAGGAGAAUGAUGUGAUGGACAAGACCCAAUCCUAAACAUAGCUCAAGAUCGUAUAGUUCGUUUGCUAAAGUUUUCCAAUGUCAAGUAUCCUUUCCUUGGACCAUGAGAUCGUGUAACUCCCGGAUACCGUAGGAGUGCUUUGGGUGUACCAAACGUCACAACGUAAUUGGGUGACUAUAAAGGUAGACUACGGGUAUCUCCGAAAGUGUCUGUUGGGUUGACACGGAUCAAGACUGGGAUUUGUCACUCCGUAUGACGGAGAGGUAUCACUGGGCCCACUCGGUAAUGCAUCAUCAUCAUGAGCUCAAAGUGACCAAGUGUCUGGUCACGAGAUCAUGCAUUACGGUACGAGUAAAGUGACUUGCCGGUAACGAGAUUGAACGAGGUAUUGGGAUACCGACGAUCGAAUCUCGGGCAAGUAACAUACCGAUUGACAAAGGGAAUUGAAUACGGGGUUGCUUGAAUCCUCGACAUCGUGGUUCAUCCGAUGAGAUCAUCGAGGAGCAUGUGGGAGCCAACAUGGGUAUCCAGAUCCCGCUAUUGGUUAUUGACCGGAGAGUCGUCUCGGUCAUGUCUACAUGUCUCCAGAACCCGUAGGGUCUACACACUUAAGGUUUGGUGAUGCUAGGGUUGUAGGGAUAUGUAUAUGUAGUAACCCGAAUGUUGUUUGGAGUUCCGGAUGAGAUCCCGGACGUCACGAGGAGUUUCGGAAUGGUCUGGAGGUAAAGAAUUAUAUAUAGGAAGUGCUAUUUUGGCCAUCGGGACAAGUUUCGGGGUCACCGGUAUUGUACCGGGACCACCGGAAGGGUCCUGGGGGUCCACCGGGUGGGGCCACCUGCCCCGAGGGGCCACAUGGGCUGUAGGGGGUGCGCCUUGGCCUACAUGGGCCAAGGGCACCAGCCCCAAGAGGCCCAUGCGCCUAGGGUUCAAGAAGGGAAGAGUCCCAAAGGGGGAAGGCACCCUCUAGGUGCCUUGGGGGGGAGGGAUUCCUCCCUUGGCCGCCGGCCCCCUAGGAGAUUGGAUCUCCUAGGGCCGGCGCCCCCCCCCCCCUUGGCUCCCUAUAUAUAGUGAGGGAAGGAGGGCCUCUAAGACAACGCCUUUGGUGCCUCCCUCUCCCUCUCCAACACCUCCUCCUCCUCCAUAGAGCUUAGCGAAGCCCUGCCGGAGUACUGCAGCUCCAUCACCACCACGCCGUCGUGCUGCUGCUGGAGCCAUCUUCCUCAACCUCUCCUCUCCCCUUGCUGGAUCAAGAAGGAGGAGACGUUAUGCUGACCGUACGUGUGUUGAACGCGGAGGUGCCAUCCGUUCGGCGCUAGGAUCUCCGGUGAUUUGGAUCACGUCGUGUACGACUACCUCAUCCCCGUUCUUUGAACGCUUCCGCUCGCGAUCUACAAAGGUAUGUAGAUACAUCCGAUCACUCGUUGCUAGAUGAACUCAUAGAUGGAUCUUGGUGAAACCAUAGGAAUUUUUUUUGUUUUCUGCAAUGUUCCCCAAUAGUGACAUCAUGAGCUAGGUCUAUGCGUAGUUCUUCUUGCGCGAGUAGAACACAAUUUGUUGUGGGCGUAGAUGUUGUCAACUUUCUUGCCGCUACUAGUCUUAUCUUGCUUCAGCGGUAUUGUGGGAUGAAGCGGCCCAGACCAACCUUACACGUACGCUUACGUGAGACCGGUUCCACCGACUAACAUGCACUAGUUGCAUAAGGUGGCUGGCGGGUGUCUGUCUCUCCCACUUUACUUGGAGCGGAUUCGAUGAAAAGGGUCCUUAUGAAGGGUAAAUAGAAGUUGACAAAUCACGUUGUGGCUUUCACGUAGGUAAGAAAACGUUCUUGCUAGAACCCUAUUUCAGCCACGUAAAACUUGCAACAACAAUUAGUGGACGUCUAACUUGUUUUUGCAGCAAGUGCUUUGUGAUAUGAUAUGGCCAAAGUUGUGAUGAAUGAUGAAUGAUAUAUAUGUGAUGUAUGAGAUGUUCAUGCUAUUGUAAUAGGAAUCACGACUUGCAUGUCGAUGAGUAUGACAACCGGCAGGAGCCAUAGGAGUUGUCUUUAAUUUUUGUAUGACCUGCGUGUCAUUGAGAAACGCCAUGUAAAUUACUUUACUUUAUUGCUAAACGCGUUAGCCAUAGUAGUAGAAGUAAUAGUUGGCGAGCAACUUCAUGGAGACACGAUGAUGGAGAUCAUGAUGAUGGAGAUCAUGGUGUCAAGCCGGUGACAAGAUGAUCAUGGAGCCCCAAGAUGGAGAUCAAAGGAGCUAUGUGAUAUUGGCCAUAUCAUGUCACUAUUAUUAUUUGAUUGCAUGUGAUGUUUAUCAUGUUUUGCAUCUUGUUUACUUAGAACGACGGUAGUAAAUAAGAUGAUCCCUCAUAACAAUUUCAAGAAAGUGUUCCCCCUAACUGUGCACCGUUGCGACAGUUCGUUGUUUCGAAGCACCACGUGAUGAUCGGGUGUGAUAGAUUCUAAUGUUCACAUACAACGGGUGUAAGACAGAUUUACACAUGCAAACACUUAGGUUGACUUGACGAGCCUAGCAUGUACAGACAUGGCCUCGGAACACAGAAGACCGAAAGGUCGAGCAUGAGUCGUAUAGAAGAUACGAUCAACAUGAAGAUGUUCACCGAUGUUGACUAGUCCGUCUCACGUGAUGAUCGGACACGGCCUAGUUGACUCGGAUAAUGUUAUACUUAGAUGACUAGAAGAGGGAUGUCUAUCUAAGUGGGAGUUCAUUGAAUAAUUUGAUUAGAUGAUCUUAAUUAUCAUGAACUUAGUCUAAAAUAUUUACAAUAUGUCUUGUAGAUCAAAUGGCCAACGUAGUCCUCAACUUCAACGCAUUCCUAGAGAAAACCAAGCUGAAAGACGAUGGCAGCAACUACACGGACUGGGUCCGGAACCUGAGGAUCAUCCUCAUAGCUGCCAAGAAAGAUUAUGUCCUACAAGCACCGCUGGGUGACGCACCUGUUCUCCCUGCAGAACAAGACGUUAUGAAUGCUUGGCAGGCACGUACUGAUGACUACUCCCUCGUUCAGUGCGGCAUGCUUUACAGCUUAGAGCCGGGGCUCCAAAAGCAUUUUGAGAGACACGGAGCAUAUGAGAUGUUCGAAGAGCUGAAAAUGGUUUUCCAAGCUCAUGCCCGGGUCGGGAGAUAUGAAGUCUCUGACAAAUUCUUCAGCUGUAAGAUGGAGGAAAAUAGUUCUGUCAGUGAGCAAAUACUCACUAUGUCUGGGUUACAUAACCGCUUGACUCAGCUGGGAGUUAAUCUCCCGGAUGACGCGGUCAUUGACAGAAUCCUCCAGUCGCUUCCACCAAGCUACAAGAGCUUUGUGAUGAACUUCAAUAUGCAGGGGAUGGAAAAGACCAUUCCUGAAGUAUUUGCUAUGCUGAAAUCAGCAGAGGUAGAAGUCAAGAAGGAACAUCAAGUGUUGAUGGUGAAUAAAACCACUAAGUUCAAGAAGGGCAAGGGUAAAAAGAACUUCAAGAAGGACGGCAAGGAAGUUGCCGCGCCCGGCAAGCAAGCUGCUGGGAAGAAGCUAAAGAAUGGACCCAAGCCCGAGAUUGAGUGCUUUUAUUGCAAGGGAAGUGGUCACUGGAAGCGGAAUUGCCCCAAAUACUUAGCAGACAAGAAGGCCGGCAAAUCAAAAGUUAUAUGUGAUAUACAUGUAAUUGAUGUGUACCUUACCAGUACUCGUAGUAGCUCUUGGGUAUUUGAUACCGGUGCAGUUGCUCACAUUUGUAACUCAAAGCAGGAGCUGCGGAAUAAGCGGAGACUGGCGAAGGACGAGGUGACGAUGCGCGUCGGGAAUGGUUCCAUGGUCGAUGUGAUCGCCGUCGGCACGCUACCUCUAAAUUUACCUACGGGAUUAGUUUUAAACCUCAAUAAUUGUUAUUUAGUGCCAGCUUUGAGCAUGAACAUUGUAUCGGGAUCUCGUUUAAUUCGAGAUGGCUACUCAUUUAAAUCCGAGAAUAAUGGUUGUUCUAUUUAUAUGAGAGAUAUGUUUUAUGGUCAUGCUCCGAUGGUGAAUGGUUUAUUCUUAAUGAAUCUCGAGCGUAAUGAUACACAUGUUCAUAGUGUGAAUAACAAAAGAUGUAAGGUUGAUAAUGAUAGUCCCACAUACUUGGGGCACUGCCGCCUUGGUCACAUAGGUGUCAAACGCAUGAAGAAGCUUCAUGCAGAUGGACUUUUAGAGUCUCUUGAUUAUGAAUCAUUUGACACGUGCGAACGAUGCCUCAUGGGUAAAAUGACCAAGACUCCGUUCUCAGGAACAAUGGAGCGAGCAACCAACUUAUUGGAAAUCAUACAUACUGAUGUGUGCGGUCCAAUGAGCGUUGAGGCUCGCGGUGGCUAUCGUUAUGUUCUCACCCUCACUGAUGACUUAAGUAGAUAUGGGUAUGUCUACUUGAUGAAACACAAGUCUGAAACCUUUGAAAAGUUCAAGGAAUUUCAGAGUAAGGUUGAGAAUCAACGUGACAGGAAAAUCAAGUUCCUACGAUCAGAUCGUGGAGGAGAAUACUUGAGUCACGAAUUUGGCACACACUUAAGAAAAUGUGGAAUAGUUUCACAACUCACGCCGCCUGGAACACCACAGCGUAAUGGUGUGUCCGAACGUCGUAAUCGCACUCUAUUAGAUAUGGUGCGAUCUAUGAUGUCUCUUACCGAUUUACCGCUAUCUUUUUGGGGCUAUGCUUUAGAGACUGCCGCAUUCACUUUAAAUAGGGCUCCGUCGAAAUCCGUUGAGACGACACCGUUUGAAUUAUGGUUUGGGAAGAAACCUAAGCUGUCGUUUCUAAAAGUUUGGGGAUGAGAUGCUUAUGUCAAGAAACUUCAACCUGAAAAGCUCGAACCCAAGUCGGAAAAAUGCGUCUUCAUAGGAUACCCUAAAGAAACUAUUGGGUAUACCUUCUACCUCAGAUCCGAAGGCAAGAUCUUUGUUGCCAAGAAUGGAUCCUUUCUAGAGAAAGAGUUUCUCUCGAAAGAAGUAAGUGGGAGGAAAGUAGAACUUGAUGAAGUAUUACCUCUUGAACCGGAAAAUGGCGCAACUCACGAAAAUGUUCCUGAGGUGCCUGCACCGACUAGAGAGGAAGCUAAUGAUGAUGAUCAAGAUACUUCUGAUCAAGCUCCUACUGAAAUUCGUAGGUCCACAAGGACACGUUCCACACCAGAUUGGUAUGGCAACCCUGUCUUGGAAAUCAUGUUGUUAGACAACGGUGAACCUUCGAACUAUGAAGAAGCGAUGGCGGGCCCGGAUUCCGACAAAUGGCUGGAAGCCAUGAAAUCUGAGAUAGGAUCCAUGUAUAAAAACGAAGUAUGGACUUUGACUGACUUGCCCGUUGAACGGCGAGCCAUAGAAAAUAAAUGGAUCUUUAAGAAGAAGACAGACGCGGAUGGUAAUGUGACCAUCUAUAAAGCUCGUCUUGUCGCUAAGGGUUAUCGACAAGUUCAAGGGGUUGACUACGAUGAGACUUUCUCACCGGUAGCGAAGCUAAAGUCCGUCCGAAUCAUGUUAGCAAUUGCCGCAUUCUACGAUUAUGAGAUAUGGCAAAUGGACGUCAAAACGGCAUUCCUUAAUGGUUUCCUUAAGGAAGAACUGUAUAUGAUGCAGCUAGAAGGUUUUGUCGAUCCUAAGAAUGCUGACAAGGUGUGCAAGCUCCAACGCUCGAUUUAUGGGCUGGUGCAAGCAUCUCGGAGUUGGAACAUUCGCUUUGAUGAGAUGAUCAGAGCAUUUGGGUUUAUGCAGACUUAUGGAGAAGCAUGCGUUUACAAGAAAGUGAGUGGGAGCUCUGUAGCAUUUCUCAUACUAUAUGUAGAUGACGUACUUUUGAUGGGAAAUGAUAUAGAACUCUUGGACAGCAUUAAGGCCUACUUGAAUAAGAGUUUUUCAAUGAAGGACCUUGGAUAAGCUGCUUAUAUAUUAGGCAUCAAAAUCUACAGAGAUAGAUCGAGACGCCUCAUAGGUCUUUCACAAAGCACAUACCUUGAUAAGAUAUUGAAGAAGUUCAAUAUGGAUCAGUCUAAGAAGGGGUUCUUACCUGUGUUACAAGGUGUGAAAUUGAGCUCUGCUCAAAGUCCGACCACGGCAGAAGAUAUAGAAGAGAUGAGUGUCAUCCCCUAUGCCUCAGCCAUAGGUUCUAUUAUGUAUGCCAUGCUGUGUACCAGACCCUUGCCGUAAGUUUGGUAGGAAGGUACCAAAGUAAUCCCGGCAAGGAACACUGGACAGCGGUCAAGAAUAUCCUGAAGUACCUCAAAAGGACUAAGGAAAUGUUUCUCGUUUAUGGAGGUGACAAAGAGCUCAUCGUAAAGGGUUACAUCGACGCUAGCUUCGACACAGAUCUGGAUGACUCUAAGUCACAAACCGGAUACGUGUAUAUUUUGAAUGGUGGGGCAGUAAGCUGGUGCAGUUGCAAGCAGAGCGUCGUGGCGGGAUCUACAUGUGAAGCGGAGGACAUGGCAGCCUCGGAGGCAGCACAUGAAGCAAUUUGGGUGAAGGAGUUCAUCACCGGCCUAGGAGUCAUACCCAAUGCGUCAGGGCCGAUCAAGCUCUUCUGUGAUAACACUGGAGCUAUUGCACUUGCCAAGGAGCCCAGGUUUCACAAGAAGACAAGGCACAUAAAGCAUCGCUUCAACUCCAUUCGUGAAAAUGUUCAAGAUGGAGACAUAGAUAUUUGUAAACUACAUACGGACCUGAAUGUAGCAGAUCCGUUGACUAAACCUCUCCCUAGAGCAAAACAUGAUCAACACCAGAAUUCCAUGGGUGUUCGAUUCAUCACAAUGCAACUAGAUUAUUGACUCUAGUGCAAGUGGGAGACUGUUGGAAAUAUGCCCUAGAGGCAAUAAUAAAAGCAUUAUUAUUAUAUUUCCUUGUUCAUGAUAAUUGUCUUUAUUCAUGCUAUAAUUGUGUUAUCCGGAAAUCGUAAUACAUGUGUGAAUAAUAGACACCAACAUGUCCCUAGUAAGCCUGUAGUUGACUAGCUCGUUGAUCAACAGAUAGUCAUGGUUUCCUGACUAUGGACAUUGGAUGUCAUUGAUAACGAGAUCACAUCAUUAGGAGAAUGAUGUGAUGGACAAGACCCAAUCCUAAACAUAGCUCAAGAUCGUAUAGUUCGUUUGCUAGAGUUUUCCAAUGUCAAGUAUCCUUUCCUUAGACCAUGUGAUCGUGUAACUCCCGGAUACCGUAGGAGUGCUUUGGGUGUACCAAACGUCACAACGUAACUGGGUGACUAUAAAGGUAGACUACGGGUAUCUCCGAAAGUGUCUGUUGGGUUGACACGGAUCAAGACUGGGAUUGGUCACUCCGUAUGACGGAGAGGUAUCACUGGGCCCACUCGGUAAUGCAUCAUCAUUAUGAGCUCAAAGUGACCAAGUGUCUGGUCACGGGAUCAUGCAUUACGGUACGAGUAAAGUGACUUGCCGGUAACGAGAUUGAACGAGGUAUUGGGAUACCGACGAUCGAAUCUCGGGCAAGUAACAUACCGAUUGACAAAGGGAAUUGAAUAUGGGGUUGCUUGAAUCCUCGACAUCGUGGUUCAUCCGAUGAGAUCAUCGAGGAGCAUGUGGGAGCCAACAUGGGUAUCCAGAUCCCGUUGUUGGUUAUUGACCGGAGAGUCGUCUCGGUCAUGUCUACAUGUCUCCAGAACCCGUAGGGUCUACACACUUAAGGUUCGGUGACGCUAGGGUUGUAGGGAUAUGUAUAUGCAGUAACCCGAAUGUUGUUCGGAGUCCCGGAUGAGAUCCCGGACGUCACAAGGAGUUUCGGAAUGGUCCGGAGGUAAAGAAUUAUAUAUAGGAAGUGCUAUUUCGGCCAUCGGGACAAGUUUCGGGGUCACCGGUAUUGUACCGGGGUCACCAGUAUUGUACCGGGACCACCGGAAGGGUCCCAGGGGUCCACCGGGUGCGGCCACCUGCCCCGGGGGGCCACAUGGGCUGUAGGGGGUGCGCCUUGGCCUACAUGGGCCAAGGGCACCAGCCCCAAGAGGUCCAUGCGCCUAGGGUUCAAGAAGGGAAGAGUCCCAAAGGGGGAAGGCACCCCCUAGGUGCCUUGGGGGGGAGGGAUUCCUCCCUUGGCCACCGCCCCCCUAGGAGAUUGGAUCUCCUAGGGCCAGCGCCCCCCCCUUGGCUCCCUAUAUAUAGUGAGGGAAGGAGGGCCUCUAAGACAACGCCUUUGGUGCCUCCCUCUCCCUCUCCAACACCUCCUCCUCCUCCAUAGAGCUUAGCGAAGCCCUGCCGGAGUACUGCAGCUCCAUCACCACCACGCCGUCGUGCUGCUGCUGGAGCCAUCUUCCUCAACCUCUCCUCUCCCCUUGCUGGAUCAAGAAGGAGGAGACGUUACGCUGACCGUACGUGUGUUGAACGCGGAGGUGCCAUCCGUUCGGCGCUAGGAUCUCCGGUGAUUUGGAUCACGUCGUGUACGACUACCUCAUCCCCGUUCUUUGAACGCUUCCGCUCGCGAUCUACAAAGGUAUGUAGAUGCAUCCGAUCACUCGUUGCUAGAUGAACCCAUAGAUGGAUCUUGGUGAAACCGUAGGAAUUUUUUUUGUUUUCUGCAACGUUCCCCAACAGAUCUUUAUCGGUCAGACCGCAUAACAACAUACGUUGUUCCCUUUGUCAUCGGUAUGUUACUUGCCCAAGAUUCGAUCGUCGGUAUCCAAUACCUAGUUCAAUCUCGUUACCGGCAAGUCUCUUUACUCGUUCCGUAAUACAUCAUCUUGCAACUAACUCAUUAGUUACAUUUCUUGCAAGGCUUAAGUGAUCUGCAUUACCGAGAGGGCCCAGAGAUACCUCUCCGAUGAUCGGAGUGAAAAAUCCUAAUCUCGAAAUACGUCAACCCAACAUGUACCUUUGGAGACACCUGUAGAGCACCUUUAUAAUCACCCAGUUACGUUGUGACGUUUGGUAGCACACAAAGUGUUCCUCCGGCACACGGGAGUUACAUAAUCUCAUAGUCAUAGGAACAUGUAUAAGUCAUGAAGAAAAGCAAUAGCAACAUACUAAAUGAUCGGGUGCUAAGCUAAUGGAAUGGGUCAUGUCAAUCAGAUCAUUCAACUAAUGAUGUGAUCUCAUUUAAUCAAAUGACAACUCUUUGUCCAUGGUUAGGAAACAUAACCAUCUUUGAUUAACGUGCUAGUCAAGUAGAGGCAUACUAGUGACACUUAGUUUGUCUAUGUAUUCACACAUGUAUUAUGUUUCCGGUUAAUACAAUUCUAGCAUGAAUAAUAAACUUUUAUCAUGAUAUAAGGAAAUAAAUAAUAAAUUUAUUAUUGCCUCUAGGGCAUAUUUCCUUCAGUCUACCACUUGCACUAGAGUCAAUAAUCUAGAUUACACAGUAAUGAUUCUAACACCCAUGCAGCUUUGGUGCUGAUCAUGUUUUGGUCGUGGAAGAGGCUUAGUCAAUGGGUCUGCUACAUUCAGCUCCGUAUGUAUCUUACAAAUCUCUAUGUCUCCCACUUGGACUAGAUCCCGGAUGGAAUUGAAGCGUCUCUUGAUCUGUUUGGUCCUCUUGUGAAAUCUGGAUUCCUUUGCCAAGGCAAUUGCACCAGUAUUGUCACAAAAGAUUUUCAUUGGACCCGAUGCACUAGGUAUGACACCUAGAUCGGAUAUGAACUCCUUCAUCCAGACUCCUUCAUUUGCUGCUUCCGAAGCAGCUAUGUACUCCGCUUCACAUGUAGAUCCCGCCACGACGCUUUGUUUAGAACUGCACCAACUGACAGCUCCACCGUUUAAUGUAAACACGUAUCCGGUUUGCGAUUUAGAAUCGUCCGGAUCAGUGUCAAAGCUUGCAUCAACGUAACCGUUUACGAUGAGCUCUUUGUCACCUCCAUAUACGAGAAACAUAUCCUUAGUCCUUUUCAGGUAUUUCAGGAUGUUCUUGACCGCUGUCCAGUGAUCCACUCCUGGAUUACUUUGGUACCUCCCUGCUAAACUUAUAGCAAGGCACACAUCAGGUCUGGUACACAGCAUUGCAUACAUGAUAGAGCCUGUGGCUGAAGCAUAGGGAACAUCUUUCAUUUUCUCUCUAUCUUCUGCAGUGGUCGGGCAUUGAGUCUGACUCAACUUCACACCUUGUAACACAGGCAAGAACCCUUUCUUUACUUGAUCCAUUUUGAACUUCUUCAAAAUCUUGUCAAGGUAUGUGCUUUGUGAAAGUCAAAUUAAGCGUCUUGAUCUAUCUCUAUAGAUCUUUAUGCCUAAUAUGUAAGCAGCUUCACCGAGGUCUUUCAUUGAAAAACUCUUAUUCAAGUAUCCCUUUAUACUAUCCAGAAAUUCUAUAUCAUUUCCAAUCAGUAAUAUGUCAUCCACAUAUAAUAUCAGAAAUGCUACAGAGCUCCCACUCACUUUCUUGUAAAUACAGGCUUCUCCGAAAGUGUGUAUAAAACCAAAUGCUUUGAUCACACUAUCAAAGCGUUUAUUCCAACUCCGAGAGGCUUGCACUAGUCCAUAAAUGGAUCGCUGGAGCUUGCACACUUUGUUAGCUCCCUUUGGAUCGACAAAACCUUCCGGUUGCAUCAUAUACAACUCUUCUUCCAGAAAUCCAUUCAGGAAUGCAGUUUUGACAUCCAUCUGCCAAAUUUCAUAAUCAUAAAAUGCGGCAAUUGCUAACAUGAUUCAGACAGACUUAAGCAUCGCUACGGGUGAGAAGGUCUCAUCGUAGUCAACCCCUUGAACUUGUCGAAAACCUUUUGCGACAAGUCGAGCUUUGUAGACAGUAAUAUUACCAUCAGCGUCAGUCUUCUUCUUGAAGAUCCAUUUAUUCUCAAUUGCUUGCCGAUCAUCGGGCAAGUCAACCAAAGUCCAUACUUUGUUCUCAUACAUGGAUCCCAUCUCAGAUUUCAUGGCUUCAAGCCAUUUUGCGGAACCUGGGCUCACCAUCGCUUCUUCAUAGUUCGUAGGUUCAUCAUGAUCUAGUAGCAUGAUUUCUAUAACAGGAUUACCGUACCACUCUGGUGCGGAUCUUACUCUGGUUGAUCUACGAGGUUUAGUAGUAUCUUGUUCUGAAGUUUCAUGAUCAUUAUCAUUAGCUUCCUCACUAAUUGGUGUAGGUGUCGCAGAAACAGGUUUCUGUGAUGUACUACUUUCCAAUAAGGGAGCAGGUACAGUUACCUCAUCAAGUUCUACUUUCCUCCCACUCACUUCUUUCGAGAGAAACUCCUUCUCAAGAAAGGAUCCAUUCUUAGCAAAGAAUAUCUUGCCUUCGGAUCUGUGAUAGAAGGUGUACCCAACAUUCUCCUUUGGGUAUCCUAUGAAGACACAUUUCUCCGAUUUGGGUUCGAGCUUAUUAGGUUGAAGCUUUUUCACAUAAGCAUCGCAGCCCCAAACUUUAAGAAACGACAACUUUGGUUUCUUGCCAAACCAUAGUUCAUAAGGCGUCGUCUCAACGGAUUUUUAUGGUGCCCUAUUUAACAUGAAUGCGGCCGUGUCUAAAGCAUAACCCCAAAACAAUAGUGGUAAAUCAGUAAGAGACAUCAUGGAUCGCACCAUAUCUAGUAAAGUACGAUUACGACAUUCGGACACACCAUUACGCUGUGGUGUUCUGGGUGGCGUGAGUUGCGAAACUAUUCCGCAUUGUUUCAAAUGUACACCAAACUCGUAACUCAAAUAUUCUCCUCCAUGAUCAGAUCGUAGAAACUUUAUUUUCUUGUUAUGAUGAUUUUCAACUUCACUCUGAAAUUCUUUGAACUUUUCAAAUGUUUCAGACUUAUGUUUCAUUAAGUAGAUAUACCCAUAUCUUCUUAAGUCAUCUGUGAAGGUGAGAAAAUAACGAUAUCCGCCACGAGCCUCAAUAUUCAUCGGACCACAUACAUCUGUAUGUAUGAUUUCCAACAAAUCUGUUGCUCUCUCCAUAGUGCUGGAGAACGGUGUUUUAGUCAUCUUGCCCAUGAGGCACGGUUCGCAAGUACCAAGUGAUUCAUAAUCAAGUGGUUCCAAAAGCCCAUCAGUAUGGAGUUUCUUCAUGCGCUUUAUACCGAUAUGACCUAAACGGCAGUGCCACAAAUAAGUUACACUAUCAUUAUCAACUCUGCAUCUUUUGGCUUCAACAUUAUGAAUAUGUGUGUUACUACUAUCGAGAUUCGUCAAAAAUAGACCACUCUUUAAAGGUGCAUGACCAUGCAAGAUAUUACUCAUAUAAAUAGAACAACCAUUAUUCUCUGAUUUAAAUGAAUAACCGUCUCGCAUUGAACAAGAUCCGGAUAUAAUGUUCAUGCUCAACGCUGGCACCAAAUAACAAUUAUUUAGGUCUAAUAUUAAUCCCGAAGGUAGAUGUAGAGGUAGCGUGCCGACCGCGAUCACAUCGACUUUGGAACCGUUUCCCACGUGCAUCGUCACCUCGUCCUUUGCCAGUGUUCGCUUAAUCCGUAGUCCCUGUUUCGAGUUGCAAAUAUUAGCAACAGAACCAGUAUCAAAUACCCAGGUGCUACCGCGAGUUCUAGUAAGGUACACAUCAAUAACAUGUAUAUCACAUAUACCUUUGUUCACCUUGCCAUCCUUCUUAUCCGCCAAAUACUUGGGGUAGUUCCGCUUCCAGUGACCAGUCUGCUUGCAGUAGAAGCACUCAGUUUCAGGCUUAGGUCUAGACUUGGGUUUCUUCUCUUGAGCAGCAACUUGCUUGCUGUUCUUCUUGAAGUUCCCCUUCUUCUUCCCUUUGCCCUUUUUCUUGAAACUAGUGGUCUUGUUGACCAUCAACACUUGAUGCUCCUUUUUGAUUUCUACCUCCGCAGCUUUCAGCAUUGUGAAGAGCUCGGGAAUAGUCUUAUUCAUCCCUUGCAUAUUAUAGUUCAUCACGAAGCUCUUGUAGCUUGGUGGCAGUGAUUGGAGAAUUCUGUCAAUGACGCAAUCAUCUGGAGGAUUAACUCCCAUCUGAAUCAAGUGAUCAUUAUACCCGGACAUUUUGAGUAUAUGCUCACUGACAGAACUGUUCUCCUCCAUCUUGCAGCUAUAGAACUUAUUGGAGACUUCAUAUCUCUCAAUUCGGGCAUUUGCUUGAAAUAUUAACUUCAACUCCUGGAACAUCUCAUAUGCUCCAUGACGUUCAAAACGUCGUUGAAGUCCCGAUUCUAAGCCGUAAAGCAUGGCACACUGAACUAUCGAGUAGUCAUCAGCUUUGCUCUGCCAGACGUUCAUAACAUCUGGUGUUGCUCCAGCAGCAGGCCUGGCACCCAGCGGUGCUUCCAGGACGUAAUUCUUCUGUGCAGCAAUGAGGAUAAUCCUCAAGUUAUGGACCCAGUCUGUGUAAUUGCUACCAUCAUCUUUCAACUUUGCUUUCUCAAGGAACGCAUUAAAAUUCAACGGAACAAUAGCACGGGCCAUCUAUCUACAAUCAAACAUACAUAAGCAAGAUACUAUCAGGUACUAAGUUCAUGAUAAAUUUAAGUUCAAUUAAUCAUAUUACUUAAAAACUCCCACUUAGAUAGACAUCCCUCUAAUCUUCUAAGUGAUCACGUGAUCCAAAUCAACUAAACCAUAACCGAUCAUCACGUGAAAUGGAGUAGUUUUCAAUGGUGAACAUCACUAUGUUGAUCAUAUCUACUAUAUGACUCACGCUCGAUCUUUCGAUCUCAGUGUUUCGAGGCCAUAUCUGCAUAUGCUAGGCUCGUCAAGUUUAACCUGAGUAUUCUGCGUGUGCAAAACUAGCUUGCACCCGUUGUAGAUGGACGUAGAGCUUAUUACACCCGAUCAUCACGUGGUGUCUGGGCACGACGAACUUUGGCAACGGUGCAUACUCAGGGAGAACACUUUUAUCUUGAUAAUUUAGUGAGAGAUCAUCUUAUAAUGCUACCGUCAAUCAAAGCAAGAUAAGAUGCAUAAAAGAUAAACAUCACAUGCAAUCAAUAUAAGUGAUAUGAUAUGGCCAUCAUCAUCUUGUGCUUGUGAUCUCCAUCUCCGAAGCACCGUUAUGAUCACCAUCGUCACCGGCACGACACCUUGAUCUCCAUCAUAGCAUCGUUGUCGUCUCACCCCAAUCUUAUGCUUCCACGACUAUCGCUACCGCUUAGUGAUAAAGUAAAGCAUUACAGCGCGAUUGCAUUGCAUACAAUAAAGCGACAACCAUAUGGCUCCUGCCAGUUGCCGAUAACUCGAUUACAAAACAUGAUCAUCUCAUACAAUAAAAUUUAGCAUCAUGUCUUGACCAUAUCACAUCACAACAUGCCCUGCAAAAACAAGUUAGACGUCCUCUACUUUGUUGUUGCAAGUUUUACGUGGCUGCUACGGGCUUAAGCAAGAACCAAUCUUACCUACGCAUCAAAACCACAACGAUAGUUUGUCAAGUAGGUGUUGUUUUAACCUUCGCAAGGACCGGGCGUAGCCACACUCGGUUCAACUAAAGUUGGAGAAACUGUCACCCGCAAGCCACCUAUGUGCAAAGCACGUCGGGAGAACCGGUCUCGCGUAAGCGUACGCGUAAUGUCGGUCCGGGCCGCUUCAUCCAACAAUACCGCCGAACCAAAGUAUGACAUGCUGGUAAGCAGUAUGACUUAUAUCGCCCACAACUCACUUGUGUUCUACUCAUGCAUAUAAGAUCAACACAUAAAACCUGGCUCUGAUGCCACUGUUGGGGAACGUAGUAAUUUCAAAAAAAUUCCUACGCACACGCAAGAUCAUGGUGAUGCAUAGCAACGAGAGGGGAGAGUGUGAUCUAUGUACCCUUGUAGAUCGACAACGGAAGCGUUUGGUUGAUGUAGUCGUACGUCUCCAGCCCGACCGAUCAAGCACCGAAACUACGGCACCUCUGAGUUCUAGCACACGUUCAGCUCAAUGACGAUCCUCGGACUCCGAUCCAGCAAAGUGUCGGGGAAGAGUUUCGUCAGCACGACGGCGUGCUGACGAUCUUGAUGUAUUACGGUCGCAGGGCUUCGCCUAAGCACCGCUACAAUAUUAUCGAGGACUAUGGUGGCAGGGGGCGCCGCACACGGCUAAGAAUAUGAUCACGUGGAUCAACUUGUGUUCCUCUAGGGUGCCCCGGCCUCCGUAUAUAAAGGCUCAAGGGGGGGUGCGGCCGGCCUAGAGGUGGCGCGCCAGGAGGAGUCCUACUCCCUCCGGGAGUAGGAUUCCCCCCCCCCCCCCAAUCCUAGUUGGAAUAGGAUUCGUGAAGGGGGGAAAAGAGAAAGGGGGCCGGCCCCCUCUCCUUGUCCUAUUCGGACCAAGGGAGGGGAGGGGCGCGCGGCCCAUCUAGGAUGCCUCUUCUCUUUUCCACUAAGGCCCACUAAGGCCCAUAUAGCUCCCGGGGGGUUCCGGUAACCUCCCGGUACUCCGGUAAAAUCCCGAUUUCACCCGGAACACUUCCGAUAUCCAAACAUAGGCUUCCAAUAUAUCAAUCUUUAUUUCUCGACCAUUUCGAGACUCCUCGUCAUGUCCGUGAUCACAUCCGGGACUCCGAACAACCUUCGGUACAUCAAAACAUAUAAACUCAUAAUAUAACUGUCAUCGAAACCUUAAGCGUGCGGACCCUACGGGUUCGAGAACAAUGUAGACAUGACCGAGACAUGUCUCUAGUCAAUAACCAAUAGCGGGACCUGGGUGCCCAUAUUGGCUCCUACAUAUUCUACGAAGAUCUUUAUCGGUCAGACCGCAUAACAACAUACGUUGUUCCCUUUGUCAUCGGUAUGUUACUUGCCCGAGAUUUGAUCGUCGGUAUCCAAUACCUAGUUCAAUCUCGUUACCGGCAAGUCUCUUUACUCGUUCCGUAAUACAUCAUCUUGCAACUAACUAAUUAGUUACAUUGCUUGCAAGGCUUAAGUGAUGUGCAUUACUGAGAUGGCCCAGAGAUACCUCUCCGACGAUCGGAGUGACAAAUCCUAAUCUCGAAAUACGUCAACCCAACAUGUACCUUUGGAGACACCUGUAGAGCACCUUUAUAAUCACCCAGUUACGUUGUGACGUUUGGUAGCACACAAAGUGUUCCUCCGGCACACGGGAGUUACAUAAUCUCAUAGUCAUAGGAACAUGUAUAAGUCAUGAAGAAAAGCAAUAGCAACAUACUGAACGAUCGGGUGCUAAGCUAAUGGAAUGGGUCAUGUCAAUCAAAUCAUUCAACUAAUGAUGUGAUCCCGUUUAAUCAAAUGACAACUCUUUGUCCAUGGUUAGGAAACAUAACCAUCUUUGAUUAACGUGCUAGUCAAGUAGAGGCAUAUAUACUAGUGACACUUAGUUUGUCUAUGUAUUACACAUGUAUUAUGUUUCUGGUUAAUACAAUUCUAGCAUGAAUAAUAAACUUUUAUCAUGAUAUAAGGAAAUAAAUAAUAACUUUAUUAUUGCCUCUAGGGCAUAUUUCCUUCACUACUGUCCUCGACGGUGUGUGUUUGCAAUUUUUUCUGAAAGGAAAAAUGCUUGGGAUGAGGGUAUACCACAGGUUGGUUUGUAGUAGGCGCAUUUGGUUCUGUUUGGCUGUGACAUGGUCUUCCUUUUGUGUUCCUUGAUCUAGUGACUAUUGUUGUGCCGUAUAUAGCAAGGGCAUUAAUAUUGUGUUUAGUUUCUAUACAAUCAGUAGGUUAAUUAAGACUGUAGCAAAGGCAAAGUGAUUAACUGAUCUUGUCAUGUAUGCAUGCACAUUGUUGUAGCUUCUAUUGCCACAAGCAUGUGGAAUAAAAGAAAAUGAACUCUUUGGGAAUUGAAAUGCUCUAUUAUACAUCUGCAUCACCUUCCAAGCCCAGUUAGGGAAUUGAUGGGAAUGAAAAUCAGUGCACAGAAAUCGACUUGUUAUGUCUUUGCAAGGGUAUCUAUUUUCAGUAGGUUAGUUAAGAGUUUUUAUUAUAGGAAGUCAAAGUGGCUGAACUUUUGUAUUAUAUACUACUUUUGCAUCAUUCUAGGGUGCUACCUCUUGAGCACUGCGUUGGAUUUCCCCGAAGAGGAAGGGGUGAUGCAGCAAAGUAGCGUAAGUAUUUCCCUCAAUUUUUGAGAACCAAGCUAUCAAUCCAGUAGGAGGCUACGCUCGAGUCCCUCGUACCUACACAAAAACAAUAGCUCAACGCAACCAACACGCUUAGGGGUUGUCAAUCCCUUCAUGGUCACUUACGAAAAUGAGAUCUGAUCGAGAUGAUAAAUAAUAUUUUUGGUAUUUUUGGUAUAAAGAUGCAAAGUAAAAGCAAAGCAAUAAUAAAGUGAUGGAGAUCGAUAUGAUGAGAAAGAGACCCGGGGGCCAUAGGUUUCACUAGUGGCUUCUCUCAAGAGCAUACGUAUUCUAUGGUGGGUGAACAAAUUACUGUUGAGCAAUUGACAGAAUUGAGCAUAAUUAUGAGAAUAUCUAGGUAUGAUCAUGUAUAUAGGCAUCACGUCCGAUACAAGUAGACCGAAACGAUUCUGCAUCUACUACUAUUACUCCACUCGUCGACCGCUAUCCAACAUGCAUCUAGAGUAUUAAGUUAAAAAUAGAGUAACGCCUUAAGCAAGAUGACAUGAUGUAGAGGGAUAAUUUCAUGCAAUAUGAUAAAAAACCAUCUUGUUAUCCUCGAUGGCAACAAUACAAUACGUGCCUUGCUGCCCCUUCCGUCACUCGGAAAGGACACCGCAAGAUUGAACCCAAAGCUAAGCACUUCUCCAAUGGCAAGAACAACCAAUCUAGUAGGCCAAACCAAACUGAUAAUUCGAAGAGACUUGCAAAGAUAACCAAUCAUACAUAAAAGAAUUCAGAGAAGAUUCAAAUAUUAUUCAUAGAUAGACUGGAUCAUAAACCCACAAUUCAUCGGUCUCAACAAACACACCGCAAAAACAAGAUUACAUCGAAUAGAUCUCCACAAGAGAGGGGGAGAACAUUGUAUUGAGAUCCAAAAAGAGAGAAGAAGCCAUCUAGCUACUAGCUAUGGACCCGUAGGUCUGAAGUAAACUACUCACACUUCAUCGGAGGGGCUUGGAUGAUGAUGUAGAAGCCCUCCGUGAUCGAUGCCCCCUCCGGCGGAGCUCCGGAACAGGCCCCAAGAUGGGAUCUCGUGGAUACAGAAAGUUGCGGCGGUGGAAUUAGGUUUUUGGCUCCAUCCCCGAUCGUUUGGGGGUACAUUGUACCGCCCUCGAUGCGGCUAUAUCUCCCACGUGUCGAAGCACGACUUAGAGGCAUAACCGCAUUGAAAGCAAUGUCGCAAGUGAGGUAAUCUUCACACAACCCAUGUAAUACAUAAGGGAAAGAGAUACAUAGUUAGCUUACAAUCGCCACUUCACACAAUACAUGAAUAAAGCAUUACAACAUCCAAAUACAAUCAAGGUCCGACUACGGAACAAAAAUAAAAGAAGAACCCCAAGUGCGACAAAGGUUCCCGAUCGACCCCAACUGGGCUCCACUACUGAUCAACUAGAAAGAAACAACACAAAGGACAAGAUCUUCAACGAGCUCCUCCUUGAGCUUGGUUGCGUCACCUGCUCGGUAACAUCGGCACCUGCAAACUGGUUUUGGAAGUAUCUGUGAGUCACAAGGACUCAGCAAUCUCGCACCCUCGCGAUCCAGACUAUUUAAGCUUAUGGGUAAGGUAAAAGGUAUGAGGUGGAGCUGCAGCAAGCGACUAGCAUAUAUGGUGGCUAACAUACGCAAAUGAGAGCAAGAAGAGAAGGCAAAGCACGGUCGAUAAAAGUAUGAUCAAGAAGUGAUCCUAAAACAACCUACGUCAAGCAUAACUCCAACACCGUGUUCACUUCCCGGACUCCGCCGGAAAGAGACCAUCACGGUUACACACGCGGUUGAUUCAUUUUAAUUAAGGUCAACUUCAGGUUUUCUACAACCGGACGUUAACAAAUUCCCAUCCGCCCAUAACCGCGGGCACGGCUUUCAAAAGUUCAAAUCCCUGCAGGGGUGUCCCAACUUAGCCCAUCACAAGCUCUCACGGUCAACGAAGGAAUAGACCCCCUCCCGAGACAUUCCGAUCAGACUCGGUAUCCCAGUACAACAAGACAUUUCGACAGGGUAAAACUAAACCAGCAACACGGCCCGAAUGUGCCGACAAAUCCCGAUAGGAGCUGCACAUAUCUCUUUCUCAGGGCACACUCAGAUUGUCCAAACUUCCGGUAGGCCAGCCCAGAGUUGCCCCUGGUGGCCACCGGCAGCUGACAGUUUGGACCAACACUCAGAGGAGCACUGGCCCGGGGGGGUUAAAAUAAUGAUGACCCUUGAGUCUGCAGAACCCAAGGGAAAGAAAAGGCUAGGUGGCAAAUGGUAAAACCAAUGUUGGGCAUUGCUGGAAGAGCUUUACUUAAGACCAACUGUCAAGGGGUUCCCAUAAUAGCCCAACCGCGUAAGGAACGCAAAAUCCGGGAACAUAGCACCGAUAUGACGGAAACUAGGGCGGCAAGAGUGGAACAAAACACCAGGCAUAAGGCCGAGCCUUCCACCCUUUACCAAGUAUAUAGAUGCAUUAAUUAAAUAAGAUAUAUAGUGAUAUCCCAACAAGUAAACAUGUUCCAAUAAGGAACGGUAUCUCCAUGUUCCAACAAGGAACAAACUUCAAUCUUCACCUGCAACUAACAACGCUAUAAGAGGGGCUGAGCAAAGCGGUAACAUAGCCAAACAAUGGUUUGCUAGGACAAGGUGGGUUAGAGGCUUGGUUCAACAAUAUGGGAGGCAUGAUAAGCAAAUGGAAGGUAUCGCAGCAUGGGCAUAGCAAAAGAGCGAGCAACUAGCAAGCAAAGAUAGAAGUGAUUUCGAGGGUGUGAUCAUCCUUCCCGAAAUCCCGCAAGGAAGAAGAACGAGUUCAUGAAGAAGACAAACGGACGUAGUCGAACGGAUCCUCACAAACGUGACGUUGUCAGAAACAACCCGAAGAAGCACACCGGAUAGAAGCAAACAACAUAGUAAACAACCACCACAUAGACAUGGCAUGAUGCACAAACAAGUAUGAUGCAUGUCUGGUUUAAUGAAGCAUGGCAUGGCAAAGUGCACAAGCAAUCCUACAAAUUAAGUGGAGCUCAAUAUGCAACGAGUUGCAUAUUGACGAAACACCACAUCACUUAUUUAGUUCACUCUCGGUUAGGUACCCCACAAUAUUAAAUGUUGGUUAACAUGGCAAGAGGUGAAGCAUAACAAAACUAUAUCAUCUAAACAAUUUAAAUGGGGCCGGAUAUAACAAAUAACAAAUCCGGUAAGUCCCCAUAUGCAUAAGCAAAUUAAAGCAACAACAAAUUUUAACCAUCUUAAAGUUGUUAACAUGAUGCGGAUGACAUAUUCAAGUUUAUGCAAUAUUUAUGAAAACAUUGACAUGAUAAGAUAUGAGGCAUUUGUCAUCGUGGCGAAAACUAAAGGGGUGCCACGGCAACGACAACGGAAAUGGUGCCACGGCAACAUUCCGGUUCCGGUAACUCGAUUGAGAUACCGAUGCAAAGGAGAAGUGUGCGGAUGCGUGCAAAAGAUGGUGGGGUGCUCCCGGAUUCCGGGCGUCCCACGAGUUGGCGACAAGGAAACGGGUGACAAUUUGGACACGGUGCAAACUCGAGCAUCUCAAACAUCACAAGCAUUCAUUCACUGACGUCGCCUCGAGGUUAUACCUUCGCAGCGUGCAAGUGGGGCAGUUCUUGUUCGGUGCAAAGUAGAGGAAGUAGUCGUUCUCGCGACGGCGGUAGAGGUUCUCACGAUCUCGGUGACGGUAGUGGUACAUGUUUAUCGUUGCCCAAGUUUUCGUAGAUGUUCAUGUCACCGUAGUGGCACUUGGUGAAUCCCGAAACGGUCUUGGCGCCUUCGCGCGUAGGGGUACUUGGCGUUUUACUCCACGGUCUUGGCGGAUCCACGCGAUGGUAGUGGUACUCGCGAAGAGGUACUUAACGAAUCCAACAUCCUCGGGGCGACGGUAGUGGUACACACGACGUCGGGGUACUUGUCGGUCCGGUCUUGGCGGUGUAGAUGUACACGUUGUCGGGGUACCUGUUGCAUCACCGGGUGUAGUCGUACACGUUCGAAGCGGGACUUAGCGUAUCCAUGUACUUGGCAGUCCAAGACGUAGAGGUACACUAGUCCAAGUGGAACUUGACGAUGACGGGGUCUUCAGGGUACUUGAUGCUUGAGGUUCCAAUCUAGUUUCGAAUGCACGCAACACAUCGCAGGAGCAAGAGGAAACAACUUGGUGGGGUUCUGCCCAUACAUGGUGAACUCGAAGUCGAGGCGAACGGCACUGCUUGAGAAGGAAAACGACGGCUGUGACGGGGCAAGUGGAGCAACAUGCGGCAGGGGCGUCCAUGAAGGUGAGCAGGGAAGGCAUGGCAAGGAGGCAUGGGAGGAUCCCGUGGCCAUGGAGGGCCAGCAGCGGCCUGGACAAUGGCGGAGACGGGGCUGGAGAUGGACGGCGAGGAGGAGAGCUUGGGGUCGAGCGUGGUGCAGGGCUCCGGGUGGCUCGGCGCGGUGCAGCUCGCACACGAGGAGAAGAAGAUGAGGCCCGACGAGGAAGGGGCUCGCCGACUGGGAGGCUCUGGUGGCUGGCGUCCACGCCGGAGUGGGGAAGGCGGCGGCACUAUGACGAAGGCGGCGUCGGGCGCGCAGGAUGCAGCAGUGGGGCGACGAACGGGCGGCGGGGCUCCAGGGACUUGGCGCGGCGGCCCUCGCGGGAGACGGGGAGGAGGCGAGAUGGCGCGGCGGCGGCCUCACCGGAGUGGAGAAGGCGGCGGCACUGGCUCGCGCAUGCUGGGAUCGGGAUCGGGAUCCCGACCUCUGUUGCGAGCGUGUGAGGAGGAGGGAAACAAGGAGAGAAGUGGGAUCGGGGGAGCUGGCUUCUGGCGGCGGUGAUGGGAACGAGAGGGAGAAGCGAUCGGGCUCAGCUGGCGGCUAGGGUUAGCUAGGCAGGGGCCGGCUGGGCCUUGGGCCACUGGUGCGGCUGCUGGACGUUGGGAGGCCCAGGUGGGCAGUGGUGCAGGCCACCGCUCCCUCCAAAUAUCUCUCUCCCUUCCUUCUCUUAUAAUUUUCUUUAUUAGAAAAACAAGAGAAGACAAAGAAAGAAAGUGGGGGGGGGGUUAGGACACGAAGUUGGACUCAUGGAUAAUUAUCACGGACUCAUUAAAAAAAUGUGCACGGUCCACGAAAAUAGGAGAGGCAAGAUUGCAAGGAUUUAAUUCAAAGUCAUUUGAAUUUAAUUCAAAUGGUUUGAAUAAGGGCUAGGAAAAAGAUGUGUCCAAAAAUGUUCGGAUUUUUGGUAGAGCUCCGAAUAUGAUGAAAGAAAUAUAUGGCCAUGUUGGAGACCGAGAAUUAAGAUAACAAAGGCAUUGGGAUAUUUUGCAAAUGUGUUUGCGUUAACUCCAAGCGAAUGGAAUAUUUUUAUUUAGCUCCCUAAUAUUGGGAGGAUAUGUUAUAAAGAGAAUCACCAUGUGAAUUCCCUCGAUUUAAAUGGACCGAAGAUCCAUGCAAUUUAUUUAGUUGAGUUGCAAAAGAUUUAUGAGAUGAAGGCAUGAUGACAUGAUAAGAUGCAACACGCAAGCAAAUGACAUGGCAACGACGGCGAAAAACUGGAGGACACCUGGCACAUCGGUCUCGGGGCGUCACAACACUCCACCACUACGAGAGGAUCUCGUCCCGAGAUCUAGAAUGGCACCGGAGGGAAAGCAGAAGAGAUAAGAGAAGAGGUAAAACAAAUUGCUUCUUUGACAAACGAGUGAAAACAAAGAACCCUGAAAAGGUUGAACAAAUUUGAAUGAAAGAAUACAAUGAAGAUGAACGAAGUUGAAAGCACUCCGGUAGAAAAGAGAUGCAAGACUUGAUAAGAUGAAAAAGGACUUGAGCACAGGACACAACAAUGCGGUUAAAUGGAUAAACCAAGAAAAGAACAUGAUCCUGACAAAACAAGAAGAUGGGUUGAAGAGAGCAACAUCACAAUGCCUCCAGAACAAAAGUAAGAAUGGAAUGGAAUGAACGAAGUGAAACAAGAUCUUGAGAGAGCACGAUAACAACAAAUGCUAGAACGGAGUUGUUGGAAAAACCAACAACGAAAAGAAUAAUCUUGAUAUGGUCUUAUGGGAUACCUCAAAUUAUGAGGUGACAACCUGCCACUCACGAAAAACAAGAUUGGAUUGAUAUGAACAAGAAGACGAGAAACUUAUCUCACCGGGAGAAUAAAUGAAGACUAGGGUCGUUUAUAAACACCAUAGACAGCAACGAUCCUUAGGGAAGGCUUUAGGUGAAAUAUAACCCAAGGUAACUCCAAUGAAGAGAUUGAUGGGUUACCAAGGAACUCAUGAACGAACUGAAAAUGAUGGGUUUAAAAUAUGUCAUUCCGGACAACUUGUGAACCAUGAAACAUGAACUCAAAUUAUCAAGAAUGACAUAAUACCACCUCCAAAGAUGCGGAAGAAAGAUUGAACUCCGGAUUGCAAGAUGAGAAUGCUUGAGCUCCUUAGAAAAGAAUCUCGAUGAACACUUCGAGAAGGAGUAUAAAACCUUGAUGAACCAUCAUGUAGAACCUUGAUGAAGUACUCCGGUAACAAAAGAAUGAUCCGAAAUAAUUGAAUGAUGAAAAUAAUAAGAUUGAAGCCUCGCAAUGAUUUAUAUAGAGAUCUCCUUGAUAAUAUAAGUGAAAGAGGUUGGAACUCCGGGAAAAGAAAAGAUGAAACAAAUGAAACUGAGAAUUUGAAGGGCCUCCGGAAUAAAGAAUUAAUCACUUGGAUGAACAAGAAUAAGAAUUAUGUUAUGCUUGUCCUUCAUCAAUUAAAUUGAUGACAAACAAUGGAUUUGGCACACUACUUAUUCUCGUAGAAAGGAUUAAGAGAGAUAUAGCGCAAACCUGAGAAAGUCUUCAAUGAACCACCGGUAGGAUUGAAACAACGAAUGAAUUGGUAUGAUAAAGAAGGAAGAGAAAUCUUAAAUGGACCACCGUAAGGAUUGAAAAAGAACGAAUAAAAGAUAACGGAUCACCGGGAAGAAUUAUCAAAUGCACGAAGAUGCUUGAUAGGGUUAAGAUAUAAGAGAACGAAGAGAUCAAGAAAUGAUUAGAUAUCACUUGAAUGAUGCACCGGUAAGAUUGGAGAAAAUGAACUGAGAGUUGCAAUGAAUAAUAUUUGAAAAGAUGGCCUCUAGAAAAUCAAACUGAAAAGACUCCUGAAUUGCACCGGAUGGGUAAAAGAAUUCUCACGAUCAAAACAAUUACGAGAGGAUGGCAACAAGCUAGAAUCACGAGUCUCUGAGAGAACUGAUAAGAUAUGGAGGAAAAAAACUCUUCAUCGGUCUUCAAAUGUAGAGAAUGACGAUGAGAAACACUACCAAGAAUUAUUUAGACACUCUGGAAGAAUCAAAGCGAAUAGAUUUAGCCAACGAUGAAAAUAAUUGUGAAAGAUCUAGGAGAAAACAUUUGACUGAUGAUAAAUCAUUCUUACGUCAAACUUUGACAAGAACUUUAAGGAUAUCUCUGGGAAAUAAAAAGAGUCAGGUAAGAUCCUGGGAAAAGACCUGUGGGUUAGGGCCCACUGAAAAGAAACACCGUAGAAUGAUUUAAAAGAGAGAAUGCACCGGUAAGAUUAAAUGACUAGAAUGAGAUAACAACCUCGAAAGAUCUUGAACGAAUGCAGAGUGGAAAACAUGAAUCUUCGAGAUAUCUUGAGCACUCUGGAAUAAUAGAAUAGCGAGAGGUGAACGAUUAAGAAUUGCACCGGCAUGAGAAAACAUUGAAAUACAGAAAAGAAUAUGAUCAACACCGAAAGCUUGAAUUGGUUCCACCGGAGAAGAAAAGAAUGACGAAUGAUGAACUUGAGGCUCCGUUAGAAUCUUCAUGAGAAUCACCGGAUAAGAACAUUGAUUGAAAAGAAAGAAGAGAAUUCACAUGAAUAAAAGGAUACUUGAUCAAGAAAUCUGAGUCCUUGAAAAAACAAGGGAGGGAGGAUGGGAAAAACAAAGACAAUUUGGAAUAGAUGAAAUGAACACCGUUGAGAAACUUAGAAUUGAUCUUGCGGAUGUUGAAAUGAUCGGAUCCACUUGAAGAGAAGCACACCGGUUAAAAAGGAUUGACAAAACAAUCUUGAUGAUCAAGAAGGAUUAGUAUUCAGAUCGGAGUAUGAGAACACCAUUUAGACAAGGGAUGGAAUCAACAUUUGACUUUGAAGCAACUCGAAUACCACAACUCAAAAACAAAAACAAAGGAUUGGCUCGCAGAAUAAGCCGGAACAAACAUAUGAUAGAGAUUUCGUCCGAAGUUUUCAUGGUGGGGCCUACACGGGCUCGAUCGUACAGCACCAUCAUGUACAAGGCAGUGCACAUGACAUACGAAGCGUCCCCGAGUUGGCAUAGCCAAGGACUCUUUAAGACACAACGAGACCACUGUAAAACCAACCGUGAAUAGGCGGACCACUAGACGUCGAACCCCAAUUUCAUAUCGUACAUCUGUCGGAAAGAAAUCCUAAGAGCUACUUGAAUUCCCACUUAUAAACUCCCGAACCUUUCCGGUUAUGCAAUCAGGUGUUGGGGAUAUAGGGGAAGCAUAAUAUCUCACCCAAACUAACAAAUCCUACAUCCAGUUGUAUCCAUCCUUCAACACAUAACCAAGAAACCUUCGGAAAUCAUCUACCUCAACCUUCGAAAAGCAUCCGUUAUACAAGUUAUGGCAAUACUCCCGAACUCCCGCCCCAGUACUGGGUGGCGUCGAGGUUAUCUCACCAACGAACUGCAUAAAAGAGAUUUUCGAUGUCGGCGUACUAAACUCAGGUAUUCCAGAAUUGCAACGAUAAAAUUAUGAUGACAACACCUCAGAGCUCAACUCCCCGGGACACUUCCACUAAACCCCUGACAGGAGGCACCAAGACAAUGUUCUCAUCACAAAACCAUCGGAACGAUUCCAAGAUACCCGCGUGAUCCUAAAUUUUUUUUAGUGAAAUUUCAGAAGAGAAGAGUCAAAACUCUACGUCAGGAUGCCUUACCAGAGCGAUGAGGAGGCUGGGAAGUAAAAAGAAUUCCUAAACUCUCCGAUAUAUAAUUCCUAAAUGACUCAAAACAUUUUUCUAGACUCGAGAGUGCCUGCUAAAAACGAUCAAGCAAUGGGGCUCCUAAGGUCGACGAAGGCUCUGAUUACCAACUUGUAACACCCUCGAUGCGGCUAUAUCUCCCACGUGUCGAAGCACAACUUAGAGGCAUAACCGCAUUGAAAGCAAUGUCGCAAGUGAGGUAAUCUUCACACAACCCAUGUAAUACAUAAGGGAAAGAGAUACAUAGUUAGCUUACAAUCGCCACUUCACACAAUACAUGAAUAAAGCAUUACAACAUCCAAAUACAAUCAAGGUCCGACUACGGAACCAAAAUAAAAGAAGAACCCCAAGUGCGACAAAGGUCCCCGAUCGACCCCAACUGGGCUCCACUACUGAUCAACUAGAACGAAACAACACAAAGGACAAGAUCUUCAACGAGCUCCUCCUUGAGCUUGGUUGCGUCACCUGCUCGGUAACAUCGGCACCUGCAAACUGGUUUUGGAAGUAUAUGUGAGUCACAAGGACUCAGCAAUCUCGCACCCUCGCGAUCAAGACUAUUUAAGCUUAUGGGUAAGGUAAAAGGUAUGAGGUGGAGCUGCAGCAAGCGACUAGCAUAUAUGGUGGCUAACAUAUGCAAAUGAGAGCAAGAAGAGAAGGCAAAGCAUGGUCGAUAAAAGUAUGAUCAAGAAGUGAUCCUAAAACAACCUACGUCAAGCAUAACUCCAACACCGUGUUCACUUCCCGGACUCCGCCGGAAAGAGACCAUCACGGUUACACACGCAGUUGAUUCAUUUUAAUUAAGGUCAACUUCAGGUUUUCUACAACCGGACGUUAACAAAUUCCCAUCCUCCCAUAACCGCGGGCACGGCUUUCAAAAGUUCAAAUCCCUGCAGGGGUGUCCCAACUUAGCCCAUCACAAGCUCUCACGGUCAACGAAGGAAUAGACCUCCUCCCGAGACAUUCCGAUCAGACUCGGUAUCCCGGUACAACAAGACAUUUCGACAGGGUAAAACUAAACCAGCAACACUGCCCGAAUGUGCCGACAAAUCCCGAUAGGAGCUGCACAUAUCUCUUUCUCAGGGCACACUCAGAUUGUCCAAACUUCCGGUAGGCCAGCCUAGAGUUGCCCCUGGUGGCCACCGGCAGCUGACAGUUUGGACCAACACUCAGAGGAGCACUGGCCCGGGGGGGUUAAAAUAAUGAUGACCCUUGAGUCUGCAGAACCCAAGGGAAAGAAAAGGCUAGGUGGCAAAUGGUAAAACCAAUGUUGGGCAUUGCUGGAAGAGCUUUACUUAAGACCAACUGUCAAGGGGUUCCCAUAAUAGCCCAACCGCGUAAGGAACGCAAAAACUGGGAACAUAACACCGAUAUGACGGAAACUAGGGCGGCAAGAGUGGAACAAAACACCAGGCAUAAGGCCGAGCCUUCCACCCUUUACCAAGUAUAUAGAUGCAUUAAUUAAAUAAGAUAUAUAGUGAUAUCCCAACAAGUAAACAUGUUCCAAUAAGGAACGGUAUCUCCAUGUUCCAACAAGGAACAAACUUCAAUCUUCACCUGCAACUAACAACGCUAUAAGAGGGGCUGAGCAAAGCGGUAACAUAGCCAAACAAUGGUUUGCUAGGACAAGGUGGGUUAGAGGUUUGGUUCAACAAUAUGGGAGGCAUGAUAAGCAAAUGGAAGGUAUCGCAGCAUGGGCAUAGCAAAAGAGCGAGCAACUAGCAAGCAAAGAUAGAAGUGAUUUCGAGGGUGUGAUCAUCUUGCCUGAAAUCCCACAAGGAAGAAGAACGAGUCCAUGAAGAAGACAAACACACGUAGUCGAACGGAUCCUCACAAACACGACGUUGUCGGAAACAACCCGAAGAAGCACACCGGAAAGAAGCAAACAACAUAGUAAACAACCACCACAUAGACAUGGCAUGAUGCACAAACAAGUAUGAUGCAUGUCCGGUUUAAUGAAGCAUGGCAUGGCAAAGUGCACAAGCAAUCCUACAAAUUAAGUGGAGCUCAAUAUGCAAUGAGUUGCAUAUUGACGAAACACCACAUCACUUAUUUAGUUCACUCUUGGUUAGGUACCCCACAAUAUUAAAUGUUGGUUAACAUGGCAAGAGGUGAAGCAUAACAAAACUAUAUCAUCUAAACAAUUUAAAUGGGGCCGGAUAUAACAAAUAACAAAUCCGGUAAGUCCCCAUAUGCAUAAGCAAAUUAAAGCAACAACAAAUUUUAACCAUCUUAAAGUUGUUAACAUGAUGCGGAUGACAUGUUCAAGUUUAUGCAAUAUUUAUGAAAACGUUGACAUGAUAAGAUAUGAGGCAUUUGUCAUCGUGGUGAAAACUAAAGGGGUGCCACGGCAACGACAACGGAAAUGGUGCCACGGCAACAUUCCGGUUCCGGUAACUCGAUUGAGAUACCGAUGCAAAGGAGAAGUGUGUGGAUGCGUGCAAAAGAAGGUGGGGCGCUCCCGGAUUUCGGGCGUACCACGAGUUGGCGACAAGGAAACGGGUGACAAUUUGGACACGGUGCAAACCCGAGCAUCUCAAACAUCACAAGCAUUCAUUCACUGACAUCGCCUCGAGGUUAUACCUUCGCAGCGUGCAAGUGGGGCAGUUCUUGUUCGGUGCAAAGUAGAGGAAGUAGUCGUUCUCGCGACGGCGGUAGAGGUUCUCGCGAUCUCGGUGACGGUAGUGGUACAUGUUUAUCGUUGCCCGAGUUUUCGUAGAUGUUCAUGUCACCGUAGUGGUACUUGGUGAAUCCCGAAACGGUCUUGGCGCCUUCGCGCGUAGGGGUACUUGGCGUUUUACUCCACGGUCUUGGCGGAUCCACGCGAUGGUAGUGGUACUCGCAAAGAGGUACUUAAUGAAUCCAACGUCCUCGGGGCGACGGUAGUGGUACACACGACGUCGGGGUACUUGUCGGUCCGGUCUUGGCGGUGUAGAUGUACACGUUGUUGGGGUACCUGUUGCAUCACCGGGUGUAGUCGUACACGUUCGAAGCGGGACUUAGCGUAUCCAUGUACUUGGCAGUCCAGGACGUAGAGGUACACUUGUCCAAGUGGAACUUGACGAUGACGGGGUCUUCAGGGUACUUGAUGCUUGAGGUUCCAAUCUGGUUUCGAAUGCAUUCACGCAACACAUCGCAGGAGCAAGAGGCAACAACUUGGUGGGGUUCUUCCCAUACAUGGUGAACUCAAAGUCGAGGCGAACGGCACUGCUUGAGAAGGGAAACGACGGCUGUGACGGGGCAAGUGGAGCAACAUGCGGCAGGGGCGUCCAUGAAGGUGAGCAGGGAAGGCAUGGCAAGGAGGCAUGGGAGGAUCCCGUGGCCAUGGAGGGCCAGCGGCGGCCUGGACAACGGCGGGGACGGGGCUGGAGAUGGACGACGAGGAGGAGAGCUUGGGGUCGAGCAUGGUGCAGGGCUCCGGGUGGCUCGGCGCGGUGCAGCUCGCACACGAGGAGAAGAAGAUGAGGCCCGACGAGGAAGGGGCUCGCCGACUGGGAGGCUCUGGUGGCUGGCGUUCACGUCGGAGUGGGGAAGGCGGCGGCACUGUGACGAAGGCGGCGUCGGGCGCGCAGGACGCAGCAGUGGGGCGACGAACGGGCGGCGGGGCUCCAGGGACUUGGCGCGGCGGCCCUCGCGGGAGAUGGGGAGGAGGCGAGAUGGUGCGGCGGCGGCCUCACCGGAGUGGAGAAGGCGGCGGCACUGGCUCGCGCAUGCUGGGAUCGGGAUCGGGAUCCCGACCUCUGUUGCGAGCGUGUGAGGAGGAGGGAAACAAGGAGAGAAGUGGGAUCGGGGGAGCUGGCUUCUGGCGGCGGCGAUGGGAACGAGAGAGAGAAGCGAUCUGGCUCAGCUGGCGGCUAGGGUUAGCUAGGCAAGGGCCGGCUGGGCCUUGGGCCACUGGUGCGGCUACUGGACGUUGGGAGGCCCAGGUGGGCAGUGGUGCAGGCCACCUUUCCCUCCAAAUAUCUCUCUCCCUUCCUUCUCUUAUAAUUUUCUUUAUCAGAAAAACAAGAGAAGACAAAGAAAGAAAGUGGGGGGGGGGGUUAGGACACGAAGUUGGACUCGUGGAUAAUUAUCAUGGACUCGUAAAACAAAUGUGCACGGUCCACGAAAAUAGGAGAGGCAAGAUUGCAAGGAUUUAAUUCAAAGUCAUUUGAAUUUAAUUCAAAUGGUUUGAAUAAGGGCUAGGAAAAAGAUGUGUCCAAAAAUGUUCGGAUUUUUGGUAGAGCUCCGAAAUAUGAUGAAAGAAAUAUAUGGCCAUGUUGGAGACCGAGAAUUAAGAUAACAAAGGCAUUGGGAUAUUUUGCAAGUGUGUUUGCAUUAACUCCAAGCGAAUGGAAUAUUUUUAUUUAUCUCUCUAAUAUUGGGAGGAUAUGUUAUAAAGAGAAUCACCAUGUGAAUUCCCUCGAUUUAAAUGGACCGAAGAUCCAUGCAAUUUAUUUAGUUGAGUUGCAAAAGAUUUAUGAGAUGAAGGCAUGAUGACAUGAUAAGAUGCAACACGCAAGCAAAUGACAUGGCAACGACGGCGAAAAACUAGAGGAGACCUGGCACAUCGGUCUCGGGGCAUCACAUGCGUGGAUAUAUAUAGGAUGAAGAAGUACGUCGGUGGAGCUUCGAGGGGCCCACGAGGCAGGGGGCGCGCCCUAGGGGGUGAAGGAAAUAUGCCCACGAGGCAGGGGGCGCGCCCGUUGACUAAGCCUCUUCCACGAGCAAAACAUGAUCAGCACCAAGGCUCCAUGGGUGUUAGAAUCAUUACUGUGUAAUCUAGAUUAUUGACUCUAGUGCAAGUGGGAGACUGAAGUAAAUAUGCCCUAGAGGCAAUAAUAAAGUUAUUAUUUAUUUCCUUAUAUCAUGAUAAAAGUUUAUUAUUCAUGCUAGAAUUGUAUUAACCGGAAACAUAAUACAUGUGUGAAUACAUAGACAAACAGAGUGUCACUAGUAUGCCUCUACUUGACUAGCUCGUUAAUCAAAGAUGGUUAUGUUUCCUAACCAUGGACAAAGAGUUUUCAUUUGAUUAACGGGAUCACAUCAUUAGUUGAAUGAUCUGAUUGACAUGACCCAUUCCAUUAGCUUAGCACCUGAUCGUUUAGUAUGUUGCUAUUGCUUUCUUCAUGACUUAUACAUGUUCCUAUGACUAUGAGAUUAUGUAACUCCCGUGUGCCGGAGGAACACUUUGUGUGCUACCAAACAUCACAACGUAACUGGGUGAUUAUAAAGGUGCUCUACAGGUGUCUCCAAAGGUACAUGUUGGGUUGACGUAUUUCGAGAUUAGGAUUUGUCACUCCGAUCAUCGGAGAGGUAUCUCUGGGCCCUCUCGGUAAUGCACAUCACUUAAGCCUUGCAAGCAUUGCAACUAAUGAGUUAGUUGCGGGAUGAUGUAUUACGGAACGAGUAAAGAGACUUGCCGGUAACGAGAUUGAACUAGGUAUUGGAUACCGACGAUCGAAUCUCAGGCAAGUAACAUACCGAUGACAAAGGGAACAACGUAUGUUGUUAUGCGGUCUGACCGAUAAAAGAUCUUCGUAGAAUAUGUAGGAACCAAUAUGGGCAUCCAGGUCCCGCUAUUGAUUAUUGACCGGAGACGUGUCUCGUUCAUGUCUACAUUGUUCUCGAACCCGUAGGGUCCGCACGCUUAAGGUUUCGAUGACAGUUAUAUUAUGAGUUUAUAUGUUUUGAUGUACCGAAGGUUGUUCGGAGUCCCGGAUGUGAUCACGGACAUGACGAGGAGUCUCGAAAUGGUCGAGACAUAAAGAUUGAUAUAUUGGAAGCCUAUGUUUGGAUAUCGGAAGUGUUCCGUGUGAAAUCGGGAUUUUACCGGAGUACCGGGAGGUUACCGGAACCCCCCGGGAGAUAUAUGGGCCUUAGUGGGCCUUAGUGGAAGAGAGGAGAGGUAGCCAGCGAUGGGUCGCGCGCCCCUCCCCUCCCUUGGUCCGAAUAGGACAAGGAGAGGGGGCCGGCCCCCCUUCCUCCUCUCUCUCCUCCGCGAAUCCUAUUCCAACUAGGAAAGGGGGGGAAGUCCUACUCCUGGAGGGAGUAGGACUCCUCCUGGCGCGCCUCUCCUGGCCGGCCGCACCCCCCCCCUUUGAGCCUUUAUAUACGGAGGUAGGGGCAACCCCUAGAGACACAAGUUGAUCCACGUGAUCAUAUUCUUAGCCGUGUGUGGUGCCCCCUUCCACCAUAGUCCUCGAUAAUAUUGUAGCAGUGCUUAGGCGAAGCCCUGCGACAUUAGUACAUCAAGAUUGUCACCACGCCGUCGUGCUGACGGAACUCUUCCCCGACACUUUGCUGGAUCGGAGUCCGGGGAUCGUCAUCGAGUUGAACGUGUGCUAGAACUCGGAGGUGUCGUAGUUUCGGUGCUUGAUCGGUCGGGCCGUGAAGACGUACGACUACAUCAACCAAGUUACCGCUUCAGUUGUCGAUCUACAAGGGUACGUAGAUCACACUCUCCCCCUUGUUGCUAUGCAUCACCAUGAUCUUGUGUGUGCAUAGGAAUUUUUUUGAAAUUACUAUGUUCCCCAACAGUGGUAUCAGAGCCUAGGUUUUUUGUGUUGAUGUUAUAUGCAUGAGUAGAACACAAGUGAGUUGUGGGCGAUAUAAGGCAUACUGCUUACCAGCAUGUCAUACUUUGGUUCGUCGGUAUUGUUGGACGAAGCGGCCCGGACCGACAUUACGCGUACGCUUACGCGAGACCGGUUCUCCCGACGUGCUUUGUACAUAGGUGGCUUGCGGGUGACAGUUUCUCCAACUUUAGUUGAACCGAGUGUGGCUACGCCCGGUCCUUGCGAAGGUUAAAACGGCACCAACUAGACAAACUAUCGUUGUGGUUUUGAUGCGUAGGUAAGAUUGAUUCUUGCUUAAGCCCGUAGCAGCCACGUAAAACUUGCAACAACAAAGUAGAGGACGUCUAACUUGUUUUUGCAGGGCAUGUUGUGAUGUGAUAUGGUCAAGACAUGAUGCUAAAUUUUAUUGUAUGAGAUGAUCAUGUUUUGUAACCGAGUUAUCGGCAACUGGUAGGAGCCAUAUGGUUGUCGCUUUAUUGUAUGCAAUGCAAUCGCGCUGUAAUGCUUUACUUUAUCACUAAGCGGUAGCGAUAGUCUUGGAAGCAUAAGAUUGGCGAGACGACAACGAUGCUACGAUGGAGAUCAAGGUGUCGGGCCGGUGACGAUGGUGAUCAUGACGGUGCUUCGGAGAUGGAGAUCACAGGCACAAGAUGAUGAUGGCCAUAUCAUAUCAAUUAUAUUGAUUGCAUGUGAUGUUUAUCUUUUAUGCAUCUUAUCUUGCUUUGAUUGACGGUAGCAUUAUAAGAUGAUCUCUCACUAAAUUAUCAAGAAGUGUUCUCCCUGAGUAUGCACCGUAGCGAAAGUUCUUCGUGCUGAGACACCACGUGAUGAUCGGGUGUGAUAGGCUCUACGUUCAAAUACAACGGGUGCAAAACAGUUGCACACGCGGAAUACUCUGGUUAUACUUGACGAGCCAAGCAUAUACAGAUAUGGCCUCGGAACACAGAGACCGAAAGGUCAAGCGUGAAUCAUAUAGUAGAUAUGAUCAACAUAGUGAUGUUCACCAAUGAGACUACUCCAUCUCACGUGAUGAUCGGACAUGGUUUAGUUGAUUUGGAUCACGUAAUCACUUAGAGGAUUAGAGGGAUGUCUAUCUAAGUGGGAGUUCUUAAGUAAUAUGAUUAAUUGAACCUAAAUUUAUCAUGAACUUAGUACCUAAUAGUAUCUUGCUUAUGUAUGUUUGAUUGUAGAUAGAUGGCCCGUGUUGUUGUUCCGUUGAAUUUUAAUGUGUUCCUUGAGAAAGCAAAGUUGAAAGAUGAUGGUAGCAAUUACACAGACUGGGUCCGUAACUUGAGUAUUAUCCUCAUUGCUGCAUAGAAGAAUUAUGUCCUGGAAGCACCGCUGGGUGCCAGGCCUGCUGUUGGAGCAACACCAGAUGUUAUGAACGUCUGGCAGAGCAAAGCUGAUGACUACUCGAUAGUUCAAUGUGCCAUGCUUUACGGCUUAGAACCGGGACUUCAACGACGUUUUGAACGUCAUGGGGCAUAUGAGAUGUUCCAGGAGUUGAAGUUAAUAUUUCAAGCAAAUGCCCGGAUUGAGAGAUGUGAAGUCUCCAAUAAGUUCUAUAGCUGCAAGAUGGAGGAGAACAGUUCUGUCAGUGAGCAUAUACCCAAAAUGUCUGGGUAUAAUAAUCACUUGAUUCAAAUGGGAGUUAAUCUUCCACAUGAUUGUGUCAUUGACAGAAUUCUCCAAUCACUGCCACCAAGCUACAAGAGCUUCGUGAUGAACUAUAAUAUGCAAGGGAUGAAUAAGACUAUUCCCGAGCUCUUCGCAAUGUUGAAAGCUGCGGAAGUAGAAAGCAAGAAGGAGCAUCAAGUGUUGAUGGUCAACAAGAUCACUAGUUUCAAGAAAAAGGGCAAAGGGAAGAAGAACGGGAACUUCAAGAAGAACAGCAAGCAAGUUGCUGCUCAAGAGAAGAAACCCAAGUCUGGACCUAAGCCUGAAACUGAGUGCUUCUACUGCAAGCAGACUGGUCACUGGAAGCGGAACUGCCCCAAAUAUUUGGCGGAUAAGAAGGAUGGCAAGGUGAACAAAGGUAUAUGUGAUAUACAUGUUAUUGAUGUGUACCUUACUAAUGCUCGCAGUAGCACCUGGGUAUUUGAUACUGGUUCUGUUGCUAAUAUUUGCAACUCGAAACAGGGACUACGGAUUAAGCGAAGAUUGGCUAAGGACGAGGUGACAAUGCGCGUGGGAAACGGUUCCAAAGUCGAUGUGAUCGCAGUUGGCACGCUACCUCUACAUCUACCUUCGGGAUUAAUAUUAGACCUAAAUAAUUGUUAUUUGGUGCCAGCGUUAAGCAUGAACAUUAUAUCUGGAUCUUGUUUGAUGCGAGACGGUUAUUCAUUUAAAUCAGAGAAUAACGGUUGUUCUAUUUAUAUGAGUAAUAUCUUGUAUGGUCAUGCACCCUUGAAGAGUGGUCUAUUCUUAUUGAAUCUCGAUAGUAGUGACACACAUAUUCAUAAUGUUGAAGCCAAAAGACGCAGAGUUGAUAAUGAUGGUGCAACUUAUUUGUGGCACUGCCGUUUAUGUCAUAUCGGUCUAAAGCGCAUGAAGAAACUCCAUACUAAUGGACUUUUGGAACCACUUGAUUAUGAAUCACUUGGUACUUGCGAACCGUGCCUCAUGGGCAAGAUGACUAAAACACCGUUCUCCAGUACUAUGGAGAGAGCAACAGAUUUGUUGGAAAUCAUACAUACAGAUGUAUGUGGUCCGAUGAAUAUUGAGGCUCGUGGCGGAUAUCGUUAUUUUCUCACCUUCACAGAUGACUUAAGCAGAUAUGGGUAUAUCUACUUAAUGAAACAUAAGUCUGAAACAUUUGAAAAGUUCAAAGAAUUUCAGAGUGAAGUUGAAAAUCAUCGUAACAAGAAAAUAAAGUUUCUACGAUCUGAUCGUGGACGAGAAUAUUUGAGUUACGAGUUUGGUGUACAUUUGAAACAAUGUGGAAUAGUUUCGUAACUCACGCCACCCGGAACACCACAACGUAAUGGUGUGUCCGAACGUCGUCAUCGUACUUUACUAGAUAUGGUGCGAUCUAUGAUGUCUCUUACUGAUUUACCGCUAUCGUUUUGGGGUUAUGCUUUAGAGACGGCCGCAUUCACGUUAAAUAGGGCACCAUCAAAAUCCGUUGAGACGACGCCUUAUGAACUAUGGUUUGGCAAGAAACCAAAGUUGUCGUUUCUGAAAGUUUGGGGCUGCGAUGCUUAUGUGAAAAAGCUUCAACCUGAUAAGCUCGAACCCAAAUCGGAGAAAUGUGUCUUCAUAGGAUAUCCAAAGGAGACUAUUGGAUACACCUUCUAUCACAGAUCCGAAGGCAAGACUUUUGUUGCUAAGUUCGGAAACUUUCUGGAGAAGGAGUUUCUCUCGAAAGAUGUGAGUGGGAGGAAAGUAGAACUUGACGAGGUAACUGUACCUGCUCCCUCAUUGGAAAGUAGUACAUCACAAAAACCUGUUUCUGCGACACCUACACCAAUUAGUGAGGAAGCUAAUGAUAAUGAUCAUGAAACUUCAGGACAAGAUACUACUGAACCUUGUAGAUCAACCAGAUUGAGAUCCGCGCCAGAGUGGUACGGUAAUCCUGUUCUAGAAGUCAUGCUGCUGGAUCAUGAUGAACCUAAGAACUAUGAAGAAGUGAUGGUGAGCCAGAUUCCGCAAAAUGGCUUGAAGCCAUGAAAUCUGAGAUGGGAUCCAUGUAUGAGACAAAGUGUGGACUUCGGUUGACUUGCCCGAUGAUCAGCAAGCAAUUGAGAAUAAAUGGAUCUUCAAGAAGAAGACUGACGCUGAGGGCAAUAUUACUGUCUACAAAGCUCGACUUGUCGCAAAAGGGUUUCGGCAAGUUCAAGGGGUUGACUACGAUGAGACCUUCUCACCCGUAGCGAUGCUUAAGUCUGUCCGAAUCAUGUUAGCAAUUGCCACAUUUUAUGAUUAUGAAAUUUGGCAGAUGGAUGUAAAAACUUCAUUCCUGAAUGGAUUUCUGGAAGAAGAGUUGUAUGUGAUGCAACCGGAAGGUUUUGUCGAUCCAAAGGGAGCUAAUAAAGUGUGCAAGCUCCAGCGAUCCAUUUAUGGACUGGUGCAAGCCUCUCGGAGUUGGAAUAAACGCUUUGAUAGUGUGAUCAAAGCAUUUGGUUUUAUACAGACUUUCGGAGAAGCCUGUAUUUACAAGAAAGUGAGUGGGAGCUCUGUAGCAUUUCUGAUAUUGUAUGUGGAUGACAUAUUACUGAUUGGAAAUGAUAUAGAAUUUCUGGAUAGCAUAAAAGGAUACUUGAAUAAGAGUUUUCAAUGAAAGACCUCGGUGAAGCUGCUUACAUAUUAGGCAUAAAGAUCUAUAGAGAUAGAUCAAGAUGCUUAAUUGGACUUUCACAAAGCACAUACCUUGACAAGAUUUUGAAGAAGUUCAAAAUGGAUCAAGCAAAGAAAGGGUUCUUGCCUGUGUUACAAGGUGUGAAGUUGAGUCAGACUCAAUGCCCGACCACUGCAGAAGAUAGAGAGAAAAUGAAAGAUGUUCCCUAUGCUUCAGCCAUAGGCUCUAUCAUGUAUGCAAUGCUGUGUACCAGACCUGAUGUGUGCCUUGCUAUAAGUCUAGCAGAGAGGUACCAAAGUAAUCCAGGAGUGGAUCAUUGGACAGCGGUCAAGAACAUCCUGAAGUACCUGAAAAGUACUAAGGAUAUGUUUCUCGUAUAUGGAGGUGACAAAGAGCUCAUCGUAAACGGUUACAUUGAUGCAAGCUUUGACACUGAUCCGGACGAUUCUAAAUCGCAAACCGGAUACGUGUUUACAUUAAACGGUGGAGCUGUCAGUUGGUGUAGUUCUAAACAAAGCGUCGUGGCGGGAUCUACAUGUGAAGCAGAGUACAUAGAUGCUUCGGAAGCAGCAAAUGAAGGAGUCUGCAUGAAGGAGUUCAUAUCCGAUCUAGGUGUCAUACCUAGUGCAUCGGGUCCAAUGAAAAUCUUUUGUGACAAUACUGGUGCAAUUGCCUUGGCGAAGGAAUCCAGAUUUCACAAAAGAACCAAGCACAUCAAAAGACGCUUCAAUUCCAUCCGGGAUCUGGUCCAGGUGGGAGAGAUAGAGAUUUGCAAGAUAAAUACGGAUCUGAAUGUAGCAGACCCGUUGACUAAGCCUCUUCCACGAGCAAAACAUGAUCAGCACCAAGGCUCCAUGGGUGUUAGAAUCAUUACUAUGUAAUCUAGAUUAUUGACUCUAGUGCAAGUGGGAGACUGAAGGAAAUAUGCCCUAGAGGCAAUAAUAAAGUUAUUAUUUAUUUCCUUAUAUCAUGAUAAAAUUUUAUUAUUCAUGCUAGAAUUGUAUUAACCGGAAACAUAAUACAUGUGUGAAUACAUAGACAAACAGAGUGUCACUAGUAUGCCUCUACUUGACUAGCUCGUUAAUCAAAGAUGGUUAUGUUUCCUAACCAUGGACAAAGAGUUGUCAUUUGAUUAACGGGAUCACAUCAUUAGUUGAAUGAUCUGAUUGACAUGACCCAUUCCAUUAGCUUAGCACUCGAUCGUUUAGUAUGUUGCUAUUGCUUUCUUCAUGACUUAUACAUGUUCCUAUGACUAUGAGAUUAUGUAACUCCCGUGUGCCGGAGGAACACUUUGUGUGCUACCAAACGUCACAACAUAACUGGGUGAUUAUAAAGGUGCUCUACAGGUGUCUCCAAAGGUACAUGUUGGGUUGACGUAUUUCGAGAUUAGGAUUUGUCACUCCGAUCGUCGGAGAGGUAUCUCUGGGCCCUCUCGGUAAUGCACAUCACUUAAGCCUUGCAAGCAUUGCAACUAAUGAGUUAGUUGCAGGAUGAUGUAUUACGGAACGAGUAAAGAGACUUGCCGGUAACGAGAUUGAACUAGGUAUUGGAUACCGACGAUCGAAUCUCGAGCAAAUAACAUACCGAUGACAAAGGGAACAACGUAUGUUGUUAUGCGGUCUGACCGAUAAAAGAUCUUCAUAGAAUAUGUAGGAACCAAUAUGGGCAUCCAGGUCCCGCUAUUGAUUAUUGACCGGAGACGUGUCUCGGUCAUGUCUACAUUGUUCUCGAACCCAUAGGGUCCGCACGCUUAAGGUUUCGAUGACAGUUAUAUUAUGAGUUUAUACGUUUUGAUGUACCGAAGGUUGUUCGGAGUCCUGGAUGUCAUCACGGACAUGACGAGGAGUCUCGAAAUGGUCGAGACAUAAAGAUUGAUAUAUUGGAAGCAUAUGUUUGGAUAUCGGAAGUGUUCCGGGUGAAAUCGGGAUUUUACCGGAGUACCGGGAGGUUACCGGAACCCCCCGGGAGAUAUAUGGGCCUUAGUGGGCCUUAGUGGAAGAGAGGAGAGGUAGCCAGAGAUGGGCCGCGCACCCCUCCCCUCCCUUGGUCCGAAUAGGACAAGGAGAGGGGGCCGGCCCUCCUUCCUCUUCUCUCUCCUCCGCGAAUCCUAUUCCAACUAGGAAAGGGGGGGAAGUCCUACUCCUGGAGGGAGUAGGACUCCUCCUGGCGCGCCUCUCCUGGCCGGACGCACCCCCCUUUGAGCCUUUAUAUACGGAGGUAGGGGCAACCCCUAGAGACACAAGUUGAUCCACGUGAUCAUAUUCUUAGCCGUGUGCGGUGCCCCCUUCCACCAUAGUCCUUGAUAAUAUUGUAGUAGUGCUUAGGCGAAGCCCUGCGACAUUAGUACAUCAAGAUUGUCACCACGCCGUCGUGCUGGCGGAACUCUUCCCCGACACUUUGCUGGACCGGAGUCCGGGGAUCGUCAUCAAGCUGAACGUGUGCUAGAACUCGGAGGUGACGUAGUUUCGGUGCUUGAUCGGUCGGGCCGUGAAGACGUACGACUACAUCAACCAAGUUACUGCUUCCGUUGUCGAUCUACAAGGGUACGUAGAUCACACUCUCCCCCUCAUUGCUAUGCAUCACCAUGAUCUUGCAUGUGCAUAGGAAUUUUUUUGAAAUUACUACGUUCCCCAACAGGGGGCCCUACCCUCGUGACCACCUCGUGGCUUUCUUGACGGAGGGUCCAAGUCUCUUGGAUCUUAUCUGAUGAGAAAAUCACGUUUCCGAAGGUUUCAUUCUGUUUGGACUCCGUUUGAUAUUCCUUUUCUUCAAAACCCUAAAACAGGCAAAAAACAGCAAUUCUGGGAUGGGCCUCCGGUUAAUAGGUUAGUCCCAAAAAUAAUACAAAAGUGGAAAAUAAAGCCCAAUAAUGUCUAAAACAGUAGAUAAUAUAGCAUGGAGAAAUCAAAAAUUAUAGAUACGUUGGAGACGUAUCAUAGGGCUGCAGCUGUGUUGCUGCGAGCAUGUGGAAUUGAAUCAGGGAGGUACCACAAGAGGAAAAAAAUACUUUGCCCUUCCUAUUUCUUCUUAGGACCCCGUUAGCCUCAGAGCAGUUUGAAUGAUUGAUUUUGUUGCCACUAGACAGUAAAAAUGUAGCGACCAGACCUCAAACGGUCCAAUCUCUAUGGUCAGGUGUCAUCCCUGGAUCAGUAAUGCUGACACCACACAAUACUUGAAGGAUUUAUAACAGAGUAACAAUCACACACUUAUUACAUUGAGUGUCUCAAUAGAGAUCUUAUUACAAUAAAUAUGGCUUAAGGCCAUCUAAUAAUGAUAACAGCGGAAGGCUUGGAAGAUAAGUGAGUCCAUCAACUCCAAUGGCAUCACUGAGUAUAGAACCACGACCUAAAACUCCUUAAUCAUCGUCUGAAAAGUCUGCAACAUUAACGUUGCAGCCCGAAAACAGGUCAGCACAUGGAAUAUGCUGGCAAUGUAACACAUAGAGAGUAAUGGAAAGAAACAGCUAUACUAUAUGCAUAUUUGGCUGGUGGAAAGCUCUAUGGUUACAGUUUUGCGUAAAGCCAAUUUUUCCCUACUGCAAAGGAAUAAAUUUAUUUAACUAUUAUGGUGGUUGUUAAACAUUGAGAAUGGUUGACAGCAUCCUCAAUCCCAAUUAAGUAACAUCAUUAAACAAACCCGUCAAAUUAAAUUUUAUAGUAACAUGUUGAGAUUCACAUGAUAAUCCAGGUACUAGAUACUCAAAACAUCCAUAACCGGGGACACGGCUAAUCAUGAUUAGUUUAUACACUCUGCAGAGGUUUGCGCACUUUUCCCCACAAGACUCGAUCGCCUCCGUUUGGUUUCUCGCACUUCAUGGUGUUUGCGAAACGGAUGACCGAGACAUAGUCUUUCAGAAGCGCUAGCACCUUACGAUGGGUAGACCGUACCACCUACAUCCCCUACAUCUGCUAGUCUAUCAGUGUAAGAGUUCGCACGACUUAGUCAACUAUGCUAGAACCCAUAAUAGCUUGUGGCUGCACACGGAAGUUUCUAGCAUGAAAAAUCUCAUGAUCUCUUUGAGCCUGGGUGGCGGUCCAAAAGAAAACAGGCAAUCCUGGAAUACCCAGGUACCUCAAUCCACCCAGAUGUGUAUUUAAGUUGCCACCUUAGAUAAACCAUUGAUUUAAAAAUCCCACAUCUAUCAUGGAUAUCACUCACCCAAUCCAUGUCUACUAGCAUAGCAUAGCAAUAAUAAGCAAACGUAGAAGUAACUCCCAAAGGUUUGAUAAUAAACAGGUAAUAGGUACUACCUCAAUUACUUCCCAAACCCAUAAUUUAGUUAGAUCCUAAUCAUGCAAUGUGUAAGGAUUGAUCUAAUGCAAUAAAACUGGGUAGUAGAAGGUAUGAUCAAAGUGUUACUUGCCUUGCUGAUGAUCCGGGAAACCUAAUGAUUCGAAGUAACAAGCGGCGCACUCCGAGUACUCUAUCGCAAACAAACAAGCAUACGAUAAGUACUCAACUAAUGCACAGGUAAAACUCAAAUAAGAUAUCUAACCAUAAAGUUUAUCUUAAGAACUCCGGUUGGCAAAAAUAAUCAAAUCGAACGAAGCAACGAAAGACAAAUGGCAAAAGAAACAGGCUUCGUUUACUACUCUGGAUCUAAGGCAAUUUUUACAGAAGCUAAAACUUGUUUAAGUUGGUUAAACGGGAAGAUGGUUUCGAGACGAAACUCCAGGCACUUGAAUCGUCUGAUUCCGAUAAACGAGCGAAAAGUUAUACUAGAACAAAAAUCGGAUCAGAAAUCGCGAUCAGAAAAUCGCGGAUUUAAUCCGAGAAAAAGAAAAACGACGAACAGUUUAUCGAAUGAACGUUCAUUAACUGGAUCUAAACGACGAAAUUAUUCGUUAAAACGAACGAACGAGCGAACGCUCGCUAAAUAGAAUAAACCGAAAAAACGUUCUAAUAAAAAAACGGAUCUAAAAAAUAAACCACGACUUAAAAAAAACGGGCGGUUUUCUAAAGAAAACCGCCGGCGACGGCGGCUACCUCGGGCGAUGUGUCCGGUGAGCGGGCGGGGCGGCGGCGGCGAGGCGGCGGCGAGGCAGCGGCGAGGCGGCGGCGCGGCGCGGGUGGCGGCGGGGNNNNNNNNNNNNNNNNNNNNNNNNNNNNNNNNNNNNNNNNNNNNNNNNNNNNNNNNNNNNNNNNNNNNNNNNNNNNNNNNNNNNNNNNNNNNNNNNNNNNNNNNNNNNNNNNNNNNNNNNNNNNNNNNNNNNNNNNNNNNNNNNNNNNNNNNNNNNNNNNNNNNNNNNNNNNNNNNNNNNNNNNNNNNNNNNNNNNNNNNNNNNNNNNNNNNNNNNNNNNNNNNNNNNNNNNNNNNNNNNNNNNNNNNNNNNNNNNNNNNNNNNNNNNNNNNNNNNNNNNNNNNNNNNNNNNNNNNNNNNNNNNNNNNNNNNNNNNNNNNNNNNNNNNNNNNNNNNNNNNNNNNNNNNNNNNNNNNNNNNNNNNNNNNNNNNNNNNNNNNNNNNNNNNNNNNNNNNNNNNNNNNNNNNNNNNNNNNNNNNNNNNNNNNNNNNNNNNNNNNNNNNNNNNNNNNNNNNNNNNNNNNNNNNNNNNNNNNNNNNNNNNNNNNNNNNNNNNNNNNNNNNNNNNNNNNNNNNNNNNNNNNNNNNNNNNNNNNNNNNNNNNNNNNNNNNNNNNNNNNNNNNNNNNGUGGCGGUGGCGCGGUUCGGUGCUAGGGUUUCGGCCUGGGUGGGCUGGCUCGGGCCCCGGGCGGCGGCUUAUAAGGGCUGCCCCGGGCGGAGUCCCGCUCGGGUACGGCCCGGAGUCGGUUCGCGUUUUUUAUAAUAAUGCGCAGAAAAACAAAUAAAAGAAAUACUAAACGGACUCCAAAAAUUCCGAAACAUAUUUUCCCCGGCUUCUAAAAUCAAGCCGCACAGGGUGAACAUUUAUUUGGGGUCUAAAUGCAAUUUUGGAAAACGCGCAUUUUUCCUAAAUUCAAAUAAAAUAGCAAAUAAAACCAAAUAAAAUCUUAUUUGGAUCUUUUAUUAAAUCCUCAAUAUUUCUUUAUUUUGGGAAAGUCAUUUUAUUCCCUCUCUCACAUUUUUGUAAUAGAAAUUAUUGAGGAUAACAUAAAUAAAAUCAAAUGAUCCUAUUUUGAAAAUUUGAGACAACUCAAAUAUGAAAAUAACAAAAUCUCCAACUCUCUCCGAGGGUUCUUAAGUUGCGAAAAAUUUCUAGGAUCAACCAAAAUGCAAUAAAUAUGCUAUGCAAUGAUGAUCUAGUGUAUAACAUUCCAAAUUGAAAAUUUGGGAUGUUACAAAAAAAAAUACUGUUUUGAUUACAUGAGUCGCUUUAUGCUGUUGCCCUGAAGUCGGUAUAAAACUGGCUAAAAGCUUGCUGGUCGCCAUGAGUAAAAUUGUAAAGCUUAUUGUGUCCAUAGGGAAGGGUGCACCGCCAGAAAAUGUGUGUCGUGUGAAUGGAUGCGAGGGGUACUAAUUCUGUGUGGGCACGCGGUAGUGCUGAGAUUCAUCUUUUAGAUGUUAACUGGCAUGUCUGACAUAUUUUGUAAUUUGAUUGCAGUGUUUGGAUUGGAGGGAACAUCCUUGCAUAUCUUGAGUCGUUCCAGCAAGUUGCUAGAUGGGUGUAGAGUCGUAUACUCUAGAACUGCCAUGUGGUGUACGUGGGGGAGAACUUCACCAGCUAGUCCUUCGAUGUGUGGCCUACUUCAAACGGUGAGUGCCCUUCGGUCUCAAUUGCGGUUCUUGACAGUGUGUUUGUUUUAGUUGUGAAUCUCCAGUGCCUAGUAUGUCAAGAAACCUCAAAGUGAAUCUGCUUUUAUUCAACCCAUGGCGUCAUCUGCGUCCGCCUCAUGCCAUGCAGUAGCAGAGAUAAGCCUCCAUAUGAUGAUCACGGGGCAAGAAAUGUAAUGGUGUGCAAGCAGCAGCUCUGGUGAGUGCGGUACAAGCAAGCGUAUAUCAAGUUCAUUUUCCCCCCUGCAGGGUGAGGGUUGAGUAGUCGUAACAGCACAUCAUAAGCAUGUAAUCUGCGUAUAGUUGUGUACCAAAAAUGUAGCUGCCUGUGUGACAGCUGCAUCAACCCUGGUGUUGCUUUGCAUUUGGUGGAUGAACUAUGCUAUUAUUGGAUCCGAGUUAGGACUUGUUUUUUGUAUAUUUGCAUGCUAUCCGAAAAAAAUCCAUGAAAUGCAGAAGGGUGAGGUUAAGUGUUGCGUGUAAAUCUCUGUAUCAGGAGUACUCCCUCCGUAAACUAAUAUAAGAGCGUUUAGAUCACUACUUUAAUAAUCUAAACACUCUUACAUCAGUUUACAGAAGGAGUACAUAUUAAGUGAUGUUCGUUGCAUGAUAAUAAUAAACAAUUGCGAAAAAUGACAAUAAUGUUUUAUUGAACCAUGCAGAAAGUUAAAAACAGAGCCCCCUCGAUGAUUCAGGUGUGUAGAACCGCUCACCGGCGUUCUGUCCACGGCUUACUAGAAACUAGAAGUGGCCGUUCCAAAAAUUCAAUUUUGUGAAAAUUGACAUCACAAAUUUAAAUACAUACUCUAGGCAUGAGUAUAUAUUUACAAACUUUAUACUACCAUCUUUUUUAGGGUACUUUAUACUACCAUCUUUUGCACAACCUUUACUUGUAGUAAAAAGUUUUGCCGAAAUAUUGCGUGAUAGGGCUGGCUAAAUGAGUAGUCAGUUUUUUUUAAAAGGAGUGGUCACGUGUGUGCCUCAUCCACAGCUGCCGGCAUGCACACGUCGGCGACCGGCUUGCGUGCAAUGCGUUCCAUUGGAACAGAUUGGUCCAGGACAUGCAUGCCGCCUCUGGGAAACGGCCGUCCGCUAUUCAUGUGGGCCCCCGGCUGACUCCUAUACGGCCCAAAAUAUUGGAUUUUCAAACAAACUAUACAUGGACAAUACCUGACGCAGCCCAUAUCCCGCUGAGAACAAGCGCCUAGCGAUUCCGGGACCAGGCGAGCUCGUCCGCUCCUGCCAAUUUCCGCCAGUUAACUUUGGUAUUCAUGGUAGCUAACUUUGAAAGAAUUUUUUAUGAUAGACAGUCAUCCUACACAGACAAACAGUAAGUUGCAUCCCUAUAACAUUAAAGUUGUUUCCGUUUCACCCAAAGUUGCUCACAAAAAAGUUAGUCAAAAUAUACUCAUAUAGGAUCUAGUUUUGUAGAGAGCGGGGAACAUAAUCGUGAAAAUAAAUCUUAAUUUCGAUAAUCGGUCCAAAAGUUGUAGCUUUUUAAAAUUUUGAAAAUGUAAAUUAAAUGCAAUUUACAUGUGAUCUUGCUGGAAAAUCCCAUGAUGGGCGGACGCACUGAGACAAGGUGGACCAGGUGCUUUUCAUAUGCGUUAAUUUUUUCCUAUGGGUUGUGUAUUACGGGUCACAUGCGGGAGAGAGAGGCGGAAGACAAGAGCAUGUAAUUUCUGUCGUGCGUGUGCACCAGCCACGACAAAAUCAUGCAGCCGCAUGAUCUAGAAUUUAGGAAUUAAUAAUGGUAUUCAUCCCACCAAAAUACUAUAUUUAGCCCAUCCUAUCUUCAAUCAUUUUAACUUGUCCAACACUAUUCAAAACCUACCCGUGUGACCGAUUUUAUGCAUACAGCUCUAUCCUACAAUUAUCUAGCAGGUGCUACGUUGGUGGCCGCAUGGCUGGCUGCAGCUCUGCCCACGGGAUUUGAUCUGUGGCGAGGCCGGCCGGGGCCGUCUCGUCUACAACUUUUUUGUGAACUUUUGAUCUAUGUUUAUCAUUUUUUUAAAUGAACUUUUUUUAAAAUGACGAACAUUUUUUCAAAAUUUGUGAACUUUUUUUAAUAAAGAUGAACAUUUUUUUCAAAAUUUGUUCGGCGCUUUUGGUGGCACUUAUUGCGACUGGCGCUUGCAACGCAGGCAUAGCGGGCCGGUCCAGGAGAAAAAGGUGUUCCAUUCAUACUAUGAGGAAAAUACUCUAUUUGACCCUUCUCUUAAUACAACAUUACCAUGUGGGAGUAAUAUAUACCAAAUUUGGUAUGCAUAUUAUUUUAUGAUAUAAAUAAAAACAGAAUUAAACAAAUAAAAAAAGUGAACAUGAAGAAAGUUCAUAAAUUUGAAAAGAUUCGUACAAAGUGCAAAAAGUUCGUCAAUUUGAGAGAAGUUCACGAAUUAAAAAAACACAAAUUUUUAAAAAAAUGCUCAUCAUUUUUUUAAAGUUCAUCAAUUUUGAAAAAAAUAAAAUAAAUGGAAAAAAGUUCAUCAAUUUCGGAAAAAAUUCUUCGAAUUUUGAAAAGAAGUCCAUCGUUUUAGAAAAAAUAUCAUCAAUUUUGAAAAAAAGUUCACCACUUUUGAAAAAAAAUUACAAAUUUUGCAAAAAAGUUCAUCGUUUCUGAAAAAAAAUUGGUUUUGAAAAUAGCUCAUUCCAUUUGAAGAAAAAUGUUCAUCUAUCUUGAAAAUGGAUUUCCAAAAAUGUGCAUAAUUUUGGAAAAAAAAUUAUCAAAUUUCCAAAACAAUCAUCAAAUUUUUAAAAAUGUUCAUCCAAUUCAAGGAAAAGUUCACGUAUUUGGAAACAAUUCAUCAAACCAGGAAGAGAAAAAACAGAAAACACAAAAACAAAAAAGUAAAAAGUAAAAUAGAAAAAAGAGAAAGAAGGAAUAAAGGAAGGAAGGACUUGAUGGUUACCACAUCGAGCUGUGUGGUGCGCUGGUUACACCUAGUACAUGGAUGAGAGGGGCCGUAGGUUUGACUCUCAACCAGGACAAGUUUUUUGUCUAUUAAUACAGGAAAAGAAAACGCCAUAUGAGCCAGCCCAGCGCGGGGCACUGCAGGCGCCCGUUUGCAAAAUACACAUUAAAGGGUGCCUGCGGGGCCUCCUAAUUGACGCGUUUUGUGUCAAAUACAGAAAAAGAAAACACCAUAUGGGCAAGCCCAGUGCAGGGCGAUGCAGGCGUCCAUUUGCAGAACACACAUUAACGGGUGCCUGCGGGGCCUCCUAUUUGACGCGUUUUGCAUCCAACAGUGACCCGACACACAAGGCGACCGUGACUGGGCCGGCCCAAUAGAGGUUGUCAAACUGUAGGUCUAAAAAAUACACAUCAACGGAUGCCUGCGGGACCUCCAAUCUGACGCAUUUUGCGUCAAACAGUGAGUGACGCAUAGGACGACCGCGACUGGGCCGACCCAAUAGAGGCUGCCUGACUGUAGGUCUAAAAUACGCAAAAAGAAUGCACUCGCUGUGGUUCGAUCUUUCGAUCUGAUGAACCUGUGUCAGCGUUGCUAGCCAACCAAGCUAAUUAUGGACCUUCACAAUUUACUAGCGCGAGUUCUCUACAAUUGAAGACAACGGCAAAUCCGAAACUUCUUAAAUUUCGGACAUGGAUAUGUUUGAAAAAGGAAACUUUUUAGAAACGUGAACAUUUUCAAAUCUGUGAAGCAUAUUUAAAAAACUCAUUUUUUUUGGCAAAAUGGGAAUUUUAUUGAUUCUGUGAACAAUGUUUGAAAUUUUGAAUAGGUUUUGAAAAAAAUAACGCUUUUUCAAACUCGUAAACAAAAUUUGAAGAUGCGAACAAUUUUUUGAAUUUUCGAACAAAUUUUGAAAAUAUGAACACCUUUUUGUAUUGAAAAAAAAGAUUGCAAACGAGAACAUUUUUCAAAAUUAUGAACAAUUUUUUAGAAAACACAAACCUUUUUUGAGAAACAGGAAAAAAAUUGAAAAAUAAGAACAAUUCUCGAAAUUAUGAAACAUUAUUUCAAAACUUACAUUUUUCUAAAUCCCAUGAAUAUUUUUCGAAUUUGCAAACAAAAUUUGAAAACAUAAUCAUUUUUGAAUUCAUGAACAAAUUUGGAAAGCUAGAACAUUAUUUGAAAUUCCCAACAUUUUUAAAUUUGUGAACAAAUAAAAUUCCCAUACCUUUUUUUGGAUUUCGGUCAAAUUUUCAAACACAUGAAUAGUUUCUAAUUCAUGAACAAAAUUGAAAAUUGGAAACAUUUUCUGAAGUUUCCAAAUUUUUUUUGGAUUUGAGGAAUAUUUUCAAAUGAAUUCAUCUCAUUUUACAUGAAUUAUUAUUUAUGUAUAAAUAAAACCAGAUUUCUAGUUUUCUGAAACUAUUCAUGAGUUUAGGCCUUGUACAAUGCAAGAUGCUUGAAGAAAUAAACCAGACUUUCAUUUAGAACCGGUGCUUAUGUGUACAAGACAUACGCUUAAUUAGGCAUCUCUCCUAUAUAGAAAGGAUUGUACAAGGCCUUGAUGUGCUGCUUGACCUUGGGGGUUAUGGGUGAGUGAUUUUCUUCGUGCGGGACGCGGACAGUCGUCCAUGGUUUUCUUCCGACUUUUUAAGCGCCCGCGCGGGACGCGAGAUGCUCGAUGUACCACCACUUACGGUUUAAUACUAGAUAGAGGCACUUGAAGAAUGAAUUACAGCAGAACAUUUCUAAAAAAACUGACUUCCAAACAUCUACUAUUAGCAAGCAGUGCUCCAAGUUCUUUUGUUAUAAGGGCCACACGACCCACUUCAUUCGUGUGCCACGGACGUGCUCCGCAGUCCACAUCCUAAGGAUGUACAACGCCCAUCCCGCUCCUGCUGUACGGGCAUCUGAUGUGGUAUGGUAGAUCCAUGAGUCGGGGCUCUCGGUAAAAGUAGUUGCUUACAGGAGCACUCUUGUGCUUGUGCGGCCACCGGAGAACCCAGAGAAGAGGGGGCAAACAAAUUCGCCCAAGACUAACAAAAAAACAGCCGACUCCCAUAGAAAACCCUCAAAUGCUGCUUCUAUCUAACGCCCUAGGAGAAAACAGAGGGAUGAACUCAUGCAUAACUACAUGGGCUAGUUCGGUCUUAUCCAUAAGCAUGAUCAUCAAGCUGAACAAAAACAAGGUUCAGCAGGGCAUGCAUCUACAAAUCGUGGUGAAUUUCCACAGCCCUUGCCCGCAGAGCUGAAGUGUUGCCUGCAGAGCAUGCAUCUCGAGAUGGUUUCAAGCCUGUGAAAAUCAAACAUGCAAAAUAUUGUAAGUAGUCAUAGUAGAGGCAUUAUAUGGGAAAAGGAAUGGUAGAAGUUAGUUAAUUAAAGUUGCGACAUCGACUGAAAACCAAAGUUGCAUGGUGG
RNAcentral lists this long non-coding RNA (193102 nucleotides) under Triticum aestivum (bread wheat). Its description in RNAcentral is "long non-coding RNA (TAES_LNC020997)". The stretch from base 2551 to 2675 matches the Rfam family "MIR1120/MIR1122 microRNA precursor family". Lineage: Eukaryota; Viridiplantae; Streptophyta; Magnoliopsida; Poales; Poaceae. The record is from RNAcentral.